CAAAGAAUGCCCUAAGAGACUAUUUAAGCCAUAAAUGGCCUUCUAUAGCUUGCAGACCUCAUCAAACUGCACUUGUGAGACAUGCUGAGAAGAAGGUUGCUCCAUGUGAAUUUCUUCCUAGACAUCACCAUGAAGAACUGGAUCCAACCCAUAGGAGGAUUAUAAUUUGGAAACUAUGAGAGACAAACACAUAUGAAAAAUGUCAAACUGGUUGAGAACCCAAAAACAAAUUGAAUGGGAGAACAUCGGUGGGUCAGUGACAGAGCCAGACCCUAUGAUUUCAUACAGUUAAUACGAUUACAGAUACUACCUGUAUAAAUGCUAAAGUCAGUUACACUUAUAUAGAUCCCUUCCUUCCACUCAGCUGAUCAAAUCAAACAGGAAAACUUAAGAAAGCAAAGAUGAAGAUGAAGAUUGACAUUUGGGAAAAAGGAGAGCAACAUAAGUUGUAUCACUUUCAUGUUGUUGCAGUAUUACUGGGAAAAAGCUUCUUUAUUUCUUCUAGUCUUUUCUUUUUUGUUUUUUUUUUUUUUUUUUGGUUGGGCAGUAUCACACAAAACCAGACCCAGAAUCUCUUGUGGACUGCCUCUUGAACCAGUCCUCAAGAUGCCUAGAGAGUAAAACAAUAAAUCCUUUAACAUUCCCAAGAAAGGCAAGUAAUGACACACACUACCAAAUGAGACUGUAAAGUAAAUGGACGGUUGAAAAUUAAAUAAUACAUGCAUUUUGACCAUACAAAUUUUGUAGACACACGGUUAAUUAACCAACAAUUUGCACUGUGAAUUUAACAGACCUUACAUCCAUCUUAUAACUACAAUGUUAAUUGCAAUGACUUGAUGAUAUAUCAUACUAAAUCAAGUGUCCUAUGCAGCAUAUGAAGCAAAACGGAUGCUUGGACCCAGGUCCCAGGGUCACAUAAAACCACAAAGUGAAUGGAUAUAACUCCACAAUAAAUCAACUGUCUUAUAACACUAAUUUGGGAUGAGAAAUUGAAUCAAAUCCAAAAUUCUAGUAUCAACGAGCAGGCAUCUUAAUCAAUAAUAUAGGAAUACUAAAUAAAUCUAGGUGUCUACCCAUCCCUUUUAACCUCCCUUACCUAUUCUAGCACAACCAGUUUAUACCAAGCCCUCACCAGCACCAAUGACCUCCUUUGGACAGGACAAAACAAUCUUAAUUGAUUCCACACCAUCUUAUCAUAAAUUGUGGCCAGGAUAAUGUGAAGGAUACACAUCUUAGCAAUCUGAUCUACCAAUGCUUUUAUACAACCACCUUGGUUCCCACUUCAAUGAUACCUUAUAAGUUGUUUUCCACCCAACAUCUAUUAGCCAACCAAUUUUCUCCACAUCAACAACAAUGUUCCUUUUGCAGCAAAUCAAUAAAUUGCAAUUCUCACAAGUCAGAACAAAGGGGACACUUUUAAUGAUGAUUUUAAGCCAGGAAACCUACUGCAAAUUAUUCUAGUGAUAUUCAAAUUGAACAAACAAAUAACAAGAAGUGUACAAAGUCAGAGAAGCUCCAAUGAAGCAAGUCAAAGCAUGGUAGCUAAGUGAUUAUUGAAGAAGAUAAAUUGUCUUCAAAACAUUAAGCAGUAAGAAAUGCCAAACACAGCACAAGUUAGCAAGAGUCAAUCCACACAUAAUAUCGCACAAAUGCCUUGUCAAUCUAACCUUUAAACUUCUUAUCUCUUCUUGUAGCUUUUCAUUUGCAUCUUCAAGAUCCUUAGCUUCAUUUCUCAGCUGGUUCAGUACUCGGAUGGCAUCCCCAAGUAUGGCCAAUUUGUCAGUUUUGGCAGAUUUACCAGGUUCUAAAAUGGAACUCAAGUCUAGAAACCUAAAUCGGACAAACAAGAUUUUUCCUUUGAGACACCAUCCAUCACCUUAUAGAUUGAUCAAUGGAUAGAUACACAAAAAGACAUAGAGAGCACAUAAGAAAUCUGUACAAGUAUCAAACUACAAGAAAUCAAUAAAAGAUUUGGACUACUCAAAUGGUCACAUUUCCCGAUGACAGAUAACAUACGCAAUGAUGAUGAAUCCCAUACCAUUAAAGAUUGUGUUUUUUGAAAUAAUUUUUUGAUAGGUAAGCAACUUAUCAAAAACACCAAACAGGCUAUAAACCAGUACAUGUGAUAUGUGUUAGGCACACAAAGGAAAGGAAAAGGAAGAAGAGAGGAAGACACCCUCCCUUAGUUAUACAGCAGAAGCAAUAAAUAGAAUCCAAAAUUGAUGUAUCAUCAGCAUAUUUCACAGACAAAAAAAAAUAACAAGCUUAAGAAGCAUUUCCUUCAGCUCAAAAUUGGAGGUUCCUCAUCCCAAACAUGUUCCCUAUUUCUCUCUCCAUAUGAACCACAUAACACAUGAGGGUACAAAUCUCCAAAACUUCCACCCUCCCUCCCCAGCUUCCUCCCACACCUACAAUUACCAUUCUGGCCUUUGUGAAAUGCAUCAUCUGCUCCAAAGAGCGUAAAUGAAGGUUCACAAUUCUUGCUAUACUACAAUAAACAAAGAGAUGAUUGCAAGCAUCAUAUUCUUUUUACCUUACAUAACUCCUGCAACAGAUUAAAGGCACGUAGCUGGGAAGUGAAAGACCGUUAUUUUUUUAACCUUAGACAAAAUUAAUCUGAUCUAAUAUGCCUCACCUAUUCUUGAACAAAUGCAGUUGCACAUCAGUCAAAUAAAACCAUGACAUCAAAAAAAAAAAAAAAAGGAAUCUGAUCCAACAAAACACAUGCCUGUCAUUCAAUCUUUCCCUUCGCAAUUUCUCACGGCAAGCUUUGGUUCCAGGCCUGGUGGAUGAAUCAUUGCGUCCCCUACAAAUAGUCAACAUGAAAUUAUCAUGAAAAUCUAAUUACAAAAUGAAAAAUAUGGAUCAAGUUAUUCUACCAGAAAGACUUAUAAAAUGAUAAACAAGGAACCAGCUCAUUUGAUAGUUUUCUAUCUUUUUUCAACUCAUAGUGUAAAACGGUCAUGCAAAUGAAAGCAUUCAUAAAGAAUAUCACACUUCUAUUCUAGCAAGAUUAAAAUAAAAAAAUAAAAAAUAAAAAAUAAAAUAAAAAGAUUGCUAUGAUGGAGACAACUGACAGCCACCUUUACAAGUUUACAAGGAGUAAAGGAAUGGGCUUUAAGGCCAAUCUUUAAUUUGGCAUUCUCUAGAUGACAUUGAGCUUACUUGCGAUCUUAUAUAGUUCAACAUGGACUCAGCCUAGAAGUACUUUCCAGAAAUCAGAUAAUGGGCUUCAUCAAUGGUCUUAAGUUCUUACUUUCAGUCGUUUAUGUUGUCAUUUUCCAAGAGUCUUUUAAUAUGGUCAAGUAGUCAUUCAAAGUCUCUGAUAUUUUCAAUCUUCAUUGCUACUGUGUGAGUAUUUCUAAGAAGUUAUAACUCUUUAGAGAAGUUCUAUAUAGUAUUUGAUAAAAUCAAUGAAUGAAUGAUAAAAAUUUCCAACACCAUUAGUAAUAAAUGAUACCACCAUUAGCAAGCACCUAUUAUACAUUUAUUUUUUAGAAAUUUAGAAAAAACAUUAAAAUAAAAAACCAUGAGAAGAACAACUUGAAUCAACUCAAUGACUGGACAAGUGCAACAAUGUUUAGAACAUGAGAGCUCCACAUGUUCAAAAUAUAUAUCCCAUAUAGGUAAUGCUAAAUAGCACAAUUUUCCCUUUUCUACUUUCACCAGUUACAUGGAGAAUAAGAGCUUUAAAGAACAUAUUAAGAGGACACUUAUUCCCUAAAACUUGCUCUUUUGAUUGUCUCAUUUAAAGUAAGGUAAGAACAUUGAAAAACAAAUUUGUGACACUAUCCAACAAUUCAUGGAGCAAUGUUAUAUAGAUACCAGUAUGAGCAUCAAAUUUUCCAUGAGCCCUUAGAUUCAACACCAGAAGAACCUUAGGAUUUGACUAUGAGGCAGAAUAUUUAAAAAAUGUUUUACAACGCAAGUACAUUUAGAGAAUGUUUGGCCUUCAAUGUGUUACAUCUUCUUACCCAUCUACAUCUGAGAUCACAGAAUUCAAAAACUUAACAGUGUAAAGGUUAUGGGGUUGUUAAGCAUAUAAUUACAAACUACAGUCUAGAAGUGUAAACUUCACCAACUCAUGGAUGCAACAAUCAUCAUCCUUAAACCCUCAUGCGAACCAAAUACACUUAUCCAACCAUGUUCAAUAUCAAUCCCUCAAUAUUCUAUAAAAUCCCGAAAUAUAAAUAGCAAUUCAUAUUAAUUGCAUAAUUCUCUGACCACAUACACCAUUGAAUUCAAUCCCAAAGGCAAGAAAAUAAAAAGACAACAAGGGGAAGAAACACAUUGCUACAUGAUGUUACUCAAUCCCGAUAGCAUAGUUUUCCCACAUUUAAAAAAAAAAAAAAAAAAAAAAAAAAAAAAAAAAAAAGCUCGCAUAUUAUUCAAAUCAUACAGUUCAGCAUUGAUAAGAGAUUUCAUUCCAGCAUAUUGCACAUUAGAGUUACAAAUUACCUCUUCUGUCUGCCUUCAUUUUCUUGCGACGCAGCACAAAUACGCGAAAGAUCAAUAUCGACACCAGCACUGAAAUAGAACAAGCAUACCAAUCACAUUAACACGCCGAUCUAAAGUAUCCUCAUUUCAAUUUCACGAUUAAAACAAUUUCAAACAACUUUAGGUCAAAAUGACUCGGACCGAUAUUCUAAUUAUCCGAGGUGAAGCUGAGUCGCCAAGACAACAAUUAACUAUCAAACUUAUAAAAUCAAUCACACAAUUAUGUUUCGCCAAGCCGCUGAUUGGCUGCCGAGAAAGCAAAAGAAAGGAAGAGAAAAUUUAAACAUACAGGUACCCGUCGUUUAUCCAAGAGAGAUCGUUGGAUGUGACGUCGUCUAUCAAUUUAUGAUUAAGAAAAUCCCAAGUAUCAUCGUCGAAGGAAUCCAUGGAUUUGGGAUAGGCAACAGGAAUCCAGCACCUAGUUUGGAGGGGGAGAUGGAUAUUUUGAAAGAAAAUUGCCCAGCAAAGGCCCUAAAGUGGCACCACGUGGAACACGUUUGAAUAAGUAUGACGGCGAGUUGCCGCUUCCUGUUUUGACCAACACGUGUGUCUGCACCUACUCCUUUCCCACGCGCCUCUGUCGUCGUCGAUUCGGGUCCGGUGACCCUCUCAAUUUUAAUUAACUGGAAAAUACGCGAUUUACUGAUUUGAGUGAUUUCCAUUUUUAUUUUUGAAAAAUAAAAAUUAGGAUAAAAAAUAAGUUUCGACUUUAUCUUUUUUAUUUAUUUAAAAAUAAAUAAAAUAAAAAUUUUGGAAAAGGCUUGAUGUUUUAUUUUUCAAAAUUUCUUGAGACAAUUAAAAAUUAUCUUUUGUAAAUAAAAAAGAAUAAAAUUAUAUCUUAUAUUGGGUAUAAAAGGGAUACAUAUAUUAUAAAUAUGAAAUACAUGGAAAAGUAGGUUUUUAUUCACUAAUUUAAAAAAAUAUAGAAAAAUAACCUAAAUUUUUAUUAAUCAUAUUUAUCUUUACCUAUUUAAAAAAAUUUUAAAAUACAUGUAUUUUUAUAAUUUAAAUAAUUUUUUCUUAAAAUGAUCAUUUGACAUAUUUAUAACACUAAUUAACAACUUUUUAUUGUGAGAAAUGAUUUAAGAUUAAUAAAAUAAGAAAUUCAAAAAAUUAAAACUAUAAUACUUUAAUACGAAAAAUACAGCAUAAAAUAUUAAUUUUUACUUCAUUAAAACACUUUGAUAAAAAAUAUGAAUAUCAAAAAAGAGUUGGAAAUAGAAUGAGUAAAUAUUUUUAUUUUAAAAUUUUUAAGUUUUUUUGUUUUUAAUUAUAUUUAAUUUUAAUUGUAUUUUUAAUUUUAAAAUUUUGUAAAAAAAAAUUAUUUAAUUUUAUUAAAUAAAAUGAGAAAUUGAAAAGAUUUAUAUAAUAUAUGAUAUAAAAUCAUUAUUAAUUAGAAGAUUAAAAAGAUUAUAUUUAUCACUUAUGAAUUUUGAAAAAAAAAAUCCACAAAUCUCAUAUUAUAUAAUAAAAAAUUUAUAAUAUAUUUAUCAGUCAAACACCUUUAUUAAAUUAAAAUAAUAAAUUAAUUUUAAAUAAUUUUAUUUAAAGUAAAAUGAUAUUUCAAGAAAUAACUAUUUAAAUUAUGAAAAACUACGUUUAUUUUUAAAUGGGUGGAGAUAAAACUAAUUUUUUUUAAAAAAAAUUAAAGUUAUUUUUCCUAUAUUUUAUCAAAUUAAGGAAUUAAAACCCACUUUUCCUAGUAAAUAUUAGGAUAAAGAAAUAUUUAUAGACAUCAAUUUCAUUCAUUGUUUUGAAUGAAAUUGGAUAUGGGAAAUUCGAUAACAGGCUAAAAUGAAAAUUUUAUUAAACCAGGAUUUCCAUCAGUUGUAUACAUGGAUUUCUGUGUCAAUUUAUAGUUUCGAAACAGAAUCAUUUGAUGAGAAGCGGUCAGCAGAGAGGACUUCCAGCCAAAAAAAGUUGAAACAUAAUCAAAUGACAUGAGCUUCAUUCUUAAGCUGGUCGAUCAGCUCAUCCACGGAAGAAACAAUAACUCCUGCUUUUCUCUUGGGAGGCUCAGUGACCUGAACAACCUCCAAAUCGGAUUUGAUAUCUACAUUCAAUUCCUGUGGAGUGAACUUCUUUAUUACCUUCGAUUUUGCUUUCAUAAUGUUGGGGAGUGUUGCAUACCGAGGCUGGUUCAGUCUCAAAUCAGUGCUGCAUGAGGUACAAAAUAUCAGGUCAAGUAAUGAGAUGAAACACAGAGCCAAGUUGCAUUUAUGCUAGCCUAUGGCAAAUAAUUGCAGUCAGCUUUCUGAUAAUAGCUUUGUUCAUCUGAGAAACACUUCCUAUUCAUGUGUUAUCAGCAUUUCCACAUGUUGCCUACUGCCAUUGGGCAAAAGCUUGGAUGAAAAAGAAGCAUGUUUUUGUCUUAAUUCUCUUAAGCAGAAUCAAGGAAUAGGGUUUUUGAGCAGAACUUCAUGUUACGAGUAGAUCCUUCCAUCAUUUGAGCACUAGCUAGCUAGGAAUUCUUACAAGUACAGAAUAUAAAGCUUGUAAUGACCAUGAAUGGGCUGCAAAGAACACAUGAAUAACUUCAAGAGUUCAAAACAGACAACAAAUUUUGCCCAUAGCAUAUAUUUUUAUACAGAAAAAUCAGUUGCAUACUCUUAAAUGGUCAAUUAAAGCUCAUCAACCAAAUCUGAAGCGUCACAAUUUAACAUUUGCUUAAGCCCACAUGACUUGCAUCAGGUACUCAGUCAAUAACCACAAUAAUCCCACUAGGACCUCCUCCUCUGUUCAUCAUUGAAGACCUUGGAAUUAGGGGACAUCAUUUACAUGGAAUUAGGGGAAUUAGAAGACCUUGGAAUUAGGCAAUAAGCUCAUAUGCUCUCACACUUCCCAAAGACAGUCCUCAUAGAUGGGCAAUCCUCAUCUUAAAAGCACAUCAAUCCCUAUUACAUUUGGUUUCUAACUUUAUCAUAUGCAAACAAUAUGAGACCUUUGACGCUACUGAAAUAUUAAUCUAGACAGACAUUCAUUAACUACAUUUUUCCCUGUUAUACAGAGUAGUGAAAGGUUCUAGAAAGUUUUUAAGCCAAUACACCACUGCAUACACAUCGGAAUAAAAGUUCUGCUUACAGAAACAACGCUACAAUACAUCCUAUUAAGUCCCAUACGAUAUGAAUAUUAUUAACUAUUUUCUGAUAACCCAAGAAAGAAAAGACUAGAAUAGAAUAAAUAUAUUUUAAAGCAUAUUUUCAAACUGGAAGUUAAUUAUAAUCAGUAACACAAUUAAAUAAUGAAUUUAGAGUCACAUGUUUCUAAACCAAAAAAGACAAGUUGUUUAAUUAAUAUGAAUAUAAAUUUAAAAAUAAAACUUUAAAAAUAUGAUCUAUCUAUGUUUCAAAGGUUUGUUAUAGAGAUUUCAGAGAUUUCACGCUUUCUUUUAUAAGCACAGCCAACCAAAAUACAUUAACAAACAGUUUUUCCAAGAGAGAAGACGAAUAAAAACUUCAAGAAGAAAAUUUGUUUAAGUUCAGCAUAAGAAAAUAAUUUGAGUUUAAAUCCCCAAAUCUACAUCAUUCUGUACAUCACCUAGAAUUUUUUUGAUAGGUAACCCAUUUUCCUUUUAUUUAUUUUAUUUUAUUUUAUUUCAUUGUUAAAACUUGAACUUGGAACCUCCCACAUCCAAGCUACAACCCUUUCUCACUUGAGACAAGCAUGAAGGAGUAUAUUUCACCUAUAAUCCUUAGUUAUGUUUGGUUCCUAGAAAGUACCAAGGAAAGAAAAAAAAGGGAAAAUGGUUUCUUAUGUUUGGAUGCUACAGAAAAAGAUAAGGGAAAAAAUAUUGAGGGAAAAUGCUAUAGAAAAAAGAUUUUCCUCCUGAUUUUCCUUAAAAAAUGAUGAGGAAAGUUGGCACAAUGUGCAUUCCUCACAAUUUUACUUCCCUCAAUUUUUCAAUGCACAACCAAAUAAGAGAAUUUUUUUAAAAUUUCCUCAUAUUUUUCUUUCCUUCUAAUUUCUUUCCCACAAACUUUCCAAAACCAAGCAUAGCCUUGAUUUUUUGGUCGAUGGAUCCUAAUAUUUUUUUCCAUGCAAGAAGAACCGAUGGAUUAGUCUUCUCCAUUUAUGGUUCCAAAGGUUUAGAAUUUCUUUAGCAUUUUAUUUUGCUUAAUUGAAAAGACAGAGAACAAUAAAAGUAUUUCAAGAGCUUCAUCAAAAUUUUAAACCACAAAGCUCAAUGUAAGACAUGAUGGCAUGUAAGACAGAAAACAAAAACAAAGACAGAAAAACAGUAAAUAGCAUAAGAAGAACAAAUAGAAAACAGAGUGAGACAAUUACGUGAUUACUGCUGGUAAGUCCAAACAUAAAGUUUCAAGACCACCAUCCACCUCUCUCUCCACUGUUGCCACCUCUUUCUCCUUGUCCAGCACAACCUACUAGAAAGCAGCAGCCAGGUUGAACAAUUAUUAAAGGCAAAGAAGAAUAACUUUUAAAGAGAUCAUCUAAAUGUUCUAUCAACACCAAUUGCCAAUACAUCUCAAAUUCUCUAGGGAAAGUGGGGAGAGAUACAAAAACAUAAGCUAUGUUUGGUUCCUAGAAAAUUUGAAGGAAAAUGUAAGGGAAAUAAGAUAGAAAGGAAAAGUAGAAGGAAAGACAAAGCAAAGAAAAUGCAUAGGUUUCUAACUAAUUUUAAUUAUAUUUGAUUUUAUUUCUUAUUUUUUUAUAGUAAAACAAAACAUAAGAAAAUAAUUUUCCUUAACAUUUUUUUUCCUUAAUACUUUCCAAGAGCCAAAGGUAUCAAUGGUUUUAUUGAUGCACACAACAUAAUUCUUUCAGGUAUGCCCCUUGCAGCUGGAGAACAAAAAGAAUAUAGGUACAAAAUGAUUUAAGAAAACAAAGAUUACCACCAUAGAAAAGCUAAAGUUAAGUUGAAUUCUAUUGCAUACAGAAAUCCAUGAAUCAUGACAGAAAUCCUAAUAAUAUUUUCCAUGAGGAAAAACAUCCACAUUUAUAAUACUACUGAAGAACCACAGUAACAGCAAUUUUAGGGAAAAAAGGACCACUGGCAUAUGAUGGUACCAUAAGAACAAUCUCAGCCCAAAAAACCCUUCAUAGGGGGGGCAAAUUGCUCUAACUCUUGAAAUCUACCCAAAGAAGGGAAACUACCUCUUUAAUCCAUCUUGGUUAGGUACCAGUUCCACAAGGGGCCAUGGUCCCCAGAUCCUUAUUUUUCCUUGUCCACAGUGCUUUUUACAUUCGGAGUAAUUACAAUAUCAGAAACAAGAAGAACAUAACAUCGAUUGAUGUAUUUGGAAGCAAAAAAAAAAGGUUAAAAAAGCUGUCUUAAACCUUUUGGGGUAUCUGUUAUUUUGCUUUCAUCAACUCAAUUGAUGCUUUUUUCAGCCUUUCCCUCCUUUCAUGGCCUUUGAUAUACUCUAUGCAUGCCUUGCUGAUGCUCUUACCAUUCAGCCUAAGGCCACACAACUAGCCUUUCGCAAAGACAUGACUCCAGUUUUCAGCUUUCUCAUCUUUUCAUGGCACACUCGCUAACACUGUCUUCACCCUAAGUGAUAUGAUGUGUCUCACUCAUGCAACCAGUAUUCACCCAAAGAGAUAGAUCAGAGAAAAUUUCUCUGUGUUAAGUUUCUUUAAAAGCAAACAGAGUCUUUGAGAGUUUCUUGUUAUUCCAUCUAUGACCAAAAGGGUUGAGAUUCAUGGCCCCUUGCAAUGAAUUUUCCAUUAUCAUCUUCAAAUCUGACAUUUAAAUCUUGUUUUCUUGUUUUCCUGUUUUUACUCUCAAAAUAAUCCAAAAACAGUAUUUUGGAAACCCUCAAUUACUUCAAACGAUCAAUGAGAGGCAAAUUGGAAACCAUAAUUCACAAGCGCUGGCAAAUGGAAAUGGACUCUAAAAAGAUGUUAGCUGUAAACUAAUUGCUUGUUGGCUCUGGUGGCAUCCAUCAUCAAAGAAAAAAGAUAAAUAAACUGAGACAUGGAAUUUCACUAUCCUUUUUUUCUUAUAGGUAAGCGAAGCUUGUAUGAAAGGAAUAAAGAAAAUAUAUACAACAUAUACAAAGCAACCAAAAUGGAAUUUCACCAUCCUAGCUGAAAAGUGGCGCACUGUUACCCUACUUGAUGUUGUAAUAAGCUUUUUCAUCCUAAACUAGGGGAAAAUGCCACUAGCAUGCACCUUACAAGUCUUUCUAAACAUUUCUGCAUCUCAUCAUGAGAGUUUUAUGGCAGUGAAACCCCAUCCCAUGCCUCCGUCAGUGAGGAUUCUAUAACAACAGAUUCAUAUAUAUCAUUCUCUAAUCCUUUUCUCUUGUAUGUGAAUAGAACAUAGCUCUGUUUGGAUCCAAGAAAGAAUGACAGAGGAGACCAAAACACUCAAAACACUGAACAUAACUUUAGAAAGUUCAAAGUUAUUUUCAGGAUUUGCCUUUUAUUUCUCCCAUUCUCUCUGAUAUAAAGACAAAACCUAAUACUUGUAGAAAGACACAUGGUUAAAUUUUUGUUGUCAACGCCAACAAAUCCAUGUAAGGUGAUGCUUUUCACUAAGAAGAGACUCUAAGAUUAGAUUCCCAAUGUAUAGAGUGUUUGCGCAGUAAACAAAUCAAUCACUUAUCAUUUAUAUAACAGUAGAAGUGUAUGGAGAGUGGGACUAACCUUGGAAGCAAAGGUCCCCUGAGGCCAGUUGAGCAACCCGGCAACCAUUUGCCCUGUUUGAUUGCAAUCGUCAUCAAUGGCCUAGAAAACCCAUGCCCACAUCAGAAAACAACAAUCCACCAUAAAAAGAGUCUAGGAUUUUCACGGAAUCCGCAAAUUUAUUUUUAAAUCGUUACCAAAAACCCUAAUCUCUGGGCACGAAUUCACAGACCUGUUUGCCCAGAAUAAGGAGGCCAGGCUUCUCCACAUCGACGAGAGCUUUGAGAAGCUUAGCAACUGAAAGUGGGUACAGAGUGGCGGAAGCUUCGACGUGGAUGGCCCUAUCGGCGCCCAUGGCGAGACCCGUUCUGAGCGUGUCGACGCACUGGCUGGGACCCACACUGACAGCGAUAACCUCCGACGCCAGACCCGAUUCCUUGAUCCUCAGAGCCUCUUCCAAACCUAUCUCACAAAAGGGGUUCAUCGACAUCUUGACGUUGCUGGUCUCCACGCCGCUCUGAUCGUGGGUUGGCGAUUGUUAUUGGAUGAUGAUGAAAUUACAGAUACUGAAUAACUUGAGAGUUUGGAUUUGGGUUACCUUGUCGGAUUUGACUCUGAUCUUGACAGCGUAGUCCACAACACGCUUUAUCGCCACCAUUAUCUUCAUCUCGUAUAUGGGUGGUUAUCUUCUCCGGCACAAGGGUAUUGGCAAAUGACUGAUGAUGAAGGACGAGGAUAUUCGCCCGAGCCCUACUGCACGACACCACAUCCGCUUAUAAAAUCUUUUGAUACGGAUAAGUACAAGGGAAGUGGAAAAAAAGGAUUAUUAAGAAAAAUAAAUAUAUUACCAAAAAAAUUAUUUAAAAUUUUGUUCAUGUAGAAAGAACCCGUGAAUCAGAUCGAAAAAAUUAUAUUAAAACUGCUGUAUAGCCGAAAAUUGUGUACAGAAUUUAUUUUAACAUUGUAUUAUUGAAUUUUUUAUUCAAAAAUUGCUUAACGUGAGAUAGAAAUUAAAAAAUCAUUAGUAAUUUUGUCCGAAAGUUGUUAUAUUUCAUGUGUUUUAAAAAUAGAUGUAAUUUAUUCCUAUUUGCAUUUUUAACGUACAUUUAAUUAAAUAACCCAAAAAGUUAUUGAGUUCACAUCAUCUAUGGAGUCUACCUCUCUUUGCUUUUGUUGCUUCCAAAAAUACCAUACUCCCAUAUUUUUUUGGUUCUACUCAUUUUACUUUAUUUUUUUCAUUCCAUUCAUUCCACGUGAAGUCUUCAAUCCUAAUAACAUUUACUAUAUUACAAUUAAGUUUAAUUUUUAAAAAACUUAAUUAGGGUUAAAUUUCCUUUGAGAGAACUUCAUUACAAUUAUUUGAGUUGUACGUUAAGUUUCAUUUAAAAAUAACUUAUUUAAAAAGAUGUUAAGCUUCCCCUAUUUUAUUUAUAAAGUUUAAUAUCUAUUUGAUUUUAUAUUUGAAAUCCAACUAAAACCUAAUAACGAAUUGUUGUAAAAAAACUCCAAUCAAAAUACUAACAAAAAUUAAAACAUAAAACUCUGAUAAAAAAUUGUUAAAAAAUCCAACAAAAAAACAAUCAUAAAAAACCCUAAUCAAAAACAUCAUGGAAGUUUAAAUGAAAUUGCCAAAAAAUAAAAAGUAUAGAAAACCCUAACAAAAAAACAACACCAAAACACCUGACAAAAAACAAUUACAAAUUCUAGCACAAAAACCCCCAAUUAAAAAUAUCUAUAAAGAAAAACCUAAAAAAAACCAAUUAUAAAACCUCCAACAAAAAAUAAAGAGAAAGAUGAAGAAUAUGAAAAAUUUUGAAGAAGAAAGAAACAUGAGAGAACUAUCAUUGAUCUUUAUUUGUUAAUCUUUGUUAUAUGUUUGAACUUCACUAGAAAAUGAGAGAGAGAGCAUAAACCUAAAGAGAGAAAGAGCUGAAAAUGAGAGGAGAAAUGAAUCACAAUGAGGGGAAUGACAAUUUGAGGAAAUAUAGAAGGGUUAAAUCAUUUGAACUAGGUUAACGUUUUUAUUAAAAAAAAAGAGUAAUGAAGGUCCUUGUUCUAAUUUCAAGAGUAUGUCUGUUAAUUACCAAAUGUGGCAACUCUAAAUAAAAUCCUUUGUUAUCAACUAAAACUAAAAGUCCCAUUACAUCAUAUCCAACUUUCAUUUGUUAUCAACAAAGUAAAACUAUAUACAACUAUUAUCACCAUCUCUCCUAUUUUGAUGUUAUUUUCUUAGAUGAAUUUGUAAAUCAAAAUUUACACCACCCAUAAAUUUUUUGAGCUUCCUAUUUAACACAACUUCAAUUUGUUAUACUUUGAACAUCACAAAGAUAAAGUAAUCAACAUUUUGCUUGGACAAGUUUUUCUUCUCUAAAGUUUAGAGUCCUAUUUCACUUCCCGUUUAUGGGUUGUUAGUUCAUCUAAUAUCUCACCAUCAUCCAUUCCAUGUACUGUGUUUCCGAAAUGAGUUGAUUCCACAUCCUAAAUGUCUGUGCAAAUUAAUAAGGAAUGUCGAGUUACCAAUUUUCUUAAAAGCUUAAUCUUGCAAGAUUUGGAUUCAAAAUGCAUAUCAUGCUCUCUUUAACACCCCUCCCCCCUCUCACAUGUAGCCCUAUACCCACACGUAGAGAAAUAGACUUAUAGGAAAAUUGGUAGUUUAAUAUAGUAUCAGCACUUGGUUUGGUGGGAGGUCUCCUGUUUGAGUCACCUCUCCACAAUUUACAUUUCUCCUAUUUGUUUAAUUUACAGUUCUUCCCUUAAUCUGUAAUUCUUUGGAUAUAAAUUUUCCCCCUAAUUUGUAGUUUUGUGGAUAUGAAUCUCUCUUCCAUGUUCAGGUAUGGGGCCACACAUAAGAGAGGGUGUUAAAGAGCAUGAUAUGCAUAUUAAACCCAAAUCCUAUAAGUUAAAACUUUUAGGAAAAUUGGUAGUUUAACGCUUUUAGGAAAAUUGGUAGUUCAACAUGUGUACACCCCAUUUUGGGGACUGCUAUUGCUCCCACUUCUUUUUGUCAAAUGGUGGAGCUUUUUAGGAGCACAUGUUGUAUUUGGAAAGGCUAUUAGAAAAUGGCAACAUGACUGUUAAUGGAAGUAAUGAUUUUCUAAAAAGGCAACCAUGGGAAGACACAUAACAAAGAUGUUUGGGGAGGAGGGAGAGUGUGCAUCAAGACUACUCAUGAGGGGUAAGAAACAAAAAAAAAAAAGUGUCGAAGAUAACUAAAAAAUUGGAGAAACAUAAAGGAAUAAGGAUUUUAGGGCUAUGGAUGGUGAACAAGAGUGAAUUAUGGGUGUCUAGGACAGCUAGGAAUGGUGAGAGGAGUAGGGAGCUGUAGAAGGUGAUGAGCUAGGUAAGAUGUAUUUUCGAGAAAGAAAAGAACCAAAGAAAGAAGGUGGUGAAUUAAGUGAGACACGUCUCAGAGAAGCAGAGAAAGUUGGCUUGAAGCCAAGCAAACUUUUGCUUGAGAUGAGCAUUGCCUAGUAAGAUUGUUUCGAUUCAUCGAUUAUUACUGAUCAUCAUACUUCUCUUGUCUUAUAUUCAUGUGAUUAUUUUACAUUGAUUGUGGGGUUGCUUUGGUUUGGUUAUUAUGGCUUCAUCCUCUAUUUCUUUAGUUUUAUUCAAGGAUAAAUCUAAUUGUGCUUUGAUUAGUUAUUCCAUAUUUGAAAAUCUUUGUGUAUUUUGGGUUUUUUCUCUUUAGAUAUUUUCUAGAUUAAUCCACUGACCUUUAAACCCACAAAUAAAGAAAAAUGAAAUGAGUUUUUUCAUAUUUGUUGGGUGUUUGGCCCUUGUUUAUCUUUUUUUAAAGCUUUAUUCCUUUAUAUUCUCUAUUUCUCCCCAUUUUGUACAUGGGUGUUUCAAUCAGAGUCUCUAUUUUGGCUUCCACAUUUGAGAUUUCUUUUAUGAGCGAAGACCCAAAAAUGGAGACUGGCUUCUUGUAAUUGAUAAAAUAGUUAGUCACCCAUUAGCUUAGAUGAAGCAUAGAUGUUAACCGGAUUGUGAACAUGGAUACUCUAUUUUGGGCCUAUUAGGCCUUCCAAUCCUCUCUUAGUUUCAUUAUUCUUGAGGAUAGUGUUUGGUUGUGUCUGCUACUUAUUCUGUGGCUUCGGUGGUCUGUUUGUUUAUUCUUGGCUAUUAUCAAUGCUAACAAUGGGAAAGAGACUGGUUUUGGUUAUGCUCUUACGGAUUUGAAGGUGAUCAAAGGGUCCAGUGAAGAGAAGAUUAGUAGGUCAUAUUAGGUUAAUUAAUUAAUUAGGACAUGUUUUGAGUUAUAUUAAGUAAUACAAGCUCUUAGUGGGCUUAAGUAACUUAAGCCUAGUGGGGAAUGCCAUAAAUACCCCUUAGGGGUUAGCAUUUCCAUAGGUUUUUCUAGAGAGUCAUCUUUCACCUCCAAAGAAGGAGAGUCAUAGCCUUUACCAUUUUUUCCAUCAUUAUCGAAGUGUGUCAAGAUUAAGGUUUAAGUCAUUGAGCGGAAGACUCCAGGUUUAUGAGACUUCAUACAACUUCGUUUUUCAUUUUCAUCAAAUGGAAUUAAUUUGAAAACAUUUGAAUCUGAAGUAUGGUUUUUGUUAGCAUAUUUCGAAUCCCUUUAAAGUUUAAAAAUGCAAAUUUUCCACUAUGUAUAGGAUUUAAAAUCGCUUAAGAUAGUUAAACAUGUUCCCCACUUGAUCUGAAUUGGGAAACGGAGAAAUCUGAUAUUUUCCCAUCACAAGGUAGGAUAAGAACUUGUGAUUGAUCUUUAUGGAUUGGACUAAUUAAUUAAUUGGAACCUAAUUAGGCUAAUUAAUUAAUUAAGACCUAAGCAAACUAGUUUAAGUUACACAAGCCUAGGAUGGACUUAAGUGACUUAAGCCCAUGGGAAGCUUAUAUAAACUCCUUUAGGGGUUAGGGUUUCAAACUUUUAUCAUCUAGUCUUCAAUUCCUUAAAGAGAAUAGAACUCGAGCCAACAACUCUCCUAAAGGAUUCUAUUGCUCCGUGUCAAGAUUCGAAAAAAAACUAUUUGAUGGAAGGUUGUUAUGUUUAUGAGAUUCGUUAUGUUUUUUUACACCUUUUCACUAAAUGGAAUUGAUAUAGGAAUGUUCAUAUCUCAAGUGCAACACACUUAUUCUCUUUAGAUUUAUAUUGCUUAUGGUUUUUUUUUUUUUUGUCAUGGUUUUCCGUUAAGAUUAGAUUAAGAGAGCCCUAUGUCAUAGAAUGCUUCAAAUGAGCCUCCCCGGGGGUUUGUAUAGAGCCCAUGAAGCUUCUAGAGACUCCUAUACUUAGCCAUUGGUGGGAAGAGUGUGAAAGGUUCUACAGAUGUCUAGAGAUAUUUACACAUCUCUACACUAUGGUGGAAGGCAUGAGAGGAGUCUAAGGCAUUCUAAAGAAUUAUAAAGAUCUCUUAUAUAUUCUUGUACAUAGGCUUGUACAUAGAAUUGUGUAGGAAGUUAUAGAUUAUUCUUGAGCUGUAAGGAACCCUCCAAGGUUCCAGAGAGUUCCAUUGGUGCCUAUAAAUAGGUGAAUGCCUCAUUUGGCCAAGACACUAAGCAAGUGAAUUCCAAAACACUUGUAAAGCUUCCUUUGAAUAAUAAAAGUUUCAAUUCUUCAAGAGUUGCCUAUUAUGCCUUCUAAAACUUCUAAGUCAUGAGCAUCUUAACCUAACAAGUUAAGCAUUGGGAGUAAUGCUAACUUAGCAAGAUCAAGGAUCUUGACUUGUCUAAGUGUUGCACGAUCUUAGGAAAAGAUUAAGUUUGUGACAGUUGGUUUCAAAGUGUGACUACGAAGUGAGCAUAGUAAAGGAAACAUGUCGAGCUUCAACAUGGAGGAAACUAGUGAGCAAACCCGUGGGAAAGAAACCGAGCCUACUGCAUAGGACAGGGACAUGAAGGAUAAAUCUCGUAAUGCCAUAGCCAACGUGGAGGCAAGGCUAGCCAAGGUGGAGCUAGCCAUGGCAGACACCCGGGAAGGGGUGGACUUAAUCGAGCAAGGCAUGGAAAAUGGCUUAGAGGAUCUAAAUGAGCAUAUCCAAGACCUUCAUGAGAGAGUGCUAGGCUUACAAGUUCGGCCGAUGUCAUAUGAGGAGUUCAUGUCCUUCCAAAACGAGGUCAUGAGCAUGUUUGCUAGCAUGGAGUCGAAGGUGGAGGCCUUGGCUGCACGCAUAGAGGCCCAAGACCAAGAGGUUCAACAAGAGCUAGCUAUCUACAAGACUGUCUUAUCAGCACGAGUCAUGGCCACUCAUGAGGCACUAAGGGUGGAAGUGCCCAAACCACACACGUUCAAUGGCAAGAGGGAUGCCAAGGAGUUGGACAAUUUCUUGUGGCACAUGGAGCUCUACUUUGAGGUUAUAACACUAAUAGAUGAAGCCACUAAGGUAUGUACCACAACCCUCUACCUCACCAAUAAAGCUACUCUAUGGUGGCGUCAGAGGUUUGCCAAUAUAGAAAAAGAAAUGUGCACCAUAGACACAUGGGAUGCCUUUAAGCAAAAGAUCAAAAAACAAUUAUACCUUAAUGAUGUGGCUUACCUAGCAAGGAAAAACACAAAAUGUCUUAAGCACACAGACUCGAUCCGUGAGUAUGUCAAAGAAUUCUCUACACUUAUGCUUGAGAUACCCAACAUGUCUGAGGAAAAGCUACUAUUCAACUUCAUGGACAACUUGCAAAGCUGGGCCGAGCAAGAGUUAAGGAGAAGUGGUGUCCAAGACCUAGCCACGGCCAUGGCGGUAGCGAAGUCCUUGGUGGAAUACAAAAAGGGAGACUCUUUUAAGCCCAAGCCACAGUCUAAGGGUAAUCAUGCUAAAGGUGGGGAAACAAGGGAUCAAGGAGGUACACUCCUAAGGAAUGAUCAAGCAAGACCUCUGGUGGCAAGGAUGGUAAGGGUAAGGAUAAACGGAAAUAGUUCACGCCUAAGAUCAAUUGCUUCCUAUGUGAUGGUCCACAUUGGGCGCGAGACUACCUCAAAAGAAAAGCCCUAAAUGCCAUGAUCGAGGAAAAGUAGAAGGAAGACAAUGCUCAUGUGGGAUCAUUACAACUCUUAAAUGAUAUCAAGGCUAAGUCAGUGCUUAAGACACCUCAAAGUAAAAGUCUAAUGUACAUAGAAGCCCUUGUAAAUAGGAAGGCUACCAAGGCUUUGGUGGACACUAGUGUCACUCAUAACUUUGUCUCGAAGGAUAAGACAAAGAACUUAGAGCUCCAAGCAUCUAAGGAAGGAGGUUGGCUCAAGGCAAUUAAUUAAGUUUCCAAGCCAUCACACGAAGUAGCACGCAGGGUGGCAAUGCACAUUGGCUCAUGGGAAGGAAUGGUCGACUUCACAGUGGCACCCAUGGACUACUUCAAGAUGGUACUGGGAAUGAACUUCCUAUAGAAAGACAAGGUCAUGCCACUACACUUCCUACAUUUAAUGGUUAUCCUAGAGGAUGAAAAGUCAUGCAUAGUCCUUACGGUCACCGAAGGUUCACCCAAGACCCCUAUGAUAUCGGUUAUGCAAGUAAAGAAGGGAUCAAAGAGGAAAGAGGUGACCUACCUCACCACUCUUAAGGAGGAAAAUGAUGAUGAGUUGGGGGAGCCCAUGCCUAAGGAAAUCAAGAGAGUCUUUGAUGAGUUCAAGGACGUGAUGUUGCCUAAGUUGCCUAAAAGACUCCUUCCUAGAAGAGAGAAAGAUCAUAAGAUCGAGUUAGAUGCAGGAACUAAGCCCCUUGCUAUGGGGCCAUAUAGGAUGGCACAACCCAAGCUGAAAGAGCUAAGGAAACAACUUAAGGAGUUGUUGGAUGCAGGGUUUAUCCAACCAUCCAAGACUCCCUAUGGCGCACCGAUUUUAUUUCAAAAGAACCAUGAUGGGUCCCUACAGAUGUGCAUCGAUUACCAAGCACUCAAUAAGGUAACAAUAUAGAAUAAGUACCCCAUUCCACUCAUUGUUGAUCUAUUUGAUCAACUUGGUAAAGCAAGGUAUUUCACUAAGUUGGACUUGAGAUCAGGCUACUACCAAGUGAGGAUUGUGGAAGGAGACAAACUGAAGACUACAUGUGUGACCCGAUAUGGCUCAUAUGAGUUCUUAGUGAUGCUCUUCGAUCUCACCAAUGUACCAACAAUGUUUUGGACACUCAUGAAUAAGAUCUUCCAUCCCUAUUUAGACUAGUUUGUGGUGGUAUACUAAGAUGACAUAGUCAUCUACAAUAGCAUCUUAGAGGAGCACGUGGAGCAUUUAAGGAAGGUCUUCAAGAUCUUAAGGUAAAACGAGUUAUAUGUAAAGAAGAAGAAAUGCUCAUUUGUUAAAGAGGAUGUGAGCUUCCUAGGGCAUCGCAUCAAAGAUGGCAAGCUGAUGAUGGAUGACAACAAGAUGAAGGUCAUCUAGGAAUGGGAUCCACCUACUAAGGUACCUCAACUAAAGUCUUUCCUUGGCUUGGCUAACUAUUACCAGUGGUUCAUCAAGGGUUACUCUACAAAGACAGCUUCACUCACUAAUCUUCUUAAGAAGAACAAGGCAUGGGUGUGAGACAAAAGGUGGCAACAAGCCUUUGAAGAUCUAAAAAGUGUUGUGAUUGAGGAGCCAAUGUUGGCAUUACCCAACCACAUGAAGGUUUUUAAGAUACACACAGAUGCCUCAAACUUUGCUAUUAGGGAAGUUCUGAUAAGAUAGACAUCUAAUCGCCUUCAAGAGUUGCAAGCUAAAUGACAUAGAGAGACGCUACAUGGUACAAGAAAAUGAUAUGACUGUCAUUGUCUAUUACUUGCACACCUGAAGACACUAUCUUCUAGGGUCUCACUUCAUAGUGAAAACCGACAAUGUUGUCAUUAGUUACUUCUAAACACAGAAAAGUCCUAAGUAAGCUAGGUGGCAAGACUUUCUGGUUGAGUUUGACGAUGCGCUGGAGUAUAAGACAAAAAGUACUAAUCAUGUGAAUGACGCCCUAAGCCGUAAUGUAGAGCUAGCAUUCAUGACGAGCCAGCCCCAAUGAGACAUAAUAGAUCUUCUAAGAGAGGGGUUGCAACAUGAUCUAGUGGCUAAGAGCCUUAUUACCUUGGCCCAUGAGGGAAAAACUAAGUGUUUUUAGGUAGAGGACGACCUACUCUACACUAAGGGGAGACUACUCUACGUGCUUAAGUGGGGGAACAUAAGGUAGAACUUGAUUAAGGAGUGCCAUGACACCAAGUGGGUUGGGCACCUUGGGCAACGACGCAUAAAGAGCACUACUCGAGUCAGCUUACUACUGAUCUUAGAUACAAGAUGAAGUUGAGGCAUAUGUGAGGACUUGUCUUGUGUGCUAACAAGACAAGGUAAAACAACAACAACCUAGAGGCUUGUUGGAGCCACUACCUAUAGCAGAGCGUCCAUGGGAGAGCAUCACCAUGGACUUCAUCAUCGGGCUACCUAAGUUGGAGGGCUAUGGCUCGAUCAUAGUGGUAGUGGAUAUGUUCUCUAAGUAUGUGACCUUCAUAGUAGCCUCUACUGACUGUACUGCAAAGGAGACAGCAAGGCUAUUCUUGAAACACAUGGUCAAAUACUGGGGGUCGCCUAAUUACAUCAUCAGUGAUCGCGAUUUGCAUUUCACUAGGAAGUUUUGGACAAAGCUCUUUAAGCUUAUGGGUUUGAAGCUUCACUUCUUCACAAGCUUUUCACCCGUAAACAGAUAGGCAGAUUGAGAGGGUGAACGCCUUAUUAGAGUUAUACUUAUCCUUCAUGAGUGUCAACCAAAAGGAAUGGACUAAGUUGCUAGAUGUAAUCCAAUUUUCAUACAACUUGCAAAGAAGUGAGACAACCAACAAGAGCCCGUUCAAGCUAGCCAUAGGGCAGCAACCAUUGACUCCUCACACACUACCAAUAGGCUAUACGAAGAGAAGUUCAGCGGCUUUGAAGUUCACUAAGGGGUGACACGAGCCAACUGACAUAAUAGCUCAUACUUGGAUAGGGCCGCUAGAAAGAUGAAGAAGUGGGCUGACAAAAAGCGACAUCACACUGAGUACAAGGUCGGAGACAUGGUCUUUGUCAAGCUCCUUCCUAAAAAAUUCAAGUCACUAAGGCCGGUACAUAAAGGCCUUAUGAUGAGGUAUAAAGGACAUUUCCCCAUACUUGGAAAGGUCGGCAAGGUGUCCUAUAGAGUUGAGUUACCACCGAGGUUGAAGAUUCAUAUCGUCUUCCACGUAAGUUACAUAAAAUCAUAUCACGAAGACAAGAAUUAUCCAAGCCAAGGGAUGUCCUAGAUGACACCUACAUCGAUUAUGACCUUCUAUGACAAGGAAGUAGAACACAUCAUUGCAGGCUGAGUCAUCAAGAGAUGAGGCGUGCCUCCUGCUACGGAGUACUUGGUGAAAUGGAAGGGACUACCAGAGAACGAGACUAGCUGGGAGCCAAUAGAUGCACUAUGGCAAUUUCAGGAGCACAUUAAGUGGUUCUAGGUGGAAGGUGCGACAAGGACGUUUACGGUUUAGGUAGGGGAGAGUGUCAUAGAAUGCUUCAAAUGAGCCUCCCCAGGGGUUUAUAUAGAGCCUAAGAAGCUUUUGGAGACUCCUACACUUAGUCAUUGGUGGGAAAAUGGUGGAAGGUUCUAAAGAUGUCUAAAGAUAUCCACACAUCUCUACACUAUGGUGGAAGGUAUGAGAGAAGUCCAAGGCUUUCUAGAAAAUUCUAGAGAUCUCUUGUAUAUUCUUGUACAUAGGCUUGUACAUAGAAUUGUGUAGGAAGUUUUAGAUUAUUCUUGAGUUGUAAGGAACCCUCCAAGAUUCCAAAGAGUUUCAUUGGUGCCUAUAAAUAGGUGAAGGCCUCAUUUGGCCAAGGCACCAAGCAAGUGAGUUCCAAAGCACUUGUAAAGCUUCUUUUAAGUAAUAAAAGCUUCCAUCCUUCAAGAUUUAUCUACUACGCCUUAUAAAGCUUUCAAGUUGUGAGCAUCUUAACCUAGCAAGCUGAGCAUUGGGAGCAAAACUGACUUAGCAAGAUCAAGGGUCUUGACUUGUCUAAGUGUCGCACGAGCUUAGGAAAAGACUAAGUUCAUGACACCUAGGACUAGUAGCAUGCACCCUAAGUAAUCCAAGGCUAGAAAUGAAAUGAUACAAGGAUUCCCAACACUUGACUUAAUUCCUUAGAAAUUGAAACUCAAUAAAAAACAUUAGUGUCAUUAACCUCAUUUUUUUUAUUACCAAUACUUAAUUAGGGGAAACCUUGAGCUAACAACCUCCUCAUUUUUUAUGAUGAUAAAACUGUACCAUCUAAAGAAAGCUUUCCUUAAUGUAUGCAUAUUAUAAGCAAUUUAAACAUUCAUCAUAAAAGAUGGAAAACAUAAACUCAAAUGGAGACAUGGAUAUAUAGAUAUAAGAGACAUCAUAAAGGUUGCAACAUGAUCGUAUAUCCGAAAUAGCAUCCAAAAGCAUGUCAUCCAAAAAAAAAUCAACCAUAAUAACCAUGUUCAAAUUGUCCCAAAAAGGAAAAAAAUAUAUAUAUGAAACAAAAAGUAUUAAAUAGUUUACUAAAUGUUAUGCCCUAGAUACCUAAAGAUAUCUCCCCCUUAGGCAACAUCGAAACAAUGAGGGAACUAUAUGGCUCAAGGUUGAGGUGGUGGAAACAAGGAACAUAGGACAGCUAUUGAAGAAGCUAAAAUUCUUCAUAAAUGAUUGAAUUUUAUUUCACCAUGAGAAACAAUACAAAGAGGGAUUUUUUUUUUUUUUUUUUUUUUUUUAUCAAGGGGAAGACCCCUUUCUCUUUACUACUUAUCCCUUUUAAUAAAAAUUCUUCCACAUUUUUCCACUUUAUUUUGCCAACAUUCUUUCAACCCCUUUUGCACAAAAAUGCCAAAGAUAGUAUUAGGAUAACCUUUUACAACCAUUGCUAACUUUUGACACAAGUUGCUAAAAAUUGUUGAAGAUUUGCUUUUAAUGUCAGGUAGGAUAGCAGAUUGGUUCUAAUUGAAGGUCAUUUCUUGUGGAGGACCUUACUUAUAAGUGAGAUGAUUGUUCCUAUCUUCAUGGUUUUAUGUUGUAUAGUUAUAGAGACUUUUUAGAGGCUAUCAGCUUUAGAGCAAAUUUAUGUUGUUUGUUAGGGAUUAAGUAUUUUAUUCAAAUUGGGUGAAUGGUACUACCUCUUUACUUGAGAUGGCUUUGAGAUUGGGUGGUUGAAUAGUAGUACUUUGGAAUGGUCUAGUUUUUGUUCGCUUUAGCUAUCAUUUUCUUAUGCUGUGUCUAUAGACGAGUGGAGACGUCAUUUGGAAAUUGGUCAAAUUGCCCGUGAAAUUGAUCAAAUUGUCAAGUUGUCAUCCUAAAAUUGACUAAACCUAGUUUGUAAAAAUGAGAAACGACCGUCACUAGCGACUAACAUCUUCUCAAGCUAAGUAUUAAUAGAUCCAAUCUGAGCAUAAAGGGCAUCUUAAUGUUGCAGGUUCAAUGCUCAUGAAGCAUAAUAUUUUGGAUACUUGGUGUGAGACACCUCAGCAUAAGUCUAAUCCAUAAGGAUAGUCUCCUCAGGAGGUUGAGAUGUGGGCAAUUGAAUGGUGGCAUCCAUGCCCUUGGUUUGCAUCUCCUGUUGAACAUCCUCACCCCCUAAUCCUUUAUGGUCACCCUCAGUCUCUAUCUAUAGAAUCUCUGCCUCUUACUCAACCCGGUCUUCAUUCAUAGCAGGACCCUUUCUUUUUCUUUCCAAUGAUCCAUUAGGCAAUUUCUCAAACAGCAUUCGGUCUGGAUUUUACGUUAUAGGUAUCAUAGGAUGAGGCCUGAAUGUUUUUUUCUCUUCUUAUGUCCACAUUGAAUGCUUUCAGGAUUUUUGUGAUCAGUCUUCUUCCGUUGGCCACUACUUUAGAAUUGCUUUUACAACAGUUUUUCAUGUGUUGAAAGAUGAUAAGGAAACCUUAGAAUGGAUCGGAGUCAAUAGAAAAUGCUACAUAAUAGGACACCUUGUCUCUAUGUCCACCCUUAGGUAGAAAAAUAUGUUUGAUCAUGUGGUGGUGCACCCUAGAGAUAAUGCUCAAGGCAUGGGCAUGGAGCUUUGAAGUCACUGUGUCGAUGGGUAAGUUACAUAUCCUCUAGAAAGCCCUACCUAGGUUAAAACUAGACACUAUAGGCCAUCCCUUCGUCUCAAAUAAACAAAGUCCCCCACAAAGGAUCUCCAAAAUAUCACAAAGCAUAUCAAUAUUUAGUUUAAUUCAACUCCUCUAACAAAUGUGCUAAUUGGCCUUCAUAUAUUUUAGGUUCAAGUAAAAUACCUGAACAAGGUUGGGGUAUGUAGGCUCUCUUGAUGAGAUGGUAUUGGUGAGUAUUUUUUUUUCUUCAAUACAAAACUAUUACAACACUUGGUUUUUUUUUUUUCUAAAAAAAAAAGAAAAAUAAAAAUAGUUUUAUAUUAUACUUAGUUUCAAGAAAAAUAAUAAUCAAAGCAAAAUGAAAAAAAAAUUCUCAUAUUGGUUUCUCGUGAAAAAUAUAAAAGCAAAUAAAAUACAAUUAAAAUUAAUUAAAAUCUUAUGUAUUUUUAAAUUAUUAAUUUUUAUAUAAAAAAUGAAAAAUAGUAUAAUGAAUUUAGAAGAAUAUAUAAAAAUAAUGUAUUAACUUUAAAUCUUUUUUUCUUUAUAUAUAUAUUUUCCCUUCAAUUUUCUAAUACCAACACAUAAUAAGGUUAAUGUCUUCUAGCCAACCAAUUGUAAGUCAAUUUUCAUAGAGCUUUUUUUUUUUUUUUUUUUUACAUGCCACCAAGUAGUUAUAUAAGCAUUUUUGCAUGUUAUUGUUAUCCAACAUACAAUAACUAUAACAUCCAAUUAUUAUGAACAUGAACAAUAAAAUUAGAUGCAACUAACUAUUUAGUGUAUAACAAGAAGUUGGUGAAGUAAUUCAUCCUAACAUGAUUCAACAAUUUUUGUUUAUUUUUCAAGAUUAAUUAUAACAUACCCAUUCUAUUAAAGUUGUUGAGAUAUUUGAGCAAAACUAAAAAUCAACAUUAAUUCAUUUUAUACCCACAAGAGAAAUAAGAUUUGUUUUUUUGUUUGAUAAUAAAGUAGUUGUAGUUAUUAAUGAUAAUUUUGAUCCUAAUUUAAUAGGUAUCCAAAAAAAAAGGAAAAAUGCAAGUAAACCAAUUCUUAUCUAACACAAUUAUUACCACCUUAAAAUCCUGAGGGGUAGCUCAGUUGAUCAGUUCGAGUCCCUUUAGGACCAUGAAAAGCUUACCCGAUGGUUCACCUUAAGAAAAGCAAAGCAUUUAUAUAAUUCAACUGGUAGUUGAUAAGUCUUAGAAAGGGUUUUGCCAUCAUUGGCUUCUCAGUAAAGGGCAAAUUUGGGUUGUGGCUGACAAUUAUUGAAUUUGUGAAGAAAUAUGUGAAGAAAGGAAACAAAAAGAGUUGAGGACAGAAUUCUUCAAUUAAAAAAUGGUUAGCCCAUGAACCCAUUCUUCAAACAGUAAGCCAAUGAGCCAAUGAGCCAAAAAGAAAGAAGAACAGCUGGUUUCAUCUUUUUAUCUUAAUGACUUUGACAACCCAUCUUUCUUUUAAAUACUUGUGACUUUGGAAUAUAAUUAAAAUGAAACUUUGGAAUGCCCACAUCUGAUUCACGGCCUUUUUACCUGUUUUCUUGUUUAACAUUUUUUUAAAUAUUAUAACAGAUGGAAAAACAUGAUUCUAACAGGCUGGAAAAUAGUGGAAGUUGGAACACCAACCAUAACCAAACUAUACCUUCCAUCUUUCUCCAACACUCGGAAUUAUUGAUACAAGUUGGUGGUUUUAUGAUUGUUUCUAUUGAGGGGACCCCUCUCCAUUUCCAAUUUCAAUGGAAAGGUUCUUCUUUCCCUACUUUUUUUUUUUGUUUUUCAAAUUCUUGUAGUUUUGUCUGUCUCUCUCAACAAAGCAAACUGCAAUCACUAAUUCAAAGAAAAGGAAUCCUAAAUGAAAAGAAAAGAAAGGAAAGGAAUGGUAAUUUAGGCUAUGAUGAUGCUCCUAUAUAAUGGCUGUAAGUCAAUAACAACACACUGGACCCGCCUCCUAUCUCAAAAGAUCACAAACCCAAAUAUCAUAUACUUCCAAAUUUCAAUUUGGUUCCCUGUUUAUAUCACAAUCUGUCCUAUAUCCUCUUAAUACAUCUAAAAUCUCUCUAUAUCAUAAAAAUAAUGAUGGAAAAAAAAAUUAAAAAGAAAGAAGGAAAAAAUGACAAAAAAAAAAAAACCUUGGUGCUGCUAUGGGUCCAUAGGAAUUGGCAGGACUGCACUUCUGGAUCCCCUUCCAUGGCCAAAAGAAAAGAAUGAUCUUCGGAAUCUGCUGCUGCAACCUUCACUAGGGCUGAAGUCACUGACAGGCCUGUUCUGUUGCAAAAUCUCUUGAAUUGCUAAAUACAGCUGCCUGUCGUUGGAUGAGUCCAUUGAAAAAGACCUCCUGAUGGGUUGGAUUGAGAACUGAUCAUCUUUGCCUCUAGUGUCAAUGCACUCAUCACCCAUGCUUGCAACAUGAUGAAACUUCCUUGCCUUUUUAGGCACAAUUCUCUGCUCUAGCUUCCUAGGUGAUGGACUAAUUGAUGGCGCAGAUAACUCUCUGGAAUUCAGUCUUUCUGGUGGCCUAAGCAGUGAUGAAUCAGCAGAACUAUCAUUUCCCAAUUCAAUUACUACAAAAUCUUCAUCCCCUCCUAUGUAAUUAUUGGCGUAGGGGCUUGGAUCUUGGGGGGAAGAGCUAGGAGCAAUGAUUUGGUGAACAGGAAACCGGGGUGUGGUUGAAAUGCUUGUUCUGCAAAGUGGGCAAUUAGCAUUGCUUUGAAGCCACACGUCUAUGCAAUCUAUAUGAAAUAUGUGACUGCAGUUUGGUAUGAUUCUUAGCUUCUCUUCUUCUUGAAACUCAUUCAAGCAAACCGCACACUCGCAAUGGCUUCUUUCUCCAAACUCUCUGCCACCUCCUUUCCUGAACUGGAAUAUUGGGAUUGAUCUGAUGACUGACUCGUCCAGGCCUCGACUCUCGAUUGCUGGGGAGUACACCAUUAAAGGGUCUUCCGGGUGCCGACUCCUUGAGAAAGAAAAUCGUCUCAGCAGAUCAAUCCGGUGCCAAUUGAGGCAGCAUUUGAUUACAAAGAUGUAGUAGCUCACCAGCAAGAAAGCAGUGGCCAGGAUUCCUAUUACGGCAAUGGCUAUAAUGGGGAAACUGGUGUCCGAGGAAUGAGAGGGAGAAGGAAGCACUGAGCUCGCCUGGCUUUUGAUGGGAGAAAAGGCUUGUGAUCCAUGGAUGGAGGAGUCUGUGCUCACAAGAUCCAUGAGAGAGGCUAUGAAAAACAUUUAGAAAUGAGUCUAUUCGGAUCUUCAAUUCACAGAAACAUGCAAAUGCUAGAAUAAAAUCGACAGACACUCAGAUAUAGACCCUACAGUUGUAAUGCAGCAUACCAUAAAUGUGAUUGAGUGAGUGAGGCUGAAACAGCAAAUGGGUCACUUCAAGAUCUCAACAAGACAGAAAACCCAUGUUGAAUUCACCAGGAGAGUAUUGAAAAGGGAAAAAUUAAGGACAUAUAGCUGUAUUGAAAGUUGAAACAAAUGCAGAAACAUAGAGAAGAGAGAGAGAGGGAGAAAACCCAGGAGGGUUGAAUGAGAGCGCUGCUGGGGAAGACAUCAAAACGCUUCAAAUUCAAUGAGAAUCUGUUGGGGACCUCUUUAAGAGGACUGCACAAAGCCUGAGCGUAGGGUACGUGGUUGGUUGGUGAAUUUCUCGGCUUCCAAAAGAGAAAUUUGGUGAGAAAAUUUUCAAGUCUCUUGAUUAUAGUAACGUAGCGUUUAUUUUAAUUUUAUGUAACCGAAACUAAUGGGCUGGUUCAAAAAAAUAAAAAAUAAAAAAAGGAACUUUCUAGGAUAGGCCAGCAGUCCACCGUUGGUCAUGUGGUUUCUUUUGCAUGUCCACAUCUUCCAACUAGUGGAGGUCCCUGUCACAACAGUAAGAAAACACCCAAUUGAAUAAAAGUAUGAACUUUUGGCUCCCAAUAUUACUUAUGCCCUCAUUCAAUACCUCAAAUAAAGCAGAGAUUUUGUGUCCCAACUUUUAUGAUUUCAUUUCAUCUUACUUCAAAUGCUAAUGACAAAAGUCCAAGUAUAUUCUGUAAUCACCCACACCCCAAUAGUUUUGAAUCACACUUGAAAUAGUUCCCAUGCUUUCUUAAUAAUUUAGAUAAUUAUUUACAGAAAAAAAAAUUCAGAACAGGAUGAUAAUCAUUUUGUGAUAGCAUGGAAGAAACUUUACUAGCCACUUUGGCCCCAUGAAGUUGAGUACUUGAUGCCAAUUAAUGGCAGGGUGGAAAAUAGAGAAAAGGGAUCAUAGUCAAAUCUAGAGUACAAGGCAUUGAAUCUUUGUUAAUAAUUAACAAAUGGGUAAAGCAUGGGUCACAGGGUCUACAGUUUGGAUUGCAAAAACCUCAGGCUUCUAUAAAAAGCUCAUCCAUUAUCAAUCAUCAAUCUGAAAGCCAGAAAGUCCAAGGCACAUGCAACCCACGACAGGGGUAAGAUUUCUGCAUCAUGUCCCUGAGUUGCAUUCACAUCAUAUGUUUCCCUCCGGGCCGUUCCAAUUUGAAAUCUCAUGGAAAUCUUCAAGAGCAAGGCUACAGAGUUUAAGAUAAUACUAGGGGUGGGUCCUGAUGGGAAAAGAGGUAGUGUAGGAUAGUCAAUAAAGGGCAUGUGUCUCUGGUGUGAAGUCAAAUCCAGUGUACCAUCCUCAAUGGAAAAUUUAGAAAUAGAACCGACACUCUACAGACUGCCGUGUUGACAGAUUAGAGAAAGACAAACCCACUUACACUUGCCUCAAAACCCAGUCCUGCCAUUUCAAAGGCAAAAAAAAAGGGUUUCUUUUUAUAGUCAAAGGUUGAGGCCUGGCCUGGCCUAGCAAAGAAACUUCACCUACUCUUUUCUUAUUUUUCAAAUUAAGGCCAUUCAACUUUUCCUGUUUGCAGGCUUGCUGCCAUAUCUUACUCCAAAAAAGGUGAAAACCCAAAAGAAAAAGAGUGUUUGCUUCAAUGGAAAACUCAUGUUUAAUAAAUUCACCGCACGAGUUUUGUUCCAGCUUUUCCUAUGAAAGCUGUGAUGCGUUUGGUAUGAAGUUGAUUUUGUUCCUAAAAAUUUUGAUCUUGGCGUGGAAGGCAACUUUUUCCUUUUCCCCCUUUUUCUUUUUGAAAAGUUCGGCAUUAGUUACCAAAUGUCCUUUUACUUGCAUGUAGGACAGCGGAAGCAUUACACAUCGCAGCAAAAUCCCAUUUACCCGAAUUUUCCACUAACUCUUUUUAUUUUUUACCAUCAUUUUUUAAUAGAAGUGAUGCACUCUUCAAAUUACAUGAAGCUUUUAAGAAGGUAAUAACCCGUUUCAAAGCGAACUUAACCUACAGAGUAUGUUUUAAAAAUAUUUAGGUAUUUGAUAAAAUUUAAAAAAUAUUUUUUAAAAUCUUUAAAAUGAUUUGUAAUAUUGAAAAUUUAUUUAUACUUUUUUUAAUAAAAAAACAUUUUAUAGGUAAUUUUUCUAAAAUACUUUUAGAGAAAAUGUCUUCCCUUCACUAUAAAUAUUAUAUACUAUCAAAUACACUUUAAAAAUCUGUUUAACAAUAAUUUUAUAAAGUGUUUUUAAUUUUAAAAAUAUUUUUAAAAACAAAUUAAAUUUUUGAUAAAAUUUAAAAAAUCUUUUUAAAAAUUUUGAAAAAUAUCUCGUAAUAUUAAAAAAUAUAUAUAUUUAUAAUGUUUUUUAUAUAAAUACUCAAAAUUCAUUUAAUAGUGAUUUUAGGAAAUGUUUUUAAUAUUUCUAAUACUUGAAAAUUUUUUAUCAUUUAAGUAUUAAAAAUAUUAAAAACACUUUAUAAAAUCACUUUCAAAUGGACUCUUAAUGAUUUUACUAAAAACACUUUUCAUAGAAAACAUUUAUAAAAAAUAAUUAUGAAAUACACUCUAAAUUAAGUAAAAGUUGUUUUUAACAUUACCACUAUUUAUUAAUAGUGCAUUUGUUUAAAAUAUUUAUAUGAAAAAUUCAUUAGGGUGGGAUAUAAAUAUAGAAGUGUUUUUCUUUAUAUAUUUUUUAUAAUAAAAAAUGAUUUUUGAAAUUAUAAAAUUUGAAUUUAAGAAUCAUUUGAUAAUAAUUUUUGUUAAAGCACCUUUAAUACGUGGUGCUUCUAUUGAUAGCGCUUUCAUUUCUAUGAAUGGCUAUAAAUUAUAUUUGAAUAAAUUUUUUAUAAUGUAUUAUAUAAUAAAAAAAAAGUCAUUUUUAAAAAAAUUAUACAUUAAAUGAUUAUUCAAAUAGUAUUUCCUAAAUUUUAUUAAACAUUUUUUUCAAAAAAAAAAAAAAAGUUUUCAAAUACUAGAAAACGUUUUUAAUCUCUCACACGAUCACAUCCAAACAAGUCCUAAUGCUACUCCUAGAAACACUCCAAAACAAAAGUCUUCCUCUAUUAAUGUUCAUAAAAUCCACAUAUAUUCUUCCAUCGUUUUUUCAAAAUUCAAAAUCAUUUCUAAAACAUCAAAUCAUGUUCUUUGGAUUGGCUGACUUGUUUUUUGAAAAUAGAAGGCUCAUUAUUGACGUCCGUUGACUUCAUAACCCAGUCUUGAUCUCUUGAUGGAGGGCAUAAAUGUAAAUUGGACGAAACCCUAGGGUGCGCUAGAGUGUAGAGGAUGAAAGGUUGGAAAAAGGAUGAGGUGGGGGUGUAAUAAAGAGGAGGGUUGGGAGAAUGGGACAUGUGUAGGUGAAGCAUUAAAUUCAAGACUAUGCUUACCAACAACAUAUAAAUAAAUAAAUAAAUAAAUAUAGGAACAGCACAUGGGGUGAGUAGGAGACAUCAGAAGAUGUGAACAACCCCUUGUCAGUCCAAUUUGCGUCUUUUAUCUACUCUAUUAUCUAUAUCGAUUUUCGUAUUUAUUUAUUUAUUUAUUUAUUUUUACCAUUUGAUUUUGCAUGGAUGUCGAAGGGUUUAUUGGCUGCCACGUGUAGGGUUAUGGUCAAGAUCACGUGGGGUGCCUACAUGGGAGUCACGUGAGUGCAUGAGGCAGGCUUGAAUUGCAGGAGGAGCAGGAGCAGAGCAGUGGCUGUUGUCUUAAGACUUUGCUCUCUUGGUGGAACUGCAGCUUAAGCAGCAUCCACGUGUUGUCACGUGCAAUGCGAGCCAUCCACACCACCAGUUUCUUUUUAGUGAUUUUCUAAAGUCAGUUAAGGUUGCAGUCAAUACCUUCAAAUGUUGACAGAGUUAGGGAUCUUUGUUAAAUGGAUUUUAUUAAGAUAUUAGUAAGUUAAUUAAUUGAGGGUCAACAUAACAGAUGGGUCGGGUUGGGUUGAAUCUGAAUUUAAAACGAUUUAAUUUAUGUUUAAUCAAAUUUAACAUUUAACUCGAAGCACUCAACUUAAGUUUAAUUGAAUCUUAGUUUUCAAAACAUUAUUUAAAUUUGGGUCAUUUGGAUUAAAGUCAAAUGGGUUAGAUUAAUCGGGUUAUAUGGUUCAAAAUCCACUUACCUUAUUUUUUAUACAUUAAUAUUAAAAUUUAAAUAAAAAAUAUUAGAAGAAAUUUCAAACUUGGGAUUAGUUGAUUGUAGCCAUGCAUUUGGAUGUUGGUAUUCUUGUUUCUUGUCUUGUUUCCAAAUACCCUUUCAAAUCGCUUUGUUAUUCAAUAGCAUCCUCCCGAUCAUUUAAAAAUUUAAAGAGCAUUGGUAUGAUGGAGGAAUUCAGAAAUUUUAGUUGAAUAAGUAAAAUUUUUCUCUCAUAAAACCAAAUAGCCUCUAUAGCUCAGUGGUAGAGCGUCAGUCUUGUAAACUGAAGGUCUGUAGUUCGAUCCUGCAUGGAGGCAACUUUUUAUAUUUCAUGAUCCAUUAUGCUCUAGUGAUUUAGUUUUCAUUAUAAUUUUAGAUUAAAAAAUUACAUCAACAUUUGAUAAGUUGGUUAUGACUUUGAUAUAAGGAUGAAACUAUCAAUAAUAUAUAUAAAUAUUUUGACACAAAAUAUCUAAUAUAUUAAAAAAUUAAAAAAAAACUCUAAAAAACAUUAUAAAAUUAUAUAUAUAAUUUAUCAUAUUUAAUAAUAAUAUCUUCUACCCUAAUAAAAAAUAUAAAUUUUAUAAGCAUACAUUUAUUAUUACAUUGUAUUAUAUAUUAUUUUACAAGAAUAUUAUGAUAACAUGUCUAAUUUUAAAAUAUAUUUAAUAUUAAAAUUAUCAUCAAUUUUAAUUUAAAUGUAUUUAAUGAUAUCAAAUAAUAUAUAUAUAUAUAAUUUUUUAAUAUUUAUAUAUUUUUAUAUUUAAUAAAUAUAUAAAUUAUGUAAAAAAAAAAGACCUAUUAAGAAGAUUAUGUUUUUAUAUUUGGAUCAAAAUUAAGUUUUUCCGAUAAAAUAUAUGAAACUAUUGAUAAAUUAUUGAUUGAAACGUGAAAAAAAAAAUUCAAAAAAUAGAUGAGAUAUUAGUAAAAUAUCCGAAAAUAUUGAUUGAUGAAUAUAUCAUUUCAAAUUUUGCAUCAACAUCCACAUAUGUUGGAUAUAUUGGCCAAAUAUAUUUAAACCUUGUUUCCAUGAGAAGUCUUUCCUUCAACAAUUUCAAAAGGUUAAUGAGGUGGUUUCCAAGAGAUGUGUGUAGGGGUCUCCAACGGGCGGGCCGGGCCAGCGGGCUUUUUGAAAUAAGCCAAAAUGGCUUUCAAAAAAGGGAAGGGAGAGGAUUUAAACCCCUUCCUUCAUGCUUAAAUUUCAAGGUUCUAACCAAUUGAACUACAUUCCUUUAAUGUUUAUUAAUUGAGUUAGUUAUAUAUAUAUAUAAAAAUAAAGUAUAUUAUUUUUUAAAGGGGCGGGCCUACGGGCUGGGCCGGGCCGAAAGCGGGCCACGGGCCACGGGCUUUUUGGAGACCCUUGGAUGUGUGCAAUCACAUUUGGUAUUAUAGGUGACAAAGUUUGAUAAAUGAGUAAUUAUUAGGUUAACUUAUAAAAUCCGAAUUUGAUUUAAAUUGAUUCAUUUAAUAAUCCCAUUUAUUUACCCAAUUAAAACUUUAAAUUAUUUAACUUAUAUUUAAUUUAAUUAAAAUUUGUUUUUAAAUAAAUAGAUCAAUUAAAACAUAAACAUAUUUGAUUGAAACAUUAAUAAUAUAGAUUUAAAUAAGACCUAAUUCAACCUAACGAUCAAAUAGAAAUAUCUAAUUAUUAAAUAAAUUAAACAUGUUACUUGCUUAAUAAUUAUGUGACAUUUGAAUUUAUGCUUUUGAUAUAAUUAUUAUUUAUAUCAGGUUUAUAUAAUGAAAUAUCUAGACUUUGACACCAGUCAACAUUGUCCACCAAUACAGAUUGCAACUCUUAUAUGCUACAUCACAUCAUGUUGAAGGAAGAGGAUGACGUUCAUUGGCAGCAGAGCCUCCAAUCAUAAGGAGCUUGAGCAAAUUCAAUCUCAACACUGAAAUUCACUAGAAAAAAAGUUUAUUAUUGAUACUUCAUUUGUGUAAAAGCAUUAUAUUUCUUGCAUCAAUCGUAAAGCAUGACAUUCCAGUAGGUACGGAAGAGAAAAUUUGUUAUGAAUUGAAAAAUCUGUCAAGCUUAAUUUGGAGGGCCCAAAAUUGACACGUUUAAGAGCUCUAUCAUUAGCCCAAUGAUAAGAGUCCAUUUCUUGAGUUUCAAGGAAGGCCCAAGUUUAACUUAGAGGGCCCAAUCUUGGUACCUUCUAAAAGGUGCAAACUUUGGCCCAAUUAUAAAAGCUUAUCCUUGCUUCCUAAGCAUCAAUGAUAUAUUUGAUCGAAGUAUUCACAUAACUAUCACGAAAUGAAAUGAAAUGAAAAUGUAUAAGUAAAUGAUGAUUUUGAGUUAUUUACUGACAAUAAAGAAUUAGGUGGUGUUUGUUUUUUUUUUUUUGGCUUUUUACUAAAAGCAAUUUGUUUUCAGAAUUUAGGUUAUUUAUUUUUCUAUUUUUUCAUGACUUAUUAUAAACUUUUUACUAAAUAAGAAAAUCCAAAAUAUAUAGUUUUUUCUAAAUAGAAAAAAUAACAUAUUGGUUUUCUUUUUUUUUUACUUUUUAAUAUUUAAUAGAAAUAAAAUAUUAUAAAAACAAACAACCUAAUAUUUAACACUAUUAAGUAUUAAGGUUUUAUUUAGAAUUAAGUAAAAAAACAAACACUACCUUAAAAUGAAAAGUAUGUAUAAUGACCUUAUACAAAAAAAGUCUCAUUAUUUUCUUCCAAAGAACUCAUACUUUUGUUUUUCAACUAUUACUUUGUUUUUAUUUUUUAAAUAAUAUUUCAAGUUUUUUUUAAUAAUACCUUUCUCUUUAUUAGAUAAUUUUAAUGACUUUAAAAGUAUUUUAAUAUAUUAAUUUAUUAUAUAAUUUUAAUGAUUUAAAAAUAUUUAAAUGUUGAAAUAUUUAUUUUCAAGUCUAAUUUUAAUUAUUUAUUUUUUGAAGUAUUUAAAUAUAUAAUAAAUGUGGGAUUAUGUAAAUCUAGUUGUAAUUAUUUAUUUCAUUCUAUUCAUGUUUUUAGUUGAAUUUGCUCAAAAUUUACACCUCUUUAUUUAAAGAUCAUGGAUUAGUUAGGUGUCUUGAGAUUUUUUUUCUCUCAAGACACUACUUGUUACACUAGAAAAUAAUUUGUGGCUAUAUUUUUUAGGCAAAAAGAAUUAUAUGUUAAAACUUCCUUUAUUGACUAGUUUAUCAUAGGGUGUAGAGGAAAGUUUGUGAUGUCUUUUUAUGUCAACUUUGGGAGAAAAAUAUCACUUUAGCAUUUUCCUUAGAAAAUUUUCAUACAUAAUUGAUUUUGGAACUAUGGAGGAGCAUAAGUAGGGAUAGAUAAUUCGAUUUUGGAAAAAUUAUAAUAGCUUUUCAACUUGGUGUUAAUGAUAUAUUGUUUAUUUCUUAUUUUUUUUCCAUUUUAAUAUAUAAUUGGGGAUUUUAAACUUGUAGAACAAGGCUUUUUCAAUUGAAUUGACACGUACAUAUGAAAGUUCUCUUUGGUUGCUAAUCACAUUUUUUUUUCUUUUGCUUUUUGUUUUUAUCAUAAUGAAUAUUGAACUCGAAAUUCAGUUUUUAAAAUCUUAUGAUGUUUUAAAGUUUAUAAAUAUUAUUGAUUUUUAUAAAUGAUGUUAUUCAUAUCUUGGUAAAGACAAUAUUUUCAUAUCGGUCAAGAUGAUUAAUAACAUAUAAGUUCAUAAAGAAAAACCUAUUGAUUAAUGGAUAUUUAAUGAUUUUUAUUAGGAAUGUUUUUUAAUUAGUUUCAAUACUCAUCUUUUAGAGCAUACAUAUAGGGUUUUAGAUGCUACAUUGGUUUUCAGCUUGUGAUUUAAAUUAUUGAAGCAAAAAAUGAGGGUUUUGCUUUAUGGAACUAUCUAAAGGGAGGUGAAUUAGGCGGUCUUCCUUUUUAAAAUCCAAAAAUUAGAUUUUUAAUACUUAUAUUAGUUAUACAUGUGUUCAAUAAUUAAAACAAAGAACAAGUCCAUAAUUUACAUGUGAUGUGCAUGGAAAAACACCUACAAAUUCUCUCAAAUACUUUACAAAUGAAAAAAAAAUCAAGGAUCGAUCAAUCACAGAGCAACUUCACUAAAUAUGAAAACAUGACUAUACAAUUUUACUUGGAUGAGGUGCUACCUUCUCUUAAGGGUUUUUACACUAGCCAACAAUUACACUCACCUUCACUCUCACCAUGCACCUCUAUUGUGCUCCAUAGUAAACACUUUAAUGACUGUAGCAAGAUUGCGAUAAAUUACUGCGAUUAAUUUGAGAGUGUUGAUAAUGAACAAAAAAUAAUGAUAAUUAACUAGAGAGCAUAUGAUUUUGUAAAAACACCAAAAAGAGGCAUAGUUAUAAGUGAAAACUUUAAUGGAUUGGAUUGAAUAUAUAAUUGAAGUAUGAAUGAAAAAUUACCAAAACAAUGUUCAAAACCGUGCUAAUCAAAGCACAAUCACUUGAGUACUCUCAUGGGGCACUUGAAUGCUCCUUUUAAUCACCGUAAUGCUGAAAUUAAUAAUUUGUCUCAAAUUGUUUUUCCAAAACAUAAAGCAAAAUAUUAUAAAUUUAUAUAAUCAAACCCAAUUUCAUCUUAAAGCUAGCCUACUUAGUCUUAAUUCAUGUCCAAAAAUACUCAUACUUGUCAAAGAAUGAAUAUGGUAUAAACAAAUUCUUUAUUUUCAAUUAUAUUCAAUUAUUGAAAGAAUAAAUCGGUUUACAUACAUUUUGAACAAAGGUAUAUACACAUAGACUAAAUCAAGGAAAUGAGGAAAUCAAUCACAAUCAAAUCAAAAUCAAAUGAUAGGUUGAUAUCUAGGAGAAGGUUAAGUUAGAACCAACUCAUGUAUUCAAUAUUCCCCCUUAAGAUGGCAUAUGGAGAUCAUGAAUAUCAAACCUAGAAAGUAAGGGAUAUGAAAUAUCUAUACCAAGGGAUUUUAUGAAAUAUCAACCAAUUGUUGUUGUGAUUAAACAAAUUGAAUAAGAAUAAUUUCAUUUCGAAUCUUUUCAUAGAUCAAGUGACAAUCAAUUUCAACGUGUUUAUUCUGUUCAUGGAAAAUUAGAUUAAUAGCAAUGUAUAGAGUUGUAUUAUUGUCACAAUAUAGAUGCAUUGACCAAGGAUGAUGAACUCCAAAAUCUAUAAGUAAAUAUUGCAACCAAUGCAAGUAGUAAUCAUUAAAUAAUAUUUCACUUUUCUUCAUGAGUGUUAUAUCAUUGAUUGCUUUUUAGAUCUUCAAGAGAUUGAUAGGCCACCAAGUAAAAUACAAUACCCUAUAAUUGAACAUCAAGAUUAUGCACAAUAGGCAUGGAGGAAGGCAAAAGAAUUCCUUGACCUAGACGAUUUUUUAAAUAGUAUAACACUCAUGUACUUGUGAGAUAAUUGAGACUACAUUGGCUUGUCAAGAAUUUGAACAUAAUUAGCAAUAUUAAGCCCUAUCAUUAUGAGUCAAAGUAACUUCCCAAUCAAAUGCCUAUAAUAAGAAGCAUCCAACAAAGGUUCUCUAUCUAAUUUACUCAAUUCCAAAUUUUGUUUCCUAGGAGUUUUUAAAGUUACAUGUUCCAAGAAAACCAAAAUCUUUUAGUACUUCUAGAGCAUGUUUUCAAUAACUUAAAUAAAUCUCAUUCUUAAAAUAUGUCAUUUCAAUGAUGAUGAAGUACUUUAAUUUUCCAAUCUCUUAGUUAGUUUGAAAAUGCUAUAUAGGUUUUCCUUGACCACCUUAAUUCCUUUAAGAUCAUUCAUUGUAAUAAUUAUAUCAUAAAUGUAAACAAGAAUGAUUGUGAAAUAGUUAUUUGAGGCUUGAGCAAAUAAGAAGUAAUAUGUACGUCUUGGCUUGCUUGUAAACCAUAAACAUCAAUGUGAUAGAUAAUUUGGCAAACCAUCAACGUGAAGCUUGCUCAAGGCCAUAAAGGGAUUUUUUAACUUUGCAAAUCAUAUUUUUGGUUCUAGAUUUCCUACAAACUUGGUGGAAGCUGCAUGUAUACCUCUUUAUCUAAGUCUUCAUAAAGAAAAACAUCGUUGAUGUCAAGUUGGUGAAGAUGUCAAAUUCUAAUUAUACAAUAAUUAGGGGUGACAAUGUGUCUUAUCGUGUUGAGGUGAGAAAUAGUGAAAAUUUACUUAAUCCGACUAUGACCCGUUUGAUAAUCGUGUCAAAAUAACCUAACAUGAAUACAAUUAGUUUAUUUCAUGUAACAUGACCCUUUUAACAUGUUUAAUAAAUAUAUUAACUUGGAUUAUGUAUUAAUUGACAUGAAUAACUCAUUAACUUGAUUUCAACCCCUUAAACUCAUUAACACAAUUCCAACCCAAUAAACUCGUUAAUAUGAUUUAACUCAUUAAACUUGUUAAUAGGAUUAUAACCUCUUUAACCUAUUUAAAAUUUUAAAUUUAUAAAUAAUAAAAUACUUCUAGAAAGUUUAAUUUUUAAAAUUUGAACUAUAAUACAUGUAUGCACCAAUUUCAUGAAGUCCUGAAAAAUUAGCAAAAUUAUAGAAAAAUAAUAUAAACAAAAAUUUGUAUUAAAAUUAAUAAGUAUGGGCUACAAUAUUAGUCAUAGUACUGCUUAUUUCUGAAUGACUUUAUUAAAAAGCGAAGAAUACAUGUGUAGUUCUUAUGUGAUUUCUUAAACUUGUAAGGCGAUUUUAUAAAGUUUUUUUUUUCUUUGUGAAACCUCUUUUUCUAUGUGAAAUUGUUUUGCCGAUUUGAAAUCUUCAUUAAAGGAAGUUACUAUUAUUUAUAAUUGAAAUUAGAGAAUGAAAUGUGGAAUCCCCAUGAUUUAGUUGCUUAAUUCAAGGAAUUUGAUUAAUUGAUUUUGGUAACUUGUCUCAUAAAAUUUUCUAACAAGAAUAUUUAUUUUUAAUCUCUUUUAUUUCAAUUGGAAUAUUUGUUUCCUUUGUAAAUUUGUCAAUAGAAUAUUUAUUUAUUUAUUUAAUUCUCUUUUGACUACAAUGAGAAGAUUUGAUUUUGUUUGUAAGACUAAAUUUUAUAACCUUUCAAAUUUGGCCAAGUGACACCUUUUGAAUAUAUGUCACAUGUCAAAUGUGUGUGACUCAUUAGUUGUUGAACCUAAAUUUUCUUGAAUUAGAAAGCUAUACUUUUGAAGACUAAUUUAGUGAUAAUUUAAUUCAUUAAAUUUUUUUGGUGUCUACAGUAUAUUUAUAAUAUGAAAAGUAAAUUAAAAUUUUAAUUUUUUUACUUGUUUAUUAUUUUAUUUAUUAUUUAAUGAUAAAUAUUUUUAUUCUUUAUUGAAAUAUAUAAAAUUUUAAUUAAUAUUUUAAUUUUUUUAAUUUCUAUAUAUAAAAUAUAUAGAUUUAUAUGGUCUAAUUGAGUCAUUAAAAUAAAUAGGGUAAAUAACUCACACAUAAGUGAUGGAUCAUUCUAACAUGAUUAAAUUAACAAGUUAGAUGAAUUGAGUAGUCAAAUACAAACAUGAUUUGUUUAUUAAAUAAGUUAUAUGAAUUGAUACGAUUAUGACAUCAACUCAAUUAAACUUAACUCAAAUAAGCUUUGUCUUUUAUUUUAAGUUGUCUAGUUGUUCACACAAAUUUUCUCAAAAUAAAGAAAUUAUAUAUAAAAUUGUAAAUUUGAUUAUUUGAGGGGACCAUUUUCAAUACUCUUUUUUAAGUAAUCUGGUGUUUAAUUUUGAAUCAAAGGGGCUUUCAUUAACAAAUAAUAGACUGUAGUUUUCAUAUAAGAAGAAAUCUCAAGCCUUUUUUUCUUGAAGGAAUCUUUAAAUUUUCUUUGAUACUUUAAAAAAUCAAUCUUCUUUGAUUUUUUAAGAAAUCUUUGAAUUUUCUUAAAGUCUUCAAAAAAAAAAAAAAAAAAAAAACUGAGUUUAAGGAAUUUUUUUAAUAACUCUCCAAAUUUCUUUGAUAUUCCAAAGUGUCCUUUAGAAGGGGACAAAUCCUCUAUUUACAGGAUUGAGAGUUUUAUUUUAAUAUUAUCUCUUAAUUUUUAAGAAAUAACUCUCUUAUUUAUGAUAAUUACUAUUUAUUUUAUUUAUCAUAAUUAGUUGCCUAUGAUAAUUAUCAUAAUUAAUUUUUCUAGAGAUAAAUAAUUAUAUAUAUUUAAUUAAUCAUGAUAACUAUAAUAUUUAUUUAAUUUUUUAUUAAAUUAUUUUACAUAACAUAUCAAUAUAUAUUAUUAGUCAAUUAUUAACACCGAAAAUUAAUGAGUUGGCAUAAAAUUUAUCUCUCUAUAAUAGUAUCAAAGCGAGCCUUAAUAAUAACAUUGCUUAUAGUCAAUUUCACAUGCCAACUUUUUACUGGGCAUUGGCGAUUUCAAUUUUGAUAGUCCGGUUAGAAAAAGUAGGUAAAGAUUAUUUGAUGUGGUAGGUCAUUUCUUUCAUAAAGACGAUGGCGGUGAAUUCAUGAGACAGGUGAUAAAGGAGAGAUUCUUUCUUUUGGCUUUGGAAUUUUAAUGAGGUCCUCGAUCCUCAUCCAAAAUACACCUCUCCAAUUAUAAAAAUCUUAUUAAAAAAAAAAAGAUUUGACAUGUGCCUUUCGAACUGCUGGUUUUCUGUUCCAAAAAUGAGAAUGGUUUCAAGUGGAUGAAGGAAGGUGAAGAACCCUUGGUUUUGUUAAGCGAAAAGCCACAUGAUUAAAUAAACAUAAGGCGGCAAAGGCUGAAAAUUUAAAAUUAUACUAAGGAACCCACCCCACAGGGCGACUACACUUUUGGUGAAGCCACGAGAAUGAAAGAUAUCGAAGGUGACACCAAGACAUUAAGCAGCACCAAGGUUUCGAUAUAUUAUAAGAUGGGAUCUUAUGAAAGACGAUCUCUAAUCUCUCUCCAAUCUCUUCUUUAACCUUUUCUUACUUAAAUCCAUUUCCAUGGUAGGGCACAUGUCCAGCUGACCCUACCCCCUCACCUACCUAUACUGCUAUACCCUUUUGUAUAAUUUGAUAUGGAUUGGAAGCCACCCCAACAUCUUUCUAAUUGCUCGUAAAUGUUGAGGUGCCUUUCCAUUUUGAGGCUGCCCUAAUGUGUGGCUGAAGUACGUAGGAAAAAAAAAUUGUGAUACAUGCACUGACGAAUCAAAUCCCAAUGUCAAAUUAUUAGACUCACCUGGUUCUUAAAUUAUUGUGAAUGCCGCUGGCCAUGGAUAAAUGGAAUUAGUGCGUGGCUUAAUGAAAAUUUAUUUUGAAAGGGAUAUUAAUUUGAGAGAAUUUUGGCUGAUACUUGGAGUUGAACGUAAGCAUAUAUGACCUCAUUUCGGGUGUGAUAUUGUGCUUAUAACGAACCUUUCGUUCUUUCCAAUUCCAGUGGGUAUUAAAUAAUUAAAGAAUUCAUGGUUCGAAGGCGAAAGGUAGAAGACCAAAAAGGGAUUACAAAGCCAUCGGCUUGACCAUCCAGAUGCAAUGGAUACAAACUUUGGACUCUAUCGAAAGUUCUUUGGGCACGUGCCCAAGUGUCCUACCCAUAUGAUAAGUUACACGUGGCUAAUUGCGGACCGGUUGCUCGUGCUAAACAGGGUACUUUUUCUACGCAUAUAAGAUGUUUCACUAGUGGGGCUUCACCAUGCAAACUCAUGGAUGAAGACCCUGAGGCCAAGAUGAAGGAACAGAAAGAAGGCGGAGGAGAGGUUCGGUAUCGAGGCGUUCGGAGGCGGCCAUGGGGGAAGUUUGCUGCGGAGAUACGUGACUCGACUAGGCAUGGAGCGCGCGUCUGGCUCGGGACUUUCAAUUCUGCGGAGGAGGCUGCAAGAGCAUAUGACCGAGCUGCUUAUGCCAUGAGGGGUUCCUUGGCGAUUCUCAACUUCCCUAAUGAGUAUCAUACACCCGGCACGGCUAGCUCUUCAGCUUCAUCCUCAAUGCCCGAAGGUGAUCAGCAGGGAAAACAAGUCAUUGAAUUGGAGUACUUGGAUGAUAAGCUGCUAGAGGAUCUUCUCGACUCUGAAGACAAAAAGAACAAGAAAACCUGAAGUUUCUGCUGCCUCGAAUCCCCUGAAAUCUAGUGCUUCAUCGAAAAAAAAUCCCCUCGCUCCUGAUUAACAACAUUUUUAUUUUAGUCAAUGAAUGUGUUCUCGGAUCAUUAUAAGUAUUUCUGCCGAAGUCCAUUGAUUUUUGGAGACUGAAAAAUGUCAGAAAAAUUGGUGCGAACAGGUUUACUCCUUUCUAAAUUAUGCAAUUGAAGUAUUUGGAUUAGUGCGCAGUGUAAACAUCAAGGAAAGCAUGAUCCACUAUUUUAAGGAGCCUAAGUGCUUUCCCCUUUACUCUUUUAGGAUGUCUUUUCAGUGAAGAAAGUUGGGAGACCACCACUUACCCUUUUGAUUGGUAUAUAACUGCCAACUAAUAACUGGACUAACAUUUGGCCCGUCUGGCCCUACUUCUUUGACUUUGUUGUUAAUUUAUAACUUUAUGUGAAGUGGGGGCUGUUUGGGAAUGUGUGAAGCAAGGAUUUGAGCCGACUUCGCCUAAUCUGAUUCUCCAUAAGUGACUUCAUUUUAUCAUAUUGGUGUUUUUUUUCUUCUUCUUUUUAAAUGGCUGGGGAGGAGGGGAUUUGGGAGGGAUGCAAUGCCAUGGUUGCAUGCUGGAUUAUCCUUCCAAAUGAAACAUCCAUUUGGUUUCUAGUAACUAAUUGCAAACAAUUAAAGAGAAUAAAAUUUUAAGAUGAUUAAACAAUAAGUACCUAUGUCCAUGAAAAGGAGAGAAGUUCACUCAUGGGUGUUCAUGAAAGACAUCACAAAGAACCAUCAAUAUGAGAAGAAUCCUGAUACAAUUAACUUUCAUGCAUAAGAAAAGACGCUCAAAAAAGAAUAAUGCUUACAAGGAAAGAAUCUCACUACGAUCAACUGAAAAAAUAUUCCAAUUUAAUUGGAAAUCCUUACAUGGGAAGAAUAUCAAUAAAAUCAACUAAAAAAAUAUUUUAAUUUUAUAUCAAAAUAUUUGUGAUUUAACCCGUAUCAUUUCAUCAUGACUUCUUAUAAAUUUUGUUCCUUUUUAUCAACACCACCCCUUGAGUUGGAGCAUAAAUAUUUAUUAAGCUAACUUGAACAAGAUCUUGAGAAAUUUUGUCGCAGGAUUUGUUUGCACUUUUUUUUUUCAAAUAAAGUCAUAAUUAACUUUAAUAUGUUUAAUCAUUUCAUGAAAUACUAGAUUUUAAGCAAUGUUGAUAGCAUACUUAUGCCUGAAAGCUUUAUCCCAAAUCACAUGAGUACAUGAAGUGAUUGCAUCAUUAAUGGUAGUAUUAUUACUUUAUAUUCAACUUCUCCACUUGAUAGGAUGCAUGAAAGCAUUGUGCUUUCUUCUGUUUCAAGUAAUAAAGAUUAUCACCAAGAAAGGUGCAAUUAAUACCUAGUAACAGAGUACCUAGUGGUAGCAUGCACCUAUCCACUGAACUUGUACUCGACUCUAUGAGUGUACGUUACAUAGUCCUUUUUUCGAAGUCUAAAUGUCCCUUGAUAAAACCUUCUAAUAUUUGAGGUUUUGGUAACAUUCAUGUAUCAAUGAACAAAUUAAUUUACUAGCUAAACUUUAAAAUUAGGCAAUGUUUUUCAAUGGGUGAUCAAGAUCUUGGAAUUUUCAAUGUUGUUUGAAUAGCUUCCACACACAAGCAUAUUUUCUCCUAUUUAGGAAUAAUCCCUUUUUUGAAGGUGUGAUCUUUAUGCUCAAAAAAUAAAGAUACUCAAAAAUUUAAUAUUGACCUUCUCGUGAAGGAAAAGCUUUAUAACUAAUUUUUUUUGUGCAUUAUAUAUAUCCUCAAUAUAGACUUUAAAAAAAAAAGAAGUAACUCCCUCUACAAAGAGUGAAGAGUCAAUUAAACUUUUUUUUUUUUAAAAAAAAGGAACCAAUUACUCGUAAAAGUAAUGAUUAUUUUUACAUACCAAACUUGAGGAGAUUACUUAAGAUCACAAAAGUUUUUAUUAAAUUGCAAGCUAGAUGCAUUUGAAACGAUCGUUGAUGUCUUAGCAACACCUUAUGUAACUCAUCAAUCUUUAUGUAAAAAUGCAUUUUUAACACCCAUAUAAAAUAAUGAUCAAUCCUAAUUUAAUAGAAACAAAUGGUAAUACAUGAAUAUCAUUCAUAUUAAUGAGAAAAGUAAAUAUUGAUUUAUAAUCAACUUCUUAAGUUUGUGUCAAUGCCUUAAUCAUUAGUUUAACUUUGUCAUUCAAUGAUACCAUCAUUACGACAUUUAAUUAACUUAGAUUUGCGUAAAUCCCUUAAUCACUAGUCUAGCUUUAUGUCAUUCAAUGGUACCAUCAUUAUGGUAUUUAAUUGAUCUUAUACCCCCAAUUUGUAUACCCCAUGUUUUUCUUAAUUUACCAUACAUCACUUAACAAUGUUCCAUGCAUGGAUUUUGUUAAGUGCCUUAAGUUCCUUUUGCAUAGCCUUUCUCCAAAUUGGAUGAGGAUUGGCUUCAUUAAUGUCAUUAGACUCAUGAUAUAUGGAACUCAAACAAUUGUUAAGUGAUUUUGUAUAUAUAUAAAAAAAAAAUUGUAAUUAAUGUGGUAGGCAUAAAAAUCUCACAAAUGAGGAUUGAUUAAUUGUUAUAAUUGAGCAACAUGCUUGAGGCUUAGUCACAAUACUAGAACUUGAAGUCAGACAUUCUCUUCAAAUAAGGACGUAUAUACAUUAUAUUGGAUCUCCAUUAAACAAGUAAAGAACUAUUUAGUAGACAAUGAAACCUCAUUGAUCAAUGGUGGUAGAGAGACACAUGAUGACCAGACUAUUCCCCUGGAAAUGAGAAUAAAAAAUAUCAUUAGCCGCAAAAAUCUCAAAAAAAUUUAGAUAAUGGGAUAUAAAGAGUUUAUGAAUUUUACAAUCAUAACUCUUAUACUGGUUUAAGUGGUAGAGUAAUCAAGAACACAAAACGAGUUUGAUGAGUGGUUGAGAUAUGAACAAAGCAAAGAUUUCCAAAGACACCAAAAUCAGAAAUCUCAAUUUUUGGGCUAAGGAUUUCAAGAAGAAAUUUAAAAUUAACUACAUGACUAGAAAAUUUGUUCAUCAAGGAAAUAGAAGUAACGAUAUCAUAACAUCAUAAUUAAUCAAUAUUUUUAAUAACAUGCAUUUGGAACAUGAUAUACCGGCUUUCUAAUAAUCAAUGAUUUUUGGUUCAACCACACCAUUUUGUUUUGGGAUGCCAAUACAACAAGUUUAACGAANNNNNNNNNNNNNNNNNNNNNNNNNNNNNNNNNNNNNNNNNNNNNNNNNNNNNNNNNNNNNNNNNNNNNNNNNNNNNNNNNNNNNNNNNNNNNNNNNNNNAUGUAAGUGCCAAAUUAGGUAGUGUCGACAAUGAAAUGGAAAUUUUGGAAUAUAGAAACAACCUCAUUUUUAUGUUCUAAUAAGUAAACCUAUGUAGCAUAAGAAUAGUCAUUAAAAAAAAAGGUAACAAAAUGUUGAUUUCCAUCCUAUGGAUCAAUUAGGACACAACCCCAAGGUAAACUAAUUUGAAAGUUGCAACAAAAAUGGAAAGAGAUGAAAAAAUAAUAGAGGAAUUUAAGGUUGUUUCAAAAUUUCAAGACAUGCUAAGAAACACAUGAGAUUAUAGAUGAUUAGGUAACAACCUUGGUUAAGUAUAUUCAACAUAUAUAUCCCACGAGGAUAAAUAUCUUCACUAAACUUUUCCUAUUAUUCAAUCCCCUAAUACCAUACAAGUGAAAAAUUAAUGUCACGGUCAAAAAUUUUAAUAAGCUUCCAAAGAGAUAAUAAUUUUGGGGAAAAAAACAACCUAAGAAACCUAUGAAUUGAGAUAAUUUAGGAAAAAACUAAAUGUUCGUUAGCUCUAGAAGGGAAUUGAAGCUCAUCAUCAAUAAAGAUUGUUGCUAUCUCGAAUAAUAUCAAGUAAACCAUUAAGAUCGCUAUUAAUGGUAUGAUUAGCAGCACCAAUUAUCGACAAAAAAAUUAUUAAAAAUAUAAGAAAUGAGAGCUUUAAGAUUAUCUAAUUGAUUUGUAAACCUAGGUAAGUGAAUCAGUAUUACGUUUUGUUAAGGAAGCUUAGAUCCAAUUGGUAUCAUUCACCAAGUUAUUGGAUUAAAUUACACUAUCAAACUUUGGCUUUAAAUGAGAAUGAAGAAUCUAACCACAAUCCUUAUUGGGAUUAGAUAUGUUAUUGCAAUAAUGUUUACAAUCGGAUGAGUGCUAAUUUCUAUUGAAAUCAUGAAGCAAUCUCUGAUCAUUGGUCUUCUUUGUAGAAACAUGAGCAUUGAAUUUAAAAUUAAUAAUUGUUACUUGGGAUUCAACCUUCAUAAUCAUUGCCUGGGUUUCCUAAUCACUUUCAAGAAUUACUUAUAUAGUGAAGGCACUCGAAACUAAUCAAAUUUGUCCUCUUAUAAAGUUGUCAUAUUCAAGCUUCAGAAUAGCCAAUAAUUGAAAAACUUAUCAUACUCCGCAAUUUGUUGAAGAAUAUUUGGGUCUAUUGAAGGGGACAAUAUAGGGAAUAUUUGUCCCAUAUGCUCAAAAUGUUCAAUUAACAAAGUGUUCUGUAUGUUUAGGGAUUUGUUAGCUUUAAUUACACAAAACAUUAGCAGUUUUAGAGAAAAUUAAUUUUUUUUUGCAAUCUUAGGUUCCAUGAAAUUAAAAAGCCAAUAACAAGUCAAUAUGGCUUGAGACCCAGUCAUCAUAUUCAAAGUCAUCCAACUUAGAAGCAUUCAUUUUGCCACUAACAUGUGCUAAUUUCCAUUUUCUAUCUUUCAAGAGAAAAAGACUGCUCUUAACCAUGGCAAAUAAUUGAACCCAUUAAGAAGAUUGAGGAAAGUAUCAUAUGAGGGUUGUCAUUUUCCUCCAUGACAAAGAAAAAGCAACAGAGAAAAACUCAUAAUAUUAGAAAGAGAAUGAAAGAAAUUGAGUCAUAGAUACACACAGAAGAAUCCAAAAAUAAAGCAAUAAUACAACCACAAAUAUGAGAAGAAGCUCAAUUACAAAGAAAGGAACUCAAUACAAUCAACUAAAAAGCGUUCCGAAGUUCAUACGAAAAUAUUCAUAAUGUGAAGAUCAUUUCAUGAUUCCUACAAUUUCUUCCUUCUACCAGUCCACUCCAUACAAGGUUUGAUCAACAACUUCUUCAUUGAUUUUCUGGUCUCUCUCCGGUGUAUCAUAGAGCAUUUUUGACAUGUUUCUGCAAGAUACACUUGUUAACUUUAAGCGACAUAAGUGCAAAAAAAUAAGAUCAUGUUGUAUUGCCUGUGCUUCCACUCUGCCUUGUUUAGUACUAUUAUGGAGCAGUACUUCCAUAUAGAACCAGUGAUCUCCAGUUCAUUAUGUUGCCUUCUUUAAACUAACUUUAAUUAUCUAUACAUAUAAAACAAAGUGGUCCCAUCAAGGGGCUAAAUCAAGAAUCAAGUGGGGCGAACAGGAAACAGUGGCAUCAAUUUUUAAGUCCAUAAGCUUUAAUAAAAGGAAUAAAACCAAGGAUAUGAAUAUGUUAUUUUUUCAUUUGUUCAUGCACUGGAAGAUCUUUCCUCUUCAAGCAUUGAACCAGCAUCCUUCUGUGCAAGUUGCUGUCGGAACCUUCUAUAAUUGUCAGAAGUCUGUUUCUGAAAUAUACAGAUAAAACUUUUAGCAAGUCUUGACAUUGCUCAUCACUAGGACAUUGUACUAGGAUACCAAUUCAUCUAAUUAGGGUUAAGUUGGCAUCUCGUACACUAUUUUUUAUUUUUCCUUCAUCUUUUGUUCCCAUUUGCAGUGGAAGUGGCACUUAGAAUAUCUGAUCAUGAAGAAUUAGCUUUCGGUGAGAUGAUACUAGGUCAAUUGCCAUUAUCUUUUUGAGUUACUGUGCGAGCAAUCUUGAAAAUAUUUUGGGAUAAAUAGAAUUUGUGCUUAUCAUAAACAUGCUAAACAUCCAAAUCAAGUGCUUUUACUAUUGAUAUCAAAUCAGUAAUUGAUUUUAACCUUUAUGCUUAUCUUUCAGAUUCUCAAUUAUGUAUCUUGAAUAAUGAUAUUAAGCAGAAAUCAUGAAUUGAAUUGCUUUAAUUAACUGUGCCUUAUCAAGCUUGUCAGCAGUGCUAUUGCUACCGCGAAUCAAAUUCGCUGUGCUUCCCGCCUUCUCCAAAUAAGCCACAAGCCCAAUUAUAUCCGCCCUCCUCCCAUCUCCAAGGGAUCAAAAAAUAAAAUGACUUCAAUCAAUUUUCAAGUUUUCCAUCUUGAUCAGUAGACCACCCGGCAUGAAUGUUACCCUCAGUUUAGGAAUAGGAAUUCCUUUUACUAAUCAUUUGGCACUAAAAACUAUGACCCCUAGCAAUUCAUUCCCUCCAUUAGAUAUCUGGGGGCAUCUUGGCUCAGCCAAAAAUGAUAAGUCAUUGCAUUUCACAUUGCAUUCAUUUGUAUUAAUGAGCUAAUUUUUUUUCACAGAAUGUGAUGUGAAUCGAAUUACUUCCAACCAUGUGUCUCUAUAAGGGUUUAACAAAUGUAAUUUGCAUUGUCUGUACACUUUUUUUUCGGUUUCUUUUCUUUUUUAUGCAUGAUUCAUUAGUCCACGGAUCUUCUAUGCAAAGUGUGCAGGCCAAACACCUCCUUCAAUGCAUUAUUCUAGAAGUUAAGACUCAGUUUACUCCUUAAUUGAUCUGUUCCAUUUACUUCAAAUCAUUUGAUUACAUUAAAUGAAUCUUGAAAUUCAAAAAUGCAUCAAAGUUAAAAGACCUUCCAAUGCAUUAAGAAAUCAUCUGAUACAAAUAUAUGUGAACCUGCAACAACAAUAAUGUCAAAAUGGAAAACUUAGGUAGAAAAUAUUAGAACGGAAACUUACGACGAACUCAAUUUUUGGCGCCUUUCUUCUUCUCAUCUUCUGAUCCAAGAAGCUCUUCCAACACCGUGUCAUCCAAACACUCGAACUCAAUGACUUGCUUUUCUUGCCCAGAAGAGGAACCUCCCAUCUCUAAACUCCUACAAGGCCCAGAAGAUGACGAGGAAGACGAUGAGGAUGGUGAUGGUGGGGGGCGAUGGGAGCCCAUGAUUUCAGAAUAGUACUCAUUAGGAAAGUUAAGAAUGGCAAGAUGACCCCUUAAGUUAAAGGCCGCUCGAUCAUAGGCGCGAGCUGCAUCCUCCGCCCUGUCAAAUGUGCCUAGCCAUAGACGAGCACCUUGCCUAGACGGAUCCCUAAUCUCGGCUGCAAACUUCCCCCAUGGCCUCCUCCUCACCCCUCGGUAUCGAACUUCUUCCUUUUCCUUCCCUUCCUGCUCCUGCUUCUCAUUCCCUUUCGAAUGAUCUUCCAUGCUAAACGUGUCGAUUUGCUAGGCGCAAUUUUUUUGGUUUCAAAUGUGCUGGUUUACGAGAGGCAUGGAUGCUUAUGUAUAUAUAUGGUUGCCACAGUCAGGUCUGACGUCACCGCUCAAUGUAUGUUCCACAGCGUGGGUUGACGAGCUUUCUGAGGGGGUUUCCUCGAAUUCAAAGCAAGUAUAAAAAUUCGAUUCUCCGACCUUUCCAAUGAGGAUCGAACAGGCCUUUUAUUAGAACCGUAUGAUAACUCCACACUGUUUUCAAAUAGUCAAUGUGAUCUAGAUUCUUCGUUAAUUUUUUCCACCUGACUGAUUGUUUACAAUUUUAUUUUUCACCGUCCCAAAUUUAAACCAUUUACGCGAUUCCCUGGAUUGCAUUUUUCUUUAAUGUUGACUUUACGAGGCAAUAGGACCCCCCAGCAACCCCACUAGGGCGACUUCAUGGGAACCAGAUUACUUUUGGAUCCAGAUAUGGUCCAGAAGAAAUAAGACAAAUCAAUUAAUGUCCACUAAAGUUUUGAUGGAACCCUUAGUCCGUGUUUCCUGUGGAUGUAUGUAUUGUAUGCACCUCAAUUUUCACCAAUCCCUGCUACGAGUCCCUUUAAUUUUGACGUUAUAAAUGUUUUUCCUGACAUUAGCAGAGUGUUUUUCUGCCGUCUUUGAGGACCUUCCACGGCCCAUAAACUAAUAAGGAUCGUCCAGUGAAUUUAGUCUUCCCCAGUUAAUUAUCCUGCGAGGGAAACUUGGGCAGUAAGUUGCCUACAUGAGUGGCUCCCGCCUACAUGAGUCAAGGGACCAUACGUCAGGACGACAACCAGUGUGGUCACACCAAAGUGGGUUGCCUGGACUCCAGGGUGGUCGCUUCAAAGUUGUCAAAUGAAGGCUAGCUUGGCAAGUUUUGGAAAACAAUUAUUGAAAAACAUUUUUCAUGAAUAACAGUUUCUAUGAACAGAUUUUAAGAAAGUUUAUUUUGUGAUUUUUAGGAAUAUUUUUAAUUUAAAUUUUUAUAUUUUUAAUUUUUUAUUAAUUUAUUGAUUAUUUAAUAUUAGCUUAAUUAAUGGAUUUUUCUUGGUCCCAAAUUAUUAAUUUAUCAAGAUUUAAUCGCAUCCAUAAUUAGUCUAAUUUCUUUUGGAGUGAGUGUGACAAAGUGCAAAUUUCUAGAGUUUUAUUAAUGUUAUUCAAUGUCAUAAUUUAACUAAUUAUAUUAAUUAUUUAUUAAUCAAAAUAAAUCAUUCACUUGAAAUAUGAUAAUUUAAAUUAAAAGUUUCAAUUAUUUAUUAAUUAGCAAAGUAUGAACUUUUCUUCUUGUUUUAUUAUUGUUAUUCCAUGUAUAUAAUUUAAUUAACUGUUUCCAAUAUUAAUCAAUAAAAAUAGAAUAUAAGCAUGAGAAGAAUUAGUAAAAUUCAUUGAUUUGGAAUUAGAUAGCUAGAGGAAGAACUUCAUCAUCUUCCCAUUACUUAAAUUUGUAUAAAUUCUAAAUAUUUAAACCCCCCCCCCCCCCCCCCCCCCCAAAAAAAAAAAAAAUGGUAAAGAAAGACUCCCCAAGCUUUCUUGGUUGGUGUUACCCUAAAAUUUGUACAAUAAGAUGAACCAUUUGGCUUAAAGCUUGGUGCGAAACCCCUUAUCAAUUGAAAAUAUCAAUGAAGUUGUUGAAUGGUUUUAGAGGACUAUUCUUAUGCAGAGUGGCAUAAGAAGCGAGGAGAUGAAGAGCGGAGAGACGUUAACAUCGGAUGCUGCUACGAAGGUGGGAAUACGGUUAAUUAAUUAGAUUUUGUGAUGGCUUUGAGUUUGAAGGAGUUAGUUUAAUGGGUAUUAUUAGUGAACUGAUAAUUGGAUUUGAUGUAAAGAAGGUUGGUCCAUUGGAUUAGCAAUUGGUUUGGCCUUUUGGGGGCCCCAUUUCCAAAUGCAUUGCCUUUUACAAGCAUUCAACAUCGCUGGACGUAACCAGGCUUGGUUCACCUAAAAGUAUCGCAUGGAUUGAAUUGACUAAGUUUUCAUUGUAGACUAGCCUUGAUUUUCCCUUGACCUGCCCACCAAAUCCUGAUGCCCACGCGAGGGAAUACCUCAAUUUUCUAAUAAUUUAUGCAGUUUCUCUUCAAAGCUCGUGUGAUCACUUGGGUCGGUAAAAUAAUGCAUUCCUCUACUUUUUCUCCCUUCCUAGAUGCAUGUUAUACCAUUAAUUCAAAUGUGAACAUGGGCUUGGCUUUGAAACUUGGUUCAAGGCCCAACAUGUUGACCCACAAUUGAGGUGUAAUUGAAUUUGUACACUUUUCGACUUUGAUACCAUUUGUCAUUACCAUUGACAUUGGGUCAUUGUUGAUUUUGAGUCCACAACUUUUAAGGUUGUUAUUACAAUUUUAAAUUGCGCCCACCCAAUUUAUAUGCAUUAUCCCUUAUAAAUACCGAUAACCUCUCUUUCUUCGAUAAUAUAAAAUGUCACAUAUAUUAUAUAUCUCAAUGUUUUCUUUUACUUUUUUUUUUUUUAUCGAUCGACAUUCUCUCUCAGAUGAUAUGAGAUGUCACAUAUAUUAUAUGUUUCAAUGUUUCUUUUACUUUUUCUCUUUUUCCUCAUGAUUGACAUUGUCUUUCUCAAAUGAUAUGAGUUGUCACAUAUAUUUUAUGUCUCAAUGUUUUCUUUAACUUUUUUUCUCUCUUCUUUAAUGAUCGACGUUCCUUUUCUCAGAUGAUAUGAAAUGUCAUAUAUAUUAUAUGGCUUAAUGUUUUCUUUUACUUAUUCUUUCUUUAUUAAUAAUCGACAUUUUAAGCAAUAUGUGAAUAUAAAGCAUUAAAAUUAUCUCCAUCGUUUUUGGAUGUGGUAUAAAUACACAAUUCUUAUUUUUGUUUUAAAUAUUUCUAUUGCUAUCUAUUGAAAUUUUAUGCAUGAAGCUACCAAGUUAAUUAUACAUAUAUCUUAAGAUUUUUUUUUUUUUUUUUUAUAGGAUAUAUUGUCCAUGAAUAUUUUCUGCAAUGGUAUCUUGUUUGAUUACUAUAAGAAAUAAUAUAUAUAUAUAUAUAUAUAUAUAUAUAUAUAUAUAUAUAUAUAUAUAUAUAUAUUAUAUUUCAAUGUUUCAUAUUUGCUUAAAAUAAAAAUUAUAUUUUAUCACAAUAUUUGGUAUUAAAAAAAAUGAAAUCUCUCUCAUUUAUUAUUACAAAAAAAUUAUAAUUUAUAAUUUUCUAAAUAAGUUUUAUUUAUUUGCUAACUAUAUUCAUGAUUAAAAGAUUUAAAAUUUAUAAAUAAAAAAUAUUAUGUCAUGUCAUUAAAUAAAUAAAAAUAUAUGUAUAUAUUAAAAUUAUGUUUUAUUGUAGCUUUUAAUAUUUUUUUUUUUAUUCUUUUCUUUUUUGAACUACAAUUUUAAUUUUUUUUAAUCAAAAUUUUUUAAUUUACAAAACGAGUAACAUAAAACUUGCCUUUGAACUUUAUUGGAAUGUUAUAUACUACCAUUUGGCUUUCAAGACAUUAGAAAAGGCAUAAGUGUCCCUUUUAUUUUUCCGAAAGGCAUAUUAGACUAUAGUAGGAAGUGUUGUAUAGAGGCAACUAAAAGUUGCCUUUAACUUUAUGAAGUCAUAUACUCCUCUUUGGCUUUGAUGACAUCAACUAGCAAAUUGGAUUUUGUUUCCUUUGCAACAUUUUUCCAUCCAUUAGCCAGUUUUUUUAUACUGUUUGGUGCUUGCCAACAUGGCACACACUAUGGUUCUUAAAAAGUAUUUUUUUUUUUAAGAUACUACGAAAUAAAAUACACGAUUGAAAGAUGAGUCACAAUAAUUUUCAAAACUAAAUUUUUUAAUAUUGUUAAGAAAAUUUGACCACCAAAUGAUUGAUUUUAAAUUACAAAUACUUUUGUUAGCUAAGAAAUUUGUUGUUCUAUUUGUUUCCCUAUAAAUAUGACAACAAUCAUAAAUAUUUUCAUUUUAAGAUAAUUUUCAAAUAUCUUCCAUUAAUAAUAUAAUAGAAUUAGGAAUUUUUUUUUUAGUUAUAACAAUCUAUAAUUAUUUAAGAGUCUUCCUCAAUCUCUAGGUUUAAGAACUUAUUGUUCUUAACAACUAACAUGUCAUCUCUUAAAAUAAUACAUUCUGCAAUAAUUAUUGAAAUAUGAUAUAAUAUAUAUAUCUACUUACAACCAUUUUUGUAGUACCAUUAGAAUUUUUAAUUACCCAUUCUAAAGUAUUUUUAUUCUCUAUUCUUAAACCAUCAAAAUUUAAUUUAAAUCUUUCAUUAAUUGGAUAAAUCCAAUGAAUCUAACAAGUUAAAGGAUUAUGAAUCCGACAAAACAGUUGAUAAUAAAUUAAUAAUGCCAUUAAUAUGAUUUUAAUGUGAAACACAAUUAUCACAUUUAAUACAGUUAGUCCUUGUAUGAUUAAUGUUUUGGAAGCUAAAAUCAAUCUUUUGACUAUAAUAAGAGUUUCUACUAUUUCUAUUUUUGGAUGAUUUUAUAUUUUUCUUAUUGUUUUAGUUUAAUACAAAAAAUAAAAAUAAAAUUACAUUAGUAGAAUUUUUUUAACUUACUCAAAAACCUAUUUUAGUUGAAUGAUUUUUUUAAAAAAAAUAUAAAUAUUUUGUUAAAAGGGAUAAAAUAACCUUACCUUGUGAAAAAGACCUCUUCACCCAAGAUUACUUGUUCAUAAUCCUUUUAAGACGAAAAUGCCCCCUUCCUAAAAAAUAUUUCAUCUUAAACUUAUUUUUCUUUUUAUUGCCCUUUGUUCCAUCCUUCCGGCUUGGGAGAGAAAUUCAUUCUUCUUUUGCGAAGAAAAAUUCCUAUUGCGAUUUUUCAUUUCAAGUGGAAAAAAAAAUUCUUAUUUCAUUUUAAAGAAAUUGUACAUUUUCAAUCUUUCUCUUUGUUCCUAGUUGAGGGUUUUUUUUGUAAUUUUAUCUUAACACUACAAAUUUAAAGGUGAGAUUAAAUCUUAAUGGUUAUUAGUUAAAUCACAUAUCUAACUUUGUUUUUGUCAGGACCUAUAAUAUGAUUGGAACCACCAUCCAAACUUCAUUAGGUGGGAUACUCCCCACCCUCCCCCUCCCCCCGCGAAAUCCUUGGAUUUUAGUUUUGACUUGGAUUUCAAUUGCCCGUAUCAAUUUUUCUUUAUUUAUUAAUUUAUUAAUUUUCAACUUUAACAAAAGCCUUGAAUCAUAUUUAAAUUCAAAUAACUUAAUCCUAAUUAAGUUCUUUUUAAAUAAAAAUUAAUCAUUGAAAAGUUCAUGUGACUAUUAUAAUUGAGAAUUUAUCCCAAGUUGGGUUUUUUGCAAAUAAAAUUUUAUUAUAGGACAUCAUGAUGCAACAUAACAUAAGGUUGUUACUUAAGUUUGUUUUGACCUUGUAAUAUGUUAAAAUGAAAAUGAAGCCAUUGUAACAGGAGAGAAUGAUGAAGCUGUGGAGAGAGCUUAACAAAGCUUGGGUUGGAGAGACUUCACAGGAAGAGAGAGAGAGAAAUAAAGGGUAAAAUUAUCAAAAGAGAAAAGAAAAAAAAAAAAAAAAAAGAAGGUUAUGUCUUCAAAUAAUCAAUAAGAGAUGUCAUUUUUCUAAUUUUCAAAGUUCUUUUGGUCCUUCUCUACAAAUAUCCCUAUAAAAAUAUUAUAAUAUCAAGUUAAUUUGUCAAUACCAAAAUUUAUAUUUUAUAUUAGGGCGACUAAAUAACAUAUAGAAAGAAUUUUAAAUGAGUAAAUCAAAUCAAUUUUGAAACCAAAACUUAAUAAUUACCAAACUUGUAAUCUUAGUCAUUAAAAGUGUACGAUGAAAUCUAAAUUAUUAAGCAAUGAAACAAAAAAUUAAGAUUAAAAUACAAAACGUUAAAAUCAAGAUACAAACUAUUAAAAUGUAAGUGGGAUAUGAGAUGAUAUUAUAAAAAAUAGUGUGAUCCAACAAAAAGUCUAGUACAUCAUUAUCUUCACUUCCAACCAUGUUUAAAAGGUCACAAGUUCUAGCGGUUUCCAAGGACAAUGUUAAAAAUAAUAAAAAUAAAUCCAAUUAAAUAUUAAUUAAUUUAUUUGAAUUUGAGUCCGACAAAAUAGUUGGUAAUAAGUUAAUAAUGCCAUUAAUAUGAUUUUAAUGUGAAACACAAUUAUCACAUUUAAUACCCGUUAGUCCUUGUAUGAUUAACUUUUUAGAAAUUAAUAUCAAUCUUUUGAUUAUAAUAAGAGUUUCUACUAUUUAUAUUUUUGGAUGAUUUUAUAUUUUUCUUAUUGUUUUAGUUUAAUACAAAAAAAUAAAAAUAAAAUUACAUUAGUAGAAUUUUUUUUAACUUAUUCAAAAAACCUAUUGUAAGGUGAAUGGUUUUUUUAUUUUUUUUUUAAAUAUAAAUAUUUUCUUAAAAGGGAUAAAAUAACCUUACCUUGUGAAAAAAGGCCUCUUCACCCAAAUUUACUUGUGCAUAAUCCUUUUCAGACGAAAAUGCCCCCUUCCUAAAAAAUAUUUCAUCUUAAACUUAUUUUUCAUUUUUAUAACCCUUUGUUCCAUCCUUAUGAUUUGGGAGAGGAAGUCAUUCUUCUCUUGUGAAGAAAAAAUUCCUACUGCCAUUUUUCAUUUCAAGUGAAGAAAAAUAUUUAUAUUUCAUUUUAAACAAAUUGUACAUUUUCAAUCUCUCUUUGUUCCUAGUUGAGGUUUUUUUUUUUUUUUUUUUUUUUUGUAAUUUUAUCUUAAUUGUACAAAUUCGAAGAUGAGAUUAAAUCUAUAAUGGUUAUUGGUUAAAUCACUUAUCUAACUUUGUUCUUGACAGAUCGUAUAAUAUGAUUGGAACCACCAUCCUAACUUUAUUAGGUGGGAUCCCUUUUUUUUUUUCCCCAAACCCUUGGAUUUUAGUUUUGACUUAUAUUUCAAUUGUCUGUAUCACUUUUUCUUUAUUUAUUAAUUUUCAACAAGUUCUUUAACAAAAGCCUUGAAUCAUAUUUAAAUUCAAAUAACUUAAUCCCCAUUAAGUUCUUUUUAAAUGAAACUUAAUCAUGUGAAAGUUCAUGUGACUAUUAUAAUUGAGAAUUUAUUCUUAGUUGGGUUUUUUGUAAAUAAAAUUUAGUUAUAGGACUGUGAUGAUCCGUUCUCAACCGUAUAAAUAUUGUUCGUUUUGAAUUCAAAAUAACUUUUACGGCUUUAAAACAUGUUUACAAGAUUAAGAGGAGUCCAUAUUUAUAUAGCUUCACGAACUUUCCCCCCUAUUCGAUGUGGGAUGUCACAAGGACAUCAUGAUGCAACGUAUAACAUAAGAUUGUUUCUUAAGUUUGUCUAACCUUGUAAUGUGUUAAAAUGAAGAUGAAGCCAUUAUAACAGAAGAGAAUGAUGAAGUUGUAGAGAGAGCUUAACAAAGCUUGGGUUGGAGAGACUUCAUAGGAAGAGAGAGAGAGAGAGAGAGAGAAAUAAAGGGUAAAAUUAUCAAAAAAGAAAAAAGAAAAAAAAGAGGGUGAUGUCUCCAAAUAAUCAAUAAGAGAUGUCAUUUUUCUAAUUUCAAAGUUCUUCUGGCCCUUCUCUACAAAUAUCCCUAUAAAAACAUUAUAAUAUCAAGUUAAUUUGUUGAUACCAAAAUUUAUAUAUUAUAUUAGGAUGACUAAAUAACAUAUAGAAAGAAUUUUAAAUGAGUAAAUCAAAUCAAUUUUGAAAUCAAAACUUAAUACCUACCAAACUUGUAAUCUUAGUCAUUUAAAGUGUUCCAUGAAAUCUAAAUUAUUAAGCAGUGAAACAAAAAAUAUAAGAUUAAAAUACAAAACGUUGAAAUCAAGAUUCAAACUAUUAAAACGUAAGUGGAGACGUAAGAUGAUGUCAUAAAAAAUAGUGGGAUCCAACAAAAAGUCUAUUAAUCAUUAUCUUCACUUCCAAUCAUGUUUAAAAGGUCACAAGUUCUAGCGGCUUUCAAGGACGAUGUUAAAAAUAAUAAAAAUAAAUCCAAUUAAAUAUUAAUUAAUUUAUUUGAACAAUAGAUAGGACCAAAAUAAUAUUCUAAAAGGAAUCAUAGGGAAGUCCUUGGACAACCUACGACAUUGAACAAAGGUACAGUGAGACAAUGCACUUAGCCCUUCCUUGUCAUUGCGAUGAAUAUAAAAAGACACCCUGAUUGAGGGUGCCCCACUAAGCCAAGAGUGAUUCUUUUGUAUUGUAUAACGUGAAUAUUUUUGAACUUUGAAUGACCCUUCCUAUAGUCAUCAUUGUCAAAACUAGAAAAUCAGAAAGAUGCGAUGUACGAAGGCACCAUUGAAUAAGAGGCUUAAUUCUCUUUGGCAAUUAGGAUAAAGUUUCAAAAUAGAAAAAUUAAACAAAUGUACAGUGUACGGACACUUGGGCAUUGCCUAUUUGUUUUGUUCUUCUAGAGUUGUAUAUGGUAAAGGUCAUAUUGGGUUGGUUCUAUUUGGUUAUUGAAGUCGGCUAGAAUAUUAGAUUUGGUUUCAAUCUAAUCCCAUAUGAUAUUAGAAUACCAGCCCAUACAGAAUUUUUGACCAAAUAUAAUAUUUCUUUUAAAUAUAAAUAUAGUAAUUAAUUUUAGUCUAAGAUUAAUUAUGUAGUUUCCUAAAGAGACCACUUCCUAAACGGUAGCUAUGUGGAAGUUGGGCCAGGUCCUGCCGAGAAGGUUUCCACGAGCUGAGCCCAAAACUGAGUAGCUGUGAUGGGAUCAUUCUAGCAUUCAGCCUGAAACUUGUAACAUAACGGAUCGAGAGGCCUGAACUCCAAGACCAUGGUUCGUCAGCCCAUUAACUUCAACAGCACGCAUUUUAGAGGACUGGGCUUGCAAGGGGUGAGGUUUCCGGGCCGCGACCCCAAAUAUGAACAGCCUCAGAAGUGAUAUUGCUUACUGGCACGUGAAGAGCGCAAGCGUAACUAGAAGAUUUGUAAUGCCGCUUUAAUUGUUUGAUUAUAGAAUCCCACGCAUUACGCAUGGAAAGUGUAAAAGAUAAAAGAUGUAGAAUUUUUUCUUAGAGAAAAGUUCGUUUGGAUAUAGUUAUUGUUUUUUUUUUAAAUAAUAAUUGUUUUUUUUAUAAAUUAUAGAUAAUCUUAGAAAUUUAUCUUUAAAAAAAUAGUUUUUAAAAAUAUUUAAGGAGAAUAAAAGUGAUAAAAAAAAACUUUACAAUUUCAAAUUUUUAAAAAAUGAAAAUUAUUUUUAAGAAUAUAAGUUAAUCUCCUGCAUUUAAAUCUUAGGUGGUUUUUGUUUUUUUUACUUUUCGCUGAAAACAAUUUGUUUUCAAAAUUUAGGUCAUUUGUUUUUUCUAUUUUUUCAUGAUUUAUUAUAAAUUUUUUACUAAAUAAAAAAAAUCAAAAUAUGUAACUUUUUCUAAAUAAAAAAAAUAACGUAUUGAUUUUUCUUUACUUUUUAAUACUUAAUAGAUAUAAAAUACUACAAAAACAAAAAAUCUAAUAUUUAACACUAUUAAGCAUUAAAGUUCUAUUUAGAAUUAAGUAAAAAAACAAACACCACCUUAUAUUUUAUAUAAAAGUUACUUAUAUUUUGGUUUUUGGAAAUAAAAAAUAUAAAGCAUAUCCAAACAUGAGCUUAGCUAUUUUAAAUCAUAUCAAAAUAAUAAUCCCAAUAAGGUAAAUGGACUUUUAUACGGAGAAUAAUCUUUAAGGUUUUCAUUUUUAUUGGAUUUUUUUUUUGUGGUGUUUUUUCAAUCCAUCUUCUCAAUUAAUUCCUUAAAAUUAUUUUACUGUUUUUUUUUUUUUCAGUUUCUAAAUAUUUGAUUUUUCCAAAAUGCUUAAAUGGAAGACACUAAUUUUUCAAGAUAUUUGGUAUUACAAUUUUCCCUGUUCUCCCUAUUAUCUAUCAGAUUCAUGGCCCUUUUGUUUUUUCAUUGGUUUUCAAUUUAAUUUUCCAAAUAUUACAUUGUUGUGUUUUGAAUUUGUGAAACCAAUUUUAUAUAUAUAUAUAGUAUGUAAGUCUACUUUGGGUAACAUGUACAGAGAGGUUUUCAUGUGUUUGAAACCUUUUACCUCAAAAAUUAAUUAUUUUUAAUUUUAUAAUAAAUCUUUUUUUAUUUUUUAUUUUAUUUAGGAAAGCCUAUAUUUAAACUACAUGUUUGCAACGCAACACCAUACAUACUCCUAGUGGAACUUACCUUAGUGCUUGAGGGGGAUGCAGAUCUUCUUCUAAACCUAACUAAUAAGCAUAAAAUUGUUCACUAAUUAGCAUAUCUAGUAAAUCAUACAAAUUGGCAAUAUUUCAUGUUUUUCAUGUUUUGUCAAUAAAAGGCGUCUUGACCAUUUUGUGAGUUUUGUAAUAAAUAAAAAAAAAAAAAAAAAAAGGGCAAAAGGUGACUAAAAUGAGGCACUUUGGAAAGGUUAAUAACCUAAAAGGAAGAUGAAUUAAUACCCCCUUAUUCCUCUUCAAAAACCAUUGAGAAAAUGCAAGAAAUGCUCUUAGUUGUAUGCUAGGCUAACAGCCUAGCAACCAUAAUACCCUUCUUUGCAAUUGUAAGCAUUUUUUUUUUUUUUUUGAAGGCCAAACAACGUUGCAAACUUCCCAAAUCCCUUCUUUAUUUUUUAUUUUUUUAUUUUUGUUUUUAGAAGGAGAAUGAAUUUGAUGACAAACUCCUUGUCAAUCUUAUCCAAACCACGAUCGAACAGAACUCCUUGUCAAUCUUAUCCAAACCGUGUUCCACCUCAAAAACAUGUGUAGGACUUAAGGCAGCAACUGGCAAGCAUGACUGAUAGGGCCAAGUGCCCUUGUCUCUACAAUCCAUUAAGUUAACCAAGGGCAGUGAACCAUCAUUCUUUUCAAAAGCUUCAUUCCGUGUUGAAAAUGUGAGACUGAAGCAUGGUGCCCCCAAAAAUAACGAUCUAUUUACUAGCAGCAUGCCUGGACCCAUUAAAAAUACUCUACUUUAGGAAUAGAAAAAAUUACAUCUUUAUCCAAUAAUUUUAUAACAAUUCAGACGUUUCAGUCUAUAAAUAAUUGUACAUAGUUGCCAACGUUUAGCUAGUUUCAAAUGAAUAGCCUAGGUUCAUGCACCAGUUUGGCUGGUGGAGGAAAGGGAUUCGAGACAUUGAACCCUCUUUUUAGUGUGCCAAAUAUUCCACAAAAAUCACUACCUUCUCUUUGUGUUUGUUCACUUUUAGUUUAUAUUUAAUAAAUCUAUGUUUUCGAGUAGAGGUUGGGUUCAGGUGCGACCCACGUCACCUCUCGGACGGUCUUGAAAAAGGAGACCGGACCACGUAAUUUCAAAUGUAGUGACCAUCUCACUUUUACCUCCAUCCUUGAAGAUGGUUUCCCAAAUCAAUAUUAAUCUUUUGUUUACGACAAUAUCGAUCACUUUAUGUCUAUAUCGUUGUUAAUUUACCUUUUUUUUUUAGCCACAUUAUUUGAAAAUUGAUGCAAACUUUACCAACAUCUUGGUACCAUUUUAAAAUAUUAGAGUUAUUUGAUUAAAAAAAUAAAAUAAUCUCGAUAACUUGUUUAUAAAAUAAAUAUCUUUUAACAUUUAGACUAUUCUCACGCAUGCUUUAAAAUUGUAAAGAUAUUCAUAAAGUGGAACUUUAGACUUAAUCAAUAUCGAUCACUUUAUGUCUCUAUUGUUGUUAUAUUUUUUUUUUACAACAUUAUUUGAAAAUUGAUGCAAACUUUACCAACAUCCUAAUACCAUUUUAAAAUAUUAGAGUUAUUUGAUUAAAAAAAUAAAAUAAUCCCGACAACUUGUUUAUAAAAUAAAUAUCUUUUAAUAUUUAGACUAUUUUCACCAUGCUUUAAAAUCAUAAAGAUAUUUAUAUUCAUAAAGUGGAACUUUAGACUUAAACAUGAUAAUAGUUUUUUUACAAUAUUAUAAUUAUUUUAUCGUUUUAAUUAAGCCCUUUAUCAUACAUAUAAAUGUAAAUUAAUGCUAAAUUUUUAAAGCAACGUAUAACCUUUUACAUCUUUUUUUAAGAUGGUGCGAAAAUCCUAUGAAAAAUAAUAAAAGUCGAUGCAUAAGAAGAUUGUUUUGAUAAUUCAAUAGAAAAAUUCUUUUAAAAUGAUAUUAAAAAAUACCCAUAGAGCCUUUAUUAAAAAAAUCAAUUAUUUUCAUAAUAAAAAUUAUAAUUUUUUAUUAUGUAUUAUUAUUUUUAAGUAUCUUUAUUACAAAUACUUUUUUUGAGUUUAUGAGAGGAAUCAACAGGUUGGUACAAGCUUAGGCGUCCUCGUACAUGUUCCCGCUGUGCAAGGUUUUUGUCUUGUUUCGAGCUAGUCGGAAUUUACGUGUUUGAUAACGUUUUGUCCUAUUUUUGUAACGCUUUAAAGGGCGGCCCACCGUUGGAACAGUUCAAGCCAUCCAAAUCAGCCCGGAGGGUUAUGGCGACGUGGCAUGACGCCUACCACCUUAGUUCACAUGAACCCUAUGAUCGUACUACCCUCACAUGACAUCUGUGAUUCUUCACCUCCAAACCCUCUUUAACUUGGUAAUGUAUUCAAAGCUUCAUCAAAUCAUAGCGAUUAGCGACCCUCUUCCACCCUAAUUUUAUAAUAAAAAAUAAAUCUUAGUGGACAUUAAAGUAGUAUUUUGUGGGGGGAAAGAAAAACUCUAUGGGCGUAUCCACUAAAUACGAGCCAAGUAUAAGAGUUAUCACCAUGGAAUCAAAUUAUGAAGCAUUGACAUUUUAAUUGUAUUCAGAUUUGAGGAGGGCACCGCGGCACCAGCUGGCCCAGUGUAGUCUGCUAGCCUACCCGCCAUAAUGACCAAAUUAAUAAAGUAAAAAGGAUUACAGGGAUAUUCCCAACUUUAUUCUGGGUCUGAGCUGGAACUUGGGAGUUAUCACGAUCAACGGGAAAGAUGGUGGGUAGGGGACGAGGAUUGAGGGCUCCAUAUUCACAUCAGUGAAAAACGAAAUGUAUUGAGACAAGUCUUCUAAGGAUUUUCUAGCGUAUUAUAUGGUUUAAAUGAUUAUAAAUCUGUAGUUACUGGUAAAGAGUAGAGAGUGAAGACGAAAGACGUUGAGUGAAAAGGAAGGAGGAGAGGGGAUGGGGCCAUCUUACCGUGUCGGGGAGGAUCCAUAAAAGGACUACGUUCCCUGAAUCUGUAGGCAUCAUGCCUCGCCUAACGGGUUAGUCAAAAUACAGUGAUGUGUGUGAGUUGGGGGCCUCACUCCUCAUUUCUUUCCUUCUUUUCACCCCCACCCCCACUUUUUUUUUUUUUUUUUCGAAUUUUUCUUUGUCCUUUUCUCUCACUUGCGCACGCGGGAGAAGGACCACAAACUAGACAAUUCCUCUGCUCACGUGACCCCGAGUUUUUAAAUAUUUGCCUAUUUGGAAAAUAGUCAUGAAUCAUGAUCGUUAACAAACAAUCUUCACUUUAUUUAUUUAAGAUCUAUUUUUUGGAGCUCUAGUUUAGUUUAUUAUUAUUAUUAUUAUUAUUAUUAUUAUUAUUAUUAUUAUUUAGUAACUCCUCUUAUAUUAAUGAAAAAGAGAGGAGGAAUCCAAACUUGUUUAUUCUUCCUCUUUUAAGGUGUUUGUUUUUUUUAUUUUAUUUUUAUGCUUCAUAUGUCUUCAAUUUCUUAGCAUUUGUCUUAUAUUUCUUCUUAUCCGAUUCAUUAUUGCAUCCUUGGUCAAUCUUUCACGAGGAGUGCCUACUUUUUUCCUUUUUAUUAUUUAAUUCACUUUAUCUUUAUAUUUUCCUUUUACACUUUAUUUCCAAUUCAAAACGUGUCAAAAAAAAAAAUUGGUAACAAAAAAAAAAAAAAAAAUCAAUUGUAAUGAUUCUUAUAUAAUUUUAUUUAAUUUUUAUUAAACAAUAAAGAAAUUAAAAAUAUAUAAAUUUUUAAAUAAUUAUUAUAGUCUUUCAUUUUUGUGUAUAAUUUCUUUUGCAAGAAAUAGUGUAGGCUUUCCACGGUCUAAAGGAAAUGGAAUAUCAAAUGAGAAGGUAAUAAUAAUAAAGUGAGUUAUAGAUACUAAUCAAACUAAUCCACUAAUGAAUUAUUUAUUUUUAUUUCACAUGGACAAAUCCUAAAAGUUGGAGUUCUAAUUUACUUUUAUGUUAAGCUUUUUUAAGUAAAAAUCUUUUAUUAUUAUAAUUUAUAGACAAAAAGAAACCCAUUAAUGUGAUGGAUAAAAAAUUUCAAUUUAAAAAAAAAAAAAUUAAAGUUGCUAAAUUUUUGUAUUUAUUAUUUCAAACUCAUUUAAAUAAUUUAAAAAUAUGUCUUCAAUUAAUUUUAAUGAAACAAAGCAUGAUUUUUUUUUAAUUUUUUUUUCUUUACCAAAUAAAGCAUUAUUAUAAUACGUUGAUUAAAUUUUCAUCAUGUCUCUCAAGAUUUGGAUUAAAUAUACUUAGUUGUCAUAAAUUUGAAAUUUUAUUUAAUGUAUUUUUUAUUUUAAAUUAAAAAGAUGAAUGCAAAUAAAAAAAAUAUGUAUAUUUUAUAAAAUUUUAAAUUAAACGAAGGAUACGUGUAUUUAACCAAGGUGAAUGAAAUUAAUCCAAAUACUUUUUGGUAACUUGCAAAAUAUCUUGACGAAAUCAUUAUGGCAGGCAUCGUACAAGCUCAACCCUUGUCGCCUUGCUAGAAAUAGAGAAACAAAAAGACCCCCAAAUUGGGUUGCAUCCUAAAUAUGAAGAAGUGGUAACAAAGGAAGAAAAAAUGCUGUGUUAUUGAAUAGUUAAUACAUUGAACAUGAUAUGUUACAUAGAGAGCCAGAUUAAUCCUAGUGGAAUUCCACUGUCACGAUGGUAACCUAGGGUUAUGUUUGGUUAUUGAAAAUACCAAGAAAAGAAAAAAAAAUAUAAAGGAAAAUAAUUUUUUCAUUUUUGAUUGUCUUAUAAAAGAUAUAAAAAAAAAACAAAUAUAAUUAAAACUAAUUAAAAAUUUAGGUAUUUUUAAAUUAUUUAAUUUUUAUAUUAAUGAGCGAAAAUAAAUAAAAUAAGUUUAAAAUAACAAAAAAAAUAAUUUACCGAUUUUUAAUCUAUAUUUUAUUUUACUUUUUCUUUGUAUUUUUUUUUUCUUAUAUUUUCCCUCAAAUUUUCUGAAUCAAACAUAGCAAAAAAGGAGCUACCCCUUUCGAAAGAAACUCCCAAGAAUUUCAAAGAAACCUGCUGAGAUAAUGAAUGAGGGAUCACUGUCGGUAAACAGUAUCCAUUCUUUUGGGAGGACUUUCAAACUGAGAAGUUGUUUUCAUGACUUGGAAACAAAAUUUUGAGCUCUAAGGGGGUCUGUAUUUGGGCCCUAAAAUUCAAUCCAUCAAUCUGAAAAAUGCUUAGGAUAAUGAUUUGAUUUAGCCACAAUCACUAAACAAAUUCCAGAGGAAAAUUUCGCUACUCAUAGGUGGCUGAUUCUCAUAAAAAGACAUCGUGGUAGGGUGUCUCAAGUGCAGGCUCACCAUCAACUUGCUGCCCUUUUUAGAUUAUUGUAAAAUGAUUUCACAUGAAGCCCAAUGCAAAACUUUGAAAGAAAAGGUUGGUGGAGACGUGAAGAAUAUGUAACCCAUAGGCCAUAACUAGUACCGAAGAUUAUUGAACAAACAUUCAAGGUUUUUGUAUAGACGAAACUGAAAAGAAUGUGUACCAGACUCAGGCGUUCAGAUCAGAUGAUGCCGUAAUGUGGAUUGUGGAGGAGCAUUGUGCAGACAGAUAAUGAGAUUCUGAAAGCGAGGCCACUGAUGGGCCCUUGGAAGGGGGGCGUGCCUUCAAAAUUAUAUAUAUAUAUAUAUAUAUGUCAUUGAAAAUUGGAAGCAACUUUUCUUCUUAAGUUAUUUUAAUCGAAGAAGAAACAAAAAGUUAAAAACAUACAUUAUUCUUCCUUCUUACGAGGUUUCCGGGUCUAAAUUACUAUGGUCUCUGCAACUGGCGUCGUUUUCUCUCCCCUCUCUCUAUUUUCCCUUUAUUUUUUCACUUUUAGAAAGAAGCAUCCCAUCAAGAAUCUACUACAACCCUACGCUUCCAUUUUGAUUUAGAAAGUUAAAAAUAAGUUUAAGUUAAAAAAAAAUAUUUUCUUAUAUAAUUAUUUAAACUUAUUUCUUUUCCUUUUUAUAUAAAGAAACAAAUAUUUUGCAAAUAAAUAAAUUUCUAAUUAUUUUCAUUAACAUAAUAAUAAUAUUUUUCAUAUGACUUUAAUCACAAUUUUUUUUACCACUUGUCCAAGGCGGUGAGAGGUGAUAAAAUGUAUUAAAAAAACGAUUAAAUUGCAUUAGGUAUAGAAGUUUUGUGCUUCAAUUAUCACUUAUAAAAAUAAAAUAAAAAUAGUCAAAUUUGAGUGUGCAAGUUGGUAUUCGUAUGUAGAAGGAAUUGGGGGAUUUGGGGGUCCUAACAAAUUUGAUAUGAUUGAUGGAAGGAAAUGAUUAUUAUAGGAUAAAGUCCGAAUGAAACGCUGACGAGGGGGGAAAAACAACAGUGGCAAUGCACUAUCCACAGAUCCAUGAUUGAUUUAUGUUAGCAAUAAUGAAUUAUUUUGACUUUGAUAACCUUGGUUAAGAGAAUUUGGUCUUGUUAUUAUCAUUUUUUCAAAAAAAAAAAGUGUAGGUAACUAGGUAGUUGAUUUAUUAGAAUUUAGAAAUGAGGAUCCCCUCCUCCUGCAAGAGCCGUGACAGACAUGCCUGCUUUCUUGCCAGAUUAUACCAAUGUGCCCAAAUAAUCCCCCAUCUAUCAUCUCUGCACCCUGGAACACGUCACUCCCUCCUUUGAGCAAUAAAAUAUCUCUUUUAUUUUCUUUUGAACCACUCUUCUAUUUCUUUGUACCAGACUGGACCCAUUUAAAUUCUUCGCUACGCUGUUCCCAAGGACUACGAGAAUCAAAAUAGCAAAAUUCUUGAAUCAUUUUAAUGGGUUCAGAAACCACAUGUUUCUCUAGAUCAUAAGAGGAAAAUCUUUUUGGAUGGUGUUUGUGUUGUGUUGUGUUCAAUAUUAAAUACUCAAUUAAAUAAGCUAAAUCAAAUAUCACAUGAAAAAUAAUCAAAUUAAAAAUAGGGAGAAUUAUGUUUUGAGGGUAGAUGGACCCCAAAUUAACAAAAGGUUCAUGUAACUCUUCAAAUUGAGCCCAGACCCAAUGAAAAUAUGGAAAUUGAGUUGAAGUAUAUCAUCAUUCAGUAUUUCCAAAAAUGUCCUUUGUUGAUUUUGAGAAAAAAAUUAAUAUUUUUGAAAAAUAUUUUUAUGUAAUUUAAUAUUUUUUUAAAUACUUUUAUUUAAUUUAAUAUUUUUAAAAAAUAAAUUUAUUUAAUUUAAUAUUUUAAAAAAUAUUUAAUUUAAUAUAUUUUUUAAAUACUUUAAUUUAAUUUAAUAUUUUUGAAAAAAAUUUUAAUUUAAUAUUUUUGAAAAAAAAAUUAUUUAAUUUAAUAUUUUUUAAAACUAUUUUUAUUUAAUUUAGUAUUUUUGAAAAAAAAUUAUUUAACUUAAUUUUAUAAAAUAUUUUAUAUGUGUUCUUAAAGGGUAUAUUUGUCCGUUACUAUUUCAUAUCCUUCAACUCAAUUUAAAGAGUUAUAUGGACCUUUUGUUAAUUUGGGGACCCAUCUACCCUCAAAAGAUAAUUCUCCCUUAAAAAUAUAAAUUUAAAUAUGACAUAAUUAUUAAAUAUGUUAGAUCUUGUAUGAGUUUAUAAGAUUUAUGUUUCAAAAUAACAUGUUUAUAAUUCAUCUAUUGAUUUAUAAUCAAAUUUUAAAUAAAUUAAAGUUAUUCAAGUUAAUAAAUAUGAUUUAUGUUAUAAAGACUAACUAAAAAAUAAUUUAUUAAUUAAACGGAUCCUGGUCAAUAAAAAUUUGAUUUAAAUACGAUCAUACUUAAUCAAAACUUAGGUCAAAUUGUAUUGAUAAAUUACAUCAAAACCUUGUUGUGUUCAAUAUUUUAUAUUAAACUAUUUUUUAAUAAAAUUAUUUUUAUAAAUAUAAUAUUACAUCAUUUGGAGAAACAAAAUAGUAUUAUAUUGAUUUUACAUAUAAAGCAACCAGUUAACCCCUCAUUAUUUUGAUCCAUUUCACAUCCAUAUCAUUCUCAUAAUUUUUUUAUAAUAUAUUAACAUGAUGGACGGUAAUUGAGGGUAGAAAAAAAAGAUGAGAAGAAUAAAAUAAUGUGAAUCCUCUCUAAAUGUUACAUCUUCUGACAAAUGAAGUCUAUAGAAAUGUGUAAAAAAAAAAAAAACACUUAAUUGUGAGGUUCACUUGAUUUAGCAAAAAAUUAAUAUUUUAUUUGUUGUGUGAUUUAAAAAUAAUAUUUUAUUUUUAAAAAUAAAAAAUUAUUUUUAAAGUUUUUUAACACUAUUUUACUAUUGUUCUUUGAAAUAAUUUUUAAAAUUAAAAUGAAAUAACUAAUAAUUUUUAGAUAAUAAAUUAAAGUUGUUUUUAUUAGAUUUUAAAAAUAAAAGAAAAAUAUAAAACCAUUUGAUCAAAUUUUUUUAAACUUAUUUUUAAAAGGUUUUUUUUUUUUUUUUUUUUUUUCUAUCCUAAGUUAAAAGAUAAAAAAUAAUUUUUAAAGAUAGGUUACGAGCAAAUGCCACAAACUUUUUUCUUCUCUUUCCCUUGUUCGGAUAGAAGUGAAAAAUAUCCUCCCAUGGAUCGACAUUACGUGAGCCAUCACCAUUCCCCAACUGCAAUUCAACCGCCAAAGCUGAGGUGUCAUUAUUAGUUUGAACAAAAGUCAGCAUUGUCCACGUGGUGACAAGCGGAACUGACCCAACUUGCAAGGCAAAAAAAUAAAUAAAAUAAAAUGAAAAAAUCAGAUCACCAUUAUGACGUCAGUCCAAUUGCUGACCUGGCCGCCGUCCCCCAUUUGACCCACGUGUUCAUUUAACCCAUUCGCCGUAUGCCGUGGCUCCCCACCCAUAUGGCCAUAUCUGCCAUUUAUUUUAUCCGUUGCCUCCAUUCGGUUUUUGGAUUUUACCCAUUCGCCCUCGUCUAUUCCCAUUUCCGUAUUUGCCCACCAAGGAAAUUCAAUUCCCAUGCUUUUGUUUUACAUUCAAAUCCUCCCCCCUCUAUAUAAAGGAGGGAGUAGGGCUUGAAAGUUUCUCAAGCCAACAUGGACUGUUGAGAGUGAAAGACAGAGGAGCCACAAACAAAUAUCACUCACUCAAACCAAAGCCAAAACCAAUACCGAAUUCAAUUCAAAUGACUUCUUUCUCUCUCAUCAAUUCCCUGAAUUCCGAUUCCGAUUUCAAUUUGUUAUCGGAUUCUUUUUCCUGGGAAAACUCCCUACCUUUCAAUGAAAACGACUCCCAGGAGAUGCUCCUCCUGGGCAUGCUGGCCAGCUCCACUCAGGAAACCUCAGAAACAGUUUCUUUGAAUCGAGUGAAGGAGGAAGAAGUGACUUCCCAGGAAAAUCCCGAGAAGGAGAAGUCAUACAGAGGCGUUAGGAGGCGGCCAUGGGGGAAAUUCGCAGCAGAAAUAAGGGACUCGACCAGGCAUGGCAUAAGGGUGUGGCUGGGAACAUUUGACAGUGCAGAGGCAGCUGCUCUGGCCUAUGAUCAAGCUGCUUUUGCGAUGCGGGGCCCUGCGGCAGUCCUCAAUUUCCCGGUGGAAAGAGUGAAGGAAUCGAUGCAGGAGAUCAAGUGCAUCUUGGAGGAGGGGGGCUCACCAGUGGUGGCCCUCAAGAAGAGGCACUCUAUGCGGAGAAAAAGUCCUUGCAAGAAACAUAAAAGUGAAGAGGUGAGGUUAGAAAAUGUGGUAGUGCUGGAGGAUUUGGGUACUGAAUACUUGGAACAGCUCCUCACUUUCUCUGAGACCUCUAGUCCUUGAUCAUCAUCAUCCAUCACCUGGAUAGCUUCUUCUCUUUGCUCUGUUUCUUACUUUUCUCUCUCUCUCUCUCUCUCUCUCUCUUUUUUUUUUAUGUAAUUUUUCUUAAUGUAUUUUUGGAGAUGGCGGGGGUGUAGUGGUGGCAAUUAUCCAUCUAGAAUUUUUCAAAAGAUAUGUUCUUUUGUUUCUUUGUAUAAAGUUGAAAAGUGGGGAUCAAUUGUGAUGGUGCUCUAUGUUCAUCCACCCAAUUUAUAUAAUCAAGGUGAUUAAUGUUUUUUGAUAUCAACAAUUUGUGAAUGACAUAGAGAGAGAGAGAGAGAGAGACCUUAUUUUCUACACUCAUUACGGUGGUUUCCAUUUGGGGAAGGAAAAGGAAAUGGCUAAGAAUGUUACCAAAAGAAGUGGGGUGGCUUUCAUAUGCGUGGUGGCAUACUUGCAUACAAACUUUUCAAUUGUGUUCUGCAUGCCACUCGGGUCAAUUUCAUUUCUUUUACUCCUAGUAGCCUAAUUGGAUUUCCUUUUUCUCAUGAGACAUCAAAUAAAUUUCAUUUUUUUAUAUUUAAAUAGUUAGGUAAGUUUGAUAGUGAGUUAUAUUUUAUACAUUAAUUCAUCUUUUAGAAUGUUGUCUACAAUAUAAACAGUGUAAUUAAUUUCAUCAUUACAGAACAGUCAUCUUAUAAAAUAACAUAAAAAUUAUUGGAUCACUUGUAUGGCACCACUGAUUUGGACUUGGUAUGGCUCUGUUUGGCUUCAUAGAAAAAAUUUGGACCCAAUUUGAAUGUCUUGCAUAAAAAGAGAUACGUCCCACUUUGAAUGAUAUUGAAGAAAAAAAUUUCUGAUGAAGAAUAUAUUGUUGGCAGGGUCAUGCAGGCCAAUAGGGAAACGAUAAAUUCAGAAGAAUGAGUCCAAACCAGUGGGCUUGAAAAUUAAGAAGAGAAUUGCUGUAUAAAACAAUCAUUUCUUAAUCGAGUUCACUUUCUGAAUAAUCGUCACUUUGAGAAUGCAUACUUAGGAAGAUGAUGAUCCUUAAUGGGAAUAAUCAAAGGCAUCAAAAAAUUGUUCUGGAACAAUUCUUGAUUGUCUCCAGUAAAAUUCAAAGUCAAAAGUCAAAAGUCCAGUCGGUCAACACCAAACCAGGCCAGUCCAAAAGACAUUAAUUUGCAAUCUAGAAUCUAUGAUGAGGUGGCGAAAUCAAACCUUGGCUUUUCACCAGGGAAUGGUACUCUGAAUUUGGUCAGUUCACUGUUUCGAGUGAAUAGGGUGUAGUAAUUAGUAAAUCAUAUUUUAGAUUUGUGUCACAAGUUACAAGGGAUAUGGGCUGACGUUCAAUUUUGGCGACAAUUUGUGGGCCCGUAUAUUUGUUGAGAUGUGGAAAUUGGGUGUGUGCUUUUUUCUGCUACCACAUAAAUAUAUUUCUUUGAAUUGAAGAGUGUUUCAGACCAUUUUUUUUCAAGUCACAAAUGGACAACUGAUUGAGAUUGUAUUGGUGAGAGUAGGAGUUUAUUUUGGGCUGGUUGAGCGAAGUUGAAAGUCGAGUUGGACCUAACCCUUGAAUUCAGCAGACUACAGUCCGAUCCUGUAUUUUGGAUUUAGGGAACCUUCUUUCCCAGAAGCUUCGUCUGGGUUUUAAAGUCUAAAUGUGGCUACUCUUAAACAUUGGAGAAAGGAUGAGCGUUCACAAGCAAAUGGGUAAUUGUGGAUGGUUCAAGGACCUGGCCAGCUGGUCUUCAAGUUUGGAUGCCGGUUUGGGCCUGAGAGAGUCUUUGCAAAGUGACUUCACUUCAGCCUAUGAGAUCAAGAUAUCAUGGUGAUGUCCGAUCACUUAGGUUUCAUUUUCACCUCGGAUUACCGUUACCAUGUUCAUGAAUAAAAAUAAAUAAAUAAAUGAAGCCUUAUAGAGAAAUUAAUGAAGUGAGCUAUACAAGCAACUGGGCCAGGAGCCUACAAGGCAGAAAUUCCCUGCCCUAGACUAGGCCGAAUAAAUUAGAUGAAUGAAUUGGGGAAACCUGGGCCAGCCACACAUCCUCCUGAAGGCUGAUGUCGAACUCGCUUACGAGGAAUGGACAUGGGAGAUUGGGCUGGGACCAAAUAACCAAUUGACAGCCCUAUCCUUGUGGCAAGACGUCAGUAAAAUGGUUCAUUCUGAUUUUACGCUGCCAUUCAAUUUAAUUUUAAUUUUUGUUUAAAGCGAUGUACAAAUUGAAUGGUGUCUAGUCACUUAAAGAGUGGUUCAUAAUACACUUAAUUUAAACAAAAAAGAAAUUAUUAGAUAGGGGAUUCUCCAAUAAAAACCACCCCAUCUUGUCAGCAAGUCCGGAAACUUCCUUCACUUAGGGCGUAUUUGUUUUUUUAACUUUAAUAUUAAAGAAAGUUGGUUAAACCUUAUGACACUUUUAUAUUAUUUUAUGAAUUUUUUUUAAUUUUUAUUUUAAUGGAAUUUUAACUUUAAUACAAGUUGGAGUAAUUCUUAUCUUAAAAACAAAUCAAAAUUACUUUAAUUUUAUAUAGAAAUAAACUUACAGUAAAUUUACCAUGAAAAUUUCUAAGUCAAAUACACCAUAAGUGCUAGUAUUUUAUAAUAUUUAGAAACAUGUUAAAUUAUUAUUAUUAUUUUUUAAAAUUAUUAGUUUUCAUAUUAGUUUUAGGGAAACUUGUGCUUUAGGUCUUUUAUUUGCAAAUAAUAUGGUUUUCAAAUCCUAAGAAUAGAAAAUAUGAGAAUCAACUGUUAAUGUGGAAAAUAAUAUCAAUUUUGUGCAAUCUCUAUUGACUCAUUUUUUUGUGCCUAGAUUGCCUUCACCCACUUCCAUGUCAACAACCACAUUAAUAGAUUGUUUUUUUUUUAUAAAACAAAUAAUUAUUAUGUUUAAAAUUUUGGGGAAACUCUCUAUCUCUCUUACUUCUUCACUACAUCCGAGACCCAUCUUCCUUAAACGUUUGCCUCUCAUUUUGCCCUAACCCCAAAUCUCAUAAAUUUCUCAUUUUCUUGCCUCAUUUGAAAUAUGAAGAUGACCGAUUCUCAAACAUCUCUGUCUCUCUCUUCACGUUUUGACCAGUCUAAUUGGAAACCCAUUUUCCAAAAACCUUCUUUCUUUCAUUUUGCCCUAACCCCACUAUCUCCCUCUUCAAGACCUAAUCACCCAAACUCGAUAUCUAUCUUCCCAAAACCUUCAAGCAAACUGAACUAGACCCAUAUCUUCUUUUUUCAUCAUCAAAGGUGAAAUUUUUUUAAGGCUUUUGGAAACCGAAUUGGAGCUUUCCCUUCUUCUGGGAUUAAUCAUUCGCAAGUGAGUUUUCCAUUUAAGGCUUUGUUUGGCUGUUGAAAUCUUGGGAUCAAAGGUCUUUUAUUUUCAGGUUUCUUGUAUUUUGCUUUAUUUUCUUGUAUAUAACAAUAAUCAUUGUAACAUAUGCUAGUAGUUACCCUUGGUGCAACUUUACAUUUCCAAAUACCCUAAAGUCCAAAGCUUUUAAUUCCCUUUUCAAAGCUUUCAACUUUGAAAGCAGACUAAACCAUAAGAACUAUGAAACUUAUAUCUCUAUCACCACUAAUUAAGCAUGUCUAUGAAUCCUUCCACUUUAAGUCACUUAUUCUCAAACCAAGAAGGGCUCCUCUCAUUCUCACCCCACCUCAUCUAAAUGAGGGAAAUGAUCAAUUGCAGCCAUGCUUUGCACCAAAUUAGAGAAGUGAUCCUCCCAAUCAUCCAUUACCAAAAAUUGAUCAUGCUGAUGAGAUCAUAAGAGUCUAUUCGGAACUCCCAGUUUACUUGCCUCUUAUCUCAGGAUCCUCCAUUACCCCCUGUCUUUCCAACAUCAAAUCAACUUGCAAACAAUUCCUUUGUAGAUAAAAUGUUUUUAAUAUUGCAAAAGGGGACUUAUCAUAAUGGUUGAAUCGAUUUAUUUGAUAUAAUCACUCAAAUUCAAGCUUAAAAUUGAUCAUAAUAAAAUGUUUUUAAUAUUGUUAAAAGGAGAUUAUAAUGGUUUUAUUUGAUAUCAUUACUAAAAUUCAAGCUUUCAAACAUGCUCUACAAAGAAGUUCUAAAAGACUACAAGAAAGAGUUUCCACUAAAGAAAAACAAUGAAACCAUUUCUACUAAAGACAAACAAUGAAACCACAGAUGCUUUGUGAAAUAUGUACCCGCACAAUCCAACAAACUUUAGAAAUUCACAAACACUACCUAGAAUUUUUGCUGACCAGCAAAAAAUUUAUGCAAUUUAAUUCUUAUUGUUAUUAUUAUUUUCAAUGUGAACAAAUAUGAUUGAAUUAUGAAGUAUUUGGCCAGAAGAGGAUCUUGCCUAAUUAUAGUCAUUAAACAACCAUUUAUACCAUAGCCUCUAGACUUUAAAAAGUUUAUAAAACUCAAGGGCUUCCACCCAAUUUCUAGAUAUCUCCAUAACAUUCUUCUGACUAUUAGAAAGCAAUUACCACUUUAAUUUUUCAUUUCAUGAGUGUUCAAUUCAGAAAAAGACCAGGAUCGAACUUGCGAUCAUGCAGUCGAAAAUCCACCUGUGCAUGAAACUAUUGCCUCACGAUUGCAAACUCAAGUUGGAGUCCAGUAACAACUCUAGGUUUGCUGAUGUGCUCCAUUUGAAAUAAAGGAACUAAAGAAUACUUUAUAAAGAUUAAUUACCUUCAUAUUUUAGGUUGGGGUUAAGGCAAAAUGUGAUAGAUUGAGAGGAAGAAAAUAUAUCUUGUUCAGGAAGCCAAUAUUUUGGAGUUCACCUUUCCAUUCGAGUCCACUCUGCUAUAGCAAAAUCAGAGUCACAACUAUGCCUCUUUAAGCUAUCCUUUAAUUGGAUGAAUUGCAGAUUUGGUUGCUGAGAAAGUGGAUAAGAAAGAAAAAUGCAUACUGUAGCUUGAGAUUAAGAGUUUGUUUUCUAAAAUGAGAGAAAGGGAAAGAGAAAAAAUGCAUAUUGUAGCUUGAGAUUAAGGGUUUGUUUUCUAAAAUGAGAGAAAGGGGAAGAGAAAUGUUCGACAACUUUGAGAUGACAAAUUUUUAGAUUUGGAAAAUUUGAGAUGAGUCUCAGGUUUUUUUUUUUUUUUUUUUGUCUUUGUCUUUGUUUUUUUUUUUUUUUUUUGUUUUUUUCCCAAAAACAACCUGUUAAUGUGGUUGUUGACAUAGAAGUGGGUGAGGGCAAAAUGGGCAUAGAAAAAAGAGUCAACACAAAGUGCACAAAACCCAUAUUAUUUUCCACAUUAAUGACUGAUUCUCAUAUUUCUUGUUCUUGGGAUUUGAAAACCAUAUUAUUUGCAAAUGGACCUCCCAAAGCACAGGUUUCCCUUAGUUUUAUGUCUCCAUCUACAUUUUACAUAUAAAUAGAUUAUUUUAUAAAAUUUGUUUUGUAGAUAUAUUAGUUAAUAAUUAUAUAAUUAAUGAUAUAGAAAACAUAUAAAAAUCAUAUUUAAAAAAGAUAAUUACAUAUUCCUCAACAAUCCAUCCCAAGAAUUCGAGGUUGAGUUGAAAACAUGUAGAGUCUUUGAUGUUAUUAUAAUCAUAUCCAACACAUAUGAUUAUUGUUUAUGAGAUAUUAUUAGAAAGUUUGUCUUAAAAUAAUUGAUUUAUUACCCACCUUUAGCAAAUGCCCAUUUUUGCGUCUUUCAAAAUUUUCAUUUUUUUUUUGUUUAAAAGAAGUAUUGUAAAGAAUGAUGAAAUAAGAAAUUUGUUGAGAAAGUGUGAGUAAAUAAUUUUACAUAAAAAGAGAUUUAAUACUUGAUAAAUAAAAUAAUAAAAUCAUGAUUUCUAGUUGUAUAGGGCCGGGUGGAUGGAGUGGCUAAGAUGUAAUUCUUGAAAUAGAGGAGACAACAUCAAUGUAUAAAAGUUUAACAGAGAAGGAAAGUGUGUUUGAAUGACUUUAUUUUCUUCAUUUAAAGUUUUGACGAUGAGUGUUUAUACAAGAUAAAUUUUCAAAUGAUAGGACUCCUAUUUACAUGGAGUUUGUGAUAUACUAUGAUUAUACAAAUUUAAAAUUCAAACAGAUUCAUGAGUUGAUAGGAGUCUGCUCAAUACGCCCCUUCAAAAUGGUGGGAGAUAGCACACCAAUCUUGACUCGAAGGGCCUAAACUCGUGCAGAAGAUGAGGGCUUUGUUAGAGCAUCGACAAGUUGAUCCGUGGUUGACAUAUGGGACACCUUGAGCUCACCUGAUUAAACCUUGUUUCAAACAAAAUGAAAAUCAAUCGCCGAUGUGUUUCAUGGAGAGUGAAACAUGGGAUUUGCACAAAGAUAUGUUGCACCCACGUUAUCACAAGAGAUAGGAGGUGGUGAUAAAUUUGAAACACUAAGUUUUGAGAGAAGAGAAUUAACCCAAAGAACCUUUGAGGCUGUAGAGGCCACGACGUGAUAUUUCGCUUCAGUGGAAGAGCGUGCUAUGAACUUUUGUUUCCUCGAUGACCAAUACACAAGAUUGUGACCAAGAAAAACAAUGGGAGCAUUGGUGGAGGAUCUGACAUAAGGAUUCCUUGCCCAUUCAACAUUCGAAUAUGCAUGUAGAUUGAUGGGCGAUUUCUUAUGCAAGAACAGACCAUGCACCAUUGUGCCGACUAAGUAUCUAAGCAAUCUUUUAACACAAGACCAAUGUGUUGAUGUUGGAUGGUGCAUAAAUUGAGAUAAUUUAUUCAUCAAGAAGGUGAUGUCAGGGCUAGUAAGAGAGAAGUAUUGAAGGCUUCCAACAAUUGACAUAUAUUUAGUGGGACCAGGAAAAGAGGUGUCAUCACACAGAUUUGGAACAUUGUUGAGGAACAUCAAUGAUUGAACUGGUUUGGUAGCCACCAUUUGUGUUUUCUUAAGAAGCUCUCGAAUGUACUUGAGAUAAAAAUAAUCCUUUGGAAGUAUGUAUCAUUUCAACACCAAGAAUAAAAGAUGAAGUCCUGAGAUCCUUAAUGGAGAAUUUGACUGCUAAUUGAGAGAUCACGCGAGCACGAAAAACAUUAUUGUUACUUGUUAAAAUAAGAUCAUCAAUAUAAAUAAGUAGGUAAACAAUGAGACCACUCUUUUUAAAAAUGAAGAGGGAUGUCUCGGUUUAGGAGUUGACGAAGGCUAUUGAGAGGAGAAAUUGGCAAAGUUCAUGAUACCAUGAUCGUGGAGCUUGUUUAAAGCCAUAAAAAGCCUUACAAAGUUGGCAAAUGUGAUGAUGUGUGUAUUCGUGAACCCAGGAGGUUGAAUCAUGUAAACAUCUUCAUGAAGUGUCCUAUGCUAGAAUGCAUUAUUAAUGUCCAAUUCAUGAGUUGAUAGGAGUCUGCUCAAUACAAUGUGGGAGUGUGAUUUCAAAAUUAGGGUAAUUUCGAAAUGGAUUUUGUAUUCACAAGUUGAAUUUCAAAAUUAUUUUGAAAUGGUCUUUUAACUUUAAGCAGUUGUGUUCAAAAGGUCAUAACUUCUUCGUUUCAAUUUUGAUUUACACAUUGUUUAAAACAUUGGACUCUUUACUUCCCGAGCUUCAAAACGAUAUAUAGUAUGCUCAAAAAUGACAUCAGGAUUGGUUCAAAUUUCAUCUUGAUAUUAGAGUACAUGUUGUGAUUAGAUUUUGAGUUCCAAAUUUCCAUGUAAACUUGAUUGCAUUUGCUUCAAACCUCCUUCAUUAUGGUUGCUUGCCCUCUAUCUCACUUUGCAACAUUUGUUACUAGUAUUUUAUGUCCAUGACUUACUCAUUUCAACCUUUCUUGGAUUCUUCAUGGUUCACAAAUUAUGGAUUCUUCAUGGUUCACAAAUUGAGUCUUUCAAUUAUGCAUGUUUAACUCCUAUUUCCUUGGUUGAUAAUGACUUUUACACUUAUCAUUUUCUUUUAUUCUUUAAACCUGAAUUUAGACUUACAAAAAAAAGUUAGAUCCAUAACUAGGGUCUUAGCAUCAAUUUGAGUUAAGUUGGAUGAUUUGAAAAUUUUAUAUUACAUAAAUCAUAUCAUACAUGUGCCAUUGGAGUGCACAUUUUGGCUCUAAUCAUGUUCCAACCCAUUGUUUUACUCUUGCAUGAAGUAUGUGGCCAUUGAUUUUAAUUUUAUUUGCGAUUAGGUUCAAAAUGGUGCUUUUGUGUUGCUCAUGUGUCAUCAGAAGAUCAACUAAUGGAUUCUCUAACAAAACUACUACAUCAUAGUCAUUUUUUUUUUUCUUAAGACCAAGAUUGAGAUCUCCAAUCGGAGCCAACUCCAUCUUGGGGGCAUGUUAGUGAAAGAUAAAAUUUAUCUUUAAUUUAAAUAUUAAUAUUUAUCAGUUAUUAGUUUUAAUUAGAGUAAAAGAUAGAGUUUAAAUUGGAGUAGGAGAUAAACUUGUGUUUGAACUAGAAUAGAAGAUAAAGUAUAAAGAUUUAUGUUUGAAUUAGAAUAAAAUAUAAAGUUUGAAUUAGAGUAGAAGAUAAACUUGUUCUUUAUUUGUAUAUAAAUAUUCAUCAAUUCUUGAGAAGAAGAUUAUUUCAUAGUUUUUCUAUCUUCUUUUUUCUUCAUACAUAUCUGCAAGAAAUUGAAGAUUUCAAGUAAAAUAUUUUCUGUUUUAAAUAGUGAAAAAAGCUAGAAAUUCACUUUGUUAUCUCUUGGGGUAAAUUGACAAGGUUUAACGUUAAGAAGGUGAAUUAUUUUUUCAGAAAAACUGAAGUAGCUAGGAUAUCUGGCCAGUUGUGAUCGAUAAAAAAGUUGUAAAAUCUCUCAUAUACUAAACAGGUUUUGGAUGUUGGUAUGGUAAAUCCAUCUGCAGUCAUUCGUCAUCUCAUCUAGUGAGAUGUUUGGGAGGUGGUGACCGCCGGAUUGGGUUUCAUUUGGUUAAAUCUGUCAGUGGGUUGGCUACUACCCGAGCCUCUUGCUUUGGGGGAGGUGGGUUCUAGAUAUAAUGUUCAAACCAUUUUAGUUAUCAUAUGCAUGACAUGUAAGCAUAAUCUCUUUAUCACUUCUUCAAUGGGAGUUCAUGGUUAGGAAUUGACUUCUUUUCUUCUGGGAUGCUUGGCAUGUAAUGGACAAAGUUACUUUUAUAUCGAUCGAAUUUCUAGUAUUAUAGUGAAGACUUACCCUUUUGACAUUUUAUAUCGAAUUAUAGAAGAUGAAAGGGACAUACAUGCAAUCGACUGACGCUUUAGUGAAUAUGCUGAAAAUAUGCUGAUGCUGUGGAGAUCGUAUGAGGACAGAGGAAAAAGAUAGAAAUGGAUAUAUAAUUAGACCUAGGUUUUUAUUAAAUGAGAUGGGGAACAUAGAGUGAGGGAAAAUCAAAAUUUUUGGCUGCAGUUCACAUUGGUGAUAUUUUGGAUUGACAAAGACUAACGACUUUUCUAUUUUUCUUUUCGGCCUGACUGGAUAGUUGGACAUGGACAAUACAGAAUCCACAGAAGGAUUGUUGGGACCGCUGAAAAUUAGCUAGAAGAAGCUGAGGAAGUAGUCUACGUAGUCAAAUACCAAACACAAAGAAAGAAAGAAAUGGAUAUCAUGGAUGCCUAGAGUUAUACUCCUAAUACCGUCACAGGUAUUUUUCUUUCCUCCUUUUUUUUUCUACGAUAAUUAGAGCAUUUCUCCUCCUCCUCCUCCUCCUCCCCCCACCCCACCACCAAAAAAUAAAAAAAUAAAUUAUUGCAAGUAACACUUCAAAUAUUAAUUUAUACAUUCUAAAGUAUAUAUUCAUGAAAUAACUUGAGUAUCAUACAUUAGUUCUCAAAAAAAAAAAAAAAAAAAAAAAAAAAUUACUGGAAGAGAAAAGUUUAAGAAAACAUAAAAAUAUUCAACUACUAUUUUAAAGAGAAAAUUUAAUUUUUACACUAUAAAUUUGAAGAGAACUUUUACAUGCAUCUUAUAUAAACUACCAUUUUUUGCUAAAAGGCUUAAAUUUGUCAAAAAUACCCCUUAGGUGCUUAACGUUCUGGUCAUAAUAUAAUUGGCAUCUUUUCUCAAACAUAAGGCCUGUGUGUGGGAACAAGAUUUAAUGUUAAUGAGCUUCGCCACCGACAUUUAGUUCCAGAAAUCAUUAUUUUAAUAGAGUGGGCUCAAUUUACAACUUUAAUUAAACUCUAACCAACUGCAUUGUGAAAUGAAUAUGUUUCUUUCGUGGUGAAUCCAAUGAGUUGGGAGUCAAACUUUGCUUCAUUGUGUAUAGAUGAAAUGUUAAGACUCCAUGUAACCUCAAACAUUUCCGCAAUNNNNNNNNNNNNNNNNNNNNNNNNNNNNNNNNNNNNNNNNNNNNNNNNNNNNNNNNNNNNNNNNNNNNNNNNNNNNNNNNNNNNNNNNNNNNNNNNNNNNUUCUUUCGUGGUGAAUCCAAUGAGUUGGAGUCAAACUUGCUUCAUUGUGUAUAGAUGAAAUGUUAAGACUCCAUGUAACUCAAACAUUUCCGCAAUGAGCGGGAGUUCUAAAUUUAAUAAUUGAAAUUGUCAGUGGAACCAGUGGACAAGAGUUGGUUUGUGGUUGACAAACUUAUCCGUUUGAUCUUUACUUGAACAGUUCCAGUGUGUGGAUGGGUACUGAUGAAGUGUGCGCAUUUAUUUUGAGAAGCCUGCUUGUUCGCAUAGAUUUUAACGACAUGAACAUUGUGGUAAGGUUAGAGAGUAAUGCGAAUGUAGGAGCUUAUAUUAGAAAUGACACAAACACGUAAAUAGAAGUAAUCUAUAUAUGAUAUUACUCAUGGACUACAAGCAAAGAAGUACAAUACAUGGAGUAAGUGAUGAAAUGAGCAUUCCUCACUACUACUGCUUGACUGAUGGAACAUGAUGCACGAGAUAGCAUAAGUAGUAGUAGGAAGCAGCUCUUAUUUGUGGCGUCGGUAUACAUCAUACUAGGUAGAUGGUUCAAUUGGCAUGGAUGGGUGGUGGAGCCUUGAAGUGCUUGUGAUGGGGAGCCCACGGCUUCUUCUCAGGAGUUGGUGGCUUCUUGUAUGGAGUUGAUGGAGGUGUUUCUACUGGAGGGUGGCCAGGGUAGUGACCCUGGGGUGGUGAAGGUUCUUUUGUCGGUGGUGGCCUCACUAUUAUUGGCGGUAGAGUUGGUGGCUUGGGCGUUGGCGGUGGUCUCACUACUCUUGGGGGUAGAGUUGGUGUCUUGUGUUUUGGUGGUGGAGGUGGCUUAACAGGAGUUGGUGGCUUGUAUUCUGGGGGUGGUUUCUCCACCGGAGGUGGCUUAUAAACUGGAGUUGGUGGCUUGUAUUCUGGGGGUGGCUUCUCCACUGGUGGUGGCCUGUAAACAGGGGUUGGUGGCUUAUAUUCUGGGGGAGGCUUCUCCACUGGAGGCGACUUAUAAACAGGGGUUGGUGGCUUGUAUUCCGGGGGUGGCUUCUCUACGGGAGGUGGCCUGUAAACAGGGGUUGGUGGCUUCUCCACCGGAGGUGGCUUAUAAACGGGGGUUGGUGGCUUGUAUUCUGGGGGUGGUUUCCCCAGUGGUGGAGACUUGUAAACAGGAAGAGGUGGUUUGUGCUCAUAUGGGGGUGGCUUGUGGUCAUUAGCAAGUGAGGGAGUGGUGAGGACCACCAAUCCAAGGAACAACACGAGUGAGCAAGCAGAAGACAUGUUUGGGCUCUGGUGAUGCACAAGUAGAAGAAAUGGGAACCAUUUAUAAUGCUUCGAGACCUUGGUUAGCACCAAAAUAUGUCAAAAUCUUGAUUACUUCAUUUCAUACAUAGAUUUAAAAUUAUUUCAAUCAACCAUGAUCCUUAAUUUUCUGGGUGGUCCAUAAAUGUAAUGGGGUCAAUUUGGGACCUAACAAGCUGAGAAGUUUGACAAUGCUGCAAGGCUUCAUCCGAAAGUCCGGGGAAGAAUAUUAGGAGUUACACUCCGUUUCCUUUUUUGGGUGCAUUUUUCUCCUUUAACAUUCUAUUCCCUUUUACAUUAGCAUUUGAUCUUAGCUCAUUUCAAGUACAAGUUUCUUGAACCCUAUACCAUUGUCAAAGUUGAGUAACCAUCUCUACUUUGCUCAAGAAACAUAAAAGACAAUGACAAUAAAGAAAAAGGAGAGAGACCAUACGUGACUUGGUUUAUAGGUGGCUUUGUGUUGACAUUUGAGUAUGGAAGCCGACAUGCAUCUUAGCUUCGAUUUUAAUUAAAUUUGUACAUUAGUGUCUGUGUCAUUCAUUUUGGUAUAAAAGGUCUCUUGAUUUCGUAAGUUUGGUAAGAACCGUUGAAAAUAGCAGUAGCAGCACAUGGUCCACUUUCUUUCACAAAAUAAUUUUAAAAGUUUAGAAGCAUAGGAGGUAACAUUAGUGGCCUUGUGGCUCAGCCACGAGUACUAUGUGGUGCUCGAGAAAUUGAGUUUAAUUUCCUUCCGAUAGUUCAUGAUAAGGUCCGUCACUGUCCUGAGACAGAUUGCGUUUUUUCUUUUUUCCUUUUUUAGUGUUUUAUUGACUAGCUAGGUGUGACUUUUCCUACUUUAAGGCACGAGGCAGAAAAGAAACUGGGAUUUAGUGCUUAAGAAGGCAAAUUUAAUUCGAUUUGGAUCUAAAAUUUGCCAGCAACAUGAGAUUUUCCAGCCUAUCGUUGCUCCACAUAUAGACAAGGCACUUGUAGAAGUGGCUUGUUUGUAGCCAUUCCCGAUAUUUGGACUCACUUGAUUCACCGGACACUUUGAUAAAAUUUAAUAUUUAUUAUUUAAUAAUUUAAAUUGAUUUAAAAUUAAAUUAUACCGAAGUUGUGAUUUAAAAAUUAUUAUUUAAUUCUUACUUUUAAAUAUGAAGAUUAUUUGAUAAAAAUAAUUUAAAAUUUAUUAUAAAUUAUCAAAUUAACAUAUUUAUCCUUAUAAAUUAUAAUUAAAACAGAAAAGGUCAAAUGAUUUGAGUAUCCAUAGAUGUGGUAAAAUAAUAAAAAAGAUUAUAAAAACAAUUAUGAUAAAUAAAGAUAAAAAGUAAAAUGAAUAUGUGAAUUUAAAGAAUAAAUUAAUUAUUUUUAUUUAUUACUUAAAAUUAUUUUUGACUUUAAAUUAUAUUAUUAAAUUAUUUUACCAAACAUACUUAAUUUAGUUAAUAAUUUAAAUUUAAUUUAAGUUAUUAAAUUGAUUCACCAAAUACCCACUUAAUCAAAGACUGAAGUAUACAUUAUUUGGCCAAAUGCAGCUAUUGAAAUUUAACUUUUUCCAAACUUAUUCAUUUUGUGGAAAUAUUUUUAGAAAUGAUUUUAAAAAUGCACUAUUCUGUGUGUUGAUUUUAUAUUUUGGCAUUAAUCCAACAUAGAAAACGGUUCUUAUUUUCGCUGUUAAAUAGGUACCAGAUCCUUAAUUAGUGCCGUGAAUCCGGCAGCUUCCAAUGAGUAAUUUGGACUUGGGUAUUGACAAUGUGUGGCCAUGCUUCUACUAUUUUAUUAUUCUUGAAACAUAUAUGAUAUAUUGGACUUUAUACAGGGAAAAAAAAAAAAAAAAGUCUUCACCAAAAAUGAUUCCUCCUAAAAAAUAGACUCCACAAACUAGGUUUAACAGGAAAAUGAUUCUAAUCUAGUAGUUUCCAGCCACAUGAGCAUUUACGUAACAAUAGUAUAGUUGAUAACGACUUUUAUUUUAUUUAUUUUUAAAUAGUUAAAGGGAUAAUUUUUGAGCUUAAAUUUUAUUUUUUUAUUUAGAAACAUUUUACUUUAUUUUUUAAUCAUAAUUCUAUUAUAUUAAUGUUUUAUUUUCUAUUUUUUAAUAUAUAAGGAGAUACUAAAUUUAUGUGAUUAUUUUUUAAAAAUUUAGUAUAUGAAAUUAAAUAAUUGGAUAUAUAUACAUAUAUCAUAUAAUGUUUUUUAAGUGUGAUUUUUGAACUUUUUAGUCAUUUUAUAAGUUUAAGCUUUUGAUUUUUUUUUUUAAACUUUGGUAUUUUUUAUUUUAUAUAAAACUAUUUUGAUUUAAUUUUAUUAAAAAAUAUUGGUAUUAUAAAUUAUUGUAUUAAUUAUUUUUUUAUAUUAUAAUGUAACUGGUAUAUACUAAAAAAUGUAUGCAAGUUCAAUUUAAGUUUCAAAUUAAAAAAUUUCAUUUAAAUAUUUAAUAACUUGUUCAUAAUAAAAAAUUAAACAACAUAAUACAAAUGAAAAGAAACAUAAAAGAAAAAGGAAAAAAUGGUCCUCUCUGUGUGUCACAUUACUAGGUCAUCCUCUUUUUCUAUGACCCUUACAAUAGAAUGGCAUAUUUGUCAAAUCUACUUAUGAAAGUUGGAAUGUUUCUACAUGUGUAGGGUCCAUUGGAACUAAUGGAGGAAAGGCUUAACGUCUAUGUAAAUCACAACGUUGCCUAGGUGGGCAUAGAUCUAGUUGUGUAACAUGAGAUGGUGUGAGAGUACAAUAUAUGCAUUGUAGUCUCUAUGGGAAGAGAGAUAGGUAAUGGUAGGGUGGUAGACGGUAGGGUGAUCUCUAAUAUAAUGACAUUUGAUGUGGUGGCUUCUAAGAGAGGAGAUAUAAGAGAUGGUAGAAUGACAUUUGGUGUAAUGGUCUCUAGUGCAAUGACAUGUGAUAUGGUGACCUAUAAAGAAGAGAUAUAGGUGAUGGUGAAGUGGUAUGUGGUGUAGUGACCUUUGAGAUAGAAAAUAGAGGUAAUGGUAGGUUGGCAGGUGGAGUGGUCUUUGGUGUAGUGACAUCAAUUAUAAAUGUCUCCAAGGGAGGAAAUAAAGGUGAUGGUAGGUAGUAAAUGUUGAGGUGGUCUUUGAUAUGUUAUGCUCUAAGAGAGAAGGUAUAGGUAAUGAUAAUAGGGAAUUUGACAUAGUGGUGUUGGAAAUAAAAAGUGAAAGUGACCGUAGAGGUGAAAGGGCAAGUGUAAAAGCCUCAAGUACGAAUGGAGUAAUUAAUGUGGAUGGUGCUAACAUAGUCUUAGGUGGAUACACAAAUAGUCAUAGUCAUCAACUAGCUUGCCCACCAUCUGUCUUUCUGCUAGUGAUAGGUUACAUCUUAAUAGUAAUGGCCAACAUAAGUGGUGUGGAUCCGAUUUUUUUACGUGUGUCCCCACUCAAUCGACAAGACUUAUUUUUUAUUAGUGAAAAAUUAAUUUUGGAAAAGUUGGAGUCACCACUUAUUUUAUUUUAUUUUAAAAAGGAAAGUAAAACAAGAAAGAGAACUCUAAAGAAGUGACUUCAUAGUUUUGGAAAAGUUAGUCUUAAAAAAUCCAAGUCUUGGUCCGGAGAUCAGGUUACUUAUUGGGAAGAUACCUCUAAGAGGUAAUACCCCUCUAAACCCUAAAGAAGUCUCUAAUGACUAAGUUGAGGAGAAUGUGGUAAUUAAUUAAUUGAUUGAGGGUACCUAGGUAGACUAAGGUGAUUUCAGAAUUAACAUACCAAGCUAGAAAGUCCAAUCAUGAUCAUAAAAGAGAGUCAAAGUAUGUACCUGAACUGCUUCUCAAACGCUAUCAUAAAACAUCAAAGUUAGUAUAGAAAUAUAACACAUAAUAUUUGUUUUAUCCAAGCAAAUAAAGCAUACAUCUAAGCACCCAAGAAUCACAUCAAGUAUGGAUAUAGUCAUCAAUAGCAUACGUGUCCAUAGAACUAUCGAAAGUAAAUGUGGAGGAGCGUAUCUGGACAACAUAGAUAACUUAUAAUGUGCUUCCACAAGACAUGGGGGUUAGAUAAAAGUUAUAAUAAUAAUUAGUAAAUGAAAGAAUUCUAGCAUGUUUGGUAUCUAAAUAACAUAGCAAAAAUGAACAAGAGUACACGAAAACAUCAAUUAUCACACGAGUCAUAUUGGCUAGUAUUUAAUCAAUAAACCAACAAUAAAUGACUAUAAACAUAUAAAAUGACAUAUUCAAAGAGACCCAAACAUAAAGAGCCUAGAACACAAGCUUACACUAAAUUUAGAAAACUAAAACAUGGAAUUUUAAAAGCAUAAAUUAGCAAACAAAUUGAUGGAAACUAAAUUUAGAUAACUUAAGAAUAUUUUUCUUAUCCUUCAAUUUAAAUCAGUAAGCCAACAAUAAAAAAUUAUAGAAACAUGGAAUAUCAAGAUCAAUGGGAUACCUAAACUAUAAUUUUUAAAAGAAAAUAAACUAAGCAUAAUAUCUACAAAGCAACUAAACUAACAUUUUUUUAAAAAUAAAUUAAACAUGACAUUAAUGGAGUAACCAAACUAAAUUAAAGUAAACUAAAAACAUUUAUGAAUUUUCAAACAUGGAAUCAGCUUUCUUAGUAAAUUAAAAUUAUUAAAAUAAAAUCUAAGCUUAAAAAUGAAUUAAAUACUAACUAAAGCAAAUCUAAAACCAAAUAUUUAACACAUAGGAUCAAUUAUAUUAACAAACUAAAAUUUUAUAAGAACACUUAAACCUAAAGUUGAAUUAAAAACUAACCAAUUUUUAAAACUAGAUCUUUAACCCAUAGGAUCAAUUAUAUUAACAAAUAAAUAAUAAAUAAUAAAUAAAUAAAACUCAAACCUAAAGAUGAACUAGAAAUGUACCAAAGUAAAUUCAAAACAAGAUCUUUAACACAUUAGAUCAAUUAUAUUGACUAACUAAAAAAAAAAAAAAAAAACACUCAAACCUGAAACGAUGUAUUAGAAACUAACCAAAGCAAAUUUAAAAUAGAGUCUUUAACACAUAGGAUCAAUUAUAAUCACUAACUUAAAUUACAAUUUUUGAAACAUGAACUAAUUAGUGUUGGAUUAAUUAAACUAAUUAACUAAAAAAAACUAUAAACUAGAAUACGGUGAAUCAAGAAUUCAAAUCAACAAACAUAAAAUAUGGGUACAAUGAAAUGAAAAUCUAUUAAACUAAUAAGACGGAAAUAUGACAAACUCAUGAACCCACAUUUUGAUCAACUAGGAAAUAGAAAUUAAUAGACCUGUAGCAUGGAUACAAUGAAAUGAGAUCAGUUAAAUUUAUUUGCCGAAAUUCUAAAAAACACAUACACUCAAAUAAGAUCUAAAUCUAAGACCAAGCAAAACUCAAACUUUCUCAAUCUAAUGCAAUGAAUCAAAACUAAAAUUAAAUAGAAAUCAAACCAUUUUUUUUUUAUCUAAUAUAAUAAAUCAAAGCUAAAACUAAACAAAAUCGAAUUUUCUUAAUUUAAUAUGAUGAGUCAAAGCUAAAAUUGAACAAAGUUCAAACCUUUAUAUAAUGGAUCAAAGUUAAAUCUAAAUGAAAUCCAUACUUCCACAAUUUGAUAUAACAAAUCAAAAAUAAAACUAGAUAAAAAAAAAGUCAAAGCCUUUCAACUUGACAUAGUGAAUCCAAACUGAAACGAAACAAAAUUUUAACUUUUCCAAUGAAACCCAAUAUAGAAAAAAUUAGCUUACCUUCUUUAGAAUAUAUGUAUGGGCCAUAAAGAAGUCACCUUGGUGCAUGUGUUCCUCACUUUGACGCCAAUGGACGACUUUCUAUGGUAGCAAAUGGAGAUCCUUUUUGGUGGUAACUUGCGUGUGGAAACCUAUGGUACAACCAAUGUCAUCUUUUAUUGUGCGUGUGGACCAAUUUCUUCUCGAGAACUCAUGUGUGUUGUGCUCAAAAUAUGUUGCCUGUGAGAAUCUAUUGGUAUACCCCACAUAUGGUUUCCUUGAGAGAAUCUGUGGUUGUGUGUGGGCGUUUUCUUCAUGACAGCAUGUGGAUGUUCCCAUCUAUGGUAGAUUGGUUGUGAUGCUUUAGUGCAUGGUCUCCAUAGGAAUAGUGUGUUAUGGAAAUUUGGUUUUUUUAUUGGUGCAUGUUGUCUAGACUUUCCCAUAUGCGUGGACUGUGUGUUCAUGCUUUUCUUUUCGGAUGGUCGCCUGUGUUAAUGUGUGGCGGUGUCUACAAUGAAAGAUACAACCCUUUCUCUCCUUCUGCGUGAUAGAAAAGUCAAUCCCCCAUGGUGCGACUAUGUUCCCUCGUCCUUUUUGAAAAAUUUUGGUGUUUUCCCCCCAAAAAAUCCCCUCCAAAAAUCUAAUUAUAAAUGUCUGCUUUGGCCUAAUGUGUGUGCUACUUUUUUUUUCCUUCUUUUUAUGGUUGUGCGUGCUUUUCUUGAUACGUGGCUUAUUUCUUAAGGAUAUGAUUCGCUCCCAAUUGGUGUCUCAGCUGAUUCAUGUCCUUUCAAUGGUCCCUGACAGUGGUGCCAUUUGAUUCGUGUCCAGCUGGUGUCCCUUGAUUGUGGUCCUCAGAAGGGAGUAAUCAAUAAAAUUUAUAACCUAUUACACCAUGUAUUAGGAUAGCCUUAGCUAGCAUAGCAUAGUGGCUCUAGGGUCGUUUAUUGGGAUGAGUUUUCACUUCACAAUUGAUAUUAAUUCAAGAGCUGAAUUGGUGCCUUUUCAUUUCAAGGUUAGCUUUAAAAGAAAACAUAAUCUUUGGUGGAAAAAGGUUUGGUUUUAAACUAACCAAAAAUAGUAACUGAUUUUACUUACAAAGAAAAGUGUUCUUUGGAGUUUAGAUCACUAGGCUCAGGUUCCUCAUACAAAAAGGAGAGUUCCGAUCAUUUGUUUCUUUUCCUCGCAUUAGAGAAUUAACAUAUAGUUAAUUCUCUAACCGGUGCGGUACAUAUGCUUCCCAUUAAUGGGUUCAAACACUAAAUACCUCUCACUGAUGCACCUUGCAAUGGCUCGUGCCUCUCACCUAGCAUUUAUCAUUCAAGGUGAUCUUUAACCUUGGAUUACCCAUCAAAAGCUCGCAAGAGAUAACUAAAGGAUGUCUCCUUAGAGUCCAAAAGCUUACCAAGUGUUGGUUAUUCUAGAAAAUCCUACCUUCAAACCACCUCCCAAAGGCUCGCAAGAGAUAAACAAGUGCAUCUCAAUGGAUGAAGAUCACUUGCCUUACCAAGUUUUGGCCCAGAUGAUUUAAUGACAUUUUAAGUUAACUAAAAAGAUAAAAACCAUUAACGGGUCACACUUUCUCUUCAUUAAAAACUAAAACAACAAAACUUCCAAUUUAUGCAUGAGGAAACUUACCUGGCUUUCUUCACUUCAAGAGAUGAAGAGCCUAGCCACUCAUCAUUUGAGGAAAAAUCCUCAGAGUUUGAUUUGCUAGAAAUAAAAAUAAUGAGAAAACAAAAAUAUAUAUAUGAAAAACAGAGCAAGUUCUCUGUAAUAUAUUUUUCUUCCUUAUACAAAAGGUUGUCUCUAAGAACAAGUUCCCGAGAUCUAUCUGAUUGUAAAUAAAAUUACAACUAUAUAUAAGAGGUUAUUCACCCCUUUGUUCUUUCUUAAAGACUAAGGAAUCCUAUGAUAGGUGGGUUACAAGGAGAGUUUGGGGAUUUAGACAUCAAAUAUCUAAAGCAAAAUAUCUCAAGAUGUUAGUCGGAAAUAUCAGGAAGCUUCAGGAGAACACCGCGACACUGUAUACUGAGAGAAAAACUCUCCGGGUAAGCUCUAUCAAAGGAUCCAGACAUGUCUGACUGGGAAAGUUGAAACGUCCUUCUCUCCCAUCCGGAUGUGAGAUAUCCGGAGAAAGUGAAAUGUCGGUCGGACAGAAUUCUUUCCCCGGGUGGAAUGAGUUGUGUUGCGCGUCGCAAGGGGGACCGUCUGCGUGUACAAGUUGUAGGGACCCCUCUCCCGGAUGACACCGAGCGCGUAAGGCUAUCCGGAUCAACUCCAUUCGGAUUCCCCAAGAGGACAUGUGGCGUGCUCCCCUAUCAGGACUCCCUUAGGGAGAAGCACACGACACUCGUGAACAUCAUACCCGGACGAUAGCAUGUCCUAUCCGGAUGUGUUGUCCGGAUCAUUGACUAAAGUGAGCAAGCCUUGCUACGUCAUUCGGACAGCUUGCCACAUACCAUGUUCCGUCGCCAUCUGAUGGUGUGUCCGAACGCCUUGUCCGGACAUCUUUUGCUCCUUGCAUUCCGGAUUUGCUUAUGACAAAGGACUUCAAAGCUUCGGUUCUUCAUGUUUCUGAGCUUUCCAUUGCUUUGCCAUGGAUUCCAAAGAACUCUCCUUAAUCACGGAUUGCUUUGGUGAUCAAAAAGUUAUCAAAACACAAAAACUUAACAUAGUUUGAUUAGAAUUGAUUGCAAGGGUUCUUAAUAUGUUAAUUGGGUUAAAAGGUGAUAACUACUACUCAAAAGUGUUUAUAAGAAUUAAUUACAAGCUAUGAAAUAACACUUUUUGAGUAGUAAUCAGGAUACAUCCUAGUUUUUCAUGGAAUUGAUAGUGGGUUGUUGUGCAUGAAUGCCACCAUUUCAACUAUGCUGUUGUUAUUUUUAAAAAAAAUAUGGAUUAUGCGCGAGUGGCAAUUCUCCACUAUGGAAAGUGGAUUGCUCCUUCAACCCAUGCAUGGCUACGUAUUCCUAUGUCUUUCUACUUGUGUUUGAUCCUCCAAAAAAAAUUUCGGUUUAGUGCUAGUAGAUUUUAAGUGGUGGAUCCCCAUUUUUUGAAAAUGAAGUGGCAGCCUCCCAUUUCAAGACAAAAUGGUAGCCUGCCUUUAAUCUUUGGAGAAAAAUCUGUGCAUGACCUUUUUUUUUCCCAAAAAAUCCGUGCAUGGUGUCCUUUAAUAUUUGGAGAAAAAUCUAUGUUGGAUCUUUUCUUUUCUAGAAACAUUUGUGUGGUCUUUUUUGUUAGCCCAAGGGUUCUUCUAAUCAAGUUUUGAUGAUAACAAACCAUGGUUAAGUGACUAAUUGGUUUAAUGAUUAAGAAUCUCAAACAUAAAAUCGAAAAUUCAUCAAAGGACCAAAUGGAUACAAGAUCGAGACGCUUGGAAGACUUGUAAUCAUAGGAAACUAAUGUAAGAUGAAUGCAUGAGUGCACUUAGGAUUUUCACACGUUUCAUGCAACUUAGAAAACCCAGUUUAUUCUUUAAAACUUCAUCCCAGUUUAUUCUUUUUAUGGUUGUGUGUGCUUUCCUUGAUACGUGGCUUAUUUAUUAAGGAUACAUCCCAGUUUUUCAUGGAAUUGACAGUGGGUUGUUGUGUGUGAAUGCCACCAUUUCAACUGUGCUGUUGUUAUUUAAAAAAAAAAAAAAUGGAUUGUGCGCGAGUGGCAAUUCUCCACUAUGGAAAGUGGAUUGCUCCUUCAACCCAUGCAUGGCUACGUAUUCCUAUGUCUUUCUGCUUGUGUGUGAUCCUCCAAAAAAAAUUUUGGUUUAGUGCUAGUAGAUUUUAAGUGGUGGAUCCCCUUUUUUUGAAAACUAAGUGGCAGCCUCCCAUUUCAAAACGAAGUGGUAGCCUGCCUUUAGUCUUUGGAGAAAAAUCUGUGCAUGACUUUUUUUUUCCCAAAAAAUCCAUGCAUGGUGUCCUUUAAUAUUUGGAGAAAAAUCUAUGUGGGAUCUUUUAUUUUCUAGAAAAAUUUGUGUGGUCUUUUUUGUUAGCCCAAGGGUUCUCCUAAUCAGGUUUUGAUGAUAACAAAUCAUGGUUAAGUGACUAAUUGGUUUAAUGAUUAAGAAUCUCAAACAUAAACUCGAAAAUUCAUCAAAUGACCAAAUGGAUACAAGAUCGAGACGCUUGGAAGACUUGUGAUCAUAGGAAACUAAUGUAAGAUGAAUGCAUGAGUGCACUUAGGAUUUUCACACGUUUCAUGCAAUUUAGAAAACCCAGUUUAUUCUUUAAAACUUCAAUUUCAUUAAAACCCGAGUUUUUAACUAAUGUACCUUAGGCAAAAUGUUUUAUAAUUGGCUUAAUAAUUCACCUAAAUACAUUUUCUAAGUGUUAGAAAAGAAAGGAAUUAAAAAAAGGUUUUCGGGGCAAAAAAGGCUCAACCGGUCGAGGCUAUGGUCAACCGGCUCAACCGGUUGAGGAACCAAUCGAUCGGUUGUGCUUGUCCGAUCGAAGACCAAUCGAGGGAUGCCAAAAAAUUUCUCUCUCUCCUAGUGGCCUUCUCUUCCCGGUCGAGGUUCGGUCUAGGCAACGGUAACAUGUCAAGCAUUAAAUGCUCCGACGACUAGUGAAUCGGUCGACCCCUAGCCCGAUCGGACGAGGUUGCCUUUUGCUGUUUUUGACUCCCGAGCUUAGAAACCUAUAAAUUGAGAGCUCCACUUCAUUUAUUGAUAAAAGAGAACACUUGCAUUCAAUAGUCUACCUACCUUUUCUUGAUCAAAAAGCUCUCAUUUCCUUCAUAGUGCAUUAAAUCAUCACUUGCAUAUCCUUUAGUGCACUAUUGUGUGUCAUCCUAGCUUUGUUUUGUAUUUGAGCUAUCCUUAAGCUAGGUUGAGGGAUUAUUUCUUAUAAAAAUCUGAGUGUUAAAGCCUUCAAGAGAUUUGAAUCUUGAAGAGAUUGUGUAAGAGCCCAUUGGAGCCGGAGUCCAAGUGUAAGAAGAUUGGAAGCUUGGUUGAAGCUUCAAGUUAGUGGAACCCUCACUCGGUUAGGAGGUUGAGGAGAGUGGACGUAGGUAAGGAAGUGUCGAACCAUUAUAAACCCGAGUUUGAAUUCUCUAACUCUAUCUCUUUAUUUUGCUUAUAUUGUGUUUGAAUUUGUUGUGAUUGAAAAGAUUUUAAAAACCUAAUUCACCCUCCCCCCUUUUGGGUUUUUUUUUCUUAAUUAAGCAUAACCUUUGUUUUCUAAUUUUCUUUUUAGGAAAAUCCAUGCGUGGUAUGUCCAAACUCUCCAAGUGGCAGUCUGCCUUCUUCUAAAAAAUUUGUUUCUAUUUCUUUAUUCGACUACCUUCCAUGUCUUCCUAAUGAGUGCUUGUGCUCAAUGGUCAAUCCCUGGUGGUUGCCUCCUUUUCCCAUAUAUACGUGUUGCAAAAUCAACAUCCCACUAUAUGUGGGUUGCCUCUAUGGCAAGUUCACAUUUCCCACAUGAAACCUAUGAGUUUCCACCAAAAAUUGCCAUGAAAAAGUCUUUAUAUGCAUCUCAUGCAAUAAAAAGUCAAGCCAAUACUCAUCUUAUCUCGAAAAAUAAGUAACCAAAAUCAAGAUCAUGCCUAAGUGAACUAUGCCAAAAGAAGUGUCCAAGUGACCUAUUAUGAAAAAAGUGCCUAAGUGACCUAAGGUGAAUGUGUGUAAGCUGGAAGGUGUCUAGGAUGUUUAGGACAAUGCCUAAGCCUAAAAUAGGGUUGCCAAGGGUCACAAUGGGGUUAGAUAAAUCUCUCAAUCAGAGUCUCCAAGGUGGCUCAUAAAAGAUAAGCUACACGAGUAAUGAUGGGCCACCAGGGAAUUAUUGUAAAGCACCAAACGAACACAUAAUAGGACAUGUGUUAGAAUGAAAAAAUGGAGGGUUUACAAGUGGUCUCAUGGAUGAGCUUGAUAAUUUAAAUGACUCACAUAAUGAACGUAUGUGAUGUUUCUCUCCAAUAACAAGCAAAACAUCACUAGCAAUAUGAUGAAUGUCUCCUAAAUCACUUGAAGUAGUCCUAGCAAAUCAAUUAGAAAAAUCACACAUAUUGCUCUAAUGUAAUAUUAUAUACAUCUGUCAAUGAAUGGGAGAACUAAUGACACAACCAUCAUGUUGAUAUCUCGAACCCUCUAAUCUCAUAUGUAGGUGGGAUCACACUUAGAAACUCAUAACACAGUAAUGACCAAUCUAAGUCAAAAUGUGUUGGUGAUCGGAGGCCCAUGAAUAUGAAGUUCUAGGAUGAUAAUGACAUCUUAUAAAGUAAUGAUCAUCUCCUUAAUAGAUAGGUGAAAUGUGUGUGUCUUAGGACACCAUCUCUCAACAAGACUUGUGAUCAAUCCCCAGUCUAGUGUAACAUGCCUAUUAUGACAUCCAUCGUAAAAUCUAGACUAGAUAAUAUAAGGACAAAUGUGAGGGUUCAUCUCCCUUUCCCACAUAAAUUUAAAAAAUUAUUAUUGACAAGUUAAGACCAAACUAAGUUGCAAAAUAUAAAUAAGUCCAUUAGAUAACAAAUUUAUGUUUUCUCAUUUUCUCAUUUUUAAAGAGAUAUUAUGUGCUUCCAUGUACAUACAUGCUAAAGUCAAUUAUACGAGACUUAUAUCCAUCUUGUAGAACCAAAUCGAACCUAUCUAAUAGAUCCAGAUUAGAAGUAUGUCCUCUAUACUCCAUAUUUAUAACACAUUUAUAAAGAUAAAUGCUAAAAAAAUGUUAAAGAUAUAAAUUUAAUGAACCAUACUUUAUGAUUUUAAUUCUCAAUUAUUGUUCAUAUUUAUAAGAGAAAAGUUAAAAAAAUUGAUAGAGUUUUCCCUCUAUCAUGGACAUUAUCCCAAAUAAAAAUAAAUUGAUUAUGCAAAUUACAUUAAUAUUUGUAACCAAAUGAUCAAUAACUAUCUUGUAUCAAUUUAGUAAAUAAAUUUAAGUAUAUCUUUUCAUUUAUGACUAACAAAUAACUCAUACUUGUCCAAUAAAAGCCACACCUAAUUUCUAAAAUUUUGUCUUCACCUCAAGUGAGUGUUACAUUGAGAAAGAAAAAAUAUGAAAGAAAAAAUGAACACCUUUUUCUUUUAAUAAAAAAAGGCCAUAACGAAACAUUAAAUCUCACUGUUACACCUAUCUUCAAUGGAAACAUGAGGAUGUGAAUGGUGGCGGUGAUAUUCUUUGCUUGAAGCUCAUAAACAAAUAUUCCUUACUAAGCCUAUGCCAUUUAGUAUUUCAAUAGUGGACCCCCCCCCCCCCCCCCCCCCCCUCCUUGCAUUUCAGAUUUAGCAAACUUAGAACCAAAUAACAAAGUGCAUUUGAACCCAUAAAGAAGUAAUGAGACUCUCCUAUAUUGGCAAUAGAAGAAAUUUUUGGAGGUAUAGGAGAUUCACGGAUGAAGAAGUUGGGCCCCAAUUGAGAUAAGACCCAAGAAAAGAUGGGGUAGAGAGGGAUGGUUGGAAAUUGUAAAGUAAGAUUUUCAAAAUGUAGUUGAUGACUAAGAUUUUGACAAUUUAAAAAAGGUUUAAAAAUGUAGUUAGCAAUCGGGGUUUUGUAACAUUUAAAAAAUAAAAUAAAAUCUCAGGCCACAUGGUAGCCCAUGUGAUUCAGAAGCUUGAGAAUUAUUUUAUAAGAAGACUUAAUUUGUGAUUUUUUUAUAACUAUAUUAUUUUUUUUCUUAACACACGAAAAAAAUUAUGAAAUAAGACAAUUUUCCUAAGAAAGCAUGUAAGUGACUCUUGGUUAUUUUAUUUAACUUCUUCUAGUUUGGAGAGGAUUAAUACCUUUGCUUUUACUCACUUGCUUGGAUAUGUACACGUUGUUCAUGUCACUUUUCAUUUAAUUUUCUGAUUAAGGGAAUUGGAACCGUACGUAACUGUCUUUAUUCCCUCUGAAACUUGGACUUGGAGUUGGACUUUCAAUCUCAUCAGUCGUGUUUCCAUAAAAAAGAAGAUGGAUUAACCAAUUUUCCUAUGCCUACUAAUCAUACACAAAACUCCACUUCCAAAUAAAAAGGAAUGGGAUAUCACUUGUUAAUAGUGGCUAAAGACUAUUAAUAACCAUGCAAAGAAAUGUCACAUUUUUUGUUCUACGCAAAUUUUAUUCAUCAACUACUAGAACCAUUUCAUACAAUAGUAGCUUUUCGAUCCUUUGAUAAAUGGACACUUGAUGUGAUAACACCAACUACACCUAUAUAUUCAAGCAAUCAUGCGUAUAUAAUAGUGGAUAUGGAUUACUUCUCUAAAUGGGCAAAAGUUUUGUCAUUCAAGGAAAGUGAACGAGGAAACACAAGUUUACUUUCAUCGGAACUAAUAUUAUAUAUUGAUAUGACUUCCCAUUAUUACUUACGAUGGAAUAUGCUUCCAUAAAAUGGCCUAGAUGAACAAACUAUCCAAGAAGUUUGGGAUCAAAUAAUAUAUAUAUAGUUCAUGUGUGAUUCUUUGGUUGACAACCUUGUUAAGGGGUGAGUGAAGCACUUUGGGCAUACCACAUACUACAUGCUAGACUUCCACCCAAGCUACCCUAUAUUCCUUAUGAACAAAGUAGAAGUUGUCAUCUCUCUUGAAUACCAAAUCCUUUCACCUAAUAAUGCUAUCUAAAAAGGUCUUAAAAAGGAUAAAAAUGCGCAUAUUUGAAUUUUUGAAUUAGGAGUGCUACUUAAAAAGAAGCUAGAUAUACAAUAAUAGAAUGUUAUCAAGCAUAUCUCUUCAAAGUUUUUGACCAAAAAAUAUAUGAUUUCUCAUUUUAGGUAGGAGACUUAGUACUCACUAUUCAAAAACCAAUUAUCAUUACUCAUAAAAACUAAUAGAAAGUUUGGGCCAAAGUAGGAUGGACCUUAUAUUAUGCAACAAUUAUGCCUAUAAAAUUGUUGCAAAAGAGGUUUUAGAAUCAAAUCAAUGAAUGAAAAAUUAUUAAAGCAUUACUAUGCUUGAAGGCUAGUCAUUUUCCCUUAAAGUGCAAUAUUAAGUUGCAUAGUACUAUGUGGAUCCGCAUUUUUCACAUGCGUUCCCACUCAUUGUCGAGACUCACUUUUUAGAAGUGAAAAAUUAGUUUUAUUAAAGUCGAAGUUGCCACUGGGGAUUUGAACCCUAACAAAAGGUUCAAUUUAAGGAUAAAAAUAUCGAUAAUCACAUAUAUAUAUAUUGGUACUUUGAUUUUAUGAAUAUAUUGAAGAAAUAUGGACAAAUAUUUUGACACAAAAUAUGUACAAAAUAAAAAUUAUAUAAAAAGUAAAAAUAAAUAUUUUAAAAUUAUUUUUUUAAAUAUAUAUAUAUAUAAUUUGACAUAUUUGAUAAUAAUAUAUAAGGGUCUCCAAAAAGCCCGUGGCCCGCUUUAGGCCCGGUCCGACCCGACAGGCUAAAGCCCGGCCCAAGCCCGCCGGGCCCAAGCUCGGCCCGAGCCCGUUUAUGGGUGGGCCGGGCCGCGAGCCCGUAGGCCUGCUCCUUUAAAAAAAAACUACAAAAAUAAAAAGUAUUAAAAAAAAUAUUCAUUUCAAAAUUUUAUUCAUUGAAUGUAUAAUUACAUUUGAAAAUGUGGGAAAAGUUUACAUCACUACAAAAUAAAUACAUCCCAACUAGGUUGGCACCUAUUUAUUUGUCAAUCAUCUGUAUUUUUCAACCACAAAAAAUAAAAAUAAAAAUAUAAUAUACAUUUAGUCAUUAUUUUCUGGCGGUGAUGGCGAACUAUCAUGCAUCCAUGAAGAUCUUGAUAAUUUUAAAGAUUCCAUAUCGGUAAGCAUCUUUGUUUCUCGAAUGGAAUCAUACAUCCUUUUAUCUGCUAUUUCCCAAUCUUUCACACAUAUCCCUGCUUUAAUAACAUCUGACGCUAAGUUGCAUCGUUUUUUACUAACUACUCUUCCACCUGCACUAAAAGCAGCUUCUGAUGCAACUGUACUCACAGGAACUGUUAGUACAUCACGAGCAAUUAUAGAAAGCACAGGAUAUUUGUGUUGAUGUGAUUUCCACCAUAUUAAAAUAUUAAAAUCUUCUUGAUCUUCAAAUGAAAUUAUAUCAGUAUUAAGAUAUUUAUCUAAAUCAGAUGUAUUAUUUGGAGAAUUAUUUGUUGUCUUUUUUCGACUUUUCAACAUUUCUAGAGCUCCUUUAUAAAAAGAUGAGGAGUUUGUAGAUGUAGGUGGUAAUUUAAUAGUAUUAAUAUCAUUACCAUAUUUUUCUUUAUAAUAGUUAUAUAAAUUAUAUAAUAAUGAAUUUAUUUCAUUUUUAAUUUCUUCAAUUUUUAUUUGGUCAUUAAAAUAAAUAAUUGUUAACCAUUCAUCCAAAGCUUCAAAUUUCAAUCUAGGGUCCACAAUUAAAGCAAUAUAAAAAAUUAAAGGUAUUUCUCCCCAAUAUUUUCUAAAUUUUUAUAUCAUUACAAAUAUUGUAUCAUUAAAUAUUUCAAAACUUAAAUAUUUUUGAAGUACAAUAAAAAUAUUAGUUAUUUGCGUAAUAACUCGAUUUGAAGUUGGAUAAUAUACACCACAAAAAAUGUUUGUUGAAGUAUCAAAAAUUUCAAAAAGAUCUCUUAAAACAUCCGCAAUAUGCCAAUCAUAAUCAUUUAAUGCAUAAAUAUCUGCUUCAUAAUCAUUGUUAAUUAAUUGUAUUUCAUAUAAUUCGACUACUUUUCUAUAUUUUGUAAUAUUUUCUAAAAGUUUAUAUGUGGAAUUCCAUCUAAUAGCCAUAUCCAAAUUUAUAUUUUUUCUUUUCAUAUUUAACAUUUUGCAACAAUCAAAAAAUAAUUCAUGUUUUGCUUGAAAACUAUUAAUACUAUAUGCAAUGCCUCUAAUUUUUUUCCAAUGUACUAUCAACAUUUUUUAAUCCAUCCUUUACAAUUAAAUUUAAAAUAUGUGCACAACAACGCACAUGAAAUAUUUUAGCAUGAUCUUCUUUUACUUGCCAAUAUCGUUUUAGUCUAUGUAUUGCUGCAUCAUUAUUAGCAGCAUUAUCUAAUGUUAUUGUCAAUAUUUUAUCACGAAUGCCUAAAUCUAUAAUUUCAUCAUUUAUUAAAGAUGCUAUAUUUUUACCACUAUGUGGAGUAUUUAUUAAUUUAAAUAAAAUUAUUCUUUUAUUUAAUUUCCAUUCAUUAUCAAUGUAGUGAACAAUUAUAUAUAAAAAACCAGUAUGAGUUAAAGAUGUCCAAAUGUCAGAUGUUAAACGAAUAUUUCCUUCAAAAUUUGCAAAAUUUUUUUUUAAAAUUUCUUUUUGUGUAUAAAUUUUUUUCAUAAUAUCUCUUUUAACUGUAUUUCCAGAUCAACCUUUAAAUUGAGGAUUAAUACCUCGUUGAAUUGUUCUUGCAAAAUCAUGAGUUUCCAUCAUGUUGAAAGGUUGUUCUGCUCUUAUUAUAUAAUCAAUCAUUUCUUCACAACAGUUAGAUUCAUCAUAAGAAAAUGUUUUUAAAUUUCCACUUUCAUUUUUACUUAAUUGCAUAUAAUUUCUAAUAUCUACAUUAUUUUUAGUUUUACAAUUUUCAUGAUGUCUUUUUAAAUGACUUGUAUCUGCAUUUGAGCCACCAGUAAGAAAUUUAUUACAAAUUUUACAUUUUGCUUUUAUUUUUUUUUUAUUAUUUUCUAAAAUUAUUUCUAUUCUAUCAAAAAAAUUCCAUAUAUUUAAAGUAAAUUUUUUGUUUGAUGAUAUUUCAUCACAUGGACUAGACGAAGAAGCACUUGUCAUAUUAUAAUUAUUGAUAAAAUAUUAUGCCAAAAAUAAUAAAGUAAUAAAUAUAAAAAAAAAUGUAACAAAAAAAAUAAAGUAGUAGGGGUGAAGUAUGUUACUCAAUUAGAGAACCUAUGCAGAAAUUCCUAGCAAAUUUGAACUCUUGGAGCCACCAAUGCUUGUUUUGCACCAUCAACAAUAUUGUAUAAUUUGAGGGAAAAAUAAAAGAAUUUAAAAUAUUGUAGAAUGUGAGAGAAAUAGAGAGAAUUUGAUGAAAAAAUGAAAAGGAAGAAAAUGUAUUUAUAGGAAGGUUAAAAAUAAUAAUAAUAAUAAUAAUAAUAAUAAUAAUAAUAAUAAUAAUAAUAAUAAUAAUAAUAAUUGGCCAUGUGACCGUUGGAGGCUUAGCUCCAACGGUCACAUGGGCUGGAGCUAGGCUCCAACAGUCACAUGACCGUUGGAGCCUUUAAUUUUUUUUUUUAAAAUAAUAUACUUUAUUUUUAUAUAUAUAUAACUAACUCAAUUAAUAAACAUAAAAAGAAUAUAGUUCAGUUGGUUAGAACCUUGAAGUUUAAACAUGAGGGGAGGGGUUUGAAUCCCUCCCUCUCCCUUAGGGGCUUUUUUAAAAGCCAUUUUGGCUUAUUUCAAAAAGCCUGUCGGCCCGACCCGCCCUGCAGCCCGCGGGCCUAGCAUUUUAGCAUGGCCUGGUCUGUUGACUAGUCAAAUGGCUCAUAGGCUCGGCCCGAACUGGGCCGCGGGCCUCUUAUUUACGGACCGGCCCGACCCGGCCCGCCCGUUGGAGACCCUUGAUAAUAUCUUCUAUAUUAAGUUACAUUAUAGUUUAUUUUACAAUAUUAUUAUGAUAAUAUGUCUAAUUUUAAAAUAUAUUUAAUAUUAAAAUUAUGAUCUAUUUUAAUUUAAAUGUAUUCAAUGAUAUCAAAUAAAUAAUAAUAUAUGUAUAAUUCUUUUAUUAUUUAUAUUUAUUAUUUUUAAUAAAUAUAUAGAUUAUAUAAAAAAGACCGGAUAUAUCUUUUCAAAUUUUGUAUCGCUCUCCAAGGAUAUUAGAUGUAUGGGAAUUUGUAUUGCUAUCUACGGAUACGUUGAUAUAUGGGUGAUUUAUCAGGAUAAUUAGAAAUUCUAAUUAUGUAAGCAGGUACGGAGUUCUGUGUCGGUGCGAUCUUGUCGACAACAGCUCCAAAUUGUGCAUCUUGCUCAUAGAGAGUAGCGGAAUGCACCAAUCGUAGGCUCAGAGUACCACUGAGUCGUCUGGCAGAGACCCAACUGAAGGUGCCUGUGUUGUUCCUGAUCUGAUCAGGCUUCAAACUACAAGGUGGAAUACUGGUUCCCCUAUAUCAGAAGCUGGAGAUACCCACCCCAUAUGCUCGUCUGGAUGUGCUCCUACCCUUUGAAGCCUUCUUCCGAGUCAAGUCCGAAUUGAUAAGGCUAGUGAGUUCCCAACCAACUGUACUCAGCAUGCUGCCAGGUGGAGACCCUCCAUAUUUGAUGGCUUCCUAAUAUUAAAAUGCUGACCACUGGUCUUCAUGUUCCACAGGCUUAAUUGUGUCCUUUGCUGAAAGAAUGGAUAGUGAUCCAUUUUAACACAUGAUUCACGCCGUCUUUGCCAUUCUUCAUGGUCUAGCCCUUUUAUAUAUAUGCUUCCUGAACUGUUGCUAUUAAUAAAAUGUGGUAUCUAUCCCGUACACCUUCCUGAUGGCCAGCGAAUGCAGAAGCUACAGAAACGGUUCCAUCUUUUGCUUCCGCCACUUUGGCAUCCUCCAUGAUGAGAUCGAAGGUGAAUAAUCAUAUUCUGGGGAUUUAUGUCCUGGAUAUUCUCAGUAAUGCCCAAUUUCCUGGUGCCGGCCUCAUUUCCAUGGGAACUGAUGGAUAACUUAAGGCUUCUACCAUCUGCGUGGUUCGCUUCUAACACAGGAAACUUCACGGCUAAAAGCAAGAUACCAAGAACAUCAAGGCUGUGACAAAAAUUAGUAUUUUUAACUUGUAGGAAUUUGAAAGGCAACCAACCAUCUAGCUCUGUUCUUAAAGCUCCCAUAGGAGGAUCAGAGGCUGGAUUGCUCAAGAUGAACUCAUCCAUUGUUGCACUUAAAAAGAAUUGGCAUGAAUUGUGGCCGCUCUAAUAGGUUCCCUAAACCAUCAUCCAAGUGGGCUUGCGGAAGGUAGCGAGUUUAAAACACCUAGGGCGAUGAACAGUGGACUGUGAUGCUCACAAAAGAGAAAAGGAAGAAUUCAAUAAUUCCUAAGAAUCCAUUUGCCUGUCAUCCAAAUUUUUAUAUUCUCUUCAGUCUGACGCGUUAUGCCAUAUAUUAAAAAUAGCGGCUUCUUCCAAGCCGAGACAGACUGUGCAAAGUUCGCAAGGCCAAUCAUCACCAUAAUCUGAAGUUGGCCUCCUCAAUCGCAGCUUGUAUCCGAAUGCUCACUUCACGGGAUGGAUUGUAAUGAAAACUAAUCUCAGUCCCAGCUAUGGCAGCAUCCUCACUUGACAGCAUUUUCUGCAUAUUCUAGAACAAAGCAAUAAACCCUCAAAGGCUCCUUCGGAUCAGAGUUAGAAGACUGUCCCUCAGGAACGUGAACACUAUGGUGGUUCUGAUAAGCAGUGAUAUUGCAUUAGAGCCUUUUGGAACAAGAGGAUCUUUUCAGGUGGAAACUGUAAACUGCUUCAUGUUGGGCUGCAACCUUUUCUUCAAGCAAUACUUUCUUUCUGUAUCACGACUUAUGUUGCUUCCGGAGCCAUCCCGUGUGGACUGCCCUUCAGUGAAAGAAUAUGUGUGUUGACAUGUUGGAUUGUAAUCUUUGUUCCACUCUAAUGGCUUUUGGUCCUCCUCUUUCUCUUUAUGACAGAGAACCAUUUAGUGAUCCAUCUCUAUAUUGUAGCAUUGCUGGUGCUUUGCAAUACUACACUCUCACCAAGCAUAACAUCUAUUUUUCCGUGACCAAAGUAUGUCGGUUUAUGCAUGCGCAAACUCUUAUUCAUUGGCAAGUUGUCAAGCGUAUCUCAUGAUUUCCCAAAGCCACAAGUUCUUAUGGUCUUUCUGUUCAAGCUUACAAUGAUCUAUCUUUUCUUGGUUAUACUGAUGUCGAUUGGGCUAGUUGCCCUGAUAACAAGCACAAUACUAGUGGGUACAACACUUUUCCUGGUCCUAAUCUCAUUUCAUGGGCAUUUUCAAAGCAGAAGGUUGUGUCUCACUCCAAUAACGAAUCUGAAUAUAGGGGACUCACUAAUUAAUGUUGUUGCCAAGGUCACUUGGAUUGAAUCUGUCUUACGUGAGUUGCGUGUUUCUCUACCCCAACCACCAAUUUUGUUGUGUGACAACAUUAGUGCUACACACUUGGACAAACCAUGUUGAAAUACACUAUCAUUUUAUCCAUGAAAGGCUUAUGCAUCACACACUCAAAAUUCAAUACACCUCUUCUAUAGACCAACUAGUCAAUGCUAUGACCAAAGCUCUUCCUUCAUCUCACUUGUACAAUCUUCAGUGCAAGCUGAUUGUUCUUCCCAAACCACUCAACUUGAGGGGAGAUGUUAAGCCAAUUUAAUAAAUUGAUUUCUUUUGGUUAAUUUGUUAGAAUCAUUUUUAUUAGAGGUUUGUUUGUACAAUUACAUCCAUUUAUCAGGAGAGUACACGUGUACAACUCCUCUUUUAAUCUCACCAUUGUAUAUAUAUGAUACACGACCUUACUCAGAAUUGCAUAACAUUUCCUCUGCUCAUUCCUUUUCUUCUUUGAAUUUUCCCUUACCUCACUGAUUUUGAUUUAUACCUGGUGUUUUCACCUUUGGUCUCUACCUUUCUAGCCAGUUUUCUAAUUAAUCCGUAUAUGGUAUACCUGUCAACUAAUGAGGAGAAAGAGAAAAGGGGAUUGCUGUUCCACCAGCUACAUAUAAUAAUUAAUUACAAUCAUGGUAAUGGAUCCUGAAAUCCAUCCUUUGUGGAUUUUGUACGGAAUAUUGUUGUUAUGUAUGUGGGCUCACUUAGAUGUAUAUUGCUAGCCUGUCUGGGAAAUGUGAUUGCAGGUCCAGAUUAUGAUGUUGAUAUUAGUGGGAUAAGCAAGAGAUGCAGUUAACACGUAUGUGAUGGACUUGAGUAACUUUUCCAUUUCAGUCCAUUUUUUAAGAUUAUGCUUAGUCUUAUUACAAGGAAAGACCAUAAGAAUCAUGAGUCAUUGGCAAGGUAAUAUCAUUCCCUCUUUACAGGCUUCUUCACCUUUUGGUUUUUUUAAUAUCCAUCAAGAUCUUUUAAUUGGAGGACAAUUACAAGUAUAUAUAUAUGUAUUAAAAGGGGAAAAUAUUAAAACAGGAAAUUUUAGGGAAAAUAUAAUAAUUAUUUCUUCCUUCUUUCCCAUAUAGAACUACACAAAAUAAAACUUUAAUAAUUUUUUCUUAUCUUUUUUAUUAUUAUUUUUUCUUAGAAACAUCCGUGGUCUCACAAGCUUGUAAUCCUAGAUUGUUAGGCUCCUUUAACAGUGCCCCAACAUCGUGGUCCAAUGACAAGCUUCCACGCCUUAAAAUCAGAAAAUGCCAUUAAACUUUAUCAGACAUUACAGUUCAAGACAAAGCUUUCAUUUGCUUAAUGUGAUAAUGAAAUUGUUAAUUUCAUUUCGUGGGCAUCUAAAUUUGGACGAGCAAGACCUCUGAAUUCCCUGUUUUUAUCACCAGCAGAGGAGAUAAAAUCUUAAUGGUGAGAAUCUCCACGUGAAAUUUAUGUGUACUGUCAACAUAUUUUUGUUUAUAUAGUCCAGUAGCUGCAGGAAGUCUAGAUUAUAUAGGUAGCAGUAGCACUAUUUAUAGCACUCGAUAUUCGCUGUAUGAAUACAUUAAACCUUGUUUUCAAUACGCAUCACAAGCAAGUACUAGAUACUACAAGGAGUGACAGUCGCAUCAACAUUUCUUGAUAAUAGCAGUGACUGAUUUAUACACAGAACAGUACUGUACACGUACCAGUCACCAGAGAUAGGAUCUUAUUCCUACAUACGACUCUUAUUGAUCGAAGUCACUCAGUUGGGGUAGCCUGGAGUUGGAGGUUUGUGUGGUGGCUUCUUCUUUGGAGGAGGCUUUAUCUUUGGAGGCAUCAUCUUUGGAGGCAUCUUGUGUGAGUCUUCUUCAGCAUUCUCUACAGGAGGAUGGCCAGGCUUAUGACCCUUAGGUGGUUUGCCAACUGGGAUUGGUGGCUUGUGUCCUGAGAGUGGCUCCUCUUCUUCGGGAGGUUUGCCAACUGACGUUGGUGGCCCGUGUCCUGGGGGUGGCUUGUGUUUUGGGGGUGGUUUCACUCCACCGGGAGGUUUACCAAUUGGUGUUGGUGGUUUGUGCUCAAUCGGUGGCCUCUCAACUGGGGGGCGCUUGGGGUAAUCAGCGAGUGAAGAAGUGGUGAGAACCACCACUCCAAGCAACAACACUAGCAAGUAUGUGGAAGACAUCUUUGAGUUUGGCUCAGAUGGUGUAGAACUAGAAUCCUGGGUGGCCUUUUAUAUUAGUUGGGCCCUAUGCCCGAACGACAAGUGUCAUGGUGACACAUAAAGUGAUGGGGUCGAUUUGGGCCUACCGGAUUUGAAAACUUGGACAAUUCGAGAAGCGUCUCCUGACUCCGGGUUGUAAAGUGAAAGAUUAGGUAUCGACCAUUGAAGUAUGAUCACAACUUUUGGCCUUUGGCUCUCUCUACUGCCGUAUAGCUUUUUUCCUUUGGAUAUUUUUCUUAGCUAGACACAAUUAUUGAGCAGUCUAAUCUCGAAAUGGGAUUAGUAUAGCUUUAAGCAAAUUUAUUAUAGUUAGUGGAGGACUUUUAAGAGUGCAGACGACAUUUAACACAUGCAUGCAGUAGUAUAGGGGACAUAACACUAUUCUUUUUCCAAAGAUUCACAUGAUUUUUAUAUUAUAGUAUUGGCACAUUGUAUGUAGCUGGUUUUGUGGUUAAAAUUCCAUAUGUAGACACUGGCGUUUCUCCAUUUCUCACAAUUGAUGUUUACCUCCACGAUUACUAGAUUAGAUAUACCAAACAAUAACACAUUGUAUAAUCUAUCCGCCCUUCAAAAUCUACUGUAUGAUGAAAUGUUUCAUGUGUGUGUGAAGUGUUAGAAAUGCACUAUAGGCAACAUCAUCUUCUUUUGUCUAGGCUUGGGCCUCAAAUUAUACUCCCAUGCCAUGAUAAAUUUUCAUGUGCAUUCUCUAAAGAAGAGUGUCUUGAAUGUGCCAAAUCAUUUUGAUUGAUUUUAUGAUGUUAAUUGCUCCGCAUAUGGAUGGGUAUGUGCUUUAUUUGCUUAUUCAAUCCACAAUUACCUUGAACUGAAGUCCUAUUGGAGCUCUAUUAUUUUAGCAACGUCCUGUCAAAUAGGCUGCUAACUUGGGGUGGUAUGGACCCAAUGAUCCAUCUUAAUCUUGGGUUGAUUUUGUCUGACUCUAUCUAUCUCAGAGAGAACCAGGAUCACCAGUGCUGGUCUGCUUAAAGAAGACUCAGUACUGGAUUAAUAUUGGUUUGGGUCAAUAGCUUAUAAUGCAUUGAAUGCAGAAUAAACAAGAUCAAUGAAACCCAAAACACACUGCCCACACAACUUCACUCUGGUGUCUGUUAUUCAUCAAUUCUAUUCCCACAUGAACUGGUUCAAGUUUAAGAAAAUGACAACGGAUCCACUGUAUUAACUUGGUUUUGCUUGGUUUUGAGCUAGUUGCCAAACCAGCCAUGAGUUUUACCUCUAAUGUCAAUGAACAAACCCCAAAUGAACAACUGCAACAGCUUAAAGAGAAGGAAUGGAGAUGAAAAUCCCUGUUUCUUCUCAUUCUGGGGACAAAUUAGAACAUAACUACAAAGGUUCUAUUAAUUGACUUACUCUACCAUGAAUUAUGGUUCUUUGGUUUUCCAAAUUUAAAUUGUACAUGAGAUUAUUUUUUUCCUUUAUAUAUAAACAUAUUAAGGUUUUCUUAUUUCGUGGGCAAAUGCGCUAAGGAUGAAAGUCAUUUCAUUUGGCUGCAACAGCAUCUUAUAAUCAACAUGCAUAAGCAGCAGUUUUAAUUGAUCGAUUGAACACCGACUCACAAGAAUAGAUAGAAUGGUACAAGACAGCUCUUAUUAAUUUAUACUCGUUACUCAUUUUAUGUAGCCCCAUUAAGAUGGCUGGCUGGACCACCGAGGUCUGGGGGUGGUGUUGCUUGUGUGAUGCAGCGGGCCGGGCAGACACUUCUCUAGUUGCUUCUAUUUGGAGUUAGAGGAUCAGUCUCUGCCAACCUUGAGGACUCUCUACCUCAGAGGGUCCAGGUGGUGGACUCUGGUGUCGGUAGCUUUGAACUCUCAGUAGACUAGUGUGUCUUAAUCAGUCACUGCCAGAGGCUGGCGUAGGCAGUGACGAUAAGGUGAGACAAAUUACCGAAUAGUCAAUAUCGACUGCACUUGACCAUUAUAGAUUUGUUCUGACAAAAGUGAGAAAAGGGAGAAAAUCGGAUGUUGACCUUUAUAGAAAAAGAUAAGAUUUACUGCAACACAGAGCACUGAUUUGUUACUUGGAAACCAAGUUAUGCUAUUAGCUAGCCUCCAUUAGCAGCAGGGUACCUUGCUGCCUGAUCCUAAUCUGAGUUCCCAAGGUUUCAAUCUUCGUUUGUUAACGCUUCAGGAUUUGGAUAUUUCAGCUUCGUUUCUCCAUUUAGCCAACGCUGCCUGGUUUGGAUUUCAAUCCUCAUCUGGAACAUUCUUUUUUCGGUCUGAUUCAGGAAGUGUUUGGUGAUAGUUGAUUAAAAUUAAACAGUACUAUCAUACAAAUAAAGCUGAUCUAAUUUUGGUGGGCAAUAUACCAACUCAUUUAUUCUUGAAAACACCAUGGGGAAUUGGAGGUCCAUCCGAAGUACUAUUUGAUGGGACUCACAAAAAGAACAGGUGCACAUUUAUGAGAUCCGUGGAAGAGAUAACUAUGACAGCUAUGCAUGUACAACAGAUUUAUGUCGAGUUCACCUCGUAGAUAUUUUGUUUUCAGUGUCGGUGGACCCCAAAAUGGAAAUCGGAAAUUAAGGUUAUAUUUAUUUUUUUAUUUAAUUUUAAAUAGAAUUUUAAUUUUUAAUAAUAUUAAGUAUUAAAUUAUUUUUUUAAGGGUAUUUUAUUUUUAUUAAGUAUUAAAAAGUAAAAAAAAUUAAUAUGUUGCUUUUUUAUUUUAAAAAAAUUAUAUAUUUUAAUUUUUUCUAUUUACUAAAAAGUUUAUAAUAAAUUAUAAAAAAAUAAAAAAAUAAAAAACUUAAAUUCUGAAAAUAAAUUAUUUUUAAUAAAAAAAUCCAAAAAAGCAAACACCACCUAAAUUUGAGAUGACUCAAAAUUUUAUAUUUUUUUUCACCUAAAUUAUAUUCAUAAAUUUAAAAUUAAAAAAUUAGGAAGUUGAAUUUUAUUUUGGAUAAUUGGAAACUACAAGAAAUCAAUAAAAAUAUUUGGAAAAAAAAGAAAAAGAAAAACUAUCUAUAUAUUCACCCCCUUCUAAGAAACAUAACUUUAGUUUUUAACUAUUUUUUAAAAUAAUUUUUGAAAAAUGUUAUAUAAUAUUUUAUAAAACAAAAAAUCUGUUUGACAAUUUGAUAUGUCUUUAACUUAUUUUUAAUAUUUAUAUAUAUAUAUUUUAAAAAUAAUUUUAUAUUUAGAACUUUAUCUUUAAUUAUUAUAUAUAUUUAUAUAAUUAUUUUUUUUAAAACAACUCUUAAAAAAUAAGUGAAAGUAAUUGAAAACAACUCAAAGAUAUUUGAUGAAAACACUCUAAUUUGUAUUUUUGAGAAUAAAAAAAUAAAUAAAUAAAUUUCUAGUUAUCAAAUGUAUUUUUUAAUUCUUUUAUUCUAAAAAAUAGAAAAUCGUUUUUGAAAAUAAUUAUUAAACAACAUUCUUAAAAAUUCACUCGUUACAAUCUAGAUUUAAUGCAAGAAUGAUUGAAGGAGUCCUCCAAUAGAACCCAAAGUUAUAAACAUGAACAAGAAGCCCUAGAAACACCAAAGAUCUCAUAUGGUAUAUAUAUGAGCUUGAUUGAGAACUGUUUUAAAUUCAGUUUUUUUUUUUUUUUUUUUUUUUUGUUUUCAAAGUCAAAACAAGUUUACUUUUAAUUUUUACUUCUUUUUUUUAAUUUUAUAAAUAACAGUUUUUUAAUAAUUUAUUUUGAAAACAUGAUUAUUUUUAAAACUUAUAAUGAAAAUAGGAAUUUUUUUUUUAAUAUCAUGGUUAUUUUCCCUUCUUUUAAGGAGGGCUAUUUUAAAAAUAAAUUUACAAAUAUGAAAAAUGAUUCAAACUAAAGCAGUACAAAUAAAAAACAUUUUUAAGAAAUAUUUAAAAAUAGAGAAAAUUAUUUGAGAACAUUUGAAGUCCUUAAAUAGACUUUUGUUUUAGAAAAGGCAAGAUAAUUAUUUUUGAAAAUUGUUUUCAUAAUGAUAUGCAAAAACCUACGUAAAAACCAUAAUUAUAAUCGGCCACAUAUCAAAUCUACUAAAUAUGAAAAGUAAGUACAUAAUUAUAUUUGACUUAGAUGCAAGGAGGAAAAUGUCGCGAUAUUAUCGCCGAAAUAUCGUGUGUCGAAGGGUAUCGACACGAUUUUUCUUGCAGAAAUAUCGGCCAGUCGAUUUUUCGGGAUAAAUCUCGAGAAAUCGGCAAUUUAUCGCGAUAUAUCGGCGAUUUUUCCUCGAUAUAUCUUCUGGUCAACGCGGGUCAACGGAGUCAACACGCUACAGUGAAAGUCAAAUGUGCUACAAUGUCCCCGCUACAAUCACCUCCCCAAACAAAUUGCCAAAUUGCUUCCGAGGGGAUUUGAACCAGCCUUCUUGCCAUUUGGGCUAACUCGCCCUUAUGAUAUAUAUUGCAUUAAACAUAUAUAUACUUAAAGUCCUUAUAUAAAGAAAAUGUUAAAAAAAUAUUUUAAAGAGCAAAUUAAUUAUAAUUAUUUUAUAAUUAAAAGCAAAAUUUUCUUUUAAUUAAUUACCAAAAAUAUAAAAAUUAUAUAAUUUUCUUCAUAAUGUUUUUAAUAUCAUUAAUAAUUAAUUAAAUAUUAAAAAAUUAUAUAUAUAUAUAUAUAUAUAUAUAUAUAUAUUAUAAUUUAUUUUAUAUUGUUUAAUACAAUUGAAUUAAAUGGAUCAUAUUUUAAUAUUAAUAUAUAUUUUAAAAUUAGACAUAUUGUAAUCAAAUAUCAUAAUAUUAUAUGUAAUUUAAUAAUAAAUGUACACUUAUAAAAUUCAUAUUUUUAUCGAUGCAUACAAUAUUAUUAUCAAAUAUGAUAAAUCAUGUUAUACAUAUAUCAAAAUUUUCAAUAAAAUAACUUUAAAAUGUCUAUUAUACUUCUAAUUAUAUUAUUAUGAGGUUUUCUUUACAUUUUCAUGAGUUUUAAACAAUUUUAAGCACCAAUAUUUUUUUCCAAAAUAUCCACCGAUAUAUCUCCGAUAUAUCCAAUAUAUCUCCGAUAUCUCCGAUAUAUCCGUAAAAUCGAAGUACCGAUAUAUCCGUGAUUACCGAUAUUUUCAUCAUUGCUUAGAUGCAACCUUCUUCCAAAUGACAUACUUUAGUCAAUACUUAUAUUUUUUCGUUUCACUUCUUUGAUACAACACCUCAUGGAUUUAUUGUUUAAUUUAUUUGUAAUUAUAAAACUAUUUUUCAUUUUUAAUAAGACUUGAAUUAAUUUAAUAAAUAUUAUAUAAUUUGAAUUUAUAAUUCUUUUUAUAAAAUCAAAGUAUAUUAAAAAAAAAACAAUUUAUCCGAAGAAAGUUUUUUAUUUUUUAUUUUUUAAAACCGAUUUUAAAAAUAACUAGCUAGACACCCUUAUUUUGAUAAAAUACGAAAUAAAAGUGUAAAAACAACAUGGCCAAAUAGGGGCUUAAAUUUUAUUUUUAAAACAUUUUUUUACACUAAAGUGCAUUUUAAAAACACCAUCAAAACCAACUACAAGUUAUGCUUCUUCCCGUAAUAGAAAUAUUUUAGGCCAAAAUAGAACCUCCCCAAAUAAAGACCCUAUACUAAACUCCUUUUCAUUUUAUUAAUACAAAAGUGGGGAAAAAAGGUCUAUGCUCACCUAAAAAACAUGAAUAUUGUGAAUUCACCAUUUCUAUAAGGAAGUUGAAAACUUCAAAAUUUUAUCAACAAAUUCUCUAAAAUCCUCAAAAUAUAUAGGGCCUGUUUCACAAAGUUUUUUAAAAUUUGUUUUUAUAAAUUGCUUUUAAAAUAUAGAAUAAAUAACAGUUUUUUAGAUUUUUUGAAAAAUAAGAGUGUUUGGUAAGAUGUUUUUUUUUUUUUUUUUUUUUUUAAGAAUUAAAUAAAAAAUAAAAAAAUUGUUUAGAUAAAAGAAUUUGUAUUGUUUUUAAAAACAAUGUCUUACUUUUAUGUUAUAAAAAUUUUAUUAAUUUAAUUUAUAAUAAUAUGAAAUGAAAUUCAAGUUAAGUCUUAUUAAAAAAUACAAAUUAAAUCUAUAAUUAUGCAUGAGUUAAAGAUAAAUAUAUAUUUUUUAAAACUAUAAAAUAAAUUUUCUAUUAUAGUGAAACAAAAAUUACUAUAAAAUAAAAAUAAUUUUAAUAUUCAUUUUUAAUACAAGUCAAAUAAGUACUUUAAUUAAUUUUUUUUAUCAUGAUUUCUUAUGUUUUUUUUUUUUUCUAGAAAUUAUUUUAAGUAAUAUAACUAAUUUUUUUUUUAAUGUUUUAUAAAAAUAAGGAUAUUUGGCAAGUUGUUUUUAUAAAAGGAUUUUAAAAAUAAAUGGAUUUUUUUUUUUUUUAAAAAAAGAACAAAAUGAUUUGUUUGAAUAAAUUGUUUUGAUUUUGUAAAAACAUUUUAAAUUCAAUUUAUAUAAUAUUAAUUAAUUAAAUUAAAUUGAAGUUUUAUUGAAAAUAAAAAUAAUUUUGUAAUUAAAAUUAGAUUAAAAAAUAUAUAGGUUUUAAUAAAUCGUAAAUAGUAAUAUUAUAAUAAAAUUAUAAAUUAUAUUUUUAACAUAAAAUAUACUAUUUAUUACAUAUUAAAAAAAAUAUUUUAUUAUAUUAAUAAUUUUAUGGUAUUAAUGAGUUUAUUAUUUAAGUUUUAAAUUAUUUUUAAAAAUUAAUAAAUUUGUUAACAAAUGCAAUGUACUAAAUGUGGUUUAAUUUGGAGUUAAUUUGUUUAGGGAAAAAAAUAAAAAAUAAAAAUCUUAUGUAAAAGAGAAAUAAUAGAGUGUGUGUGUUUUUUUUUAUUAUUUUUAAAAAUCAGUAAAAAGAACUUUUACUUAUUGCCUAAAAAUUAUUCUCUAUUUUAUUUUAUUUUUUAAAUCUAGAAAUAGAUAACAAUAAUAAAAAAAAUUAAAAAAGAAAAAUGUUUUUUAAAACUCAGACUUAUAAUUGCUUUUGUUUCUCAUUCGCACCCCUGGAUUCCUGGAUUCUAAACACAAAAUUAAGUUGAAUCGUCCAUCUAUCUUGUAAGCCAAGAAUUCACAUAGAAGAAAUAAUCGGAAUUUGAUUUGAUAUCAGAUUUAGAGUGGCUCACUACUCAUGCAUUGUCCCACAAUAGUAAUGCUUUGGGCCGAGAUAAACCCAUUUGUGGGCCCAAAUAAAACCCCUGGUUUGAAAACAUCGAUUUUACAGUGGCCCAAAAGAUUAUCUAUGAGGGGAAGAUAACUUGGAAGUCAAGCAAACACAUUUAUCGCUAACUUUUCUCUAAUUAUAAAAUUAUAACUUGGUCUUCUACACGUCUCACUUAAGAGGCGGAGCCACUUGGCACUACCUUUCCAUAUUGUAAAAGGAGAAGAAGCAGAAGGAGAAGAUUCUUAUGCCAUUCCACACACCAUGGCUAGUACUGCUAUGCUGCUUGGCCCGCCGGCUCUCCGCCAUCCUAAUUCUCCCGCCGGCACUGUCUUUGAAGAUGGGGUCAUUCUAACGGAUUCCCUGAUCGUCCGCACCAGUAAUCUGGAGCUUUCUGAAAAACCGCCACUGGAAUCCCUGGCGUAGUGCUCUGUCAGUGGGGAUAUUGCUAUGGAUUGUUUGGAUUCCCAAGCCCACAAUCUUCAUCUUCCCGGGAAACCGCCGAUGGGCUUAACGGAAAACAAGUCUCCGACCUUUUUGUCUUCCGGGAACCCGUGCUUGGACUUCUUCUUCCAUGUGGUUCCCGAUACGUCGUCUGAUGAUCUGAUCCGACGGUUUGAGUUGGCUUGGGAAUUCAAUCCGCUGACGACGUUAAAACUGAUAUGCAACUUGAGAGAGGUGAGAGGCACCGGAAAAUCUGACAAAGAGGGUUUCUACACGGCGGUUCUCUGGCUCCACGACCACCAUCCCAAAACCCUAGCCUGCAAUGCUAGGGUGUUGGCCAGCUUCGGUUAUUUCAAGGAUUUUCUCGAGAUUCUCUACCGGCUUCUGGAGGGCCCUAAAAUUCGAAGAAUCGAAAAGAAAGACUGGCUGGAUCGAAAAGGAAGGAAGAAAAAUUCCCGGAAAAGGAACUCAAUAUUCAAGCGAGAAAAUAGGCCUGGAGUUGAAUUUCCUGUAGAAGAGAAGGAUGUGGAGUAUAUGGUGGAAGAAUUUGUGGAUAAAGAAAAGGCUAGGGUACUGAGAAAGGAGAGAGAACUUGCUCUUGCCAAAAGAGCCCUGCACAAGUAUUCUACUGAUUCUAAUUAUCAGUUCUUACAUGAUCAGAUUUCAGAUUUAUUUGCUGAACUUCUGAAAUCUGAUAUUCAGUAUUUAAACUCCGGUGAGCUUUACAAGAUUAGUCUCGCAUCCAAAUGGUGUCCCACAAUUGAUUCUUCUUAUGAUAAAUCCACCUUGAUAUGUGAAAAUAUUGCUCGAAAGGUUUAUUCUCGCGAGGAAUAUAUAUCCAGAAUACCAAGGAAUUGAGGAGGCUCACUAUGUUAAUAGAGUCAGGGAUAGGUUGAGAAAACAAGUACUUGUUCCAUUACGUAAGGCCCUGGAGUUGCCAGAGGUUUUCAUGUGUUCGAACCAGUGGGGAUCACUUCCCUACAACCGUGUGGCUUCAGUGGCCAUGAAAUCAUACAAGAGCCUCUUCUCAAAACAUGAUACAGAGCGGUUUGGUGUGUAUCUUGAGAAAGUGCAAACUGGGAAGGCUAAGAUUGCAGCUGGUGCAUUACUUCCCCAUGAGAUUAUAGCUUCAUUGAAUGAGGAGGAUGGCGAGAAAGUUGCAGAGCUUCAGUGGGCGAGAAUGGUGGAAGAUUUAUCAAAGAAUGGGAGGCUCACAAAUUGCAGUGCGGUAUGUGACGUAUCAGGAAGUAUGAGUGGAACUCCAAUGAAGGUGUGUGUGGCUCUGGGGCUGUUAGUUUCAGAGCUCAGUGAAGAUCCAUGGAAAGGUAAUGUAAUUACUUUCAGUGCAAGUCCUGAGCUUCACAAGAUCCAAGGAGACAGCCUUGUAUCCAAGACUGAAUUUGUGAGGAUGAUGGAAUGGGGUGCGAACACUGAUUUUCAGAAAGUUUUUGACAGAAUCUUACAAGUAGCAGUGGAGGGAAAUCUGAGUGAAGAUCAAAUGAUAAAGAGGGUUUUCGUUUUCACUGAUAUGGAGUUUGAUGAAGCUUGUGGGAGGUAUAACUAUUGUGAAUAUGACUAUGAUAUGGAGGAAAUUGAUGAGAGUCAGAAGGCAUCUCAGAAGUGGGAGACAGAUUAUGAAGUGAUACAGCGGAAAUUCCAGGACAAAGGAUAUGGAAAAGUUCCGGAGAUAGUGUUUUGGAACCUUAGAAACUCAUCAGAGACUCCAGUGAUGGCCACAGAGAACGGGGUGGCCUUAGUAAGCGGGUUUUCGAAGAAUCUGUUAGACCUUGUUUUUGGAAGGAGGUGGAAUUCUGACCCCUCAGGAUGUGAUGGAAUUAGCCAUCUCUGGUGAAGAUUACAAGAAACUUGUUCUAUUUGAUUAAGAUAUCAAGAGAUUUAUCAAUAAUAAUAUGUUUUUUUUUUUCUAUGUGAAAUACAUGUAAUAUUAACUAUGGAGUUAUCAAAGUUCUGGAAAUUUAAUUAUUUCUUCUUUUCAAGUUUUGUUUGUCUUUGUUAGGAAUUCCCCUUGGGCGGACCCAGCUGGGGACUUGGAUUGAGGAAGUAAGGAGGCGAAAUUGUGUUCUUCUAUGGACAGAGAAAAAAGAUAAAAAUAAAAAAUAAAAAAGGAGGUUAUUUGCAUUUGGAUGUCAUGUGGUUUCAGGGUACAACUACAAGUUCGAAAUUGUACAUAAUGUGAAAAUUCCUGUGUGGAGAACAGCAUAAAUAUGUAUCUCAGUGUGUUUUGUUUGAGCUAAUUGGCAAAUUCGCUUUAAACAUGGUCACAUGGAUGCAUAUUUAUUUGUGAAAUGAUAGUAGUCGAUUACUUGGUCAGUAAGGUUUGUAUCUCUAACUCCAACAUCUUAUUGUAGUCUUUUAAAAUGUCAAAAGUUUAAUGCUAGCUUGAGAAAUUUUGGAAUGGAGACAUUCUAAACAAAGUUAAUAAUCCAUGAGACUUGGUAAAACCGAUCAGAUGAUGCUUACGUACAUGAAUGCCUUCUUUAAGCCGUAUCCUAUUUUCAUUGAAUGAGACGUGCCAUCUAGUUUUGUUCUUGUCUUGAUUGGAUCAUGAUCCCGGGAAUUGAUUACUGUUCUGAAUUUGCGAAUGUUCAAGGUAUUAGAGAAAGUUAAUAUUAUCGUUAAUUUACAUAUUAGUAUUUAUCUAGUUAUUAUAUAUUAGUUUGAAUUAUAAUAUAAUAUAGAAUUUGAAUCAAGUUUACUAUUAGUUUGAAUUACAAUAGGAAAUAAAGUUUGAAUUAUAGUAUAACUCAAAUAUAUUUGUAUAUAAAUAUCCAUCUUUAUCAAUGAGAAUAGUAAACCAUAUUUUUCUCUAUCUUCUUCUUUCUCUAUAUAUAUGGUAUCAAAGCCUCCAAAUCCUAAACCUAGUCUCAACUUAGAGCAAAUUUAGGGUGCAGGGUUUAGGCCCCGCCUCCCCCAACCCUUACCACAAAUGGUAGUGACCUUGUUAUGCCUAUGUAUUGUCAAUGCCUCAUUUUCUAUGGUCUUCAAUACAAUAUCUAGUUUCAAUGUCUCUUUCCUUACUAUCUCCAAUGCAAUAUAUUGAUUUCAAUAUCUCUUUACAACCAAGAGCUCCAAAUUUUCCUGGUUCAAAUCUACCAUAAUUUUUAUUCUCCUUUGCUUUUUACCAAUAUUAGUUCCCCUAAUUUAAUAUAUAUCUCUUUAUUACCUUCAACUCUACCUCUCUCUUUCUUUAAAAGCUUCCUCAAAGAUUUGAUUGCUUUCUUGCAUGUUUUGGGAAAACAAACAUGCUCAUAUUCUAUUACCUCUACUUGAGAUCUGCCUUAUACUCUACCUUCUUCUUUACCUCCUAUAUCAUCUACUACAUUAGCUUCAAAAACAUUAUUUAGUUUGAUGCUAAAUAAGGCUCCUAAUCCUACCCUUCCUUCAACUAACUUUCUUUUACAAGUCCCUCAAAGUUUUUUUUUUUUUUUUUUUGGAAAUUUGGCUUAGAAAGAUUUCAUUACUCUUACCUAAUCUUUCAACCAUCAAGUCGAAUCCACUUAUCUCUUGAAUCCAAGGAGACUACCCUCCACAAAAACAAGGAGAUUGACCCCCACAAUAACAAAGAGAUUGUCCUCCAUAGAAACAAAGAGAGCUUCCUUCAUGGAAGCCGAAUACAUCGCAAUCUAUUUUCUUUCUCUCAAGAUCAAAUCUCCAAUCGGAGCUCCAUCUUGUGGGGAUAUAUUAGAAAAAGUUAAUAUUAUCCUUAAUUUACAUAUUAGUAUUUAUCUAUAUUAUAUAUUGAAUUAGAAUAGAAUAUAGAAUUUGAAUUAAGUUUACUAUUAGUUUAAAUUACAAUAGGAAAUAGAGUUUGAAUUAUAGUAGAACUCAAAUAUAUUUAUAUAUAAAUAUCCAUCAUUAUCAAUGAGAAUAGUAUUCCAUAUUUUUCUCUUUCCCUGAGGCUUCAGAAUGUGAUCUUGAACAUUUGAUCUUUUGGAUUCUUCUUGUUUCGGUGGUUUAAUAUAAUGGAAUGUUUAAUUAUAGCCUACUUUAUCACCAUGGAUGUGCUCCUGCAGAUUUCUUGAGGGUGAUGGUUAUUUUGUCAUGUUUCUUGAAUGGUUUGCAUCAGCUGCCUGAGCUGUUGUUGCUGGUCACUUUUGCAACCAGGGAAAGAAUCAUGGCUUUGGAGAAGCCAGCUUCUGUUUUUGUUGCCCAGCUGUUAGUUCACUAAGAUUGGGGGUCCUAACAUGUAUGUAUAAUCAUAAGCAAGGAAAUUUUAUGUCUUACGCUAGAUAGGUACCAUGAUAUGAUGUUUGAUUGAUUUAUUAACUCUACCUGUUUCAAAAGGCAUCAACAUUAAUUUUACCCUUUUAACACAUUGGAUUGUUUGACCUUACGAGAUUUUCUAUUUCUGUACUAUUUGAACUGCAAUCGUUAUGGUCCUUAGGUCUCUAAACCUUCGUUUAAAAUAAAAGUAAGGAGCACACAUAGUAAAAGUUAAUUUUGGGUAACUUUUAAAACAAAGAGAAAAGUAAAAGUUGUUUUUGAGAAAAACAUAUAGAAAUUGAAAGAUUUUUUAUUUUGAGAAAAAAAAGUCAUAGAAAAGAAAUAAUAUCCCCAUAUAAGUAGAUAUGAUCUAUCCGAAGUGUAGCUACUCUCCUGGAUUUAUUCUAACAUUUUAAAAUUUUUCUCAAUGGGCAAAGGAAUAUCAAAUCAAGCUUGAGUAGGAUUAAUUUCUUAAUUUUUAAAAUAACUUAUAAUUAAAAUUUUUUGGUGUUUUCUUUUUUGGACAAUUUUUUAUGAAGACUCUGAAUCAUGCAAGAGAUAUGGUUAUUUUAAAAAAAAAAAUAAUUUAAAACUCAAAUACAUAAUCAAUGUCACAAAUUUAUAAACAAAAGGUUUUUAAAAAAUACUAUUAUUUCCCCUCUACACAUAAUUUUACUUUUCCGAUUUAUUUAUUUUUGUUGGAAAACAGUCUUCAAAUCAAGUAAAAUUAAUAUGUUAAAUUUGUUAAACAAAUAAAUUUUAAAAUACAAUUUGGAACUCAAAAAUCAAUUCAAGUAAUGCUAAAAUUCAAAAAAUCAAAUUUGGAAUAAAAUGACUUUGUAAAUUUUUUUACUAAACAAAUGAAUUUUAAAUCAAGUGAGAUUUAAUACAUUGGAUUUUUAUGAGAAUAGUAAUUUUAAAAAUUAAUUUGGAACUCAAAAAUAGACACAAUAAAUACCAAAAAUCAAUGAACCAAAAUUGGUUUGGAAUAACUCCAUAAUUUUUUAUUUAUUUAUAUAUUUAUUUUUUUGUGCACACGAAUUUCUUACUAAGCAUAUUGCUUCCAAAUUGAGAAAAAUUUACUAUUUAGAUUUUUUUAAUGAGUUUAAUGGUAUUUAAAAAUAAUUCAAAAAUUCGAAAAUUGACUAAUUUAAUAUUAUAAAUUCAUAAACCAAGACUAAUUCAAAAUGCAUUGGGGGCUAAGGGGGUUGAAAUUAAUGCUCCAUUUGGUUGUGGCCACCAAUUGGCAAUGGCCACCAAUCAACCAAUCAAGGUGGCUAAGGGGGUUGAAAAUAGGGACAAUGGGGUGGGUUUGGGACAGGACACUCAUAUCCCAUUCCCAUCCCAAUUACACAGUUAUUUCCCAUCCUUAUUCCAAACUUGUGUUGGGGCAAGUUGAUUUGUUCCCAUCUUUGUUAACGAAAUGACUAAUAACCUCAUCCUCUCCUUGUCUUAGAUGUACAUUUUCUCAAAUUUGGUCAGGUAUGAUUGAUUCAAGCCCUAACCUUAAUUGGUAAUGAGUGGAUACCACACCUAAUUGCAUUCUUCUUUCGUUGCAAAAUAAUGAGAUUAUAAUAAUCUAGCAAAUAAGAAAAAAUAGUAUGGAAGUUCAAAUUAACACCAUAACUAUCAAUAAUUUUAAGCUUAUAGAUGACUUAAAUGAUUGAAAACUAAUGCAAAAUACUAAAAAAAAAAAAAAUCAUCUAAAGAAUUCACAAGAGAAUAGAACGAACAAAACCAAAUAGGAACAUGGGUCAACAUUAGUUACAGAUUUUGAUCCCUUUCAAGGCCAAUCUUUGAACCAAGACUUCAUCAAAUCUACUACUUCAAAGGCUUUUGUGUUCUUCUUGAGUUGUACUCUGGAACAAAGACUUCGAGGUGAUGCUUUAGAUGAUUGCAUUACACAUAUUUAGGGUAGGGAGAUUGGAGAAGCUUGAAGAUGCCAACGAUGGGUACAAUUGAGUGGUCAAUAAGAACAAUGUGGCCUAUGACUAGUUUGAUGUCAUGGUAUAGGAGUUUUGGGCAUUGAGGUGAAAGCAAGAGCAACAUGGAAUUGAUUUCAAAGUCUUUCAAUUAGUGUAAAGGAGGAAGAAGAAGUGGUAUUGAUCCUAGAAAUAGUGUUUUAGGUGUUGCAUUAGAGGAAAAGAAAAAGAAAAAGAAGGAACCAUUGGAAUUAGUACGAGUGUGAAGAGAGAAGUGUAUACAUAAGGGGAAGUAAAAGCAAAGUUCUAAAAAUUUAUUUUUUUAUUGGUGGUGUAUGGUUGCAUGAUUAUCCCUAUAAAUAAUAGGAGUUUUUUGGUGUUCUACUAGUAGUUGAAGGAUAAUUUCAUAAGAUAAUAUUUAGAGCGGGGUGGGGUGAGUUGUGACAAAAUCCAUACCCGUCCCAAACAUUGGUUCAGGUUUUUAAAAUAUUUUCAAACUUAUCAUAUACCCAAUUUUAUAUUUCAUACUUGUCCUAAUAGAGACAGGUUAGUCAGGGUUACUUGAGUAGCCUACAAAACUAUCAUCCCUAGUUGAAAUGCUCUUUUUGGCAGUGGCAGCUAGAAGCUCGAUCGAUUGACCUACAAGACUAGUUGUCAUCAUUUUAAAAAGAGUUUUGGCUUUGGUUGUGAGUGCAAUUGAAUCUAAACUAACAUUUCCUUAAUGCAUCUACUUCAAUCCUAAACUUCUUACUUAAGCCUCAAUUGUUGUUAAGAUUUUGGAAAACCCAUUUCCUUAAAUUGUAAAUUUAAGAAAAAAAAAAUUAAAAGUGAGACAUUUCUUGAUUGAAUGUUGUUAAAGGUCCCUUGGAAUUAAGACUUGGUUGAAGCCUUGGAAGAUUAGCAGAACUCUCAACUUAUGUUUGAACCUUGAGGAGAGUGGACGUAGGCCAAAAUUUUGUCAAACCAUUAUACAAAUUGAGUUUGAAUUCUCAUUUCUUGAUUUCUUAUUUAUUUGCUUUUUCUUAUUAUUACUUGAAUUGUCAUUUGCAUUCAUUAAUGUUAAAAUUGGUUAUAAUUAGCCAACACUAAUUCUCUUUCCCCUUCCCUUAAUUUCUUGGGUGUAAACCUAGGUUGGAUUAACUAGAUUUUAUCAAAUCUAUUAAGAUGGUAAAAGAAUAAUUAUUCUUAACAUACAUAAGAUCAUCUUCAAUCAAAUGACUCAUUGGCUGAUAUGUUGAAUUUGCUUAUUACUUGCAACUCAAAAUUGUGUUCUAGUUGAUAUGUCAAGUCCUGAGUGUAUGGACAUUAAAUUUGUAGUACGUGAUGAGUAUUUAGAUGGUCCAAUUCCAAGAAAGUGAUUGAAAACUAGUUCAAGAAAGGUGCAAAAGGGAAUUGUUUUGGUAUUUUCGUUUUUAUUCUUGAAGGUGGCAGAGCUAAAAUUUGAGAAAUCAAGCAAAACAUACUGAAAUUACAUUGAAAGAAAGAAAAUGGGAGUUAAUGUCUUGCAGUACAUGAUAAGGACUUCAUGCAUGUAGUGUGACCCAUGUCUUGGACUGAUGCCACACUCACGGUUACACUUAUACCCUUAGUUCUCUCUUUACUACCUUAGCUAACCUAGAUCAGGUUAUGAGAUAGGCACCUCACCACACCAUUACUUGCCCAUUAAUUAGUGACAUUUUCAAGCAAUGAGGUAACAUGGUGACACCAAGAGGGUAUAUUCCUCACCCCCAACAAGCCUAGACCUGGUCUAAAAAAAAUGGAGAAAAAUGACGUGUUGUUAUGCAGAAAUAUAGCAACCAUGCCUUCCUCAUUACUUAGAUUCAGAAUGUGAAGGUGAAAUUGAGAAACAGAAACUCUUGAAACCAAAAUGAAAAUUGAUACUUUUACGAAGAAUUACAACAACAUUAGAGGAAGACUACAUUCUUCCUCUUUAUUCCUACAUUUCUACACUACUUCUACUCCACUCCAUAUUUCUACAUACAUCUUUAAUCAGUCUUCCCUCCUUUAUAUAGAGCCAUCUUCACACAAAUUCCGCAAGGUAGAAAAGAGGAAUGAAACUUGGAGCAAGGUUCGACUACUGGCUGUAGCUUGUCAAGGCUGAAAGUGAACUUUUUUUCUUGGCUUUUCUGGGCAUAGGUAGUAACUUGUAGGUUCCUUUUUGGAAUGAAAAUGGUACGGCUAGAACAUGUGGCACUCUCUUGUUGGAUGAUGUGUCAAGCAUGUGGCAGCCAUCUAGUGGAGAUUAUGUCAAUUUUGGGAUGGAGAGUUGGCAUCCAAUUGCAAAGAAAUAUGACAUCUACCAACAUGCAAUGUCAACCUAUGUAGAUCAUAUGAAGAUAGAGAGGAAAAAUAUAGAAAUGGAUAUAUAACUAGAACUAGCUUUUUAUUAAAUGAGACGGAGAGCCAACAAUGAAGGAAAAUCAAAAUUUUUGGCUCAUAUCAAAGAAUUCACAUUGUGUUACCCUAGGUUUUCUUAAAACUUACUUUUAUGAUAAUAAAAAAUCAUUAUUGUUUAAUCCUUUGUUUUAAACGCAUGUUUAGCAGGUUGUAAAAUGUAAAUAUCUUUCGAAAUUCAAAUAUGAAGAUAUGACAUCAUUUCAAGCAAUAUAGUCUCUAGGAAUUAAUGUAAAGCUAAAUUAAGGUGCAAUUAAGUUAGUUCAAUGCAUUAUUUUAAGAAACUUGACCUAUCAAAACCUUGUCUUACUUCAAAGCCUCUUUUUCUUUUCUUCCAACUAACAUUUUAAUAAGUGAUCGCAAAAGUACAAAAUUAGAUGAAAUCCAUUUCAAUGGUUAAAAUGAUCAAAUUCAAACUUUUUCUAAGUAUCUUUUAAAAGCAUCAAUAUUGAAAGACAAUUUUAUAUUUAGUCAAAGCUUGGACAGAGCCAAAAAGCACACAAAAAUUUAUAUUUUCUAGCUCUCUACCUUGGAUGGUCUCUUGAUCCUACUUGGAGAUGUGCAUAAAUAAAAGGAUUUGAAAAUGACAAUUGACUAAGUAUGUAGUCAAUCAAUUACUCAUUGAUUGACUAGUUGAUCAAUUAACUUUGCAACAUCAUAUGCAAUCCUAAUAGCUAGUCAUCUAAUCAACUAGGUAGUAAAUCAAUAGGCCAAAAAUAUGUUUAUAAUGACUAUUUUGUACAAAAACCACUUAUAUAGUUAAAUAUAAUGCAUUUCAUUUAUAAAUCUUCUAAUUCUUGAAUAACAAUCCUAUCAUCCUUUGAAAGUUUUUAUUACACCUUUUCUACAUUUGUUCUAAAACUUAUACAUCACCCUUAAUUGUACCAUGAGAACCUAGCAUUUUUUUUUUUUUUUUUGUAUUUCAUCAAAGUUAGCUCUUGUACUCAUUGUUGUAUUAUUUUUAUUGUAACUUAGAGAGCGAGUGUUUUCAAGUGAGUGAAAUUGACUUGUAAAUAUUGUAAAGAUUCAUUGAUAUGUAUCUCAAACUAGGUGUACAAGUUGAAACAUUUGCUAGUAGAUUUUCUCAAGAUUUAGAAUGAGCUUAAGGCUAUCGAAUUAGGUGGGGUUGCGCCAAACCAUAUCACAUCGUUGUUUGCACCUUUUUUUUCACUCUCUUUUACUUAGUUGCUCUAUAUAUAUUGUCUAGCAAUAUCCUAAAGGCUUGAUGGGCUAGGGAGCAUCCCUCUGAAUGAAAAAUUUUCAUUCAAUUCUUAGUUGUAUUACGCAUAUAUAAAAUGCCUCAUUGUUUUAAUGGUAUUCAGUCGUGGCACCACAGAUAUGGACAUCUAAAUUUUAAAAGUUUGAAACUUUUAGCUAAAGAAAAUAUGGUGCUUUGCCUUUUUGGAAAGCAUGUUGAUGAAAUCCAUGAGAAUUGUAUACUUGGAGAGCAACAUCGAGAUAACUUUUUUUUUUUCUUUUUUUAUAAUGCAUUGUUUGUCCAAAUUCCGUACAAAUUAGGCCACCACAUGUUCAUAAUUCUCCCUUCUUGAAUUUGAAAACUCGGACAAUUUGACAAUGCGACACCUAAGUCCGGUUUUUAAAUGCUAAAGUGAAAGGGCAGGUAUGGACCAUUGAAAUGUGAUAACAACUUUUGGCCUUUUCCUUUUCUCUGUAGCCAUGUUGUCUCUUUUUAAUUUCUUUUGCAUGAUUUUCUUACCUAAACAGAAUCAUAGACUUGUUUAAUCUCUAAGUGGGAUUUCAUCCACCUUAAGCUACUGUAUUAUAUCUCGGUGGAGGACAACCGACAUAGAGCACAUGCAAGUGGGUAUAUGGGACAUGAAAUAUCUUCUUAUAAAGCUUGUUUUGCAGUUAAAUUAAUUGGAUAAGUAGACACUGGCGUUUCUAAAUUUCCCACCUAAGAUAAUGACCUUAUCCUUGACUGCUAGAUACACAAACAAUUAUACCUUCAAAAUCUACUGUGAAGUGCUUCAUGUAUGUGUGAAGUAUUAGAAAUUUCUUUCUUGGCAACUUGUUUUUUUCUUUGCGGUCUACUGAUAGGUUUGACUAAAAUUAUAUUCCCUGUCCUGCUAAUUAAUUUUCACGUGCAUGCUCAAAAGAAGAGUAUGACCUUAGUGCACCAAAAUCACUUUCAAUAAUUUGUGAUAAGUUUUUUUGCAUGACAUUAACCUUAUUCAUUUAGAUAAUGUUUAGUUCUCAUAAAUAUUAAGAAAAUGAAAAUAAAUAUUAAGAAAAAUAUUCUUAUAUUUGAUUGUAUUAUGAAAAAUAUCAUAAAAAAUCAAAUAUAAUUAAAAUUAAUUAAUAAUUUAUAUAUUUUAAAAUUAUUUAAUUUUUAUAUUAAAGAUAUAAUAUAAAUGAAAUGAGUUUUAAGUAUUAUAUAAAAAUGAUUUAUUUAUUUAUUUAUAUAUAUAUAUAUAUAUAUAUUUAGUUUUUCUCUUUAUUUUAUUUUCCUUAUGUUUUCCUCACAUUUUCCGGAAUCAAAGAUAGGGAAAUCCACAAUUACCUUCAACUGAGUAGAUUCUAUUGUUUUAGCAAUGUUAGGCUGCUAACUUGUGGUGGUACGAACCAAAUGAUCCAUGUUAAUCUUGGCUUGAUUUAAUUUGGCUCUAUCUCAGAGAACUCAAGGAUCACGUCAACUCUGGUUUCUACUAUUCAGGUCCAUUCCCAGAUGAACUGGUUCAAAUUUGAGAAAAUGGUAACAGACCUUUAGUGAUAUUGGUUUGGAGCCAGUUGCCAAACCUGCCCUGAGCUUUACCACUAAUGUCAAGGGACAAAGCCAUUUGAACAAAAACAAUAGCUUCAAGAGACUGAAUCGUGGAUGAAAUCUGAUCCACAUUUCUUCUCAUUUUGGGAAAAAAUGAGGACUUAACCACAAAGAUUCUACUGCCUCAUAGUGCUUUUCCUGAUCUAAGGUUGGCUCGUUUCCCAAAUUGUGAGGUGCACGUGCCACUCUCACGCUCAGGAGUGUAUCCACGUGGUGGACAUAAGAUGGUGGCUUAAUAUCUGGUGUCGGUGGCUUUACUUUACUAGGAGAGUAGUGUGUCUUCAUCUCAUUCACUGCCAGAGGGUGGCGUAAGCAGUGACGCUAAGGUGGGGCACAGUCAAUAUCAUUUGCAUUUGACCAUUAUAAUUUUCUCCCGGCUUUAAAGUAACCUUAUCGUGAUAAUGGAUUACUAGCACUAGUUCAGAUGACAGUCAUGUUAAAUUCGGACCAUGUUUGUGUCACAUUAUCAGCAACCAUGUGCUUGUGGUUCAUGCUAUCUGCAACUAAACUUGAUAUAUAACCAGGUGAACUUCAAUCUAAAUUCUGGAAGUACUCAUGUGAUAGAUGGUGCCUGUCUGCAGUGAGUGUAUCUAUAAGAGGGAAGGCUUGGCAAAUGUUCAGUUUUCUGGGAAUUCAACAGGGAUCUAAAAUAGAUUGUUUUCUUUGCUGAUUUCAAUGGUUGAAAUUUGAGAAGAUUGUGUCCACAUAACACAACUAUUACUGGUCCUUCUGUUGCAAUUUAUCCUCUAAGGCUCUAACAUGUCUUCCAAUUCCCACUUCCCACUUCCCUGUUACUCCAGGAAAGCUGUUUCUGUCAUUGUGAAGAAGAAAAGAGACUGUACAUAUCGAUGCUUUUAAGUGGACUGGAGAAUUCAUAUCAGGUGGUCUGCAGCCAUACAUGCCACUUUGUGAAGGUUGGAACAGUCAAUCACUAGGCUAUAUUAGUGGGGCCCAGCCACUUCAAUCAAGGACAAGUCUUCAUACUUAAAGUCAAAUUCUGCCUUUAGUCUCAUUAUAAAUUGCUGUUUAAAUAUCAAGCAAACAUUUGUUUAAUGCGAUUAAGACAGCACUAACUCAAUACUUGUUCUAUUUUUGGAUGCAAAUGCUUGAUAGUUUCAUCAUUGGAGGGGAUAAAGGUGCAUUCAUGAUUAUGAAUACUUGUAGUUAUAUUUUCAUUCUCUUUUUUCUCAAUGGGACUUGUUGGCACAAUUUUGCUGUUCAGAAACCUACCUCUCCAUGGAAAAUCAGUUGUGAUUGAUAUUACUGGAUAUAUUCAAGAAAGCUAAAUGUAGAUAGCACAAAAUAUUAUCGACAUAAAUAGCAUUAACAGCGUACGUAUGUCUCAAUGCUCAUCAGCUAUAAGCAAGGGGCAAACACUUACUAUGAGCAACUUACGUCAAAAUUCCGGAAUAGGACAUAGAAGUGACAGGUCAGUAAAUAUAGAACACUGCAUAUGAGUCACAAGAAAGGAAAUUACGGGUACAUAGCAGCUCUUAUUUUACAUCCUACUCAUACUGAUCAAAGUCACUCAGUUGGGAUGGGUGGGAGUGGGAGGUUUGUGGGGUGGCUUGUGCGGAGGAGUUGGCAGCUUCUUUCCAGGACCUGGUUGCUUCUCUGCUGGAGUUGAAGGAGGCUUAAUCUUCCGAGGUGGCUUGUAUGAGUCUUCAGCAUUCUCAGCAGGAGGGUGACCAGGGUUGUGACCACAAUGUGGUGGCUUCUCUCCCUUAGGUGGUUUGCCAACUGGGGUUGGUGGCUUGUGUUCCGGAAGUGGCUUCUCUUUGUGUUCAGGAGGUGGCUUCUCCACUGGAGGCUUGUGUUCAGGAGGUGGCUUCUCCACCGGAGGCUUGUGUUCAGGAGGUGGCUUCUCCACCGGAGGCUUGUGUUCAGGAGGUGGCUUCUCCACCGGAGGCUUAUGCUCUGGUGGUGGCUUCUCCACCGGAGGCUUAUGCUCUGGUGGUGGCUUCUCCACCGGAGGCUUAUGCAAUGGUGGUGGCUUCUCCACCGGAGGCUUGUGUUCAGGAGGUGGCUUCUCUACCGGAGGCUUAUGCUCUGGUGGUGGCUUCUCCACCGGAGGCUUAUGCUCUGGUGGUGGCUUCUCCACCGGAGGCUUGUGUUCAGGAGGUGGCUUCUCCACCGGAGGCUUGUGUUCAGGAGGUGGCUUCUCCACCGGAGGCUUGUGCUCUGGUGGUGGCUUCUCCACCGGAGGCUUAUGCUCUGGUGGUGGCUUCUCCACCGGAGGCUUGUGUUCAGGAGGUGGCUUCUCCACCGGAGGCUUAUGCUCUGGUGGUGGCUUCUCCACCGGAGGCUUGUGUUCAGGAGGUGGCUUCUCCACCGGAGGCUUAUGCUCUGGUGGUGGCUUCUCCACAGGAGGCUUGUGUUCAGGAGGUGGCUUCUCCACCGGAGGCUUAUGCUCUGGUGGUGGCUUCUCGAAUGGGGGAUGCGUAGGGUAAUCAGCUAGUGAGGGGGCGGUGAGAACCACCAGGCCAAGCAACACUACUAGCAAGUAUGUAGGAGACAUCUUUGGGUUUGGGCUCAGAUGGUGCAAAACUAGGAGAAUUGGCUAGCCUUUUAUAGCGGAUCGUACCCAAUAAUGAAAUGACACGUGUCAUUAUGACCCAUGUGUCAUGUGGUCGAUUUGGGUCCUACAGUGUUGAAAACUUCGACAUCCACUUUUUUGGCCUUUUGCUUUCUCUACAGUCGCCUUGCUUUUUCCCUCUUUUCUUUUGUUUUCCUCCUGCCCCAUUCUAUCAACUAAUCACAAUUAUGUAGUUGUUUAAUUCUUAAAUGAGAUAUUAUCCGUCAAUCAUAUUAUCUUUUAUCAAGAGAGAACGGAGUGAAAAGUGGCAAUCCAAAGAAAGAAGAUCCAUAAUGCAGCUGUAAUUUUAUCGUUUACUUUUAUCUCUAGGACCACUGCAUUUUUGUUGAGAGGUGCAAUAAUACACGUCUUUAUCUGCCAUUCAAUGUUUACAGUAAAGAGAGGGCACAAAACUCUUCACUGCUCUGCAUGUGCCCCAAAAAUGCAAUUGGACAAAUUAUGAUUUGCAUGCUAAAAAGAGGCAAAUGAGGUUAAUUAGCACCAAAAUUAUUUUGUUUUCUGGACACCCCGGGGCCCUUUGGUUGGUUUGGGGGUCAGAAAAUGAACAUCAUAGGGGGUUUUUCCCUAAUGUGCAUUUGCAUUUGUAUCUGAUGGCUUUAACUCGCCUUGUUACUACAAAGAAAUUGUCACAGAUAGGAACUUAUUCCAGGCUGAGUAUCUCCGCAUGGACCCUAUAAAAGAAGACAAGUCAUAAUGAACAUCUAACCUUUGUUCAAUUUGAUUCAAUGCCCCUAUUGUGUCCAUCUCACAAAUCUGAAUUAUUAUAUCCAUUGAAUACAUAAAUUAAUGAAGAAAAUAUGAAACCCAAGAUACAUCUCUGCACAACCUCAACCCUGGUUGCUAUGUUUCACUUCUAUUCACAUGAGGAUAUUGAUUACGGAAUAAGGAAACCUAGCAAGGGUUUACUCGGCUCUGGUUUGAUGCUAAUUGCCAAACUUGCAACAAGCCCUGAGUUUGACACCUAAUCGAUGGGCGAAUUAAAAGUCUCCUCCAAACAUAUAUUCCACAGCUUGAAGCUCACAGAAGAUGCUAUACAGGCAGGGAAAAACCUUCAGAGUUAGCUACCAAAGAUAAUUAUCAAGGAGAUAUCACCAAGAGAAUUCCAUGGAGUCUGAAUCAAAGACAAAUUGCUCGCUCGUGGGGGUUCUUACUUAAUUUCUUUUGGGUAUAACUCACUGAGGGCACUGGCUUUGUUAUUUGCAUUUCGCAUUUAGAGUUCUGUUCUGGAAGGUUUGUUCUGGAAACAUAUAAAAGGAGCAUCAUUUUGUUCUAGGGUAACCCAUAGUUGUGAGUGGGUCCAUUUGCAUGCUACUUAGUUGAAAAGUUGGACAAUUUGCUCCGACGCCUACCUCCUGGAUUCCAUGCUCGGAUAAAGCAAGAAUAAUAAAAUAUUUAUAAUUUACAAAUGGGGGAAAGAAAAAAAUGUCAACAACAAACUAGGAAAAAAGAGUAGUAAAAUUUAUGCCACAUGCUAUUGAUAGAAGGGGCAUGUAUUAGAUCCAUCACCAUUUGGUAAGAUUUUAGUAUUAUAUUUUUCAAGGUUCAUUAUUUGAGGGUGUGUUCUUCAUCUCUGUUGCAUUGCUUCUUACUAGGCCCACUGAGGUGGGUUCUUCACCUUUUGUAUAUUCUCUGCACUAGAUCAAUGAGAAAGGGGGAAUUUUGGUGAAUUUGCAGCCGUUGGAUGAUUGAUUCUAGGCUCAGUCCACCAAUGAUGCUCUCUUCACUCUUUCUCAUCUAGUGUCAUUCACAACUAUGUUUUGAUUCAUAUUUGUACUAUCAAAGAUAUCUCAUUAUUCUAGCUCAUUAGGUAGAGUUCCUAAUCUUCCUCCUUUUUGGUCUAUGGACAGUAUUGGCUUCAUAUUAAGAUCAUGUUUCAAUAAUUGCACAUUAAUGAAUGGAUCAUGACCCACAUAAACAGAGUCAGGGUUGAGUCAGUGAACCCUAAAAUUUCACAAUUCUAAAUUUGGGUUCUUUAACAAUGCAGGGUCAAGGACGCGUGGUGAUGAAGGAAAGCUGGUAAGCUCAGUGUUACUUCAAUUCCUGCCAUGUAGGAUGGUGAGGAGAUAUUCACUAUGCAAUUAAUAAUAGACAAUAUUCACUAUGCAAUAAUAAAGCAUAAAUUAAGUUGAAUGAAAAGCAUUUUCUUUGCAAGGAGUUGAUUUUGGUUUCAUAGUUUGUUCAACUGCUAUUUUGGAUAGGAAAGUGUGAGGAGAAGAAAAUAAAAAAUAAAAAUAAAACAAAAAAUAAAAAAUAGAUUUUAUAAAUUCAUUUAAUUUAUUUUUUUUUUAUAAAAAUUAACUAAUUUAAAAUAUAUGUAAAUUUCUAAUUAAUUUAAUUACAUUUUUUUUUUCAGUUUUUCAUAAUAAACCAAAUAUUAGAAAAUUAUUUUUAUUAAGACACCCAAGAUGAGGUAAUAUGCAAUGAAAACAUGAAUUAUAUUAAAAUUCAAAACAAAUUAAGAGAAAUCGGAAAAUAUACAUAGAUAUCUAAACAAAGAAAUUUAAAGAGAAGGAACCACAAACUUUAUUUACAUAAUUUGAAAAUAAAAAACAUAAAACAUACUUAUAGUAAGGAGAAAUUGAAUAUCUUACAAUGGAAGAAGGGAGAAAAGCUUUGAAGAAAGCUUUUGCUUGGAAGCUUACAUGGUGAGAGGUAGAGAAAGGAGAGAGAGAGAAGAAAAUGAAAAAUGAGAAGUGGAGAAAAUUGGAAGUUUUGUGUGCUUACAACUGAGGAUAGAGCCUCCUUAAAUAGCAAAAAAUGGAAUAUUAAAUAGUACCAAUCAGGAGACAAAAUAUUGUUUGCUUUUGAAACCCGUGCAUGAAUAGUAAUCCCGUGAGUGAAUAGUGAAUAAUAAAAGUGAAUAGUAAAAGUCACUUUCUACUAUAGCACUUUAGACUUUUUCAUCGAGAAUCUUACUUUCGGCUGAGUGAUGAUAGCUGAUAGGUUGCUUUGGAUUGUGGAGUCAUAUGUUUGAUGUUUUCGGUGCUGAAACCGCUUAGUUGGAGAAUAAUCUCGUCAGUAGAGCAUCAUGAGAAGCUUGAAUGGAGAGAGCUUAAUGAUGCCAUAUGAUUGGAAGGAAUCCUAUUUUAAUUUCCUUAUUGGAGGGAGAAUACCCUCACAAUCAUCUUCAUUAUCUUGAAGGUAGUUUGAUAUAGAGUCAUCUGACUCAGCAUAAGAGUCCUCUUGGGAGAAGCUUGAACUGCUUUUGUCAAGGAUUUUCUGAAAUUCUUGAGGGGUUUUUGCUAUUGCUAACAUGGUUUGGAGUUGCUGUUUCUUAAGAAGAAACUGUGCAAUAUCAUAAGAUGAUGAAGCUUGUGUAGGAUGCUUUAGGAAAUAUUGCUUUAUUGCUUGUAGUGAGGUAUCAUUUUUCAAGGCAUCCCACCACUUAGACUUGAAAGUCCUUCCAAGGGUUGGAAAGGCUGCUGAUUCAUCUGCUAUAAUGAUAUAAUCCCACUGGACUAUCCAGGCAAGGCCAAAUUCACUAAAAAAGAAUAAUAAUUGGGGAAAACUGAAAGUUCUCUAGGGAUAACAAAAGAACUUUGGAAUAGCUCAAAGCCAUCCAAAAUGGGUUUUGGGAGAAUUUUAAUAGUUGGACCAAAAUAUGUCCACCAAUUGUGGAACCAAAAUGGAAAAGAGGGGAGUUGAUGCUUAGAUGGGAAAUAGAACAUCCCUGAAUGAUGGAAGUCCUUGUUCUGGAUCAGAAAAGCAUUGAACCAUACUCUUUGGUAGUCUCAAUAAUUGAAAAUUUUAGGUUUUGAAGGCUUAGAAAAUUCUCUUGAAAAAUUAGGAUUCCCACCCCACUGCUUAACUGUAAGGAUUUUAUAAAUAUGGUAAGUGGAGAAUGCCAAAUCCAAAUUGCUGAAUUUAUCAGCAUUGUGCUUGAUUUUAACAGAGCCGGUUUCCAUAAGGAUUGCUUCAUAAAAUUCUCUUGUUUUUAAAAGAUCACCAAAGGGAUAAUGAAAAUUUUCAUGAAAAGCUUUUGCUGCAAUAUCUCUAGGGUUUUUAGAGAAAAACUCUUUUUCAAUAACCAAAAGAGGUUGAUUUAAAUCUUUUUGCCAAUAUCUUGCUUUUGCUGAAAGAGGUGUGGGGUUGGCUACCACCACAAUUUGCUUAUUUGAAAAAGAAGAGCUUGAUGCUAAUUCAUUUUGAGAGGGAUUAGCUUUAGUAACCUGCUUAAAGGUCUGAGACACAGUAAUAGUUGGAUACUGAGUAGCCUUGACUGGUUUAGAAGGAUUCGAAGGAUCAUAGUACAAGGACAAAAUCUUAUUAGGCAUAUGGUCAGAAGAAUGAAGCCUUGCUUCUUCUUCUAGCUCAACUUGUUGGCUCCAAAGUAUUUUAUGGGGAGAAGGUUCUUUGCUGGUUUUAGAAGACUAGGAUUCUGGAAGUUUAGGAGCUUGGGUAUUCUUUUUAGGGGCCAUGGUUUCGUGAAUCCUGUAAAAUUCACAAGUUAAGAAAUCAGGGCUCGAAGAAUGUUCUCCUUUAAUAUACUCAAUUUGUAAAUUAAAAUUGCUUAAAAUAGCUUGAUAUAUAGCAAAAAUAUGCUUAGAAGUUAUAUUCUUAACAUCCUUUUGUAAAACUAAUUUUGCAAAUUUACAAUCAACUCUUAAUAAAAACUUUUGAUUCAAAAGAUCAUCUUGAAAUUUUGAAAUGCAUAAAACAACGCUUAAAGUCUCUUUUUUAAUGAUGUUAUGAAUGAGUUGGGUAGUAUUCCAGGUUCUUGAAGUAUACCUAACUAACAUCUCAAGGUUACCAACACUUUGCUUAAGAAUCCCACCAUAACCUAUGUCUGAGGUAUCGAUCCCAACAAACUCAAAGGUUUCUGGAUUGAUAGAGCCUAAACAUGGUAGGGUCUUGACUUUGGACUUAACAUCAAUAAUGAAAACAAUGGUGAAAACAGAAAACUGGUUAAAGUUUUCAUCCAUUAUAUUCUGGAAUUCUGAGGUGCAUUCUUAAGAUCAAAGGGCAUUAUGAACCAUUCAUAAUGUCCAAGAGAUACCACAAAGGUGGUCUUAUUUGGAAUAGGACACCUAAUCCAACUUAAUGUAUCAUUAAGAGGCAUGUAGUUGACGACUAGUCUAGGUGUUCCUUUUUCUGAUUCAACUUGUUCCUGAACAUAGAAGGUUGAACAACUCCAAAGGGACUUAGACUUCCUUAUCAACUUUUUAUCAAGAAGAUCCCAAAUCUCCUUAUCACAAUAGCUUAACAAACCCUUGUUCAUCUGGAUAGGUCUUGAUUUAGUGGGAAUAUUCUUGUCACUAAAGUCUAGUUCAUAAGGUAAUUCUACCUCAUGUUGUUUCCUAUGCCAAAAUGCAUUAGGAAUGUUAGAGCAAACUUCUUCAACAAUCAGAUUAAUUUCUUGCUCAUGACUUUCCUUAGCUUGAAUCACCUGAUCCCUUAAGGUGUUUAUAUUUUUCUUAUUAGGUGGUUGGCAAAUUCAAAAAUAAUUUCCUUAUCUAAGAGCUUUGUUCUUAUACUUUGGUCAUCUACCCACAUGGGAUAGAUGGAGCUUAAAAAGGGGAUUCCAAGGAGAGCUUUCUCCUUAAGAUCCUUAACUAGAAUGAAGGUUUGCUUGAUGCAAAUGCCUUGGUUAUUUAUGUGAGCAUCUGACAGCUUAUACUCAAUGUCAAGCCUUUUACCAUUAGCUCCAAAGAGAGAUUCUUUGGUUUUCUUACAAAACUUAAUAGGACCUAGACCUUCUUGUAGGCAAUUCAAAGCUGUUCCUGAAUCAAUCAAAGCAACAAUAUCAAUGACAAAUUUACUCUUAAUUACUAUAGUAAGGGAGACUUUCCACCUCUGGAAAAUAACCCUACUAACAGUAUUUAAGUAUCCAUCCGUCUUUUCAUCAUUAGCAUGUGAAGAUUCUAGAACCUCUUCAAGGUUUUCCUAGUUAUCAACAAGAUUUUCUAUAACAAUCCUAUUUAUUUGUUCUUGGAGAUCUGAAAAACCUAAGCUUGUGUAUUGUCUUAAAUCUUUAAUUUCCUUCUUAUACUGUCUUACUUCUUCUUGAAGAUCCUUAAUGGUUACGUCUUUGGUAGACUACUGGUUAAAUCUUCCUAAGAUUUCAUUUAAGUUAUAAGAAUUUACUGUCUUCUUAAUCUCUUGCUUAUCGACAAAUUUCUUAAAAACUUCAUAAAGAUCUUGUUUAGUUUUUUCAUCUUCAACUUUCCUUAAAACAUCUAGGACAAGUUCUUGAUCUUGGCUUAUGACAUUUAUAGUCUUAGGUUGGCAAUCACAAUUAUCCUUAAUGUAUUCUUCUUGGUCACUAGAAGUUUGGCUUGAGAUUUCCUCACCACUACUAUCUAGUUGGUUAAUACCAUUUUCAUUAUCUGAAUCAAUCCUUGAUUCAGACUCUGUGGAAUUUAACAUUACUUUACAAAGCAUAUCUUUUAAGUCUUCUGUGACAUUUAAGUUAUUAAUUUUCUGCUUAACCCUACAAUCUUUCUUAUAGUGGCCUAUCUUACCACACUUAAAACAAACUGGCUUAGAUUGUGAAGGAGCUUCUAGCUUUUUAUGGGCUUCUUUGUUCAUCAUUCUUUGGAUGUGCCUUUGUUUCUUAGUUUCAUUCAUCCUAUAGUUGCCAUGAGUUCCUCUCUUGUUGUGAUAGGACUUUUCCUUACUAGGCUUUGUACUUACUUGUUUCUUACGUUGCUUAGAGGGGGGCUUAGUUUCUUUUUGGUUGAAUCCAAACUAGCUACAAAAUGAACCAAACUCAUUCUUGUAGAUCCUUUGUUCAUUUUUCAUCUGUUGCUUAAGCUUAAAGUCAUUGCACAGUUUAAUUGCUUCUGAUGUGACAAUGCUUAUAAUUUCUCCAUAAGAAAGCUUAUCAUAAGGGAUUUGUCCAUUAAACUGUUCCCUUAUCUUAAUCCUAAUCCUCUCAGAGAAAAGUCUAGGUAGUCCUAAGAUGAAUUUUUCUUUCCAAAAAGACUGGUUAUAGUUUGAUCUUAGUAUGACUUUGGUUAGGAAAACUUCUCUAUACCAUCUAAAGUCAUGAAGCUUGGGACACUUAAGGUUGGUUAAGAGAUCUACAAUCUUAUCCUUAAUCUUUGCAGGAUCUCCAAUGAAGUGCUUUGAAAUUGAAUAGAUUAGAGUAGCCACUACAUCCUCUAUAUCUUGUCCAUCUUCAUCCUUAACCACUUCAUUUUCCUCAUUAAUCCUAUAGGCUUUUAGGAUACCAUUUCUAUCCUCAAAGGUGAGAUAAUUAUCCCACCAACCCUAAAGUUGACCUGUAAACCCAACAACAAUUGUUUGAGCUACAGCAUGGCCUGACAAUCUAUUGUUUAACUUAUAGGUUGUACUAACCAUGGUCAUUUCUUGAAGCUUAGUGAGUAUGUUGUACUCAAUCAUACCAUCUAUGUUCCAUUCAUAGAUAGUGUCACUAGUGUAGGAAGCUUGAGUAUGCUGGUUUCUUUCCUCAUACUACAUAUCAGGAAAAGUUGGUCUAGGGUAGUAAUUCCUAGUUCUUGGUUGUUGAUAAUCCUCAUAACUGUUUGGUUAGGAGGUUCCUUAAAAAUCUUAAUUAGUUCAUCAGCCUCUGCUUCAGAACUAAUUUCUCCUUUAACCAUAUUGAUUCUCUUGUGAGAUGGUUGAGGUGUCUCAGAGACAACAAGGCUAUCCUUAACCUUUUGGCUUAUCCUAUCAAUGAGGGCUUGAUCAAUAUGGAGAUUCUCUAGGAAUUUCUUAGAGAAUUCAAAAGGCUUAAAUAAAGACUUAUUAUCUUUCUUAACAAACGUAGUCUUAAUGUAGUCUUGUGUUUCAAUGAUAUCCUCAAACUUGUUGAGUUGAUCGCCUGUAGUCUUAAGAAACAUGUUAGUGUAGUUGUUUUGUUCCAUGAUUCUUCUAACGUCAACAACACUAUCAAUUCCUUUAUUCUUUGGCCUAGUCUUAAAAGGUGAAGCUUUGACUAUGGUUCAAUUAAUGUUCUUUUAUAUCUUAGCUUCUAGAGGGUGGAUGGAUUCUAUGAUAGUAUCGUCACUAGUUUUCCAUAUCUUAGUUUUUUUGGAUGUGUCAUUGACACGCUUACUAGGGUAAUCUAGAUAUUCCUCUUGUUUGAAGAGUUCAAACCAGAUCCAAUACUUAAUGUUCUUCUUUUCUUGUCUUAAGUAUGUGUAGAAUUCUUCUUGGUAGAGGGUUCUAAUGUCUUUAAGGACCUUGCUAAAGAACCAAACUCUCCUUUUCUUAUUGACUUCAGAAUAGAAGUCUUUCCUUAAGAGGUCCUUGUUGAUUCAAAGUCUUCGUUAAUUAGGCUUACAGUGUUAAUCAACUGAGAAUAAGUAGGAGACAUAUCAGGAGAUUCGUCCUGAUGUGAUUCUUGAGUAAACUCAUUUUCCUCCAUGUAAAAGGGUUUGGCCACGUUGGUGUGACUUCUAACACCUGUUAGCUUAAUAUUCUUAGGAUUUGCUGAACUAGAUCCUUCCUCUAUCCUAGUGGUUCUUAUUGGGAUAGAUGAACUUGAAGCUCUAGAGGGCUCAUAAUAUGAAAUUCUAAGGCUGCUAGAAUGAUGAAAAGAGUUGGAGAAAAUUAGAUCUCGUUCUCCAUCAGGAUAUUGAACAAUCUGUUCAAUUCUUUCAGAUCUUUGCUCUAUGGCUGGGACAACAUUAGCAAAAUGCCAAUUUUCUGGAAACUCAACCUCAUUCCACUUGAUUUUCAUGGGGACUAUGAAAUUAGACUUGUUUAUCAUAUCUAAGUGGAAGAUAGUGGUUUCACCCUUGGGACUGGUGCACAAUGCUCCAAAUCCAACGCUUAUGGUCAUGCUCUUAUAGGCAAAUCUGGUGAUGAUGGAAACAUGAUUGUUUCCUUGCUUGAACUUAAAGUCAUGGGUCUUAACAUGAAGGACAACUGAAUCUAAGAUGUUGACAUCUCUUAGUCUAACUGUGAAGUUAGGGAAACACUGGAAAUAAACAGGACCAUCAUUUAAUCCUGCUUGGGUAGCUCCAAUAAUAGAAUCUCGGUAAUCAAGAUGUCUAUUAUCUCUUAAACACAUGACAAUAAAGGUGUUUAGACCUAGUCUUGUCAAGGGCUUAGCUGCAACUUGAAUCAUGCCAAAGUGUAUGAAGUUGUAGUCUCGCUUAUGCUUAUCAAUGGACUUACUAUCCAAGAGUCUUAUGACUUGAUCGUCGUGUUCUAAACUUACUGACAUUUCAGGGGUUUUAAUGGUGUAAUCUGUAAAGAACUUAAAGGUUCCUUUCUUAUAAAUUUCUUGAUUAGGUACCUUGGGUAACUUCCAAUCAUCUAAAUCAUCUUGGAUCUUAGGAUAAUUGAUCUCUUCAUUGUUUACUCUUGAGAAUUUGUGGAUUUCCUAGACAUGGUUCUGAAAAUCAAACUCAUUUUAAGGUUUUAAUCUAGAGCCUAAUAGCAGAUUAACAGACCUAGUGAGUAAUCACCCCAACCCUUUUCCAACCUUAACAAACGCCUAUCUCCAGCUAACAAUGGGCUCAACUCGGCAAGGAUCGCACUCAGGCACACUACUAUCUUUCCUAGGAUAGAUCAAAACACCCAAAACAAACCCGACUUCCUUUUCCUAGGAUAUAUAUAGUAUUUUGGGUUUGAGUAGGAGUUCAUGUUUUGUAUGUAAUUGUAGUCUACGUUGGACUAGGUUGUUUGCUCCUAAUUGAAAUAGGAAUGGUUGGUGUCACAUCUCAUUCAUUUUCUCAUCUAUUUCCAUGUUUAGAUAACUCAAGUAAUCAUAGGAAUGAAAUUAAGAAUGAUUUGAGGGAAAUGAAAUCUCACUUGUAAGUGGGAUCUCAAUUCAUCAUUAAUAGAAGGUAUUUUGAUUACAUAGUGCAAGUUAUUUUUAAAAACACUUUUCAAAAAUUGAAAAACCAAAAACUCUCUUGGAUAAGUUGUUUUUAAAAAGAAUUUUUGUAUUUUUAUUUUGUAAAAAAAAAAAAUAGUAAUUCAAUUUAUAUAAUAUAAAUAGACUUUAAUUUUAUUAAAAAUAAAAAUAAUUUUUUAAUUACAAAUAAAUUAAAAAAUAAAUAUUUGUAAUAAAAUAUGAAUAGUAAUAUUAUAAUAAAAUCAUAAAUAAAUUAAAAAUAUUUUUAAAAACAAAUAAGUUUAAUUUUUUUGAGGUACAAAUGAGCCAAAUUUUUCAUUAGGUACACAACCAACAAUUUUUAUUGGAAACAUUCCUCAAAAAAGAAUUCGUUUCCCAUAUAGCAAAGAUAUUUAUUAUUUAGUAUCUAACCAUCCGUAGUAAUCAUAUCAAUUCUACUAAGUUAUUUAAUAAUUCAUUUAUAUAUAGUACUCAAUUAUGAAUUUUUUUAUUUGAUGUAUAAUUAAUUAAUCAAUGUUUUGAAUUUUGAAUUAUUCUUAAAAUUUAAAACAUUAAUUAUGUCUAUUACUUUUUAUAGUCAUUAUAUAUAUAUAUAUAUAUAUAUAUAGAGAGAGAGAGAGAGAGAGAGAGAGAGAGCUUAAAUUUAUCUUUAAAAAUUAUUAAAUUUAUUAAUAAAUUCAAUACAAAGACUCAUUUGAUUUGAAAUUCAUUUCUUUAGUGAAAAUUUUGAAACUAAAUAGUACUUUGUUUUACUUUGUUUUUAAAUCAUACUCACAAAUAAGUUUUUAUCAUUUAGCCAAAAAAUCUCAAAGAUGUUUCUAAUUUUAUUUAUUUAUUUAUUUGUAAAUGAAAAUAAAAAAUUAGUUUAAACUAAAUAUGCGGAUAUUAUUGUUAAUUUAUUUCAUUUUUUAUUUCCAUUGUUAUUUAACAUUGAAACGGAAACAAAUAAUCAUUCCAAUCUUACAUUCUUAUAUGCAUCUAAACACAAGAAUUGAAAUCACCAAAUUCAUAUUCAAGGCAAAAUAGAAAUGGAAAAAAAAUAUUCAUUUUCAUUCCUCAUUCUCAUGUGCUAAACAUGACAUUAGUUCUACUACCUAUUUCACCAUUCUUCUUGAUAAAUUUGGUAUAUGCAAUAUUGAUCUAAGUGUGAGGUGAAUAAGAAUGAUGAUGGGAUGGGCUUGGAAAUAAGGGCAAAGUUUCUAGGUGCUAUCUAGAGGGGCAACGCGACUUUUUCAAAUUUCGAAUAUUUGUUCUCAACAUAAAGCAAAACUUUACUCACACAAUAGAUAAGACUCUGUUUGUUUUCUUCAUCCACGACUAUAUAAUGUAUAGCUCUUACUCAAGGGAUGAGCUACUUACUAUUAAGGAUUGGGUAAGAUAUUGCCUAAUGGCCAAGAAGGCAUGUCAAAAAAUAAAUCUAAUCACCAUAAAAAAUAAUAGGGGAAAAUUAAUAUAUUAUGAAUGAUGACUUUACUAUUUCUCUAUAUACAUAAUUAUAUAUUUUGAAUUUUCUCACUAGGUAAUGAGAUUCUAAAUCAACUGAAACAUAAUUAAUAAUUUAUAUUUUUAAUGAAUCUUUUAAUUUUUAAAAAUAAUUUAAAAUUUUAAAAAACAAUUCAAUUAAUUACAUAUUAAAUCAAAACAUUUCAAAAUAUUGUGUUUGUAGAUGAGUACUAAAUGCUUGCAUAUAAUAAUAAUAAUAAAAAAAUUGACUCAUUUAGAUGUUAAAAAAGUUAAAUGUUUUUCAUUAUUCAUUUUAAGUAAAAUAUUAUUGACAUUAUUAUUAUAAAAUUAUUAUUAUUCAUUUUUAACAAAAAACAAAAUAAGUUAUUCUUUUACCAAGAUGUCAAUAUCUAUAUUUUUCUAACAUAUAUUAAAAUAGUAUACUUUUCUUUUAUUAAAAAUAAUAAUUAUUAUUAUAUUAUUAUUCAAGUUUUAUUAAAAAAAUUUAUCUUUUAAUUCAUUUGUAAUUACAAAAUAAUUUUAUUUUAUUAAGAAUUUAAUUUAAUUACGCUUUUUUUUUUUAUAAAAAAAACAGUUAUGCUUUUACCAAGAUGUUAAUAUUCAUAUUUUUCUAGCUAACAUAAAUAGAAUAGUACACUUUUUCAUAUAAAAAAAUAAUUUAUGAUUUUAUUAUAAUGUUACUAUUCACAUUUUACUAAAAAUAUUUAUUUAUUUUAUUUAUUUUUAAUUAUAAAAUAAUUUUAUUUUCAAGAAUUUAAUUUUAAAAAAAUAGAAAUCAUUUAUUCUUUUACCAAGAUGUUAAUAAACAUAUUUUUCUAACAUAUACUAAAAUAAAAAAGUUUACUUGUUCAUUAAAAAAUAUAAUUUAUGUUUUUAUUAUAAUACUACUAUCUAUGUUCUACUAAAAAUAUUUAUUUAUAAUUAAAAAAUAAUUUCAUUUUUAAUAAGACUUGAACUAAAUUAAAUUUAUAAUUUUUUUUUAAAAUAAAAUAGAAAAUUAUUUUUUAAAAACAACUUAUUGAAAGAAAUUUUUUAUUCUUUACUUUUAAGAACUGUUUUUAAAAGCAACCUAUAAACCCCUUUGGGUCUGUUUGGCUAUGUUUCAUGCAACUUGUUUUUAAAAAUUGUUUUUUAUUCUUUAAUUUAAUUUUUUUUAAGUUAAAGAAUAAAAAACAACUUUCUAGUGUUUUAUAAAAAUGAGAGCUUUUGACAAGUUGUUUUUAAAAACCAUUUUUAAAAAUAAAAAAUAAAAAACUUAUUUAGAUAAAUUGUUAUAUAUAUAUAUAUAUAUAUAUUUGUAAAAACAUUUUAAAUUCAAUUUAUAUAAUAUAAAUUUAAUUUAAUUUAAGUCUUAUUAAAAAAAAAUUGUUUGGAUAAGUUUUUUUUUUUAAAUAGUUUAUUAUUUUUGUUUUGUAAAAACAUUGCAAAUUCAAUUUAUAUAAUAUAAAUUAAUUUAAUUCAAGUCUUAUUAAAACCAAAAUAAUUUUAUAAUUACAAAUAAAUUUAAAAAUAAUUUUUUUAGUAAAACAUGAAUAAUAAAAUUAUAAAUUAUAUUAUUGUGGACCCUGCAUUUAUGCUCAUGCGCUUCCACUUGUUGGCGAACUCAUUUUUUAUUUGAAAAUGAUUUAUUUUUUUAGAAAAUGACUUAGAGUCGCCACUUAUUUUUGUUUUAUUUUUAAAGGGCAAGCAAAAUAAGAAAGAAAACCCUAAGUGUGACUCCUUAUUCGAAAAAGGUAGUCUGUGUAAAACCGGAUCAGGGUUCAGGGAUCAGGUUACUUAUUGGGAAGGUAUGACAAUGACCGUAGCACUCCUCUAAGUCCUUAAAAACGGGCCUCUACUAAAAAAAAUAAAGUAAUCAUGGCAAUCAGUAAGGAAAUCACUGGAUACCCAGAACAAUUAUGCACAUGUGAGAAUUAAAACAUGCAUAAGAAUGGACAAAGUGAGAGUGGGUGCGUACCUUGACAACGAACCACAAUGCGUUAUCAAGAAAUGGGGUUAGUGCACGAUCAAUGAACAUAAAACACGUCACACAUGUCACUAAGCAGAGUGAGAAAUCAUCAGAUAUUACAAUUCAAUCAAAUUUAUUUUUAGAAGAAACAUCUGUUGAUGUAGAGCCCCUACCAAAGCCUAAUUUAUUUUUGCAUGAAUCAAUUUCAUAAAUUCAAUCGCUUGGAAUUACAGAAUUAAAUUCAUGCUUAUUUUAAAACAUCUUUUUAAAAUCAUGGAAGAUGUGAAAAUGGUUUUCCAAAGAGAAAAUGACAACUGAUUUUAUUGAAAAUGGGAUUUUGGGGACCUAAACGUUAAAGAGGGAUUAGGAAUUGAAAAUUAAAUCAUUUGAAAAUUGAAUUUUUCAAAAAUCAGUUUUGAAAGCAUGCAUGCAAGUAUGGACUGUGAAAGUGGGCCUAGGGAGGGUGGCCAUGCAAAAUGAGGUCAUACACGUGGGCCUUGGGUACAAUUGGGACUACUUUGCUGGUGCCAGUGGUGCUUGCAGCUGUCAUCCAUGAUUUCUUCAUUGGGAUCAAUUUCCAUUCUUACUGCCAAACAUUCCAUAACAAUUGACCAAACUAGUAACCCUGACCUUGCAUGAAAAUGAACGUUACCUAGAAACUCACUGCCAGUGAGAUUCAUUGCUCUUUCAAAAGGUCUCAUUUUCUUUCUCAUCCAAUUGCUUUAAGGAGCAUUCUAGCGUCACGAUUGGUGACUGCGCAUCAUCUAGAGCCUUCUUUCUUCUCAGAAUCAGGUUUGCGUGCAGAGGCCUGUGCUUGUUCAAGGUUGACCUAAAUUCAUCUAGGUUUAGAACCGACCAGUUGAGCUUGGGGAGCAACGACAAGAAUAUCAGUCACUUGCGAAGAGAAAACUCGAGAUCUUUCAAGUAAUGCCUGACAUAGAUUCCUCCAACCUGUGGCCAAUAUCUCAUUCCUUGUUGGCCAGACGCCUAUUAGGGCGUAUCUCAAUCAAUAAUAUGAUUUUUCGUUUGUUCACAAUAAAGACCGGAAGCCAUGGUUGUGAUUUAUGCAGUACAGAAGAAGUUGCCAUGGCUGGUAUCCUUACAAAUUCUGGUGUUUCUGCUAUCUGUUCAAGUGCAAAACACAACAGCUUUAUCAAGUUUGUCCCUAACAACUGAUAUUGAGCCCUCUGGAGGAAACCUUGAUAAAUUCAUAAUCACUUUUGACUCAUGCAUGGGCUGCCCAUCAAAUUUUCCUAGCAACGAGACGACUGCUGUCAUCUACUGCAAAGAGAAUUUCUUCUCGCAAAGACAAGAGGAGUUUAAGAAUACACACUAUUCUGCCAUUUCAUUUCCUCUUUCUCCACAACCAACAUAAACCAUAGUGUCUACAUUAGAGUACUUAGAAAGAGCUUAACUGAUGACCGUUUUUCCACAACCAAAUGCCCCAGGUAUGGCACAAAUUUCACCGAAAACAGAAGGGAAAAGGGCAUCAAGAACACGCUGUCCUGUAAGUAGUGGGGUAUCAGGACUACUCUAGGGAAGUUAUUUCUGUCAUUUUGAAAAAGAAAAAUUAAAGAAUGUACACAUGCUUUCAAGUGGACUGGAGCAUUCUACAUAUCAGGUGGUCUGUAGCCACAUGUGCCACUUUGUGGAAGUUGGAACAGUCGAUCACUAGGCUAUUUAGUGUGGCCAAGCCACGUUAAUCAAGGACAAGUCUUCAUACUUAAAAGUCAAAUGGUGCCUUUAGUCUCAUUACACAUGGCUAUUUAAAGAUGAACUAAUCUUUAGUGUAAUGUGAUUAAGACAGUACUAACUGAUCAAUAUUUUUUCUAAUUUUGGAUGCAAAUGCUUGCUGGCUUCAUCAUUGGAUGGGAUAAAGGUGCAUUCAUGACUCUGAAUACUUGCAGUAAUACUUGCAGUAAUACUUCAUUCUCUUUUUUCUCGAUGAGACUUCUUGGCACAAUUUUGCUUCUCAGCAACCUACCUCUCCAUGGAAAAUGAGUUGCGAUUGAUGGUACUGGAUAUUUUCUAGGAAGCUAAAUAUAGAUAUAUAGCACUCAAUGUCAACGAUAUAUAUAGCAUUAACAGUAUAUGUCUCAAUGCUCAUCAGCUACAAGCAAGGGACAAACACUUACAAUGAAUAACUCACGUCAACAUUCCUAAACAGGACAUAGAAGUGACAGAUCUAUAUAUAGAACACUGCAUAUGAGUCACAAGAAAAGAUAAUACGGGUGCAUAGCAGCUCUUAUAUUACAUAUUACUCAUACCGUUCAAAUUCACUCAGUUGGGAUGGGUGGGAGAAGGAGGCCUCUGGGGUGGCUUGUGCGUGUGAGAAGUGGAAGAAAGUUGAAUGGAAUGAAACUGAAAAACAGGGUAGAAUAGAGGUUUCUUGAAUCUUCUGAAAUCUUUAUUUUUCUGAGAUUUAUUCUCUGUUUUUGUGAGUCGUGACUCUACAUAUAUACAUGUAUUUAAAGUUAGUUAUGCCUUAUAACUAAUUAUCUAACAGUACCAAAACUAAUCAUCUAGUUGCAUGUUUCUAAUUAAUGCUAUUUAGUUACAACUAUAUAUGGCUUAACAUCCUCUCUCAAACUCAAAAGUCUAGCUAGAACAGUGAGUUUGCUUCAUAGAUUGAGAAAUUGUUGAAUAGGUAAGGCUUUGGUAAGAGCAUUAGCAAUCUGGUCAUAAGAAGGAAUGUGUUGAACCACCAAAGUCUUAUUGAGCACCUUUUCCUGAACAAAAUGGCAAUCUAGUUCCACAUGCUUAACUCGAGAAUGAAAAUAGGAUUGGCAGCAAGAAAGGUGGCUGAAAGAUUGUCAUAGAACAAAACAAAAUAGGAGAAUAAGAAGAUGAGAUAGAAAACUCCUGAAGAAGAUGUUGAAUCCAUUGAAGUUCAAAAGCAACAUUUGCUAAGGCCCUAUACUCAGCUUCAUUGCUGGAACGAGACACAACUUUCUGCUUACUGGAGUUCCAGGAGACUAGAUUAGAGCUAAAAAAGAUGCAAUGACCACUUGUACUUCGACGAUCAUCAGGGCAACCAACCCAAUCAACAUCAGCAUAAGCAGUAAGUUGAAAAUCAGGAGAAGAAUAAAAGGAAAGACCAAAGGAAGUAGUGCCCUUAAGAUAAUGCAACAAUCGUUUAACAACUUGCCAAUGAAGAUCAGUUGGUUAUUGCAUGAAUUGGCAAAGUUUAUUGAUAGAGAAAGAGAUGUCAGGCCUUGUAAUGGUACAAUAUUGCAGGGCUUCAACAAUGUUGCGAUAUUGAGAAGGGUCAGCCAAGAGGGAACCUUUAGAGGCAGAUAAAGUGUGAGAGGUAGUCAUUGGUGUAUCAAUAGGUUUAAAAUAUGGAAGACCAGCACGAGUUAACAAGUCCUGAAUAUAUUUGGUUUGGGAAAGAUGAAGAGAAGAUCCUUGCCAACAUACUUCUACACCCAAGAAGUAAUUCAGAAUACCAAGGUCCUUGAGAGCAAACUGAAAGUGUAAAGACGAAACCAUUUGGUGGACUAGCACGGUAUUAAGACCACUAACAAUAAUGUCAUCAACAUAGAUGAGAAUAAUGAUCAUGUCAGUCCCUUUCCGAAGAGGAGCUUGCUUCAGACCCUACAAGGCUUUGCGAAGUUUACAGAAAAAACCGGGUUUAGAAUGAUCAACAAAGCCUGGAGGUUGAACCAUGUAAACCUCUUCUUCUAACUCACCAUUGAGAAAGGCAUUAUUAACAUCUAAUUGUUCCACUAACCAACCAUGAGAAAUAGCAAGAGAAAGAACAAUUCAUAUAGUAGUUGGUUUAACAACAAGGCAAAAGGUUUCAAAAUAAUCAAUACCAUAUGUUUGAUUAAAACCCUUUGCAACUAAGUAGGCUUUAAAACGAUCAAUUGAGCCAUUAGCUUUGAGUUUCAGCUUGUAUAUCCAUUUACAACUAAUAAUGCGUGUAUUAACAGGUUUAGGAACCAAUGUCCAUGUGGAAUUGGUGAGAAGAGCAUCAUACUCAGUCUUCAUAGCAGCUUGCCAAUUAGGAUGCAAUAUUGCUUCUUUGAAAGAGGAGGGUUCGACAACAGUAGUUUGGAUAGCAAGGCUAAAUAUUUUUUUGGGUUUAAAAAUACCAUUUUGGCUACGAGUAACAAUAGUUCGGUUUGGAAGUGAAAGAGGAUCAGUGGAGGAGGCUGGAACAAGGGAUUGUGGUAAAGUAGGAAAGGAAGGUGGAUGAGAUGGAACAAAAUCAGUAGGGACAAUAAUGGGAGAAGAAAAAUUAGGUGGAGAAUGAUGAGGAUUCCUUGAAGAUGGUGUAGGAAUAGAGAGAAUACCAGAAUCAAGAAGUGUUAAAGAAGAGUUGGAUGAUGAUACUGGUUGACAGGAUAAAGACUUUGUUAAAAAUGGAAAUCGAGUUUCAUCAAAUACAACAUGACGAGAAGCAUAUAUCCGAGAGGAAGCCAUAUCCAAACAGAGGAAUCCCUUGUGUUUAGCACUAUAACCCAAAAAACAGCAAACAACAAAUAUAUUUGCUAGCUUGUGAGAAGCAUAAGGGCGAAGAUAAGGAAAACACAAGCAUCCAAAACUUCAAAGAGAUGUAUAAUAAGGUAAACGAUUAUAAAGAACUCCAUAAGGAGAAUUUUGUGAAAGAACAGCAGAGGGAAGGCAAUUUAUGAGAAAAAUGGCAGUUUGAAAUGCAAAUGACCAAUAUUUGAGAGGGUAUACCAGCUUGUAUUAACAAAGAAAGACCAACUUCCACAACAUGACGAUUCUUUCUUUCAACUCUUCAAUUUUGCUAAGGAGUAUAAUGACAAGAGACUUGAUGAAGAAGACCAUUUGUAGCCAAAUAAUUCUGAAAAGCUGAAACUGAAACUCAUCAAAUUGAUUUUUAGUAUCAAAUUUUCUUCAGACUGAACACAUUGAUUUUUAGUAUCAAAUUUUCUUUCAACCAUGGCUUGAAAAUGUUGGAACAUAAGUAAAGCUUCAUCUUUAGUUUCCAAAAGGUACAACCAUGAGAAUAUGCUAAAAUCAUCAAUUAGCAAGAGGAAAUAUUGAGCAUUACCAUUGACAGAAACUAUAGGAGUUGCACCCCAAAGAUCAACAUGGAUGAGACCGAAUGGUUUUAUUGCUCUAGAAGUGGAUAUUUCAAAUGGAAAACGAUGGCUUUUAGCCAACUGACAAGACUCACAUACAGAGUUAUUAUUGUCAUGUUUCAAAGGUAUUUUAUAAAGAGAUAAGAUUUUGGAAACUACAUUAAUAGAGGGAUGACCAAGUCUAUUAUGCCAAAGCCUCAAAGAACCAACGGCUAAAGUACUACUAGUAGAGUAAAAUACUAGUGGAUGACCAACAACUCUUGGUGUAGCAAGAAGUUUAUAGAGACCCUUCUCAAUUUUUCCUUGAAGAAGAGCAAGUCUCGUUUCCUGAUCCUUUACCACAAAAUGAGAAGAACGAAAUUCAAUAAAGGUGCCAUUGUUUGAGUAAAAUCGUUGCACGCUAACUAAGUUGGUGGUAAUAGAAGGAACAUGUAAGACAUCAUUGAAAAACAAAGAACCACUUGAAGAGGCAAGAGAAAAUUUACCAAUAUUUGCAAUGGAUAAACCCUUACCAUCUCCAACAAUUACUUUGUCACCACUGGUAAAUGGAUUAUGGAUUGUUAAAUUGUUAAGAUCAGAUGUGAGAUGAUGGGUAGCCUUUGUAUCAAGAAACCAAUAAGUGUCUCCCAUUGUUGCAGAAGUUGUAGUCAUAGCCUCAGGAUUGUUAGAGGUGGAAUGUUUAGAAUCUUUUGGCUGAUAAUCAGAGUUAAACCGAUACCAGCAUUGUAAAGCGGUGUGUCCGAACUUACAACCGAGAGAAAUAAUCUUUACUUAUUCUCUAAAAACUGUUCUUUAUUCCACACAUUAUUUCUAAAAACUGUUUCUAGAUAACAAUGACAAAAUAGUAUUAGGAAUUUUUAAAAAUAAAAAUUGUUUUUAAAUUACAUGAUCUAUAUCAUUCACAUUUGACCAUUAUAGCUUUGUUCAGGAAAACACUUGAAAGUAACCUUAUCGUGAUAAGAGAUAUAAGUUGGCUGUAGUUUCAAACUGAAAACAGAGGAUGGCAAUAGAAAGCAAAGCAUUAGUUAUCUGCAAUCAGUGGUGAUCAUGCCCCAUGUCAAUUUCGGACCCAUAUCUUAAAACCGUAUAAUUUGCAUUUCAACAUUUCUGAUUUCUCAGAUGUUUCAUACUCCACAGAAGAACAUUGUUUGUGAAAGCAUGCAUUUAUGCUGGAUUUUGGAUGAUGUGGGAACUGGGGCAAGGAUCAUAUGGAAGAGUGGUCGAUUUUUUCUGUACUUUAACAUUUGAAAUAGGAGCAGCACGGGCAUUUGUGGGGCUUAAUUGAUUUUGAAGCCUGAAAUUGCGUUUCUGUCAUUUUGUAAAAAAUAUGGCAGAUUCCAUGCUCUCAUAUGUUUGGUCUGUGGCCAUGUAUAGAUGCCACUUAGUGACCAGUUUGUAACUGUCAAUCAUAGUGUUUUGACUCUGGCUCAACAACAUCAGCCAUUGACGGAUUUUCAUACAUGCAAAUCAAAUAGUCUUCUUCCUCCCUUAGGAAUUUCGGUUUAAAUGUUAUUAAGCAUACAUUUGGCUGACAAUUAUUAACCACUUCAUGAUAUGGUUUCUUACCCUUAAUCAAUGGUUUCUAAGUGAAUAUAUGCAGAAGGAAAUCUGAACUGUAGACAGCAGUAUUGAUAAUUAUCAAUAUUCUUUAUAUAAGAGAAUAAACAACGUCAUAGUGAUCGUCGCCUACAAGAAAGGUACAUUUCCCAACAAGAUGUAGUUGUGACUGGUACAUGGACGUAAUUAACUCGUAGAAAAGGAUAAGACCAGUGCACGGCAGCUCUUAUUUUACAUGCUAAUUAUGCUAACCAAAGUCACUCAGUUGGGAUGGGAGGGAGAUGGAGGUUUGUGCGGUGGCUUGUGGGGCGGAGUUGGUGGCUUCUUUUCAGGAGCUUGUGGCUUUUUCGGAGCUGAAGGAGGCUCAAUCUUAUGAGGCGGCUUGUACGAGUCUUCUUUACUCUCGACAGGAGGGUGGCCAGGGUUGUGACCAUAAUGUGGUGGCUUCUCUCCCUUAGGUGGCUUGCCAACUGGGGUUGGUGGCUUGUGUUCAGGAAGUGGUUUCUCUCCCUUGGGAGGUUUACCAAUUGGGGUUGGUGGCUUGUGUUCUGGGAGUGGUUUCUCUCCCUUGGGAGGUUUAGUGGGUGACUUGUGUUCUGGAGGUGGCUUCUCCACCGGAGGCUUGUGCUCCGGUGGUGGCUUCUUGGUUGGAGGGGGCUUGGGGUAAUCAGCAAGAGAUGGGGGGGUGAGAACCACCACUCCAAGGAACAACACUAGCAAGUAUGUGGGAGACAUUUCUGAGUUUGAGCUGAUCAGAUGAUGCAAAACUAGAAGAAUUACGUGACCUUUUAUAGCAAGUAGCUCCCAAUACCCACAUGACACGUGUUACUGUGACCAUAAAUAUUAUAGGGUCCAUUUGUGCCCUACCGGGUUGAAAACUUGGACGCUUGGCCGAGGACACACCGAACUAUGGAGGACUAUUGACGUGUGAUCACAGCUUUUGGAUUUUUCUUCCUGUGCAGCUGUCUAGCGGUUGGCAUUAUUUUUUUAAUCUUAAAUAAAGGCAUAGUUAUAGAGUACAUUUAUAUAUCUUCAGAUAGCCAUUAAUAUAUUUGAUGAAGAAAGACAAGUGCAUACAACAUGUAUACGGCUUGCUUCAAUCGAGUACAUUUAUGAUCAGUUUUCCAGUGCAAGUAAACCAGUUUUUUGUUCCACAACUAUUUUGGAAUCUUGUUUAUCAGUUUCUAUCAUUAUAAUGUCACAUAGGCUGCAAACUUGGGCACCCAAAGAUCUAGUUGGGCAAAUUUGUUUCAGAAUUUCAAUGGUGGAUUCAGUAAUUGUUAAAAGGUGUUUCUUCAUUAAGGAAAGAGUCCUGUAAAAAUAUUGUUAAAAGGUGUCAUAGAAACUAUAAUAAUUAAAUAACUUCUUUUCCCCGUGGGUGGUGUUUCUUCUGGGGAUACCCAAAAUGAGUUCAGAUUAAAAUUGGUUCGAGUCAAAGCUGUCUCUUUUGUCCAGAAAUCAACUAUUUUGCGCAUUGCAUGAAUCGAUAAAGAAAAAAUGAAAGCCAAAUCACACCUCCCCUGCAAAACCUAAACCCCGGUUGCUAACUUUCUAUGUUUCAGUCCUAUUCAUACAGGAAUAUUGGUUCAAGUUUGAGAAAAAUGGCAACUUACCUAGGGAUUACUUGGUUGUGGUUUGCGACGACUAUUUACGCAACCAACCAUGAGUUUGACUUUAACGUCAUGGGUUGAAGCCUCCUACAAUCGUGUAUGAUAGUUCAAAGCUCGUAGUAGAAAUUAUACAGGAAGGAAGAAACCUCCAAAGCUAGCUCCAAAAGAGAAUUAUCACAUCGAUAGCUCCAGAGAUUCCCAAGGGGACUGAAUCAAAGACAAGUUCCUCACUUUUUCUUCUUUUGAGGCCAAAUAUGAACCAAGGAUCACACGACCUCAUUCAACUUCAUAAGUUUGAUUUCAUGCAGUUGAACACUGGGUGAAGGCCAUGACAAGAAUUGAUUAAAAAAUUCUACCACUGUUUUAAGUAAUGGAAGAUUAUUAUCUCUGAUUGGCACCACAACAGCACAUGCUGCUAGAUCUUUCUAGACACUCCAUGCAAUGAAAGUACAAUGGAUCUUGUAACGAUAGAAACUAAGCCAUGCUACAGUACUAGAUGACGAGGUAAAACUAUUAGACAUGGGUGGCAGCCUAUAUGGGAGGGACACAAGUCUAAUUGAUUUGCAUUUCAGCGUUCUAGAUGGGUAUGUUUUGGAAGAUUUGUUCUGGAAAUACCGCACCAAGUAGGAUUCUUUUUUCUCUUGAGUGGGUCCACUUGCAUGCCAAUUAUCGAGUUGAAAAGUAGAGCACCUACCUCGUGCUCGUGGAACCGAAGGUCAGUGAAGUGGGGCUCCUUUUGGCCUCUUGUGUUUCUGUUCCAACCAAGGCGGCGGAGGGAAAAACAGCAAUAUGUCUCCGCUAAAUAUCAACGCAUGAUAGCGAAUGAGGGAGAAAAAAAGUAAUUGGCAUCUCAAUCUCACAAACUUGGUACAGUAGUGACAUUAAUAGUCUUCCACAUGGUUUUUAUUUUAUUUUAUUUUAUAUUUUAUAUUUUCCAUUUUUUUAUUUUUUUGUAUGUCAAGGCUAAUGAAUAAAAUGCGUUAGCUUGUUUUGUGAUUGGAACUGCAAAUGUCCAAAUUGGAGUUUCUCCAUUUCUCAGUUCGGAUGGUUAACUUUAUAAACAAGAUAUAGGAAACAUGUGAACGUCUUGAGGAACAAUUCGAAUUAUUGAUUAGAACUCCUAGGUUGAGUUCCAAGAUUUAAAUCAGACCCCUCUAGCAGCUUCAGGGGUACCUAGCAAUUAGAACAUAUUAAUGAAGAUUUAGGAUUUAGACUCCGGAAUACAAAUUAAUAUGUAUCUUAUGCUCUGACUAGCUUCCCUGCAUAUGCACAAAAUGGAGAUGACCCAAAAAAUAGCAGAAUCGCCUUAGUUUAUGUGGUUAAGGUGAUUCUCCGGUUAAUAUCCACAUUGGCUCAUUAUGCAAAUCAACUGAGCUAUUUUUUUUUUAAUGUCAAAUAGGAACUCCUAAUUAACCUAACCAUUGGCCUGUGUAAAUUGAUUUCACAUGCACAAUGUUGUAGUAGAAGUCCACAUUUUGAAUUUUAUUUUUGGAAAGGUAAGGAAAAUGAAGCAUUGUGUAAUUAUAAAAAUAACUUCAUUGGAAUUCACAAGGUUCACCCAAAAUGGAGCUACAUCCGUAUUCUAUCUUACAGUAGACUAUAUAGAUUGUACAAUAGUAAAUUGCAAAUACAAUUAAUAAGUCUUGUGUUUCCUUACUAAUAAUCCUUUGACAUAAACAUUGCAGCACUAAGGUCCUCUUGGGCAGACACCUUGCACCCAUGAGAGCACUAAGAGGAAGCAAGGCGGAGUCAUGGGUGCAAUGUCAUGACUUGUUGCACUAAGAGAGGCUUGGUGAUGGCAUAGUGCUGCAGUAGCAAGAAUGUUGCCUUGGCAGGGACACGAUCUAGGGACAGAUGCCAAGAAAGGCUUAGCACUCACAUGAGUUGCACAAAGAUGAAUGAAAUAGAACAUCAAAGAGACAUCUUGGCAAGCUCAAGAAAGACAUGUGGGUUGGUAAAUGAAUGGAUGCAAGAGGCAACAACAUGAGGAGUUUCAAAUGGAUAGGGAAUGAGUCAAAGACAUUUGAAAGCUACAAGUUGGAUUCUAAUUACGAUUGCAAUUUGAGUUUGAGUAGGAGUUUAUAUUAUGAUUGUAAUUGUAGUAUGAGUUGGACUAGGAUUGCUUAUCCCUAGUCAAAAUAGGAGUUGUUCAUGCCACACCCUAUGAAAAGAGUUUGAGUAGGGACUAGGAUUGCUUGCUCCUAGUCAAAUAUGGAGUAGGUGGUGCCACACCUAUAAAAAAAAAAGGGACAACAUGAGAGAGAGAGAGAAUGAAUUCACCAAAGAUAUUGUGGGAGUUUUGCUUUGUUACAUCUUGUAUUAUUAUUUAGAAUAGUAAUAAAAUACAAGUUGGGGCUAGAGCCCCAUAAUCUCGUGUGCCUUUGUGGGUUAUUCUUUAUUUGCCAUCUCGUGUGGAUUGGAUUAGAUUGAUGAGGCGAAAUAUUAUGUGGGAAAUUUAUGUUGGGACACUUACCAUAACCAGGUAAAAUCUACCAAGUCUUUUGUAAUAUCUUCUACAAAUAUUUUAGACCAGUUCUUCACAAAACAUCAUAAUAUGUUUUGUGUUUCUCUUGGAUUUUGAGUUGAAUUGUCUUAGAUCAAUUGAAUGCAUCUCAAUAUUAUUAUCUUGUUUGAAGGCUUGAUGAUUUUCCAUUUAACUUUACUUUCUUUAGGUUAUGCUUGAUUCCUUAAAAGUACUAAGGAAAACAAAAAAUAAAAAAAAAUAAAAAAUGCAGAGGGUUAGGACAUGUGUUAUCUAAUUGUCCUAUCCAAAGAUAUUAAGAAAGUCAUGUAGGAAAGUAAUUGAAAACUAGGUCAAGAAAGGAGCAAAAGGGAAUUGUUUUGGUAUUUUCUUUUUUAUUCUUGAAGGUGGCAGAGCUAAAAUUUGAGAAAUCAAGCAAAACAUACUGAAAUUACAUUGAAAGAAAGAAAAUGGUAGUUAAUGUCUUGCAGUACAUGAUAAGGACUUCAUGCAUGUAGUGUGACGACCCAUGUCUUGGACUGAUGCCACACUCACGGUUACACUUAUACCCUUGGUUCUCUCUUUACUACCUUGGCUAACCUAGAUCAGGCUAUGAGAUAGGCUCCUCACCACACCAUCACUUGCCCAGUAAUUAGUGACAUUUUCAAGCAAUGAGGUAACAUGGUGACACCAAGAGGGUUUAUCCCUCGCCCCAACAAGUCUAGACUCGGUCUCAAAAAAAUGGAGAAAAAUGAGGUGUCGUUAUGCAGAAAUACAACAACCAUGCCUUCCUUAUUACUUAGAUUCAGAAUGUGAAGGUGAAAUUGAGAAACAGAAACUCUUGAAACCAGAAUGAAAAUUGAUACUUUUACGAAGAAUUACAACAUUAGAGGAAGACUACAUUCUUCCUCUAUAUUCCUACGUUUCUACACUACUUCUACUCCACUCCAUAUUUCUACAUACAUCUUUAAUCAGUUUUCCCUCCUUUAUAUAGAGCCAUCUUCACACAAAUUCCGCAAGGUAGAAAAGAGGAAUGAAACUUGGAGCAAGGUUCGACUACUGGUUGUCGCUUGUCAAGGCUGGAAUUGAACUUUUUUUCUUGGCUUUUCUGGGCAUAGGUAGUAACUUGUGGUUCCUUUUUGGAAUGAAAAUGGUACAGCUAGAACAUGUGGCACUCUCUUGUUGGAUUAUGUGUCAAACAUGUGGCAGCCAUCUAGUGGAGAUUAUUUCAAUUUUGGGAUGGAGAGUUGGCAUCCAAUUGCAAAGAAAUAUGACAUCUACCAACAUGCAAUGUAAACCUAUAUAGAUCAUAUGGAGAUAGAGAGGAAACAUAUAGAAAUGGAUAUAUACCUAGAACUAGCUUUUUAUUAAAUGAGACGGAGAGCCAACAAUGAAGGAAAAUCAAAAUUUUUGGCUCAUAUCAAAGAAUUCACAUUGUGUUACCCUAGGUUUUCUUAAAGCUUGCACAAAGCCAAAAAGCACACAAAAAAUUAUAUUUUCUAGCUCUCUACCUUGGAUGGUCUCUUGAUCCUACUUGGAGAUGUGCAUAAAUAAAAGGAUUUGAAAAUGACAAUUGACUAAGUAUGUAGUCAAUCAAUUACUCAUUAAUUGACUAGUUGAUCAAUUAACUUUGCAACAUCAUAUGCAAUCCUAAUAGCUAGUCAUCUAAUCAACUAGGUAGUAAAUCAAUAGGCCAAAAAUAUGUUUAUAAUGACUAUUUUGUACAAAAACCACCUAUAUGGUUAAAUAUAAUGCAUUUCAUUUAUAAAUCUUCUAAUUCUUGAAUAACGAUCCUAUCAUCCUUUGAAAGUUUUUAUUACACCUUUUAUACUUUUGUUCUAAAACUUACACAUGUACAUCACCCUUAAUUGUACCAUGAGAACCUAGCUUUUUUUUUUUUUUUUUUUGUAAUUCAUCAAAGUUAGCUUUUGUAUUCAUUACUGUACUAUUUUUAUUGUAACUUAGAAAGCGAGUGUUUUCAAGUGAGUGAAAUUGACUUAUAAAUAUUGUAAAGAUUCAUUGAUGUGUAUCUUAAACUAAGUGUACAAGUUGAAACAUUUGCUAGUAGAUUUUCUCAAGAUUUAGAAUAGAGCUUGAGGCUAUUGAAAUAGGUGGGGUUGCACCAAACCACAUCACAUUGUUGUUUGCACCUUUUUUUCACUCUCUUUUACUUAGUUGCUCUAUAUUUGUUGUCUAGUAAUAUCCUAUAGGCUUGAUGGGUUAGGGAGCAUCCCUUUGUGAAAAAUUUUCAUUCAAUCCUUAGUUGUAUCACGCAUAUAUAAAAUGCCUCAUUGUUUUAAUGGUAUUCAGUCGUGGCAUCACAGAUAUGGGCAUCUAAAUUUUAAAAGUUUGAAACUUUUAUCUAAAGAAAAUAUGGUGCUUUGCCUUUUUGUAAAGCAUGUUGAUGAAAUCCAUGAGAAUUGUGUACUUGGGAAGCAACAUCGAGAUGACUUUUUUUUUUUUCAUUUUUUAUAAUGCGACACCUAAGUCCGGUUUCUAAAUGCUGAAGUGAAAGGGUAGGUAUGGACCAUUGAAAUCUGAUCACAACUUUUGGCCUUUUCCUUUCUCUGCAGCCAUGUUGUCUCUUUUUUCUUUUGCAUGAUUUUCUUACCUAAACAGAAUCAUAGACUUGUUUAAUCUCUAAAUGGUAUUUCAUCCAGCUUUAAGCUACUGUAUUAUAUCUUGGUGGAGGACUUUUAAGAGUGAAACCGACAUAGAGCACAUGCAAGUGGGUAUAUGGGACAUGAAAUUUCUUCUUAUAAAGACUGCAUGGUUUUUAUAUUAGAGUUGUUGAGGCGCAAUGUAUUUAGCUUGUUUUGCAGUUAAAUUAAUUGGAUAAGUAGACAUUGUCGUUUCUAAAUUUCCCACCUAAGAUAGUGACCUUAUCCUUGACUGCUUGAUGAGAUACACAAACAAUUAUACCUUCAAAAUCUACUGUGAAGUGCUUCAUGUAUGUGUGAAGUAUUAGAAAUUUCUUUCUUGGCAACUUGUUUUUUCUUUGCCCUCUACUGAUAGGUUUGACUCAAAUUAAAUUCCCUGUCAUGCUAAUUAAUUUUCACGUGCAUGCUCAAAAGGAUCACGUCAACUCUGGUUUCUACUAUUCAGGUCCAUUCCCAGAUAAACUGGUUCAAAUUUGAGAAAAUGGCAACAGCCCUUUAGUGAUGUUGGUUUGGAGCCAGUAGCCAAACCCGCCCUGAGCUUUACCACUAAUGUCAAGGGACAAAGCCAUUUGAACAAAAACAAUAGCUUCAAGAGACUGAAUCGUGGAUGAAAUCUGAUCCACAUUUCUUCUCAUUUUGGGAACAAAUGAGAACUUAACUACAAAGAUUCUACUGCCUCAUAGUGCUUUUCCUGAUCUAAGGUUGGUUCGUUUCCCAAAUUGUGAGGUACGUGCCAUUCUCACGCUCAGGAGUGUAUCCACGUGGUGGACAUAAGAUGGUGGCUUAAUAUCUGGUGUCGGUGGCUUUACUUUACUAGGAGAGUAGUGUGUCUUCAUCUCAUUCACUGCCGGAGGGUGGCGUAAGCAGUGACGCUAAGGUGGGGCACAGUCAAUAUCAUUUGCAUUUGACCAUUAUAGUUUUCUCCCGGCUUGAAAGUAACCUUAUCGUGAUAAAGGAUUACUAGCACUAGUUCAGAUGACAGUCAUGUUAAAUUCGGACCAUGUUUGUGUCACAUUAUCAGCAACCAUGUGUUUAUGGUUCAUGCUAUCUGCAACUAAACUUGAUAUAUAACCACGUGAACUUCAAUCUAAAUUCUGGAAGUACUCUUGUGAUAGAUGGUGCCUGUCUGCAGAGUCCAUCAAUUGAAAAAUGGAGUGAGUGUAUCUAUAAGAGGGAAGGCUUGGCAAAUGUUCAGUUUUCUGGGAACUCAACAAGGAUCUAAAAUAGAUUGUUUUCUUUGCUGAUUUCAAUGGUUGAAAUUUGAGAAGAUUGUGUCCACAUAACACAACUAUUACUGGUCCUUCUGUUGCAAUUUAUCCUCUAAGGCUCUAACAUGUCUUCCAAUUCCCACUUCCCUGUUACUCCAGGAAAGCUAUUUCUGUCAUUGUGAAGAAGAAAAGAGAAUGUACAUAUCGAUGGUUUUAAGUGACUGGGGCAUUCAUAUCAGGUGGUCUGCAGCCAUAUAUGCCACUUUGUGAAGGUUGGAACAGUCAAUCACCAGGCUAUAUUAGUGUGGCCCAGCCACUUCAAUCAAGGACAAGUCUUCAUACUUAAAGUCAAAUUCUGCCUUUAGUCUCAUUAUAAAUUGCUGUUUAAAUAUUAAGCAAACAUUUGUUUAAUGCGAUUAAGACAGUACUAACUCAAUACUUGUUCUAUUUUUGGAUGCAAAUGCUUGAUGGUUUCAUCAUUGGAUGGGAUAAAGGUGCAUUCAUGAUUAUGAAUACUUGUAGUUAUAUUUUCAUUCUCUUUUUUCUCAAUGAGACUUGUUGGCACAAUUUUGCUGUUCAGAAACCUACCUCUCCAUCGAAAAUCAGUUGUGAUUGAUAGUACUGGAUAUAUUCAAGAAAGCUAAAUAUAGAUAGCACCAAAUAUUAUCGAUAUAAAUAGCAUUAACAGCGUACGUAUGUCUCAAUGCUCAUCAGCUAUAAGCAACGGGCAAACACUUACUAUGAGCAACUUGCGUCAAAAUUCCAGAAUAGGACAUAGAAGUGACAGAUCUAUAUAUAUAUAGAACACUGCAUAUGAGUCACAAGAAAGGAAAUUACGGGUGCAUAGCAGCUCUUAUUUUACAUCCUACUCAUACUGAUCAAAGUCACUCAGUUGGGAUGGGUGGGAGUAGGAGGUUUGUGGGGUGGCUUGUGCGGAGGAGUUGGCAGCUUCUUUCCAGGACCUGGUUGCUUCUCUGCUGGAGUUGAAGGAGGCUUAAUCUUCCGAGGUGGCUUGUAUGAGUCUUCAGCAUUCUCAGCAGGAGGGUGACCAGGGUUGUGACCAUAAUGUGGUGGCUUCUCUCCCUUAGGUGGUUUGCCAACUGGGGUUGGUGGCUUGUAUGAGUCUUCAGCAUUCUCAGCAGGAGGGUGACCAGGGUUGCGACCAUAAUGUGGUGGCUUCUCUCCCUUAGGUGGUUUGCCAACUGGGGUUGGUGGCUUGUGUUCUGGGAGUGGCUUCUCCCCCUUGGGAGGUUUUUCCAAUGGGGUUGGUUUGUGUUCAGGAGGUGGCUUCUCCACUGGAGGCUUGUGUUCAGGAGGUGGCUUCUCCACCGGAGGCUUGUGUUCAGGAGGUGGCUUCUCCACCGGAGGCUUGUGUUCAGGAGGUGGCUUCUCGAAUGGGGGAUGCUCAGGGUAAUCAGCAAGUGAGGGGUUGGUGAGAACCACCAUGCCAAGCAACAGGACUAGCAAGUAUGUAGGAGACAUCUUUGGGUUUGGACUUAAGACAGUGGAAAACUGCGAGAAUUCUCUAGCCUUUUAUAGCGGGUCGACCCAGUACUCACAUGACACGUGUCAUUAUGACACAUGUGCCAUGGGGUCGAUUUGGGUCCUACAGUGUUGAAAAGUUGGGCAUUUGAGGUGUGAGCACAACUUUUGGCCUUUGCUUUCUCUACAGCCGCCAUGCUUUUCCCUUUUUUCCUUUUCCUUUUGUUUUCCUCCUGCCUCGUGUUCUCAACUAAACACAAUUAGGUUGUUUAAUUGUUAAAUGAGAUUUUUGUCUGUCAAUCAUAUUAUAUCCUAUCAAGAGAGAACAGAGUGUAAUGUAGUACACAUAACACGAGGCAGUAGUAAUUUUAUCAUUUAUUUUUAUAGCUUGGACCACCGCAUUUUUUCUUCUAAAAUAUUCUGUCUUGUUAAGAGACGCAAUAAUACACAAUUUUAUCUGCCAUUCAACAUUUACUGUAAAGUUCUUUUAUCUCUUUGUAGUUCUAGAAAAGUACAAAAUGGAACAUCAUGUAUAUGGUGCCUUCUGUCCUAAAAAAGAAACUGGACAAAUUAUGAACUGCAUGCUAAAAAGAGGCAAAGGAGCUUAAUUCGCAGCAUAAUUAUUUUGGUUUCUAGAGAGCCCGGGGCCUUUUGGUUGGUUUGGGGUCAGAAAAUGAACAUCAUAGGGAUUGUGCCCUUAACUGGCCUUGUUACUACAAAGAAAUUGCCAUAGAAAUUUAUUCCAGGCUGAGUAUCUCCGGAUAGACCCCAGAAAAGAAGAGUCAUAAUGAGAAUCAACCUUUGUUGAGUUUGAUUCCAUGCCUCCAUUGUGUUCAUUUCAUGAAUCUGAUUUGCAUUUAACAUUACAGUUUUGUUCUGGAAACAAUCAAAGGAGCAUCGUUUGCUUCUUGGGUGACCCAUAGUGGUGGGUGGGUCGAUUUGCUUAGUUGAAAAUUGGACAAUUGGCUCCAUCGCCUACCUCUUGGAUUCCAUGCUCGGAUAAAACGACAACAAAUAAAUAUUUAUAACUUACAACUGGGGAAAGGAAAAAAUAGUACUAAAUUCAUGGUACAUGAUAGUGAGAGAAGGGGGUGUUACACUCAGCUAAAGUUCUUUUCUAAAUAUUGCAUGGUGUUUAAUUUUAUGUGUCGGCGCGCGUGUGAAUGGAACCUGCAAAAGUCCAAAUUGGCGUUUCUCCAUUUUCCACAUAGGAUGGUGACGUUAAUAGACAAAGAUACAAUAUCUGUAGACAUUGCUUAAAAAUCGAUGUGAAGUAUUAGAAAUUACAGGCCACUGUACUGGGGGAGCGGCUGCCCCGCCAAAGGAAGAAUGUAGCAAUUUCUUCUGUUAGCCAGGCCUUAGGAUUUAUGCAUGGGAUGCCUAAUAACAAACAGAGAAAAUAUGCUUUUGGGGAAGGUAUCCAACAACAGACACCAUCAUUCAGAUGGUGGGAAGGUAUCCAACAGAUGCCAUCAUUCAGAUGGUAACAUAUAUAUACAUUUAUUAGUGAGUUUUUUUAAUACCUAUAAAAAAAAUAUACACUUUGAUAUUGUGGCUGAAUCCAUUACAUACUCAACUAACCUUGCUCAUUAGGGAUUUGACGUAACAAGGGCAACGUUGCAGUAAAAGCUCGAAACUUUAUGCAGGUGACAUUACAUUUGGUAAAGAAGAGGAAAAUAAGGAAAGCCAUCCAUAAAAGCAAAAUUCCUCAUGGGAUGAAAUUCACAAACUUCAUUUACGUUAGAGUCGCAUCCAGGCAAUUAAUUCCACAUUAGACCGCCUUUUGACAUGUGUACGGAUCUUUUUUCAAAAAUUAUUUAUAAAUAAUUGAUACUUACAAAAAUAAUUUAAGAUUUAUAAAGGAUAAAAAAAUAUUUUCAAAUCUAUGACAAUUUAUAAAAUAUUAAUAAAAAAUUAUCUCUUAAACUUAGUAUAGUUUUAUCGUAUUAAACUUUUAUUUUGAACAAAUAAUUUUAAUCUAAGUUUUAAAUUCUAAAAUUAUUUCCUUAAAAUAAAAUUUUAAAAUUCAACACUUCAAUUGAAAUUGUCUUUUAAAAAAAAUAUCUUCUUAUUUUAAUCCUUAUAAACUAUAGUUGAUUGAAAAUACUAUUGAAGUUCUCUCUUCAAAAAAAGUCUUAUUUUAAUCUUCAUAAAUUGCCCUUGAUUUGAAAAUAAACUUUGGGUUAUCAUAUUUUAAAUAAUAUAUAUAUAUAUAUAUAUAUAUAUAUAUAUAUAUAACAAAUACUCUAUUUUUUUUUUAAAUGAACUAAUUUUAAUUAUAUUUUAUUUUAUUUUUUUAUAUAUUUUUAAUGAUAAACCAAACAUAGAAAAUCAUUUUUCUAAAUAUUUUAAAAUUUCUAAGCAACCAAACAUAAUCUUCAAAAUAAAAGGAGAAUAAGGAGGGACAAGUGAGAAAUGGCGAUUAAAAAAAAGUGUACAAAAGCUCAAUUAAUUUUCUUCUAGUCUUUUAUAUAAAAAAGUAUUGGUAUGUAAAUUAAUAUUUGGAUUUUAAUAGUAUUUUAUUUGUCUUUCUCUAUCUCAUGUAAAAGAGAAUUUAAGAUAUUUCCUAAAGCAAAGCAUUAGUUAUCUGCAAUCAGUGGUGAUCAUGGUCCAUGUCAAUUUCGGACCCAUAUCUUAAAACCGUAUAAUUUGCGUUUCAACAUUACUGAUUUCUCAGAUGUUUCAUACUCCACAGAAGAGUAUUGUUAGUGAAAGCAUUUUGUAACUGUUACUCAUAGUGUUUUGACUCUGGCUCAACAACAUCAGCCAUUGACGGAUUUUCAUACAUGCAAAUCAAAUAGUCUUCUUCCUCCCUUAGGAAUUUCGGUUUAAAUGUUAUUAAGCAUACAUUUGGCUGACAAUUAUUAACCACUUCAUGAUAUGGUUUCUUACCCUUAAUCAAUGGUUUCUAAGUGAAUAUAUGCAGAAGGAAAUCUGAACUGUAGACAGCAGUAUUGAUAACUCUCAAUAUUCUUUAUAUAAGAGAAUAAACAACGUCAUAGUGAUCGUCGCCUACAAGAAAGGUACAUUUCCCAACAAGAUGUAGUGGUGACUGCUACAUGGACGCAAUUAACUCGUAGAAAAGGAUAAGACCAGUGCACGGCAGCUCUUAUUUUACAUGCUAAUUAUGCUAACCAAAGUCACUCAGUUGGGAUGGGAGGGAGAUGGAGGUUUGUGCGGUGGCUUGUGGGGCGGAGUUGGUGGCUUCUUUUCAGGAGCUUGUGGCUUUUUCGGAGCUGAAGGAGGCUCAAUCUUAUGAGGCGGCUUGUACGAGUCUUCUUUACUCUCGACAGGAGGGUGACCAGGGUUGUGACCAUAAUGUGGUGGCUUCUCUCCCUUAGGUGGCUUGCCAACUGGGGUUGGUGGCUUGUGUUCAGGAAGUUGUUUCUCUCCCUUGGGAGGUUUACCAAUUGGGGUUGGUGGCUUGUGUUCUAGGAGUGGUUUCUCUCCCUUGGGAGGUUUAGUGGGUGACUUGUGUUCUGGAGGUGGCUUCUCCACCGGAGACUUGUGUUCUGGAAUUGAUUAAAAAAAUUCUACCACUCUUUUAAGUAAUGGAAGAUUAUUAUCUCUGAUUGGCACCACAACAGCACAUGCUGCUAGAUCUUUCUAGACACUCCAUGCAAUGAAAGCACAAUGGAUCUUGUAACGAUAGAAACUAAGCCAUGCUACAGUACUAGAUGACGAGGUAAAACUAGUAGACAUGGGUGGUAGUUGAUUACUACUCAAAAAGUACUCUUUUAUAGUUUGAAACUAACUGUUUUAAACACUUUUGAGUAGUAGUUAAUAAAUUUUAACUCAAUUGGCACAUUAAGGAACCUAGCAAGGGUUACUAAUAAACUUUUGGCAAGUUUUGGUGUUUUUGGUAGUUAUUCGAUCAUUGAAACAAGCCAAGAAUGAGGGAGAAUUUUGUGAAGUCCAUGGCAAUGCAAGUUAAAGCUCAAAUACACGAAGAAUCCAAGCUUUGGAGCACUACAUAGCCCUUUGCCAAGCCAAUUAGAGAUGCAAGGAACAAAACCAAAGGAAGAAAUCCAACAACCAACAUUUUCGCAUGGUUGUGUGAAAUUUCGCACACCAUGCGAAACCACAAGAGGUAGCCAAAGAAUUUCACAUGGUAUGCGAAAUCUUCUCAUGCACCGACUCCGUUAGAUUUUUAUCUUCAGAUAUUUUGUGUAAUUUCCUAGUUUCUCCUUGUAACCAACCUAGAUAUUUUCUUUUAUAUCUUUUUUUAUAUUUUUUAGGUAACAUCAUAUAUAAGGGGAGAGACAUAAGGAGGAUAUGGAUGUUUUUCAUAGAACACUUGUAAAUUUUCAGUAGUAAGAAAUAUACAAAGCUUUUUGCUAUGCCUUACCUUCUCAUUUUGUUUUCACCUGUCUUUCUAGCCAAACAACCUCUAAGGAUGAUUUCUCAGGGGAUGAGUGGCUAGGUUUUACGUUUCUUGGAGUGAGGGAAGCUAGGUGAAGGACCUGAAUGCAAAGAUGAGAGUUUUCCUUGCUUUAAAUGAAAGUAGUUGUUAAACAUUAAUGGUUUUUAUUUUAAGGUUUAGCUUUAAAUCCCUUAAAAACACCUUGAAUGACCAAUACUUGGUAAGCUUUUCGGAUUCUAUGGAUGCUUAUUGCUAGAUCCAUGGAUGUCUAUUAGUUAUCAUUUACGAGCCUUUGGAAGGUGAUUCAAGGUGAGGGUCUUUAGUGUUUGAAGCCAUUAAUGGGAAGCAAUUACCAUUUUUUCAUGAAUCCUUUGGAUCAAAUCUUAAUUGCUAAAUAUAAAACCGAUUUGGGAAAUAACCAUCCUUUAUGUUAUUAUCCCCAACGCAAGGAGAAGAUCCGGAAUCUUCCCUUUUGUCUAAGGAACCCGAUCCUAGUGACCUAAAGCUCCAAGAGACCUUUUCUUUGUAGUUAACUUCAUUUAUUGUUUUUGCUUAACUUAAAAUCAAUCUUUGCAACCACAAUUCCAUUUUCUUUAAAAGCUAAUUUUUAUAAGGAAAAACACCAUUUUAUUUCCUUCACUAAGUCAACUGUACGAUGAAAACCCAUCCCUGUGGACGAUCCUAGAGCCAUUAUACUAUGUUAGCUAUGCUACCCUAGUGUGAGGUGAUUUAGGUUUUAUAAAUUUUGUUGAUAACACCCAUCUGAGCCAGAAUCAAAUGGCACAACUGAACCAGGGACGAAUCAAAUGGCGCCGCUAUCGAGGAUGGUGCCAAAGUACAUUGACAUGACUUUUGGUGAACACUUGUGAUCUUCAUCACAAGUUUGGUGAUUUUUCUAUUACUAAUUUUUUUCUUUGUUUUUAUUUUAGCUUAUCUUUUAUUUAGUUUUUAGCUAACCUUAACUUUUUCUUAGAAUUGUAUUUCUUCUAUUUUCUUUGUUUUUGUUUCAGUGAUCUUUAGUUGUGCAUGCCCUAUUGGAUAAGAAAUAUUGAGGGAAUACUUGUGAAGAUUGAAAAUCCUCGAGAAACUGAGUUGGAAGUGUGAUUGAACAUCAUGGAUGUUCCACCUGAAGACCAGAAUAGCCAACAUGGUUAAGAGGAUAAUUUCAAAGCAUACCGAUCCAUGAGGGACUGCAUGCAUCCACCUCGUAUGAGUGCACCGUCAUGCAUAGUGCCUCCCACUGAGCAACUAGUAAUCUGACCUCACAUUGUGCCACUCCUACCUACUUUCCAUGGGAUGGAGAGUGAGAAUCUCUACUCGCAUAUUAAGAAAUUCGAGGAGGUUUGUAAUACAUUCCAAGAAGGAGGAGCUUCAAUUGACUUGAUGAGGCUCAAGCUAUUUCCUUUCACUUUGAAGGAUAAGGCUAAGAUUUGGCUUAAUUCUUUAAGGCCAAGGAGUAUCCGAACUUGGACUAAUUUGCAAGCCGAUUUUCUUAAGAAGUUCUUCCUUACCCAUAGGACCAAUGGUUUGAAAAGGCAAAUUUCGAACUUCUCAGCUAAAGAGAAUGAGAAAUUCUAUGAGUGAUGGGAGAGGUACAUGGAAGCUAUUAAUGCUUGUCCUCACCAUGGCUUUGACACAUGGCUCUUAGUGAGUUAUUUUUACGAUGGUAUGUCUUCUUCAAUGAAGCAACUCCUAGAAACUAUGUGUGGAGGAUACUUCAUGAGUAAGAAUCCGAAGGAAGCCAUGGACUUUUUGAGUUAUGUGGCUGAAGUUUUAAGAGGAUGGGAUGAACCAAAUGCUAGAGAGGUGGAAAGAAUGAAGUCUCAACCUAAUGCUAAGGGUGGGAUGUAUGUUUUGAAUGAAGACAUUGACAUGAAAGCAAAGGUUGUAGCUAUGGCAAGGAGAUUGGAAGAGCUAGAAAUGAAGAAGGCACAAAAAGUGGAAGCCAUUUCUGAGACAUCAGUGCAAGCUAUGCCUUGUUCCAUUUGUCAACCUAAUGCUAAGGGUGGGAUGUAUGUUUUGAAUGAAGACAUUGACAUGAAAGCAAAGGUUGUAGCUAUGGCAAGGAGAUUGGAAGAGCUAGAAAUGAAGAAGGCACAAAAAGUGGAAGCCAUUUCUGAGACAUCAGUGCAAGCUAUGCCUUGUUCCAUUUGUCAAUCUUAUGAGUACCUAGUGGAGGAGUGUCCUACAAUUCCAGUAGUGAGAGAGAUGUCUGGUGAUCAAGCAAAUGUUAUUGAUCAAUUCAAGCCUAAUAAAAAUGCUUCAUAUGGCAACACCUACAAUUCAAAUUGGAUGAACCAUCCAAAUUUCUCUUGGAAACCAAAGCUACCUCAAUACACACAACCUGCUCAAGCACCUUAGCAAUCCUCGAAUCUUGAACAAGCUAUUGUGAACCUUAGUAAGGUUGUGGGAGAUUAAAAGUCCAUCAAUGCUCAACUGAAUCAGAGAAUUGACAGUGUAGAGAGUACAUUGAACAAAAGGAUGGAUGAGAUGCAAAAUGAUCUGUCUCAAAAGAUAGACAAUGUCCAAUAUGCAAUCUCAAGGCUUACCAACCUCAACACAGUGCAAGAGAAAGGAAAGUUUAUUUCUCAACCUCAUCAAAAUCCCAAGGGUAUCCAUGAAGUGGAGGCUCAAGAGAGAGAAUCUUCAAAGGUGAGGGAAGUCAAAGCAGUUAUCACCUUGAGGAGUGGUAAAGAGGUUGAUCAACCCACAUCCAAGCCAAAGCAUAAUGAAGAGAGUUUUGUAGAAAAAGAAAAGAGAGGAAAAUAAAGGAAAGAGAAUAGAGAAAAGUACAAAGAAAGAUGACCAUGAGUCUAGUGUGGAUGAAGAGCCCAAGAGGAUAGUGAUCAAGGAAAAUAUGAUGAAGAAACACAUGCCUCCACCUUUCCCCUAAGCUUUGCAUGACAAAAAAGGAACCAAUAAUACAUCGGAAAUUUUUGAAGUAUUGAGGCAAGUGAAGGUCAAUAUCCCUUUGCUAGAGAUGAUCAAACAAGUGCCGACAUAUGCAAAAUUCUUGAAGGACUUGUGCACUGUAAAGAGAGGGUUGAAUGUGAACAAGAAAGCUUUCUUGACCGAGCAAGUGAGUUCCAUCAUACAGUGCAAGUCUCCAGUGAAGUACAAAUAUCCGGGCUACCCUACCAUCUCAGUGAGUAUUGGAGGUACUUGUGUGGAAAAAGCUUUGUUGGACUUGGGAGCAAGUGUGAAUUUGCUACCCUACUCUGUCUAUAAGUAGUUGGGACUUGGAGAGUUGAAGUCAACAUCCAUCACCCUAUCUCUGGCAGAUAGAUCAGUGAAGAUUCCAAGAGAGAUGAUAGAAGAUGUCUUGGUUCAAGUUGACAAAUUCUACUAUCCAGUGGAUUUUGUUGUUCUUGAUACGGAUCCGAUUGUCAAAGGAACUAAUUAUGUUCCUAUCAUACGAAGACCCUUCCUAGCUACAUCAAAUGCAAUCAUCAAUUGUAGGAAUGGAGUCAUGAAACUCACGUUUGUCAACAUGACAUUAGAGCUCAACAUCUUCCAUUUGUACAAGAAGCAUAUCCAUUCAGAAGAAAAAGAAGGUCUAGAGGAAGUGUGCAUGAUUGACACUUUAGUGGAGGAGCAUUGUGAUCGACAAUGCAAGAAGAUUUAGUUGAGAGUUUUGGGGAUCUUGAUGAAGGGUUACUUGAACCCUCAGAUUUGCUUGCUACCCUACUCCAUUGGAGGAAGAGAGAAGAAAUUCUACCCUUAUUCAAUGAGGAGGAGACACAAAGAGCUGCUAAAGAUAAGCCCCCAAAGCUUAUUCUUAAGCCACUACCCACAGAGUUGAAGUAUGCAUACUUGGAAGAAGACAAGAAGUGCACUGUUGUUAUAUCUUUAGCUCUUACCAUUCAUCAGGAGGAUUGUCUACUUGAAGUCCUUAGAAGAAGUAAGAAGGUAAUAGGGUGGCAAAUUUCUGAUUUGAAAGGGAUCAGCCCUUUUGUCUGCACCCAUCAUAUUUACAUGGAGGAUGAAGCUAAGCCAAUUCAUCAACCUCAGAGAAGGUUGAACCCUCACAUGCAAGAAGUGGUGAGAGUUGAAGUUCUUAAGCUACUUUAGGCUGGUAUUAUUUACCCCAUAUCAGAUAGCCCAUGGGUGAGUCCUACUCAAGUUGUGCCAAAGAAGUCGGGGAUCACGGUGGUGCAAAAUGAUAAGGGAAAAGAUGUCUCUACAUGUCUCACUAUAGGUUGGAGGGUGCGUAUCAAUUACAGGAGGUUGAAUGUAGUGACAAGGAAUGACCAUUUCUCGUUGCCCUUUAUUGAUCAAGUGCUUGAGAGGGUCUCUGGGCAUCCUUUUUAUUGUUUCUUGGAUGGCUACUCGAGGUAAUUUAAGAUAGAAAUUGAUGUUGAAGACCAGGAGAAGACCAUUUUCACAUGCCCAUUUAGAACCUAUGCAUAUAGGAGAAUGUCUUUCGGCUUAUGCAAUGCACCCACAACUUUCCAAAGAUGCAUGUUAAGCAUUUUCAAUGAUAUGGUGGAGCAUAUUAUGGAAGUCUUUAUGGAUGAUAUCACCAUAUAUGGAAGUGCAUUUGAUGAAUGCUUGGUCAACUUAGAAGUUGUUCUGAACCGAUGCAUUGAGAAAGACUUAGUGCUUAAUUGGGAGAAGUGCCAUUUCAUGGUACACCAAGGGAUUGUCCUUGGGCACAUCAUCUCCAAGCAAAGCAUUGAAGUUGACAAAGCAAAGGUUGAACUCAUUGUUAAGUUGCCAUUCCCAACAAAUGUCAAAGGAGUAAGGCAAUUCCUUGGCCAUGCCGGGUUCUAUAGGAGGUUUAUCAAGGAUUUCUCUAAGCUUGCAAGGCCUCUUUGUGAAAUAUUGGUGAAGGAUGUUAAAUUCAUAUGGGAUGAUAGAUGCCAAAGGAGUUUUGAAGAAUUGAAGCUAUUUUUGACAACCUCACCAAUAGUGAGGGCUCCCAACUAGCAACUGCCCUUUGAGGUAAAGUGUGAUGUCAAUGACUUUGCUAUAGGAGCUGUUCUUGGGCAAAGAGAAGAUGGAAAACCUUAUGUGAUCUACUAUGCGAGCAAGACAUUGAAUGAGGUGCAAAGAAACUACAUAACCACCGAGAAAGAAUUGUUAGCUGUAGUUUUUGCCUUGGAUAAGUUUCGUGCUUACUUGGUGGGAUCCUUCAUCGUGGUUUUUAUUGAUCACUUUGCUUUGAAGUAUCUAUUGACUAAGCAAGAUGCUAAAGCAAAACUGAUUAGAUGGAUUUUCUUGCUUCAAGAGUUCAAUCUCCAGAUCAAAGACAAGAAAAAAAUGGAGAAUGUGGUAGUAGACCACAUUUCAAGGCUAGCUAUCGCACAUAAUUCCCAUGCUUUGCCCAUUAAUGACGAUUUUCUAGAGGGGUCUCUCAUGUUGGUGGAAGUUGUCCCUUGGUACGCUCACAUUGCUAACUACCUGGUCACAAGAGAAGUUCCAAGUGAGUGGAAAGCACAAGAUAAGAAGCACUUCUUUGCAAAAAUUCAUGCCUACUAUUGGGAAAAGCCAUUUCUAUUCAAGUAUUGUGCGGAUCAGAUAAUAAGGAAGUGAGUUCCUGAAGAAGAGCAACAGGGGAUCCUCAGUCAUUGCCAUAAAAAUGCAUGUGGAUGCCACUUUGCUUAUCAGAAGACAACCAUGAGGGUGCUGCAAUCGGGUUUCUGUUGGCCAUCACUUUUCAAAGAUGCCCACACCAUGUGCAAGAGUUGUGAUCGAUGCCAGAGGCUUGGGAAGUUAUCAUGUAGGAACAUGAUGCCUUUGAACCCCAUUUUAAUAGUUGAUCUUUUUUAUGUUUGGGGCAUUGACUUCAUGGGACUUUUCCCUAUAUCUUUUGGCUACUCUUACAUCUUGGUGGGAAUAGAUUAUGUUUCUAAGUGGGUUGAGGCAGUCCCAUGCAAACACAAUGACCAUAGAGUGGUUCUCAAGUUUCUUAAGGAGAACAUCUUCUCAAGAUUUGGGGUGCCCAAAGCCAUAAUUAGUGAUGGGGGUACUCAUUUUUGCAACAAGCCUUUUGAAACUCUCCUAGCCAAGUAUGGGGUGAAGCAUAAGGUAGCUACACCUUACCACCCUCAAACUAAUGGGCAAGUUGAGUUAGCAAACAAGGAGAUUAAAAACAUAUUGAUGAAGGUGGUGAACACAAACAGAAAAGAUUGGUCAGUCAAGCUCUUCGAUUCACUAUGGUCAUGUAGAACAGCUUACAAGACCAUUAUCGGGAUGUCUCUUUAUCACCUAGUCUAUGGAAAAAAUGCCAUCUCCUUGUGAAAUUGGAAUACAAAGCUUGGUGGUCAAUCAAGAAGCUCAACAUGGAUUUGAGCAGAGCUGGGUUGAAGAGGUUCUUAGACCACAAUGAGAUGGAGGAAUUGAGAAAUGAUGCCUACAUCAAUUCAAAAAUUGUAAAAGAAAAAUUGAAGAGGUGGCAUGAUCAGUUGAUUUCCCGCAAGAAUUUUCAAAAUGGAUAAAGAGUCUUGCUCUAUGACUCUAAACUCCACAUCUUUCCGAGCAAGCUGAAAUCAAGGUGGAUAGGUCCUUUUACCAUUCACCAAGUGCAUUCAAAUAGAGUAGUGGAACUACUCAACUCCAACAACAUCGGGAGCUUCAAAGUGAAUGACCAUUGUCUCAAGCCCUUUGUAGAGUCUUUUUUCUCGCGACAAGGAGGAAUUCAUCCUCCUUGAUCCACAUCAAGCUUGACAAGACCAGUUUUUUUUUAUGGACUUAGUCUUUCUAAAGACUAUCGAGUCCAUAACUUUUUAUUUUAUUUUUUAUUUGAGAGUUUUUCGGUAUUAUUACUUGUUUUGUUUUUUAUUUUUCGUUUUACUUUUAUUUGGUUUGAUUUAACUUAGAUUUUUUAUGAUCAAUUGCAGGGGGGAUUUCAAAUAGAGGAAAAACCAAGAUAAUUCGCACACCCUGCGAAAAUUUCGCAAGGCAUGCGAAAUUUAUGGCUCAUUUCGCAUGGGAUGCGAAAUUUCGCACACCCUACGAACCAAUUUCGCACACUUUGUGAAAAUAAACCAACCCUACGAAAUCAUUUCAAAUACUCUACGAAAUUUUCGCAGAGCAUGUAAAAAAUUUCGCAGACCAAACACCAUUUCGCAUACUAUGCGAAAAUGUAAGGGGUCUACAAAACCAUUUCGCACCUCCAAAGCCAUUUCGCACAUUGUGCAAAAAUGAAAAGUCGCCCUAUCAUCCAUUUUUAAACCCCUUGAGCCCUGAAAUCCCCAUUUCGCAAGCACCCCUGUCCUUGCGAAUCCCUCAUUUUCCUCUGCCACCUUGCGACCUUGUCCCUCUCCAUUUGAUAUCGUGCCCUGCGCACAUCUCAUUUCAAAGACUCGCACUCUGCGCCCUCUCAAAGCACGAACCCAAGGCUCACAUUCCAUUUCCGACAUGGCACAGACCCGAGGAGCCCUUCCCGCCCCUUCAUCGAGACGCACACCAAGGUAGAGAGCCUCUUUUGCUCAGAUGCCAAGUGAUUCUCCAUUUCAGGCCACGGAGGCCCUGCGGAUUCCACAUUCCAAGGGUAGAACAGCCACUGGUCCUUCCUCUUCUAUUCCUCAGCGUAGAUAUGAGACGAGGAGACCACCUACUACACAAAGGGCGACUACUUCGCGCCAUGAGAAUUCGGUACGACACCCUCCUGCCAAGAGGGCCAGGACUUCAGGCCCAGGCGAGUCAUCCAAAGCUUCACAGCCUGAGCCUCCUGCAGAUUCCGAGGUUCCUACUGACAUAUCAUCGGAGUCUAUUAUCAAACGCCCGAUGCUCACAGCACCGCCCAUUGAGGGCAACUCUGAUUGUAGAGCGAGACCUUUCCACUUGGAGCUAUAUUUUAAUUAAGAGGCCAUGCCACAGCAGCCUGAGCUCCAAGACUCUUAUGGCUUACUACAGAGGUACCAUCUUGAGGACCUUAUGACUCCUCGUGAGUUCUUUUAUCCCAGAGUAGCACUAGACUUUUACCAGUCCAUGACUACUCGUGGCGUCCCGAGUCCUACCGCGAUGCACUUCACCAUUAAUGGACGUCAUGGUAUCCUCGAGGCCAGACAUAUUGGAGAGGCUCUACAGAUUCCUUUCGAGCUAGAGGACCCAUCUGUUUUCUGCCAAUGGUCCCCAAUAUCUCAGAGGGACAUGGUCCAUAUUUUAUCCAGGGGGACAUCUACAUAUUCGAUCCUUCUACGGAAGGAGCUUCGACCUGGGAUACUCCUCGUAGAUGUGGUGCUACUUUCCAACCUCUUUCCCUUUUAGCAUUCGAUACAUAGGCGAGGAGCUAUUUUGGACGCUUUAUUCUGUAUAUCAGAGGGCUUCUACUUUGGCCCGCACCACUUGAUCAUGGUUUCCCUCAUCCAUUUUGAGGAGAAGGUCCAUAGAAAGAAGCUUCAGAGGGCGAACACCAUUCCAUUACUAUUCCCGAGGUUGCUCUACUAGAUCUUGGAGUACAUGGGCUUUCCUACUGAGCCUCGGCUUGUGUGCCGCCGCCUUUGUCAAGAGCGAUCCACUCUCGACAAAUGGAAUCAGUUGGCGGGCUAUUCUACACCUCCAGGAGCCCCUCCCAUGGUAGCACCUCUAGUGUCCCCACAGGCAGAGUAGGGCAAGCUCCCGGUAGAGACUGCACCCCUAGUGCCCACACCUGAGGCUACUUCUGCUGUUCCGCCUACGACUCCUACUGUUCCACCAGUUGGUCCUUUUACAUCUGAGUCUUCCAUCAACAUCUCGACUUCGGAGUUUCGCGCCCUUGUGCAUACCUUUCAGACACUCACCACCACACAUACUGCUCUCUUCUAGAAAAUGGCUGAGAUGCGUGCCCAUCAGGACCAGCAGACUACUAUACUCCGCCAAAUUCAACAGCACCUGGGACUUCUGCCUCUGCCUCAGCUUGACCUUCCCACAUCAUCAGAGCCUCUAGCUCCAGUUGAGGAUACUAUUCCACCUGAGGACACUACCACAGUAGAGGUUCAGAUUCCACCACCUCAGGAGGCCACCACAGCUACAUUAGAGGAUGCAUCAUCUCCACCUGAGGCUCCCACUACUUGAUCAUAGGACAUCUCUUUAUCUUAUUGUAUUUACAUAUUAUAUUACUGGAGAUUUGUCUUUGUUUUGAUACUUUAUAUUCUGGCAUUGAAUGUAUUGCCUAAUGAUAUCUCAAUUGUACUUUCUCAUAUUAAUAUAUAGACAUCAAUUUUUUUUAGUAUACUUAGGAUUUUUCUAUUUACUCUACUCAUUACUCUUUUGUUUUUUUUUUUUUACUCAUGUGGUUUCUCCUAUACGACUCAGACUCCAUUUCACUCAGGAGGUACCACUUCUUCCCUUUAUUUUCAAUUGCUCUUGAAACAUUGAGGGCAAUGUUGAUCUUGGUUGGAGGGAGAGUUGAGGAAGGAAGUGAUUACUACUCAAAAAGUGCUAUUUCAUAGCUUGUAAUUAACUCUUUUAAAACACUUUUGAGUAGUAGUUAUCACCUUUUAACCCAAUUAACAUAUUAAGGACCCUUGCAAUCAAUUCUAAUCAAAUUGUGUUAAGUUUUGGUAUUUUGAUAGCUUUUUUAUCACCAAAGCAAUCCGAGAUUGAGGAUAUUUAUUUGGAAUCCAUGGCAAAAGAUGUUUGGACAGGACGUCCGGACACACCAUCGGAGGGCGGCGGAACGUGGGCUGUGGCAGGCUGUCGGAAUGACGUAGCAAGGCUUGUGCACUUUAGCCAAUGAUCGGGAUAACAUAUCCGAAAUUCUGCUCCGCCGACAUUCCACCCGGAUGUCUCACAUCCGGAAUUCUGCUCCGCCGACAUUACACCCAGAUGUCUCACAUCCAAAAUUCUUCUCCGUCGACAUUCCAUCCGAAUAUUUCACAUCCGACGCUUGACGCCGGAUGGGAGAGGAGGGCGUUUCAACUUCCCCGGUCAGACAUAUCCGAAUCCUUUGAUAACGCUUACCCGGAGAGUUUCGCAGCCAUUUUGCACAGUGCCGCGGUGUUCUCUUGAAGCUUCCCGAUAUGUGCGACCGACAUUUUGAGAUAUUUUGCUUUAGAUAUUUGAUGUCUAAAUCCCCAAACUCUCCUUGUAACCCACCAAUUAUAGGAUUCCUUAGUUAUUAAGUUUGGAAAAAUGGUGAAUAACCCCUUAUAUAUAGUUUGCAAUUUUCAUAAAAAAGAUAUGUAGAAUCUCGGGAGCUUGUUCCCAGAGAGACGCAUCCUUUGUACAGUUUUGGAAGGAAGUAAAAUACAGAGCACUUGCUCUGCUUUUCAUAUAUAUUUUUGUUUUCUCGUUCUUUUUAUUUCUAGCCAAUCAAAGUCUGAGGAUUUUUCCUCAGAGGAUGAGAGGCUAGGCUCUUCGUCUCUUGGAGUGAAGAAAACUAGGUAAGUUUCCACAUGCAUAAAUUGAAAGUUUUGUUGUUUUAGUUUUUAAUGAAGAGAAAGUGUGACCCGUUAAUGGUUUUUAUCUUUUUAGUUAACUUAAAACGCCUUUAAAUCACCCGGGCCAACACUUGAUAAGGCAAGUGGUCUCCAUCCAUUGAGAUGCACUAGUUUAUCUCUUGCGAGCCUUUGGGAGGUGGUUUGAAGGUAGGAUUUUCUAGAAUAACCAACACUUGAUAAGCUUUUGGACUCUAAGGAGACAUCCAUUAGUUAUCUCUUGCGAGCUUUUGACGGGUAAUCCAAGGUUAAAGAUCACCUUGAAUGGCAAGUACUAGGUGAGAGGUAUGAGCCAUUGCAAGAUGCAUUAGUGAGAGGGAUUUAGUGUUUGAACCCAUUAAAGGGAAGCAUCUGUACCACACCGGUUCGGGAAAUAACUAUAUGUUAAAUCCCCAAUGAGAGGAAAAGAAACAAGUGACCGGAACUCCCUUUUUGUAUAAGGAACCUGAGCCUAGUGAUCUAAACUCCAAGAAACACUUUUCUUUGUAAGUAAAAUCAGUUACUAUUUUUGGUUAGUUUAAAACCAAACCUUUUUCAUUCAAACAUCUUUAUGUUUUCUUUUAAAGCUAACCUUGAAAUGAAAAGGCACCAAUUCAUAUUUGAAUUAAUAUCAAUUGUGAAGUGAAAACCCAUCCCAGUGAACGAUCCUAGAGCCACUAUGCUAUAGUAGCUUUGUCUUUGCUACCCUAGUUCAUGGUUUAAUAGGUUAUAAAUUUUGUUGAUUACUCCCACAAUCAAAGGAGCACCAGUUGGACAUGAAUCAACUGAGACACUAAUUGGGCACAAAUCAGGAAGUUUUGUUAAUAAUGCUAGGUUAAUUUGUUAAUUUAGUUACUUUCUGCUUAAUUUUAAAAGUUUUCACUUUACUUUCCAUAGUUAUUAAGGAAAAAUUCUCAAAAUGAAAUGGGAGAAAUUGAAUUCUUACAUUUUUACUUGAAUUUUAGAAUUUGUAUUAUGCUUAUUGAAGCUGAUGAAUUAUUGAAACUCCUAUUGAAUUCAACCUUAUUUCUUCCACUUUAAUCUUACCACACACGGUGCACAUUAGGUUCCGAUUAUAAGAGGUGCGUUCUUAGCCUAUUGGAGGUUGGUCAAUUUGUUAAAGUUUGAGAAAGAUCUAGGUUAGGGGAGAGAGAAUAGUCUGACAUACUAUAAUCGAAAACUAAUAAACUUAACACUUAGAUCUUUGUGGAAGAGUAAGGAUUGGACCUUUGGGAGUGGAAAUUCGUUUGAUGCUUAAAUUUGCAUAAUGCUUACACUUUAUAAAUUGUGAUUAGGCAAGAGAUUUGAUGACUCUUGUUCAAGGUUGGGUUUUGCCUCUUUGAUGUUCCAUGAGAGAGUAUAAUCCUCAUCAUGCCACUUGAAAUUUUUUUUGGAGUGAUUAACAUGAUUUUGUAAAUUACUUUACUGUCUAUUUUUUUUUUAUCUCUCCUUCAUUGCUAAUGGACUAGCAAUAUGUCAGUUGAGGGGAGUGAUUACUACUCAAAAAGUACUCUUUUAUAGCUUGAAACUAACUGUUUUGAACACUUUUGAGUAGUAGUUAAUACCUUUUAACUCAAUUGGCACAUUAAAGAACCUAGCAAGGGUUACUAAUUAGUUUUUGGCAAGUUUUGGUGUUUUUGGUAGCUAUUUGAUCAUUGAAACAAGCCAAGAAUGAGGGAGAAUUUUGUGAAGUCCAUGGCAAUGCAAGUUAAAGCUCAAAUACAUGAAGAAUCCAAGCUUUGGAGCACUUCAUAGCCCUUUCCAAAGCCAAUCAGAGAUGCAAGGAAGAAAACCAGAGGAAGAAAUCCAACAAUUAGCAUUUUCGCAUGGCUGUGCGAAAUUUCGCACACCAUGCGAAACCACAAGAGGCAGCCAAAGAAUUUUGCACACUAUGCGAAAUUUCGCAUGGUAUGCAAAAUCUUCUUGUGCACCAACUCCGUUAUAUUUUUAUCUCAAAUAUUUUGUGUAAUUUCCUAGUUUCUCCUUGUAACCAACCUAGAUAUUUUCUUUUAUAUAUUUUUUAGGUAACAUCAUCUAUAGGGGGAGAGACAUAAGGAGGAUAUGGAUGUUUUUCAUAGAACACUUGUAAAUUUCCGGUAGUAAGAAAUAUACAGAGCUUUUUGCUCUACCUUACCUUCUCAUUUUGUUUUCACUUGUCUUUCUAGCCAAACAACCUCUGAGGAUGAUUUCUUAGGGAAUGAGUGGCUAGGUUUUACGUUUCUUGGAGUGAGGGAAGCUAGGUGAAAGACCCGAAUGCUAAGGUGGGAGUUGUCCUUGCUUUAAAUGAAAGUAGUUGUUAAACAUUAAUGGUUUUUAUUUUAAGGUUUAGCUUUAAAUCCCUUAAAAACAUCUUGAAUGGUCAAUACUUGGUAGGCUUUUUGGAUUCUAUGGAUGCUUAUUGCUAGAUCCCUGGAUGUCUAUUAGUUAUCAUUUAUGAGCCAUUGGAAGGUGGUUCAAGAUGAGGGUCUUUAAUGUUUGAAGCCAUUAAUAGGAAACAAUUACCAUUCUUUCAUGAAUCCUUUGGAUCAAAUCUUAAUUGCUAAAUAUAAAACUAGUUCGGGAGAUAACCAUCCUUUAUGUUAUUAUGCCCAACGCGAGGAGAAGAUUCGGAAUCUUCCCCUUUGUCUAAGGAACCCGAUCCUAGUGACCUAAAGCUCUAAGAGACCUUUUCUUUAUAGUUAACUUCACUUAUUGUUUUUUCUUAACUUAAAAUCAAUCUUUGCAACCACAAUUCCAUUUUCUUUGAAAGCUAAUUUUCAUAAGGAAAAUCACCAUUUUAUUUUCUUCCCUAAGUCAACUGUACGAUGAAAACCCAUUCCCAUGGACGAUCCUAGAGCCACUAUACUAUGUUAGCUAUGCUACCCUAAUGUGAGGUGAUUUAGGUUUUAUAAAUUUUGUUGAUAACACCUGUUUGAGCCAGAAUCAAAUGGCGCAACUGAACCAGGGACGAAUCAACAACUUAUAUGGGAGGGACACAAGUUUAAUUGAUUUGCAUUUCAACGUUAUAUAUAGGUAUGUUUUGGAAGAUUUGUUCUGGAAAUACUGCACCAAGUACGAUUCUUUUUGUCUUGAGUGGGUCUACUUGCAUGCCAAUUAACGAGUGGAAAAGUAGGAGCACCUACCUCAUGCUCGCGGAACCGAAGGUCAGUGAAGUGGGGCUCCUUUUGGCCUCUUGUGUUUCUAUUCCAACCAAGGCGGCGUAAGGAAAAACAACAAUAUGUUUGUGCUAAAUAUCAACGCAUGAUAGAUGUUUUUGUUUUUUGGUAUGUCAAGGCUAAUGAAUGAAAUGCUUUAGCUUGUUUUGUGACUGGAACUGCAAAUGUCCAAAUUGGAGUAUCUCCAUUUCUCACUUCGGAUGGUUAACUUAUAAACAAGAUAUAGGAAACAUGUGAACAUCUUGAGGAACAAUUUGAAUUAUUCAUUAGAAGUCCUGGGUUGAGUUCCAAGAUUUAAAUUAGACCCCUCUAGCAGCUUCAGGGGUACCUAGCAACCUAUAGCAUAUUAAUGAAGAUUUAGGAUUUAGACUCUAGAAUACAAAUUAAUAUGUAUCUCAUGCUUUGACUAGCUUCCCUACAUAUGCACAAAAUGGAGAUGACCUAAAAAAAUAGCAGAAUCUAGCUUCCCUACAUAUGCACAAAAUGGAGAUGACCCAAAAAAUAGCAGAAUUUCCUUAGUUUCUGUGGUUAAGGUGAUUCUCCGCUUAAUAUCACAUUGACUCAUUAUGCAAAAUCAACUGAGCUAAUUUUGUUUAUUUAUUUAAUGUCAAAUAGGAACUCCUAAUUAACCUAACCCUUGGCCUGUGUAAAUUGAUUUCACAUGCCCAAUGUUGAAGUAGAAGUCCAUAUUUUGAAUUUUAUUUUUGUAAAGGUAAGGAAAAUGAAGCAUUGUGUAAUUAUAAAAAUAACUUCAUUGGAAUUCACAAGGUUCACCCAAAAUGGAGCUACAUCCGUAUUCUAUCCUGCAGUAGACUAUAUAGAUUGUACAAUAGUAAAUUGCAAAUACAAUUAAUAAGUCUUGUGCUUCCUUACUAAUAAUCCUUUGACAUGAACAUUGCAGCACUAAGGUCCUCUUGGGAAGACACCUUGCACCCAUGAGAGCACGAAGAGGAAGCAAGGCAGAGUCAUGGGUGCAAUGUCAUGACUUGUUGUUGCACCAAGAGAGGCUUGGUGAUGGCAUGGUGUUGCAGUAGCAAGAAUGUUGCCUUGGUAGGGACAUAAUCUAGGGAUAGAUGCCAAGAAAGGCUUAGCACUCACAUGAGUUGCACAAAGAUGAAUGUAAUAGAGCAUCAGAGAGACGUCUUGGCAAGUAAAUGAAUGGAUCCAAGAGGCAACAACAUGAGGAGUUUCAAAUGGAUAAGGAAUGAGUCAAAGACAUUUGAAAGCUACAAGUUGGAUUCUAAUUACGAUUGCAAUUUGAGUUUGAGUAGGAGUUUAGAUUCUGAUUGUAAUUGUAGUAUGAGUUGGACUAGGAUUGCUUAUCCCUAGUCAAAAUAGGAGUGGUUCGUGUCACACCCUAUGAAAAGAGUUUGAGUAGGGACUAGGAUUGCUUACUCCUAGUCAAAUAUGGAGUAGGUGGUGCCACACCUAUAAAAAAAAAGGGACAACAUGAGAGAGAGAGAGAGAGAGAGAGAGAGAGAGAGAGAGAGAGAGAGAGAGAGAAAGAGAUAAUGAAUUCACUAAAGAUAUUGUGGGAGUUUUUCUUUGUUACGUCUUGUAUUAUUACUUAGAAUAGGAAUAAAAUACAAGUUUGGGCUAGAGCCCCAUAAUUAAUCUCGUGUGCCUUUGUGGUUAUUCUUUAUUUGUCAUCUCGUGUGGAUUGGAUUACAUUGACUUAGAGGGCUUCUAAGCACCACCUUUGUGGGUUAUUAUUUAUUUUCCAUUUCUUGUGGAUUAGAUUAGGUUGACUUUGAGGGCUUUUAAGCACCACCUUUGUGGGUUAUUCUUUAUUUUCCAUAUCGUGGGGAUUGGAUUAGGUUGACGAUGAGAAAAAUUAUGUGGGAAAUUUGUGUUGGGACACUUAUCAUAACCAGGUAAAAUCUGCCAAGUCCUUUGUAAUAUCUUCAACAAAUAUUUCAGACUAGUUCUUCACCAUAAACAUCAUAUUGUGUUUUGUUUUUCUCCUGGAUUCUGAGUUGAAUUGUUUCAAGUCAAUUGAAUGCAUCUGAAUAUUAUUAGCUUGUUUGAAGGCCUGGUGAUUUUCCAUUUAACUUUACUUUCUUUAGGUUAUGCUCACUAUAAGAAAAAUGAGAAAUAAUGACGCUUUUUACGCGUUAAGAAAGGCAACAGAUGAUGCUUCUCUAAAGCGUCCUCUUCGGCUCUGUCAUUAUAUGUGUUAGCCAAUAAUGACGCUUCUAGGAAGUGCCAUCUUUGAAUAAUGUUAAUAACGACACUCGUAAAAAGUGUCAUCUUUAAACAUAUUCUGGUCAAAUAAUUUUUACAAAAUUAGUAAUCUUCAAGCCGUUUCUGAAUCAUAUCUGAGCCUAUUUCUGGGGACCAGAAAACCAUCUUUUUUCCAUUCGCCUGAGAGGUCUGAUUAGCAUUUCUGGAAUCAAUCUCUAAACCCAAGCUUCCCUCAUCUACCCAUUUAACCCUCAUGCCCUCCUGUUUGAACAACUUUCCCACUAUAUACACAAAUUUUUUACCUUCUGUUGUUGGUAUUCGACCUCUUCCCAUUCCCAGCACAGAAUCCACCAUUAGUGCCACUUUGUGAAUAAAAUCAUCGAACCAGAUCUUUCGGGCGGAAGAUGAGCUCCAGAGAAAUAAAAUUUUUGGGGUCUUCCCAGCAUGAAAGUCAUAGGUAGCAUUAAUGACAUCAAGAAAUGGGGCACUGUUGAGAAAAAACAUGUUCCCAUCAACCACCCAAGAAUUGUACCAGACUCCAAACACUUCUGGAUUACAUAUGCCUUUACUAAGAUAUAUUUCUUGAUCUCCAUAUCAGAAUCUUGGAGACUCUUCAUUUUAUGAGCUCUGACACUACUGUGAAAUUGGUCCACAUCAAUCACAGGAUGACCCCUUCUAGCAAGAUCAAGCAGGAAGUCUGAAUUCGGGCCCAUAAAAAUGUAGUUCUGAAUAUUGAAACUCUCAAAGUGGCACAACAAAUUCCUUAUGACUCUUUCAGAUGCUCCAAACAGGCUCACAAGUAUAAUGGUAUCCUGUUUUUGCACAGAGUAAAGAAAAUAUCCGAGUUCUUCAAAACUCCUUACAACUAUUCCAGGAUGUACUUCUUUGAAACAGAAAUCGUACCACUUUAGCUUAGUCAGAGGUUGAAUCUAAAAUAACAAAACCCAAACUGAAAUCAAAAUCGAAAUCAACCCUAAUAGAUUUCAGAAACAACAAAUUAAAAGAGUAAAGCACAAAAGGGGGAAAACACAUAUGAAGCAAUCUCCAUACAAGCCCUAACCUUAGAUAAACCCAAAAAAAAAAAUCAAAGCAGAGAGUUACCAUAGAGCAUCUCUGUUUCAAGCUUAGAAAAUGUUUAAUGCCAUUGAUAACUAGUUGGCUAGUGGUGGACUUCAAGCUUCUCUAUUUCGGUGUUAGUAGCUCUCAAUGGCUAUGGUGAGAACAAAGAAAUGAGAGGCUUAGGGUUUGGGAUGUGAGGUUAUUGAUGAUGAUGAGGAUAAAGUUAUGGGCUCUUGGAGGGGUUAGGGAAAUUGAAGAUGGCUGAGAGUAAAGGCUAGGGUUUUUGAGAUAGUUAAUAGCUUUUUAGGGUGUGACUGUCCAUAGAUAGAAGAUAAAUGAGGGUGUGAGAAUUUAUAGAUCUCUAGGUGAUAUGGCGGGUGUGAGAAUGAAAUUUUAGAGGGAAUUGUGUGUUUGGUAGAAAUUUCACACAUGCAUAUAUAAUGUUUCAGAACAUGGCACUUUAAAAAUACGACAAGGAAGAAAUUAUUUAUUGACGCUUAAAUAAAGCGCCAAGGUCUCCAACAUUUUUGCAAUCAAUGACGUUUGUAAAAGGUGCCAUUGAAUAGGAGUGCCAUUGCUUUCCCACAAAGCAUCAUUGUUAAUCAAGCCUUUAAAAAACGCCAAGAUAUGUUGCCACUUAGGUUAAAUAUUGACGCUUUUAAAAAACGCCAAGGAAAAAAACGUCAUUAUUCAUGUUUUUUGUAGUAGUGGCUUGAUUCCUAAAAAGUAAAGGAAAGCAAAAAGUAAAAAAAUAAAAAUGUGGAGAGUUAGGACAUGCGUUAUCUAAUUGUCCUAGUCCCAAAUAUAUUAAGAAAGUCAUGUAGGUUACUUGGAGUAACGAGUCAAGUAAAGCAAGCCUUCUAGUGUUUAAGACAUUAGAUAUUACCGAACUGAUUAUGUCAUUAAUGUAUUGCAUUUGUUGUUUCUAAUAUAUAGAAGAAGAUGAAAUUAUUGGAAUAAGUGGGAAAUAGGAAUAAAUCCAAGGUACCAAAAAGUCACUUUAUCUUAGAUGUUGUUGGAAACAUAAGUGAUUUCACAAUAACGACUAUGAGACAAUCAAGGAUUAAUAAGAUAGACUUUAUAUGAUAUACCUCCCAAUUAGAGCCUAAAAAUAUGGAUGAAGCACUUAGAGAUGAAUCUUCAAUUUUUGUACUAUAGGAAGAAUUAAAUCAAUUUGUUAGCUAUUCUUUGGAUAUUUGAUUCAUCACAAGCUACAAAUCACUUUUGAUGACCAAACACGAAACUAAGAGGAUUGGGCCCAAUUCGAUGCCUAUCAACAAUGAUUUGUAUUCCACCUCAUUAAUUAUUCAAAGUUGGGAAGCUAGGUCUAACCACUUUCUCUACCUGUUCACCCUUAGAGGAGCAGAAGAAAAUUCUAACUUUGGUGCCUAAUGCCUUUGACAAUCUUUCGACAAAGAGAGUUCACUAAUUACUUUGAUUAUUUCUCUGUUGGUCACUGGGGGACAAGACUUUUGUAAUGAAGUCAACUAGAACUUGCCCUUUGAGGGCCAUUCAUGGACGAUAUUACACCAUGAAUUCCCUUAGGUCAUGUUUGGUAUGUGAGAAUGAGGAGUGGAAUGGACAUCUUAUUCAUUUUUUCAUCUAUUCAAAUGUUGGGAUAACUCAAGUGACCAUGAGAAUGAAAUCAAGAAUGAUUCAAGGGAAAUGAAAUCUUACUUAUAAGUGUGAUUUCAAUUAAUCUCUAAUAGAAAUUAUUUUGAAUCAAUAGUGCAAGUUAUUUUUAAAAACAUUUUUCCAAAAUUAAAAAAAUCAAUUUUUUUUUUUUCGAUAAGUUGUUUUUAAAAGGAUUUUUUUUAUUUUGUAAAAAGAAAAUUGUAAUUCAAUUUAUAUAAUAUAAACUAAAUUUUAUUUUAUUCAAAAAGAAAUAAUUUUUUAAUUAUAAAUAAAUUAAAAAUAAAUACUUUUAAUAAAAUAUAAAUAGUAUUAUUAUAAUAAAAUCAUAAAUAAAUUUAAUUUUUUUUAUAAAUAUUAUAAAAAUAUGGAUAUUAACAUUGGAUAAUUGAUUUAUUUUGUUAAAAUAAAAAAUAAUAAUUUUUAAUAUUAUUUUAUGUUAAAUGAAUUUUAAAAUAAAGAAAGUUUAAUUAUUUUAAGGUAUAGAAGAGCCAAAUUUUGCAUUACAUACAUAACAAACAAUAUUUAUUAGAAACAUUUCUCAAGGAGAAUCUUAUUCCAUCUCACAAAGAUACUCGUUUAUUCGAUGUUUGACCAUCCGUAACAAUCAUGUCAAUUCUACUGAUUUAAUAAUUCCUUUACAUUUAUUACUCACUUAUGAACAUGGUAUUGUGAUUUAUUUAUUUAUUUGAUGUAUAAUUAAUUAAUCAAUUUUUUAAAUUUCAAAUUAUUUUUAAAAACUAUUCAUUAAGGAAUUUAAAGCAUUAAUUAUGUCUAUUAUUUUUUAUAGUCAUUAUAUAUAUAUUGAGUUUUAAUUUAUUUUUAAAAAUUAUUAAACUUAUUAAUAAAUUCAAUAUAAAGUCUCGUUUCAUUUGAAAUUCAUUUCUUUAGUGAAAAUUUUGAAAAAAAAAUUGUUAUUUAUUUUACUUUGUUUUAAAAAAAUUGUUUCUAGAGAACAAUAAUCAAAUAAUGGUAUGAAUUUUUAAAAACAAUUUUGUUUUUAAAUCAUAUGCCCAAAUAAUUUUUUUUUAUUUAGCAAAAAACUUUGUUGUAGUAUGUGGCUCAUAUUGAGGGAAAGACAUAUAUGGAGAAAAAUGUGCAAAUGUUGGAGUGGAGCGGAGUGGAAUGACGACAUUUGUCAUUCAAACUUGUAUUUUUAUUGUUAAGGGUGACCGAUAGGUUGGUACGGUUUAGGGGUAUUUUUGGAAUUUCAUUACCUGAGGGUUAGUAUAAAUACCAUUUUAUGUAACCCUAAUUUUACAUAUAAUGUAAGUUUUCUUCCUUGUUCUUGUGGACAUAGGCAAUCCGUCGAACCACGUUAAAUCUGUGUGUUUUUUUUUCUUUUUUCUUUUUCUCUAAUUUCUUCACCAGGAAUCGUUACACUAAGAUCAACAAACUCUCAAAGAUGAUUUUUAAAAUGAAAAAAAUAAUGUAUAGUGUGAGAAUUUUUUAUUUUUUAUUUUUUUAAAAUGAAAAUAAAAAAUUGCUUUAAGGUAAAAGUGUGGAUAUUAUUGUUAAUUUAUUUCAUUUUUCAUUUUCAUUUCCAUUGUUACCUACAAUUGAAAUGGAAACAACUAAUCAUUACAACCUUACAUUCUUAUAUGCAUCCAAAUACAAAAAUUGAAAUCACCAAAUUCAUAUUCAAGGCAAAAUAGGAAUGAAAACAAAUAUUCAUUCUCAUUCUUUAUUCCCACGUGUCAAACAUGACCUCAAAGUUAUAAACAUGAACAAGAAGUCCUUGAAACACCAAUGAUCUCUUCUGGUAUAUAUAUGAGCUUGAUUGACAACUGUUUUAAAUACAGUUUUUUUUUUUUUUGUUUUCAAAAUCAAAACAAAUUUAUUUUUAUUUUUUAUAAAUAGUAGUUUUUUAAUAUUUUUUUUAAACCUUAUUAUGAAAAUAGGAUGUUUUCUAAUAUCAUAUUUUAAUUAUUUUCAAUUAUUUUCCCUUCUUUUAAGGAGGGCUAUUUUAAAAAUAUGAAAAAUGAUACAAAAUAAAGCAUUACAAAUAAAAAUCAUUUUUAAGAAAUAUAUGAAAAUAAUUUGAGAACAUUUGAAGUUCCUUAAUUAAACUUUUGUUCUAGAAAAUGCAAGAAAACUGUUUUUGAAAAUUGUUUUCAUAAUGAUAUGCAUUGAUCGUUUAAAAUUUAAUUACAUGAUAAAAAGACCUAUGUAAAAACCAGAGUUAUAUAAUCAGUCAUAGAUCAAAUCUACUAAAUAUGAAAAGUAAGUACAUAGUUGUAUAUGACUUAGAUGGAGCCUUCUCCGAAUGACAUUCUUUAGUCGGUACUCAUAUUUUUUUGUUUCGUGUCUUCAACAUAACACCUCAUGAUCCUUAAUAAAUCACCUGAAAACUAUAUUAGCACCUUAUUGUUUAAUAUUUCUCUAAAUUUUUUUAUUAAGCAAAUAAAUUCCAAAUUUAAAAUGACAAAUAAAAUUUAUUAAUUUUUAAAAAUAAUUUAAAACUCAAAAACCAAUUUAAUUGAUAUUAAAAGUCAUGAAACUUAAUAAUAUUAGAAAGUCAUGUAUCCAAAUUUAUUUUAAAUGACUUGUUUAAUUUCUUGUUUAUAUAUAUUAUAUUUUUAUAAUUUUUUUUACUAUACAAAUAAAUUUUAAAUUAAACAAAACUUAAUGCGUUGAAUUCAUUAACGAGUCUAAUAAUUUUUAAAAGUUACUUAAAAUUUAAAUACUAAAUCAAUUAGUACCACAAAUUCAUGGAAAAAAAUUGAUUUAUUACUACUAUAUUGUUUCUCUAUUGCAUAGAACCAUUAUUUUUCAAUUUUUUCAUUUGGCAAAUGAACAUCAAAUUAAACAAGACUAAGUGUAUUAAAUUCAUUAAUGGGUCUAGUAAUUUUUUAAAAUAAUUUAAAAUUCAAAUAUUGAUACUCCAAAUUAAACAAGACUUAGGUGGUGUUUGUUUUUUGGUUGAAUAGAAAAAGGUAAAAUAUUUGACUUUUUCUAUUUAGUUAAAAGUAACUUGUUGACAUCGUCCAAUAUAAUUAAAGUAAACCUAUUGAGGGCAAGUUCACUUUAAUUAUGUUGGACGAUGUCAACAGGUUACUUUUAACUCAAUAGAAAAAAUCAAAUAUUUUGACUUUUUUUUUAACUCAAAUAAUAAAUCCAUUAAUACAAAAAAAUUAUGGAUAAUUUGAAACUUUCUUUCUUUUUUUUUUUUUUUUUGCUACACAUAGCUAUAUUUUUAUAAAUUUUAUCAUUAGAGAAAUGGAUUUCAAAUCAAGUGAAACUUUGUAUUGAAUUAAUGGAUUUAACAUUUUUUAAAAAUAAUUUGGAACUAAAAAAAAAAGAUUUAAUUACUAAGAAAAUCAUAGAUCAAAACUAAUAUAUUCUGAUCCAUGAUUUUAUUAUUUUUCCUAUACAUACAAUUAUAUUUUUAUAAUUUUCUCACUAGGUAAAGAUAUUAUAAAUUAAGUGACACAUAAUUAAUAAUUUAAAUUUUUGAAUGAAUCUUUUAAUUUUAGGAAUAAUUUGAAAUUUAAAAAGUUGAUCCAAUUAAUUGUAAAUUAACUUAAAAUAUUAUAAAAUAUUAUGUUCAUAAUUAAGUACUAAAUGUAUAUAUGUAAUGAAAACUUAACUAGUUACAUGUUACAAAAGCCAAAAUUUAUUCAUUCUUUAUUUUAAAUAAAAUAUUAUUAAUAAUUAUUUUUUUUAAAAUAAUAUUUAGUAAUUAUUGUUUUUAAAUUAUUAUUAUUAAUUUUUAAUAAAAAAAUUGCAAAGUUAUUAAUAUCAUUAUAUUUCUAACAUAAAUUUAAAUAGUAUAUUUUUUAAUAUAUAUAUAUAUAUAUAUAUAUAUAUAUAUAUAUAUAUAUAUAUAUAUAUAUAAUUUAUGAUUUCAUUAUAAUAUUUUUAUUCAUGAUUGACGAAAAAUUAUUUAUUGUUUAAUUUAUUUGAAUUGCAAAACUAUUUUUCAAAAUUCAAGCGAGAAAAUAGGCCUGGAUUUGAAUUUCCUGUAGAAGAGAAGGAUGUGGAGAAUAUGUUGGGAGUAUUUGUGGAUAAAGAAAAGGCCAGGGUACUGAGAAAGGAGAGAGAACUUGCUCUUGCCAAAAGAGCCCUGCACAGGUAUUCUACUGAUUCUAAUUAUCGGUUCUUACAUGAUCAGAUUUCAGAUUUAUUUGCUGAGCUUCUGAAAUCUGAUACAGUAUUUAAACUCCGGUGAGCUUUACAAGAUUAGUCUCGCAUCCAAUUCCAAAUGGUGUCCCACAAUUGAUUCUUCUUAUGAUAAAUCCACCUUGAUAUGUGAAAAUAUUGCUCGAAAGGUUUAUCCUCGCGAGGAAUAUCCAGAAUACUAAGGAAUUGAGGAGGCUCACUAUGUUUAUAGAGUCAGGGAUAGGUUGAGAAAACAAGUAGUUGUUCCAUUACAUAAGGCCCUGGAGUUGCCAGAGGUUUUCAUGUGUUCGAACAAGUGGGGAUCACUUCCCUACAACCCUGUGGCUUCAGUGGCCAUGAAAUCAUACAAGAGCCUCUUCUCAAACCAUGAUACAGAGCGGUUUGGUGAGUAUCUUGAGAAAGUGCAAACUGGGAAGGCUAAGAUUGCAGCUGGUGCAUUACUUCCCCAUGAGAUUAUAGCUUCAUUGAAUGAGGAGGAUGCCGAGAGAGUUGCCGAGCUUCAGUGGGCAAGAAUGCUGGAAGAUUGAUCAAAGAAAGGGAGGCUCACAAAUUGCAUUGCAGUAUGUGACGUAUCAGGAAGUAUGAGUGGAACUCCAAUUGAGGUGUGUGUGGCUCUGGGGCAGUUAGUUUCAGAGCUCAGUGAAGAUCCAUGGAAAUUAAGGUAAUGUAAUUACUUUCAGUGCAAAUCCUGAGCUUCACAAGAUCCAAGGAGACAGCCUUGUAUCCAAGACUGAAUUUGUGAGGAUGAUGGAAUGGGGUGCCAACACUGACUUUCAGAAAGUUUUGACAGAAUCUUACAAGUAGCAGUGGAGGGAAAUAUGAGUGAAGAUCAAAUGAUAAAGAGGGUUUUCGUUUUCAGUGAUAUGGAGUUCGAUGAAGCUUGUGGGAGGUAUAACUAUUGUGACUAUGACUAUGAUAUGGAGGAAAUUGACGAGAGUCAGAAGGCAUCUCAGAAGUGGGAGACAGAUUAUGAAGUGAUACAGAGGAAAUUCCAGGAGAAAGGAUACAGAAAAGUUCCAGAGAUAGUGUUUUGGAACCUUAGAAACUCAUCAGCGACUCCAGUGACGGCCACAGAGAACGGGGUGGCCUUAGUAAGCGGGUUUUCAAAGAAUCUGUUGACCUUGUUUUUGGAAGGAGGUGGAAUUCUGAUCCCUCAGGAUGUGAUGGAAUUCGCCAUCUCUGAUGAAGAUUACAAGAAACUUGUUCUAUUUGAUUAAGAUAUCAAGAGAUUUAUCAAUAAUAAUAUAUUUUUUUUCUAUGUGAAAUACAUAUAAUAUUAACUGUGGAGUUAUCAAAGUUCUGGAGGUUUAAUUAUUUCUUCUUUUCAAGUUUUGUUUAUUUAAGGUUUUCUUUGUCUUUGUUAGGAAUUCCCCUUGGGUGGACCCAGCUGGGGAGUUGGAUUGAGGAAGUAAGCAGGCGAACUUGUGUUCUUCUAUGGACAGAGAAAAAAAAUAAAAUAAAAAAAUAAAAAAGGAGGUUAUUUGCAUUUGGAUGUCGUGGUUUGAGGGUACAACUACAAGCUCGAAAUUGUACAUAAUGUGAAAACUCCUGUGUCCAUUGCUGAGAACAGCAUAAAUGAUGGUGAUUUUCAAGUUGUGCCUGGUAUUCUACAGGAUGAAACAAGAAAGGAUCCAGGUGGUAUAUUGAACAAUAUCCCAAUCAUGUUGGUGGCAUCUUUAUUUAGUUAAUGGUAUUCAUUUGGUGGAAGCUGGUUGUUUAUGAUGUUUUUAAUUUUUUUUAACAUGAAGUUCGAUCAAAUACGUAUCUUAGUAUGUUUUGUUUGAGCUAAUUGGCAAAUGCGCUUUAAACAUGGUCACAUGGAUGCAGUUUUAUUUGUGAAAUGAUAAUAGUCGAUUACUUGGUCAGUAAGGUUUAUAUCUCUAACUUCAACAUCUUAUUGUAGUCUUUUAAAAUGUCAAAAGUUUAAUGCUUGAGAAAUUUUGGAAUGGAGACAUUCUAAACAAAGUUAAUAAUCCACAAGACUUGGUAAAACCGAUCAGAUGAUGCUUACGUACAUCAAUGCCUUCUUUAAGCCAUAUCCUAUUUUCAUUGAACGGGAUGUGCCAUCUAGUUUGGUUCUUUAAGCCUCCAAAUCCUAAACCUAGUCUCAAUUUAGAGCAAAUUUAGGGUGCAGGGCCUGCAUGCCUCCCCCUCCCCCUUCCACAAAUAGUAGUGACCUUGCUAUGCCUAUGCAUUGUCAAUGCCUCAUUUUCUAUGGUCUCCAAUGUAAUAUCUUAGUUUCAAUGUCUCUUUCCUUACUAUCUCCAAUGCAAUAGAUUGAUUUCAAUACCUCUUUACAACUAAGACCUCCAAAUUUUCUUGGUUCAAACCUACCAGAAUUUUUCUUCUCCUUUGCUUUCUAUCAAUAUUAGUUCCCCUAAUUUAAUAUAUACUUCUUUAUUACCUUCAACUCUACCUCUCUUUCUUUCUCUAAAAGCUUCCUCAAAGAUUUAAUUGCUUUCUUGCAUGUUUUAAGAAAACAAACAUGCUCAUAUUACAUUACCUCUACUUGAGAUCUACCUUAUACUCUACCUUCUUUCUUUACCUCCUAUAUCAUCUACUACAUUAGCUUCAAAAAUAUUAUUUAGUUUGAUACUAAAUAAGGCUCCUAAUCCUACUCUUCCUUCAACAAACUUUCUUUUUACAAGUUCCUUAAACUUUAUUUUUUAUUUUUUAUUUUUUGGAAAUUCGGGUUAGAAAGAUUCCAUUACUCUUACCUAAUAUUUCAACCAUCAAGUUGAAUCCACUUAUUGCCUAAAUCCAAGGAGUCUGCCCUCCACAAAAACAAGGAAAUUGAUCCCACAAUAACAAGGAGAUUGCCUUCCACAGAAACAAAGAGAUCUCCCUUCACAGAAGCCGAAUACAUUGCAAUCUAUUUUCUUUCUUGUAAGAUCAAAUCUUCAAUCGAGCUCCAUCUUAUGGGGGCAUAUUAGAGAAAUUUAAUAUUAUCCUUAAUUUACAUAUUAAUAUUUAUCUAUUUAUUAUAUAUUGAAUUAAAAUAGAAUAUAGAAUUUGAAUCAUAGUAGAAGUUUACUAUAAGAUUGAAUUACAAUAGUUAAUAGAGUUUAAAUUAUAAUAACUCAAAUACAUUUAUAUAUAUUUGACCUUACGAGAUUUUCUAUUUAUGUAUUUGAACUACAAUCCUUAUGAUCCUUAGGUCUCUAUACCUUCGUGAUGGGCUCCUUGACAUUUCAUAGGUUGUGCUACACAUGCAUUUGAAAUUUAGAGUGCAUUUGACAGUGAUUCUGGGAAGUGUUUUUGGCAUUUCUAACACUUAAAAUUUUUUAUUUUUCAAGUAUUAGAAAUGCUACAAACACUUUUGAAAAUUACUGUCAAACACACUCUUAGGAGCGCAUAUAGUAGAAAACUAGAAAUUGUGGUUUUUUUAGGAUUUACUGUAAUGUCAUUAGGAGGGUAGUAAGUUGAAACUGAGUAUGAAUAAAUAUUUCUUUCUUUGGGAUGUUCUUCUGGUAGGUGCUGAUGAAACUGUUCUUUUUACUGCCAAUGUCACAUAUCAGCCAGAAAUUGAAAAUUUCAGUCAAGGUGUCCUCGGUUUUAGUGGUGAGGAAAGCUAGAAAUUUUAAGGUGAAGUUCUGUUAAAAACCUUAAGUAGCUGGGAUAUCAGGCCUGUUUUGCUUGAAAAAAAAAGUUGCAAGAUAACUCAUAUGCCAAACAGGUUCUGAUAUUGUGAAUCUAUCGGCAGACAUCAGUAAUCUCAUCUUCUGAGAUGGAUGUUGGGGGUGCAUGUGGUGGUGGAGGGGCAAGGUUUCAUUUGGUUUAUUUUGUUGAUGGAUAUUGUCUAGCCCCCUGCGCCAAGUUUGAGGGGUGGUGGGUUGUGAUGGCCCUACAAUUACUAUUAAUUUCUUCCUCUUUUACCGAUUAAAGUGUCCGAACAGUCGAAGUUACCCUUAUGCAUGUCAACUUGAUCACUUACCUCUUCAAUGGAGUUUAUGCUGGUUCAUUUAGGAACUGAUUUUUAUUGUUAUGCAUUCUAUGCUGAUGUUUAGGCCUCUCCAUCAUCACUAUAUACAAAAAUUCUAGGUUGAUACUAUAGGUUGAGAUUUAUUUUUUAAAUAAAAAAUAAUAAAAAUAAAAAUUAUGGUGAUGUUUAGUUGUUUUAUGGAAAAUUUUAACAAGUUAUUUUUGGGCAAGUUUUCAAACAAAAAGAAAAGUAAAAGUUGUUUUGACAAAAACAUAUAGAAAAAAAAAAUCAUAGAAAAGAAAUAAUUUCCCCAUAUUCUAACUUUUUUUAAUUUUUCUCAAUGGGCAAAGGAAUAUCAAAUCAAGUUUGAGUAGGAUUUCUUAAUUUUUAAAAUAACUUACAAUUAAAAAAUUUUGGUGUUUUCAUUUUUGGACAAUUUUUUAUUAAGCAAAUGGACUCUGAGUCAUGCAAGAGAUAUGGUUGAUUAAUGGGUCAAACAAUUUUUUUAAAAUAAUUUAAAACUCAAAUACAUAAUCAAUGUCACAAAAUUUAUAAACAAAAAUAGGUUUAGAGAAGAUCUACACAUAAUUUUACUUUUCUAAUUUUAUUUUAUUUUAUUUUUUUGUUGGAAAAUAGUCUUCAAAUCAUGUAAGAUUUAAUAGGUUAAAUUUGUUAACAAUAAAUUUUAAAUUAUAAAAUAUAAUCUGGAACUUAAAAAUCAAUUCAAGUAAUGCUAAAAAAAAUCAAAUUUGGUAUAGAAUGACUACGUAAAAUUUUUUACAAAACAAAUGAAUUUUAAAUCAAGUGAGAUUUAAUGCAUUAGAUUUUUAUCAAAUAUAGUAAUUUUAAAAUUUAAUUUGGAACUCAACAAUAGACACAAUAAAUACCAAAAAAUAAUGAACCAAAAUUGGUUUGGAAUAACUCCACAACCUCUUUUUUUUUUUUUUGGUGCACACGAAUUUUCUUACUAGGUAUAUUGCUUUCAAAUUGAGAAAGAUUUACUAUUUAGAUUUUUUUUUUUAAUGAGUUUAAUGGUAUUUUAAAAUAAUUCAAAAUUUCAAAAAUUGACUAAUUACUAUUAUAAAUUCAUAAACCAAGACUAAUUCAAAAUGCAUUGGGGGCUAAGGGGGUUGAAAAUAGGGACAAUGGGAUGGGUUUGGGACAUGACACUCAUAUCUCAUUUCCAUUCCAAUUACAUAGUUAUCUCCCAUCCUUAUCCCAAACUUGUGUUGGAGCAAGUUGAUUUGUUCCCAUCUUUGUUGAUGAAAUGACUAAUAACCUCAUCCCCUCCUUAUCUUAGAUGUACAUUUUGUCAAAUUUGAUCAGGUAUGAUUGAUCCAAGCCCUAACCCUAAUUGGUAAUGACUGGAUACUACACCUAAUUGCAUUCUUCUUUCGUCGCAAAAUAAUGAGAUUAUAAUAAUCUAGCAAAUAAGAAAAAAUAGUAUGGAAGUUCAAUUUAACACCAUAACUAUCAAUAAUUUUAAGCUUAUAGAUGACUUAAAUGAUUAAAAACUAAUGCAAAAUACCAAAAAAAAAAGUUCAUAUAAAGAAUUCACAAGAGAACAAAAUGAACAAAAACCAAAUAUGAACAUGGGUCAACAUUAGUUAUGGAUUUGGAUUCCUUUCAAGGCCAAUCUUUGAACCAAGACUUCAUCAAAUCUACUACUUCAAAGGCUUUUGUGUUCUUCUUGGGUUGUGCUCUCAAACAAAGACUUCAAGGUGAUGCUCUAGAUGAUUGCAUUACACAUAUUUAGGGUGGAGAGAUUGGAGAAGCUUGAAGAUGCCAACGAUGGGUACAAUUGAGUGGUCAAUAAGAACAAUGUAGCCUAUGACUAGUUUGAUGUCGUGGUACAAGAGUUUUAGGCAUUGAGGUUAAAGCAAGAGCAACAUGGAAUUGAUUUUGGAGUCUUUCAAUUAGUGUAAAGGAGGAAGAAGUGGUAUUGAUUCUAGAAAUAGGGUUUUAGGUGGUGCGUUAGAGGAUGAAGAAGAAGAAAAAGAAGGAUCUGUUGGAAUUAGUGUGAGUGUGAAGAGAGAAGUAUAUAAAUAAGGGGAAGUAAAAGCAAAGUUCUAAAAGCUAUAUUUUUUUUUAUUGUUGGUGUAUGGUUGCAUGAUUAUCCCUAUAAAUAAUAGGAGUUUUUUUGGUAUUCUACUAGUAGUUGAAGGAUAAUUUCAUAAAUUUAUAUUUAGAGUGGGGUGGGGUGAGUUGUGACAAAAUUCAUACCCGUCCUAAACCUUGGUUCAGAUUUUUAAAAUAUCCUCAAACUUAUCAUAUACCCAACUUUUAUAUUUCAUACUUGUCUUGAUAGAGGCAGGUUAGGCCGGGUUACUUGAGUAACCUACAUAAUUGUCAUCCCUAGUUGAAAUACACUUUUUUGGCAGUGGCCACCAACUGAGCUAGAAGCUUGAUCGAUUGACCUACAAGAUUAGUUCUCAUCAUUUUAAAAAAAGUUUUGGCCUUGGUUGUGAGUGCAAUUGAAUCUAAACUGGCAUUUCCUUAAUGCAUCUACUUCAAUCCUAAAUUUCUUACUUCCUAAGCCUCAAUUGUUGUUAGGAUUUUGGAAAGCCCAUUUCCUUAAAUUGUAAAUUUAAGAAAAAAUAAAAUAAAAGUGAGACAUUUCUUGAUUGAAUAUUGUUAAAGGUCCCUUGGCAUUAAGACUUGGUUGAAGCCUUGGAAGAUUAGUGGAACUCUCAACUUGUGUUUGAAUCUUGAGGAGAGUGGACGUAAGCCAAAAUUUUGUCAAACCAUUAAACAAAUUGAGUUUGAAUCCUCAUUUCUUGAUUUCUUAUUUAUUUGCUUUUUCUUAUUAUUACUUGAAUUGUCAUUUGCAUUCAUUAAUGUUAAAAUUGGUUAUAAUUAACCAACACUAAUUCUCUUUCCCCUUCCCUUUCUUGGGUGUAAACCUAGGUUGGAUUAACUAGAUUAAUUUAUAAAAUCUAUUAAGAUGGUAAAAGAAUAAUUAUUCUUAACACACAUAAGAUCAUCUUCAAUCAAAUGACUCAUUGGCUAAUAUGUUGAAUUUGCUUAUUACUUGCAACUCAAAAUUGUGUUCUAGUUGAUAUGUCAAGUCCCCAGUGUAUGGACAUUAAAUUUGUAGUACGUGAUGGUAAUUAGAUGGUCCAACUCCAAGAAAGUGAUUGAAAACUAGUUCAAGAAAGGUGCAAAAGGGAAUUGUUUUGGUAUUUUCGUUUUUAUUCUUGAAGGUGGCAGAGCUAAAAUUUGUGAAAUCAAGCAAAACAUACUGAAAUUACAUUGAAAGAAAGAAAAUGGGAGUUAAUGUCUUGCAGUAGAUGAUAAGGACUUCAUGCAUGUAGUAUGACCCAUGUCUUGGACUGAUGCCAACUCACGGUUACACUUAUACCCUUGGUUCUCUCUUUACUACCUUGGCUAACCUAGAUCAGGCUAUGAGAUAGGCUCCUCACCACACCAUUACUUGCCCAUUAAUUAGAGACAUUUUCAAGCACUGAGGUAACAUGGUGACACCAAGAGGGUUUAUUCCUCGCCCUCCUCGCCCUCAACAAGUCUAGACUUGGUCUCAAAAAAAUGGAGAAAAAUGAGGUGUCGUUAUGUAGAAAUACAACAACCAUGCCUUCCUCAUUACUUUGAUUCAGAAUGUGAAGGUGAAAUUGAGAAACAGAAACUCUUGAAACCAAAAUGAAAAUUGAUACUUUUACGAAGAAUUACAACAACAUUGGAGGAAGACUACAUUCUUCCUCUUUAUUCCUACAUUUCUACACUACUUCUACUCCACUCCAUAUUUCUACAUACAUCUUUAAUCAGUCUUCCCUCCUUUAUAUAGAGCCAUCUUCACACAAAUUCCGCAAGGUAGAAAAGAGGAAUGAAACUUGGAGCAAGGUUCGACUACUGGCUGUAGCUUGUCAAGGCUGGAAGUGAACCUUUUUUCUUGGCUUUUCUGGGCAUGGGUAGUAACUUGUGGGUUCCUUUUUGGGAUACAAAUGGCUAGAACAUGUGGCACUAUCUUGUUGGAUGAUGUGUCAAGCAUGUGGCAGCCAUCUAGUGGCGAUUAUGUCAAUUUUGGGAUGGAGAGUUGGCAUCCAAUUGCAAAGAAAUAUGACGUCUACCAACAGGCAAUGUAAACCUAUGUAGAUCAUAUGAAGAUAGAGAGGAAAAAUAUAGAAAUGGAUAUAUACCUAGAACUAGCUUUUUAUUAAAUGAAACGGAGAGCCAACAAUGAAGGAAAAUAAAUUUUUUUGGCUUAUAUCAAAGAGUUCACAUUGUGCUACCCUAGGUUUUCUUAAAACUUACUUUUAUGAUAACAAAAAAAAAAAAAAACAUUAUUGUUUAAUCCUUUGUUUUAAACGCAUGUUUAGCAAGUUAUAAAAUGUAAAAAUCUUUCUAAGUUCAAAUAUGAAGAUAUGACAUCAUUUCAAGCAAGAUAGUCUCUAGGAAUUAAUGUAAAGCUAAAUUAAGGUGAAAUUAAAUUAGUUCAAUGCAUUAAUUUAAGAAACUUGACCUAUCAAAAGUACAAAAUUAGAUGAAAUCCAUUUCAAUGGUUAAAAUGAUCAAAAUCAAACUUUUUCUAAGUAUUUUUUAAAAGUAUCAAUAUUGAAAGACAAUUUUAUAUUUAGUCAGAGUUUGGACAAAACCAAAAAGCACACAAAAUCCAAGCGACCAUCUCUAGCUUGGAUGGUCGCUUGAUCUCUAGCUUGUGUACUUGGAAAGCAACAUCGAGAUGAUAUAUAUAUAUAUAUAUAUUUUAUAUAAUAUUGUUUGUCCAAAUUCCCUAAAAAUUAGGCCACCACAUGUUCAUAAUUCUCCCUUCUUGAAUUUGAAAACUCGGACAAUUGGACAAUGCGACACCUAAGUCCGGUUUCUAAAUGCUAAAGUGAAAGGGUAGGUAUGGACCAUUGAAAUGUGAUCACAACUUUUCUCUGUAGCCAUGUUGUCUCUUUUUUCUUUUGCAUGAUUUUCUCACCUUAACAGAAUCAUAGACUUGUUUAAUCUCUAAAUGGGAUUAAUUUCAUCCAGCUUUAAGCUACUAUAUUAUAUCUAGGUGGAGGACUUUUAAGAGUGCAACCGACAUAGAGCACAUGCAAGUGGGUAUAUGGGACAUGAAAUUUCUUCUUAUAAAGAUUGCAUGAUUUUUAUAUUAGAGUUGUUGGGGCGCAAUGUAUGUAGCUUGUUUUGCAGUUAAAUUAAUUGGAUAAGUAGACAUUGGCGUUUCUAAAUCUACUGUGAAGUGCUUCAUGUACGUGUGAAGUAUUAGAAAUUUCUUUCUUGGCAACUUGUUUUUUCUUUGCGGUCUACUGAUAGGUUUGACUAAAAUUAUAUUCCCUGUCAUGCUAAUUAAUUUUCACGUGCAUGCUCAAAAGAAGAGUAUGACCUUAGUGCACCAAAAUCACUUUGAUUAAUUUGUGAUAGGUUUUUGUGCAUCAUGACAUUAGCCUUAUUCAUUUAGAUAAUGUUUAGUUUUUAGAAAGUAUUAAGAAAAGGAAAAUAAAUAUUAAGAAAAAUAUUCUUAUAUUUGAUUGUAUUAUGAAAAAUGUCAUAAAAAAAUCAAAUAUAAUUUAAAUUAAUUAAUAAUUUAUACAUUUUCAAAUUAUUUAAUCUUUAUAUUGAAGAUAUAAUAUAAAUGAAAUGAGUUUUAAGUAUUAUAUAAAAGUGAUUUAUUGAUCUUGCAUAUAUGUAUUUCUUUUUUUUUUCUUCUAUUUUUUUUCUUUAUUUUAUUUUCCUUAUGUUUUCCUCAACAUUUUCCGGAACCAAACAUAGCCUUAGGAAAUCCACAAUUACCUUCAACUGAGUAUAUUCGGUUGUUUUAGCAAUGUUAGGCUGCUAACUUGUGUUGGUACGAACCUGUUAAGCCUAAAGAUGUAAUUAGUUAGGAUAUUCUUUUCCCUCUAGUCUUGUAGCUCCACGUGUAUAGUUGGUUAGGACCUCAUUGUAUAUAAUGCCUGCCCUGUUAUUGUUGAAGACAACAGAGAUAAAUAAUAUUAACAUUUUUCCUCUCAUCUCUCUUUGUUUCCCUCUGUUUUCAUCUCCUCUCUCAUCUUGGUAUCAGAGCCUCCAUGGAUUCUUUCAAAGAAACCUCCGAAUCACCUUCUGCUAGCAUUGUUAAUGUGCAAAACCCAUUAUCUCAGUCAAACAACCUUCCUUCACCAGCAGCCACACCCUCUUUUUCUUUCUUGUCUAUGAAUCAACCUCUCACAGUGAAGCUGGAUAAUGGAAACUACCUCAUCUGGAAGAAUUAGCUUCUGAAUGUCAUCAUUGCGAACAGACUCGAUGAUUUCAUUUAUGGAACUCGACCCUGCCCUCCUUGAUUUCUCAAUCUGCAACAACAAACCCUCACUCCAGAGUACUCGGUCUAGCAGAGAUACAAUCGACUUCUAAUGAGUUGGCUGUACGCAUCCUUGUCCGAAGAUAUAAUGACUCAGAUUGUUGGGUAUUCAACAACUGUGGAGAUUUGGAACGUCCUUAAUCAGAUUUACUCUGCCUCUUCAAUGGCGUGGGUUACCGAGCUUCACACCAAGCUUCAAACGCUCAAGAAAGAUGGACUCUCAGUUGGUGAAUAUAUUCAAAGGCUCAAAUCCAUUUGCAAUAGUCUUGCAGCAAUAGGAGAACUAGUUUCUGAGAAAGACCAGCUUAUCUAUUUGUUCAAUGGAUUAUAUUGUGAGUAUAAUUCUUUUGUUACCUCCAUUCAAAAUCGAUCUGACCAACCAACUAUUGAGCAAAUCCAUAGCCUAUUGCUUAGCUAUGACUUUCGGCUUGAACAACAAAACUCUGUUUCUCUCCAUUAUGCCCAAGUCCGUAUGGCUCAUCUGAACAAGAAACCUUAUAAAUCAACUCCUCAACCUACAUUCAAUCAUAUUCACAUUCAACCUAGAUACUCUUCUCCACCUUUUAAGCCAACCACUAGUCAAUAUCAACCCAGGAUUUUGGGCAAACCACAACCACAACCAUGACAGCCUCAACCUCAAUGGAAACCACAUUUUUCAAUCCAGAAUCAAAAGCCUCAGUGCCAAAUUUGUGGUAAAUUUGGACACACUGCUCUUAUUUGCUUCCAUUGCACAAAUUUGAACUAUUCACCCCAACCUUCUCCUAAAUCUUUCAAUACUGUUCUCACCACAAAUUCCCAGCUCCCUAAUCCUCCAAAAUUUUCUUACCCUACAAUGGCUCAUCCUGCUGCUACGCAUAACACGAUUCCUGAUACAAAUUGGUACAUGGACUCAGGUGCUACACAUCACUUUACUCCGGACAUCAACAUGCUUGACACUGUGACACCAUUUAGUGGUUUAGAACAGGUGACAGUUGGGAAUGGUAAGCAACUCUGUAUCUCACAUCUUGGUACUGCAAAACUACCAUCCUCGUAUUCUCCUCUUGUUCUACAUCAGGUAUAUCACACUCCAAAAAUUUCAAAUAAUCUUAUUAGUGUUAGAAAAUUGUGUUCUGAUAAUAAAGUUUUUGUUGAAUUUUAUGCCACUCAUUUUCUUAUCAAAGAUCAAGUUUCGAAGAGAGUUCUCUUUCAAGGUCAACUUGAUAAUGGCUUAUACAAAGUUCAGUCGUCAUGCUCUCCUUCUACUAUUUCCUUUCAUCCUCAAGUUUUCAUAGCCAACAUCAAGGAUCAAAAUUUGUGGCACAAGAGACUAGGCCACCCAGCUUUAUCUGUUAUUAAUCAAAUCUUGGAUUCUUGUAACAUUGCUCGAACACAGAAAAUUGGUUUUAAUUUUUGUAGUUCUUGUCAAUUAGCAAAAAGCCACAGGCUUCCUUUUUCUCUGUCUCCAUCCAUUGCAGAAAAACCUUUUGAGUUAAUUCAUACAGACCUAUGGGGUCUUUCUCCUGUUCGCUCUAUUUCUGGUGCUCGUUAUUUUUUACUUUUCAUUGAUGAUCAUACUCGUUUUACUUGGUUUUAUUUGCUCAAAACAAAAGAUGAAGCAUAUCCUACUUUUCUCAAGUUUCAAGCUCUCAUUGAAAAUCAAUUUAAUACCAAGAUUAAGGUUGUCCAAUCUGAUUGGGGAGGUGAGUUUCGAUCUCUCUCCAUACUGUUUUCAAAUAUGGGCAUUGUCUAUCGUUUAUCAUGUCCAUACACCUCACAACAGAAUGAGUGGGUUGAGCGAAAAAAUCACCAUGCGGUUGAAAUGGGAUUGUCCUUUCUUGCUCGCUCGGGUAUGCCCUUAUCUUAUUGGCCUUAUGCCUUUCAAACUGCCACUUACCUUAUUAAUCGUCUCUCUACCCCUGUGCUGCACCAUCAAUCCCCUUACUUCGCACUCUAUCACAAAUUCCCAGCUUAUACUCAUCUUAAGGUCUUUGUUCCUCUUGUUUUCCAUAUUUACGCCCUUAUAAUACCCAUAAACUCCAAUACAGGUCACUGGAGUGUGCUUUUCUUGGUUGCAGUUCACACCACAAAGGUUAUCUAUGUCUUGACAUUCAUUCUAGCAGGGUGUAUAUUUCUCGCCAUGUGAUUUUUAAUGAAGAUUCUUUUACAUUCAAGAAUUUGAAAUCUUCUCUCUCUUAGUCUAUUUCUUCUUCCUCUUCUUUAUUAGUUCCUCUGUUCAUUUCCUUGCCUCCCCUCUCCCCAUAUCCUCCUAUUUCUCCAUCUAUAUCUCAUUCUUUUCUCUCUUCUUCUUCUACCUCUAGUACUUGUUCCCCUCUCGUUGCUCCUACCUCUCUUCCUCCCUCUUCACACUUUGUGUCCCAUCUAUUCCACCUCCUUCUCCACCUUCUUCGAGUGUGGACCUGCUUGUACCUUGUGUGAAUACAAAUUUACUUACUUUUUCUCGCACUCACAAUAUUCAUCCUAUGGUGACCAGAUCUAAGGGUUUGUAUCUAUAAACCUAAGUUGCUAUUGAGUGUCUCCAUAGGUUCUCUCACUAAGCCUACUUCCUUUCUUCAAGCUAUUAAAGAUCCUUCAUGGAAGCAAGCCAUGGAAUUGGAGUUUGCUGCCCUUCAACACAACAAGACCUGGCAUCUAGUUCAUUCACCUUCCUCAGGCAAAGUAAUUGGUUGUAAAUGGGUCUAUAAGAUAAAGCUUUAGCCUGAUGGCUAAUUGAGAGAUACAAGGCCCGCUUAGUAGCUUAGGGUUAUCAUCAAACUGAAGGUAUUGACUACUUCGAAACAUUCAGCCUGGUUGUCAAGCCUUCUACUACCGUAUUGUGCUCAGUCUUACUUUUUCCCAGAAUUGGUGUAUUAGACAGCUGGAUGUUCAUAAUGCCUUCUUACAUGGUGACUUAGCUGAAGACGUUUUCAUGGAACAACCACCUGGAUUUGUUGAUCCUCUCUAUCCUACUCAUGUCUGCAAGUUGGAUAAGUCUCUCUACGGUCUUAAUAGUCACCUCGGGCUUGGUAUACUAAGCUGAGUACUUCUCUACUACACUUGGGAUUUGUUACUUCUAAGAAUGACUCUUCCUUAUUUAUUUGUCAUUCGUCUCAUGGGUUACUUCUUGUUCUUGUCUAUGUGGAUGAUAUAAUCGUCACUGGGAGCCACUCUCCUCAAGUUACUCACCUUAUCCAAUAGUUGCAUCAUCAGUUUUCUUUAAAGGAUCUUGGUCAUUUACACUAUUUUCUGGGCUUGGAGGUUCAUCACACCCCUACUGGUAUUCACCUCAGCCAAGCAAAGUAUAUCACUGAUCUCCUUACCCGGGCGGCUAUGUUGGAUGCCAAGCCAUGUCCCACUCCUAUGUCCUCCAACACAUAUCUUUCUCUUCAUGAUGGAGUGGCUCUUGAAAAUGGUUCAGAUUAUUGAAGUUUUGUUGGUGCCCUUUAGUAUUGUACCAUGACACGCCCAGAUAUAGCUUUUGCAGUAAAUAAAGUGUGUCAAUUCAUGCACCAUCCCUCUGAUGUUCACUGGCAGGCUAUAAAACGUAUUCUCCAGUACUUAAAGGGCACAUCUCAUUUUGGUCUCUUCCUACAGCCUUCCUAUGACUUCAACAUCACUUGCUAUACAGAUGCCGACUGGGCUUCCUGCCUUGAUGACAAGUGUAGCACCAGUGGCUACUGCCUCUUUCUUGCCUCUAAUCUGGUUUCUUGGUCAUCUUCCAAACAAAAAGUGGUCUCCCGCUCCAGCGCCAAAUCAGAGUACCGAGGGGUAGCAAAUGGGGCUGCUGAAAUUGCUUGGACUGAAUCUCUUCUUUGUGAACUUUCCACCCACUCGACCUCCCCUCAUUGUCUGUGACAAUAUCAGUGCCACAUACUUAGCUGUCAAUCCUAUUUUGCAUGCCCGCACCAAAACAUGUGGAAAUCGACUAUCACUUUGUCUCGGAACGUGUUCUUCAACGCUCUCUCUCUCUCCAGUUUACACCUUCGGAUGAUCAACUUGCUGAUUGCAUGACCAAGCCUCUCUCCACCCAACGUUUCAUCACUCUACGCUCCAAGCUCACUGUUCUCACUAGACCAAUGAGCUUGAGGGGGGAUGUUAAGCCUAAAGAUGUAAUUAGUUAGGAUAUUCUUUUCCCUCUAGUCUUGUAGCUCCACGUGUACAGUUGGUUAGGACCUCAUUGUAUAUAAUGCCUGCCCUGUUAUUGUAGAAGACAACAGAGAUAAAUAAUAUUAACAUUUUUCCUCUCAUCUCUCUCUCUGUUUCCCUCUGUUUUCAUCUCCUCUCUCAUCUGAACCAAAUGAUCCAUGUUAACCUUGGCUUGGUUUGAUUUGGCUCUAUCUUAGAGAGCUCAAGGAUCACGUCAACUCUGGUUUCUACUAUUCAGGUCCAUUCCCAUAUGAACUGGUUCAAAUUUGAGAAAAUGGUAACAGACCUUUAGUGAUGUUGGUUUGGAGCCAGUUGCCAAACCCGCCCUGAGCUUUACCACUAAUGUCAAGGGAGAAAGCCUUUUGAACAAAAACAAUAGCUUCAAGAGACUGAAUCGUGGAUGAAAUCUGAUCCACAUUUCUUCUCAUUUUGGAAACAAAUGAGAACUUAACUAAGAAGAUUCUACGGCCUCAUAGUGCUUUUCCUGAUCUAAGGUUGGUUCGUUUCCCAAAUUGUGAGAUGCACGGGCCAGACUUCAGAACUCUCACGCUCAGGAGUGUAUCCACGUGGUGGACAUAAGAUGGUGGCUUAAGAUCUGGUGUCGGUGGCUUUACUUUACUAGGAGAGUAGUGUGUCUUCAUCUCAUUCACUGCCGGAGGGUGGCGUAAGCAGUGACGCUAAGGUGGGGCAUAGUCAAUAUCAUUUGCAUUUGACCAUUAUAGUUUUCUCCCGGCUUGAAAGUAACCUUAUCGUGAUAAAGGAUUACUAGCACUAGUUCAGAUGACAGUCAUGUUAAAUUCGGACCAUGUUUGUGUCACAUUAUCAGCAACCAUGUGUUUAUGGUUCAUGCUUUCUGCAACUGAAAUUGAAAUUGAUAUAUAACCAGGUGAACUUCAAUCUAAAUUCUGGAAGUACUCAUGUGAGCGAUGGUGCCCAUCUGCAGAGUCCAUCAAUUGAAAAAUGGAGUGAGUGUAUCUAUAAGAGGGAAGGCUUGGCAAAUGUCCAGUUUUCUGGGAAUUCAACAAGGAUCUAAAAUAGAUUGUUUUCUUUGCUGAUUUCAAUGGUUGAAAUUUGAGAAGAUUGUGUCCCACAUAACACAACUAUUACUGGUCCUUCUGUUGCAAUUUAUCCUCUAAGGCUCUAGCAUGUCUUCCAAUUCCCACUUCCCUGUUACUCCAGGAAAGCUAUUUCUGUCAUUGUGAAGAAGAAAAGAGAAUGUAGAUAUCGAUGCUUUUAAGUGACUGGAGCAUUCAUAUCAGGUGGUCUGCAGCCAUAUAUGCCACUUUGUGAAGAUUGGAACAGUCAAUCACUAGGCUAUAUAUUAGUGUGGCCCAGCCACUUUAAUCAAGGACAAUUCUUCAUACUUAAAAGUCAAAUUCUGCCUUUAGUCUCAUUAUAAAUUGCUGUUUAAAUAUUAAGCAAACAUUUGUUUAAUGCGAUUAAGACAGUACUAACUCAAUACUUGUUCUAUUUUUGGAUGGAAAUGCUUGAUGGUUUCAUCAUUGGAUGGGAUAAAGGUGCAUUCAUGAUUAUGAAUACUUGUAGUUAUAUUUUCAUUCUCUUUUUUCUCAAUGAGACUUGUUGGCACAAUUUUUCUGUUCAGAAACCUACCUCUCCAUGGAAAAUAAGUUGUGAUUGAUAGUACUGGAUAUAUUCAAGAAAGCUAAAUAUAGAUAGCACAAAAUAUUAUCGACAUAAAUAGCAUUAACAGCGUACGUAUGUCUCAGUGCUCAUCAGCCAUAAGCAUGGGGCAAACACUUACGAUGAGCAACUUACGUCAAAAUUCCAGAAUAGGACAUAGAAGUGACAGAUCUAUAUAUAUAGAACACUGCAUAAGAGUCACAAGAAAGGAAAUUACGGGUGCAUAGCAGCUCUUAUUUCACAUACUACUCAUACUGAUCAAAGUCACUCAGUUGGGAUGGGUGGGAGUAGGAGGUUUGUGGGGUGGCUUGUGCGGAGGAGUUGGCAGCUUCUUUCCAGGACCUGGUGGCUUCUCUCCCUUAGGUGGUUUGCCAACUGGGGUUGGUGGCUUGUAUGAGUCUUCAGCAUUCUCUGCAGGAGGGUGACCAGGGUUGUGACCAUAAUGUGGUGGCUUCUCUCCCUUAGGUGGUUUGCCAACUGGGGUUGGUGGCUUGUGUUCUGGGAGUGGCUUCUCCCCCUUGGGAGGUUUUUCCAAUGGGGUUGGUUUGUGUUCAGGAGGUGGCUUCUCCACUGGAGGCUUGUGUUCAGGAGGUGGCUUCUCCACCGGAGGCUUGUGUUCAGGAGGUGGCUUCUCCACCGGAGGCUUAUGCUCUGGUGGUGGCUUCUCCACCGGAGGCUUAUGCUCUGGUGGUGGCUUCUCGAAUGGGGGAUGCUUAGGGUAAUCAGCAAGUGAGGGGGCGGUGAGAACCACCAGGCCAAGCAAGACCACUAGCAAGUAUGUAGGAGACAUCUUUGGGUUUAGACUCAGAUGGUGCAAAACUAGGAGAAUUGUCUUUUAUAGCGGAUCGCACCCAAUAAUGAAAUGACACGUGUCUUUAUGACCCAUGUGUAAUGGGGUCGAUUUGGGUCCUACAGUGUUGAAAACUUCGACAUCCACUUUUGGCCUUUUGCUUUCUCUACAGCCGCCUUGCUUUUUCCCUCUUUCCUUUUGUUUUCCUCCUGCCCCAUUCUAUCAACUAAACACAAUUAUGUAGUUGUUUAAUUCUUAAAUGAGAUAUUAUCCGUCAAUCGUAUCAUAUUUUAUCAACAGAGAACGGAGUGCAAUGUGGCAAUCCAAAGAAAGAAGAUCCAUAAUGCAGCUGUAAUUUUAUCGUUUACUUUUAUCUCUUGGACCACUGCAUUUUUGUUAAGAGGUGCAAUAAUACACGUCUUUAUCUGCCAUUCAAUGUUUACAGUAAAGAGAGGGCACAAAACUCUUCACUGCUCUGCAUGUGUCCCAAAAAUGCAAUUGGACAAAUUAUGAUUUGCAUGCUAAAAAGAGGCAAAUGAGGUUAAUUCGCACCAUAAUUAUUUUGUUUUCUGGACCCCGGGGCCCUUUGGUUGGUUUGGGGGUCAGAAAAUGAACAUCAUAGGGGGUUUUUCCCUUAUGUGCAUUUGUAUCUGAUGGCUUUAACUCGCCUUGUUACUACAAAGAAAUUGUCACAUAUAGGAACUUAUUCCAGGCUGAGUAUCUCCGCAUAGACCCUAUAAAAGAAGACAAGUCAUAAUGAACAUCUAACCUUUGUUCAAUUUGAUUCAAUGCCCCAUUGUGUCCACCUCACAAAUCUGAAUUAUUAUAUCCAUUGAAUACAUAAAUUAAUGAAGAAAAUAUGAAACCCAAGAUACAUCUCUGCACAACCUCAACCCUGGUUGCUAUGUUUCCCUUCUAUUCACAUGAGGAUAUUGAUUACGGAAUAGGGAAACCUAGCAAGGGUUUACUCGGCUCUGGUUUGAUGCUAAUUGCCAAACUUGCAACAAGCCCUGAGUUUGAAGCUCACAGAAGAUGUUAUACAGGCAGGGAAAAACCUUCAGAGUUCGCUGCCAAAGAUAAUUAUUAAGGAGAUAUCACCAAGAGAAUUCCAAGGAGUCUGAAUCAAAGACAAAUUGGUCGUUCGUGGAGGUUCUUACUUUCUUUUGGGUAUAACUCACUGAGGGCACUGUCUUUUUUAUUUUCAUUUCACAUUUAGAGUUCUGUUCUGGAAACAUAUAAAAGGAGCAUCAGUUUGUUCUUGGGUAACCCAUAGUCGUGAGUGGGUCCAUUUGCAUGCUACUUAGUUGAAAAGUUGGACCAUUUGCUCCGACGCCUACCUCCUGGAUUCCAUGCUCGGAUAAAACAAGAAUAAAAAAAUAUUUAUAAUUUACAAAUGGGGGAAAGAAAAAAAUGUCAACAACAAACUAGGAAAAAAGAGUAGUAAAAUUCAUGUCACAUGCUAGUGAGAGAAGGGGUUGUUACACUCACUCGAAGUUCUUUUCAAAAUAUCGCAUGGUAUUUUAUUUUAUGUGUGAGCGCAGUUGUGAAUGGAACGUGCAAAAGUCCAAAUUGGUGACCUUUAAUAAAUAUUUAAAACAAAAAACGAAAAAAAGGAGGGAAAAGGGAUCAGAAAAGAUAAAACAAUGUGUACAAAAGCUCAAUUAGUUUGCAAAUUACUGUUUGGAUUUUGAUAGUAUUUUAUUUGAUGUAAAAGAGAAUUUAAGAUAUUUCCGAAACAAAAGCAUUAGUUUGCUCCAUGUCAAUUUCGGCAUUUCUCAUAUGUUUCACACAUACACAGAAGAGCAUCGUUUUUUAAAGCAUGCAUUUAUGUUGGAUUAAUUUGGAUUUUGUGGGAACUGGGGCAAGGAUCACAUGGAAGAGAGGUUGACUUUUUUCAGUACUUCAAUGGUUGAGACAGGUGAAGGCCUGAUUGAUACUGAAGCCUGAAAUUGCGACUCCGUCAUUUGUCAAAACAUAUGACAGCUUCCAUGCUCUCGUUUGGUUGCAUUGUUCUGUGGUCAUGCAUACAUGCCACUUAGUGAUCAGUCUGUAACUGUCAAUCAUUGGGCUUUGACUGAACAACAUCAGCCAUGUAUAAAUACUUGCAAAUCAAACGGUCUUCUUCCUCCCAUAAGGAAUUUCGGUUUAAUUAUGAAGCAUGCAUUUGGCUGACCAUCAUAAACCACUUCUUUAAAUUGAUGAAUGAUAGUUUUUCAUUCAUUCUUUCAUUCGUUCAUAUACAGAGUAUAUAUAGAGGGUAAUCAUCAUUCUAAGAAUGGGAAAGAAUGAUACAAGGAAAUAAUGAUAUAAAGAAAUAACAACUAAUAUUCUAAUAUCUCAACUUUCCUAAUAUCUAAACAUUCCUAAUAUCUCAACACUAAAUGAUAUAAAGAAAGAAUGAUAUAAGGAAAGCAUUCCUAAUAUCUCAACACUCCUCCUCAAGUUGGUGCAUAGAUGUCAAACAUGUCCAACUUGUCUAAAAAUUUUGAGAACAGUUGACUUGAGACAUCUUUGGUGAGGAUAUCGGUCAAUUGAUCUUCUGAUCGAAUCUUAGGCAAUUCCACAAUCUUAUCAUCCAACUUUUCCUUAAUGAAAAAUCUAUCCAUCUCGACAUGCUUUGUACGAUCAUGUUGUACUAGAUUAUGAGCAAUGUCACAUGCUGCUUUAUUGUCACAAAACAAUCGGAUUGGUUGCCUAGAUAGGUAACCUAAAUCCUAUAAGAGGAGUCUUAGCCAUAAUGCCUCACAAAGUCCUAAAGUCAUACCUCUAAAUUCCGCUUCUGCACUUGAACGAGCGACGACAUUUUGCUUCUUACUUUUCCAUGUCACAAGAUUACCACCUACAAAGGUAAAGUAACCAGAUGUAGAUCGCCUAUCAUCCACUGCACCGACCCAAACAGCAUUAUACUUCUAUACUCUGAUGAUCAACAUUUUUAGCGAACAAAAUUCCCUUCCUAGGAGCAUUCUUCAAAUACCUCAAAAUACGCAUGACUACAUUCAUAUGUUGCUCUCCAGGAUUAUGCAUGUAUUGACUCACUACACUCAAUGUAUAAGCAAGAUCUAGUCUUGUAUGAGCUAAGUACAUUAAUCUCCCCACAAGUCUCUGGUAUCUUCCCUUAUCGAUUGAUACUUGAUUAGGCUCAACACACAAUUUCAGACCUUCUUCUAUUGGUGUAUUAAUAGGUUGACAUCCCGACAUUCCAGUUUCCUGUAGAAGAUCUAAGGCAUACUUUCUUUGAGACAGAAAAAUUCCUUCACUUGAUCGAGAAACUUCAAUCCCAAGAAAGUAUUUCAGACGACCAAGAUCUUUCAUUUCAAAUUCUCUAGAUAGAUACUUUUGCAAAGCUUUUCUUUCUUCAGGAUCAUUUCCUGUAACUACAUGUCAUCCACAUAUAUCAUAAGUGUCGUAAUCUUACCAUGUUGCUUUUUCAAGAACAAAGUGUGAUUUGAAUUACUUUGAUGAUAGCCAAAAGCUCUCAUUGAUUUUGUGAACCUUCCAAACCAUGCUCUCGGGGAUUGCUUCAACCCAUACAAUGACUUCUUCAAUUCGCACACCUUCUGACAUUGCUUUUCUGACACCAUGCAUCCUGGUGGAAGAUCCAUAUAUACUUCUUCAGAUAAAUCGCCAUGCAGAAAGACAUUUUUUACAUCGAACUAUUGUAAUGGCCAAUCUAGGUUUGCAGCUAAAGACAAUAAUACUCGAACUGUGUUGAUCUUAGCUACAGGUGCAAAUGUCUCUGUGUAGUCAAUUCCAUAAGUUUGAAUGUACCCACUAGUCUUGCUUUAAAUCGUUCAAUACUACCAUCUGCCUUGUACUUCACAGUAUAGAUCCAACGACACCCAACUAGCUUCUUUCCUGGUGGACAUUCUACGAGUUCCCAUGUUUCAUUUUUCUGCAAUGAUUUCAUCUCUUCAUUCAUGGUUGCUUUCCACUUUGGAUCAGCUAAAGCUUCCUGCACACUAUUAGGAAUAGCUACAGUAGAUAAUUGAUUUACAAAUGACUUAUUUGAUUCAGACAAACCAUGGUGUGGACCCGCAUUUUUCACGUGCGCCUCUACUCGAUCGGCGAGACUCGCUUUCUAUUUGUGAAAAAUUAAUUUUAGAAAAGUUGGAGUCGCCACCUAUUUUAUUUUUAUUUUGAAGGGAAAAUAAAACAAGAAAGAAAAACCCUAAAAAGUGACUCCAUAGUUUUGGAAAAAGCAUGUCUUUGGGAAACCUGAGUCUAGGUCCGGGGAUCAUGUUACUUAUUGGGAAGGUACCUCUAGGAGGUAGCACCCCUCUAAGCCUUAUGAAGGUCUCUACUAACUAAAUUAAGGGAAGUGUGGCAAUAAAUCGAUUGAUCAUAGAUACCUAAGUAGACUAGGUGAUUUUAAAGUGUGGCAUGUCAAACACAAUCAAAUUGCAAUAAAGGAGAGUUAGGGCGCGUACCUGAACCGCUUCUCAAGCGCUAUCAUAAAACAUCAAUGGUUAAUUUAAAUAAUAUAUCAUCCAGCAUGUAUUUUAUUAGAAAUAAUCAAACAAUGAAACAUGUAUAUCAGAACACUCAAGCAUUAUUAGACAUAAGCAUUAUUUCACUAUUCACAGAAUUCAGAAAGUAGGUGAUAGAGGACAUACCUGGAUAGCAUAGAUAAUUUGUAAUGUGCUUCCUCAAGUUGUAAGGGGUUAGAUAACAAAUAAUAAAAUAUAGAAAUCCUAGCAUGCUCGUUAUCUAAUUAGCAUAGCAAAAGUGAUCACAGUAUACAGAAUCAUCAAUUAUCACAUACAUCUUGUAUAUAAUUCCUAAAAAAAAUAGAUAGACAUGAUUUCAACAAGUGUCAAAUGUGGCAACAAAAAUAAAUUUUGAAAAGAUUUUCUUAUGUAGGGGUUUCACCAAUUCCCCAAAUUAAUAUACACGAAUUUAGCUUAGAAUUAUCCCAUUUAUUUGGGACUACAAGCUUUGAUUCGUGUUUUUGUUCAAAACCAAAAAUUUUUGUUGAAAAUCAAGAAGGAUGCGAACCGAACAAGAUAUGGUUGCAUAUUAUUUUUAAAUAAAUAAAUAAAUAAAUAAAGGAGAUUUUGAUCCUGAGGACUUUAAUGAGUUUUUUUUUUUAAAAUAGAUUUUUAAAAUGAUUUUUUUGAGAAAAGUAUUUUAUUUUAAAAUAAAAGGGAUUAAUUUGGGAAAAAAAUAAAAUAUAAGAAAUAAAAUACCAAACAAAACAAAAAUGAAACCUCAAAGUAAAAUUUUUUUAGUAAUUAACAAAAAUGAUAAUGGUGAUGGUAGAGGGCAAUCUUCAUGAUUUUCCAAUGGCCUCAGAAAGAAAAUCAAAUUAAAUGAAGGAUCACUAACAGGCAAGACAUUCUAAAUUAGACAAACUAACAAAGUAUCAAUUCAUGAACUAACCGCUAGGAUUUUGAAAGCAUAUAAGCUAAGAUAAGGGUGAUCAGGAACUAAUAUUAAUGAUUUUGAAAUAAAAACUAAAAAAAAGGAUCAAUUCGGGUAAGGAACUAAAAUUAUAAAAGUACCUAAACUAAUUAUGACGAGUUUGACUAAAUUAAACUAAAAACAUGAACUUUCAAACAUAGAAUUAAUUUUACUAAUGAACCAAAGCAAACUAAAAAUAUGUACUUUCAAGCAUAGAAUUAAUUUUAUUGAUGAACUAAACUAUAACAAAUAUCUAAACUAAAUAUAAUGAAUCAAAUUAAAUUAAAGCAACUUAAAAACGCAAACUUUCAAACAUAGAAUCAAUUUUAUCAAUGAAUUAAAACUAUAAAUGUAUUUGAACUAAAUAGAUGAAUCAAACUAAAUCAGAGCAAAAUUAAAAAAAAAAAAGAACUUUCUAACAUGAAAUCAAUUUUAUCAACAAAUAAAUGAAUGAAUAACAAGUAAUUAAAAGAAUAGCUACUACAUGAAUAACUGAAUGAAUAAAAUUCAAAUGUUUUCAAUCUGAAGCAAUCAAUCAAAAUUAAAUAGGGAUCAAAUCAAAAUAAUCGAAAUCGGAAAAACAAUAUGCAAUCUUUCUAAAGGUUUAACCAGACAAUUGAAUUAAAAUUAUGAAUAGAAUAAAUUAAUAAACCAAAUCGAAACCUAAAUUGUACCUAAAAAGAUUAAUUAAUUAAACUAAGAAAUCAAAAUCAAUAACAAAACUAAACUAAGGAGUAAAUUAAGACAAGACUAAUUAAAUUAAACUCACAAACACGUUUUAACUAUCAUAUGGAUUAAAACAAAAUUAGCAUGGACUUAUGAAUUACGAACAAAAAUAAUCAAAACUAUUUUAAAAAACUCACCUCUAUUAUAAGAAAAAAUCUGCCUUUGAUGCGUUGAGGUGGCUCCCCUCUCUGUGUGGAUCUCUCUGCUCCCCAGAAAAAAAAUGUCUCUUCCUCCGUUCUCUUUUGUUUCAGCAAAAUAAUAUAUCCCCUGCUGUGGAUCUCUCUACUCCCAGAAAAUAAUAUAUUCUCUCCGUGUCCUAAAGUGGACCUAGGGUGCCUAAGUGGACCUAGGGUGCCUAAAUGGGCCUAGGGUGCCUAAAUGGGCCAAGUGUAUCUAAAUAGGCUUAGGGUGCCUAAGUGGGCCUAAGUCUAAGUGAGCCUAAGUCUAAAUCAAGACUACCAAGGAUCAUAAUAAGGGGUUAGGCAAUCCCUUAACCAAAGUCUCCAAGGUGGCUAAAAAAAAGUAAGUAGUAUGAGUAGCUAUGGGUCACCAAGGAACUACUGUGGAGCAUUGAAAACGAAUUUAAAGACAUGUGCCAAAGGGACAAAAUUGAGGGUCUACAGAUGGUUAGACACAUAGUUGCUCAUGGGAUAUUUGACUUUGGUAAACAAUUCAGAUUCAUAUGUGGGUUUAGGAAUACCUUUAUUAUGACGGUGUGGUAAUCGUUUCAUGAAUGGAUCAGGUUGCAAAUUAAGAACACCCUCAGCAAACAACGAUUGGUUUGGUAUUUCAGUGAAGACAUCUUCGAACCCAAAUUGUUGACCACUCAUAUCCAACUCACCCGCUUCCUGGUUCACUAGUUCAGAUUGUCCAAAUUCAUCAUUCUCAUAGAUAUGAUAAUCAUAAUCGAGAGUCUGAAUUUCCUUAUGGUACUCCCCCUGAAGUUCAGACUUAGAUGAAAAAUACAUCGAAUAUUCAUGAAACAGCNNNNNNNNNNNNNNNNNNNNNNNNNNNNNNNNNNNNNNNNNNNNNNNNNNNNNNNNNNNNNNNNNNNNNNNNNNNNNNNNNNNNNNNNNNNNNNNNNNNNNNNNNNNNNNNNNNNNNNNNNNNNNNNNNNNNNNNNNNNNNNNNNNNNNNNNNNNNNNNNNNNNNNNNNNNNNNNNNNNNNNNNNNNNNNNNNNNNNNNNNNNNNNNNNNNNNNNNNNNNNNNNNNNNNNNNNNNNNNNNNNNNNNNNNNNNNNNNNNNNNNNNNNNNNNNNNNNNNNNNNNNNNNNNNNNNNNNNNNNNNNNNNNNNNNNNNNNNNNNNNNNNNNNNNNNNNNNNNNNNNNNNNNNNNNNNNNNNNNNNNNNNNNNNNNNNNNNNNNNNNNNNNNNNNNNNNNNNNNNNNNNNNNNNNNNNNNNNNNNNNNNNNNNNNNNNNNNNNNNNNNNNNNNNNNNNNNNNNNNNNNNNNNNNNNNNNNNNNNNNNNNNNNNNNNNNNNNNNNNNNNNNNNNNNNNNNNNNNNNNNNNNNNNNNNNNNNNNNNNNNNNNNNNNNNNNNNNNNNNNNNNNNNNNNNNNNNNNNNNNNNNNNNNNNNNNNNNNNNNNNNNNNNNNNNNNNNNNNNNNNNNNNNNNNNNNNNNNNNNNNNNNNNNNNNNNNNNNNNNNNNNNNNNNNNNNNNNNNNNNNNNNNNNNNNNNNNNNNNNNNNNNNNNNNNNNNNNNNNNNNNNNNNNNNNNNNNNNNNNNNNNNNNNNNNNNNNNNNNNNNNNNNNNNNNNNNNNNNNNNNNNNNNNNNNNNNNNNNNNNNNNNNNNNNNNNNNNNNNNNNNNNNNNNNNNNNNNNNNNNNNNNNNNNNNNNNNNNNNNNNNNNNNNNNNNNNNNNNNNNNNNNNNNNNNNNNNNNNNNNNNNNNNNNNNNNNNNNNNNNNNNNNNNNNNNNNNNNNNNNNNNNNNNNNNNNNNNNNNNNNNNNNNNNNNNNNNNNNNNNNNNNNNNNNNNNNNNNNNNNNNNNNNNNNNNNNNNNNNNNNNNNNNNNNNNNNNNNNNNNNNNNNNNNNNNNNNNNNNNNNNNNNNNNNNNNNNNNNNNNNNNNNNNNNNNNNNNNNNNNNNNNNNNNNNNNNNNNNNNNNNNNNNNNNNNNNNNNNNNNNNNNNNNNNNNNNNNNNNNNNNNNNNNNNNNNNNNNNNNNNNNNNNNNNNNNNNNNNNNNNNNNNNNNNNNNNNNNNNNNNNNNNNNNNNNNNNNNNNNNNNNNNNNNNNNNNNNNNNNNNNNNNNNNNNNNNNNNNNNNNNNNNNNNNNNNNNNNNNNNNNNNNNNNNNNNNNNNNNNNNNNNNNNNNNNNNNNNNNNNNNNNNNNNNNNNNNNNNNNNNNNNNNNNNNNNNNNNNNNNNNNNNNNNNNNNNNNNNNNNNNNNNNNNNNNNNNNNNNNNNNNNNNNNNNNNNNNNNNNNNNNNNNNNNNNNNNNNNNNNNNNNNNNNNNNNNNNNNNNNNNNNNNNNNNNNNNNNNNNNNNNNNNNNNNNNNNNNNAACCAAAGGAAGCAUGUUCCAGACGUCGAUGCCACAACCAAAUUUCAGACUUUUUCUUCUCCUCCUUAGAUCCAUCUGCCAUCAAGGCUUGUUGCAACUUAUUUGAAUCCUUUGAUUGCAAGUCCAAGUAUAGAGUUUCCCCCGCUUAAUACGACAACCAAUCGUCUGUCUUGUUUGAAUGUCCUUAAUCACACAAAAUUCAGGCCAAAAAAUGACAAUACAAGAUAAGGCUGCAGUGAUUUGAGAAACUAACAAAAGAUUGUAAUCUAAAGAUGGAACAACUAAAACAGAAUCCAAAUUCAAAGUAUCAGUAAGAGUUAAGGAUCCUUCCCCAAUGACUGGGGUUGUGUUACCAUUGGCUGUGGAAACAAUUUUUUGUGAGGAAGGUCUAAGGGGUGAAACCUGUCUAGAAUCAAAAGUCAUAUGAUCUGUAGCACCAGAAUCAAUUAUCCAUGCACUAUUAAUAACAGGUGUAAAAGUAUUUAAAAACUUACCACAAUGAUCUGUAGCGGCUACUAAUGCAGAGACUUUCUCAACAACAUUAGUCUUUGUUUUUAUUUCGGUAACAGUUGCAAUCAAGGUUUUCUUGGAAUUCUUCUUCCGUUGAUCACGAUUAUUAUCAUUAAUAACAAAGUGUUGAUAGCCUAAACAUGAUCUAAAGGUCCAUGGUGCAAACCCUCGGUUCCUCAUUGUUUUCCUGGUCAUACCAAGAGUUGUUGCUUUGAAAUUGUGGGAUAUCCAGACUGGUGGGAUCAGUUUUAUUGCAGUGAGUGCAUUUGAAUGUUGACUUAUCAAUAUUAGGGCUUGUCUUCGGAUGGUUGAUUGCUGUUGGACUACCAUAGCGACAAAAUAUCCAGGAUUUCAAUUCCAGGGCUCUGAUACCAUCUUCAAAUUGAUGAAUGAUAGUUUUUCAUUCAUUCUUUCAUGUACAGAGUAUAUAUAGAGGGUAAUCACCAUUCUAAGAAUGGGAAAGAAUGAUACGAGGAAAUAAUGAUAUAAGGAAAUAAUAACUAAUAUCCUAAUAUCUCAACUUUCCUAAUAUCUCAAUAUUCCUAAUAUCUCAACUUUCCUAAUAUCUAAACAUUCAUAAUAUCUCAACACUAAAUGAUACAAGGAAAGAAUGAUAUAAGGAAAACAUUCCUAAUAUCUCAACACCACUUCAUGAUAUAUAUAGUUUCUUACCCUUAAUCAAUGGUUUCUAAGUGAAUUUAUAUAGAAAGAAAUCCAAACUGUAGACAGCAGUAUUGGUAACACUCAAUAUUCUGUAUAUAAUAGAAUAAAUAGCGUCACAGUGAUCGUCGCCUACAAGCAAGGUACAAAUACCACAAAGAGUGACCCACAUAGACAUUCCCCAACAAGAUGUAGUAGUGACUGACACAUAGCCACAAUUAACACGUAGAAAAGGAUAAGACCGGUGCACAGUAGCUCUUAUUUUACAUACUACUUAUGCCAACCAAAGUCACUCAGUUGGGAUGGGAGGGAGAUGGAGGUUUGUGCGGUGGCUUGUGGGGCGGAGUUGAUGGCUUCUUUCCAGGAGCUUCUGGCUUUUUCAUCGGAGCUGAAGGAGGCUCAAUCUUAUGAGGCGGCUUGUACGAGUCUUCUUUGCUCUCGAAAGGAGGGUGGCCAGGGUUGUGACCAUAAUGUGGUGGUUUCUCUCCCUUGGGAGGUUUACCAAUUGGGGUUGGUGGCUUGUGUUCUGGGAGUGGUUUCUCUCCCUUGGGAGGUUUAGUGGGUGACUUGUGUUCUGGAGGUGGCUUCUCCACCGAAGGCUUGUGCUCCGGUGGUGGCUUUUUGGUUGGAGGGGGCUUGGGGUAAUCAGCAAGAGAUGGGGUGGUGAGAACCACCAGUCCAAGGAACAACACUAGCAAGUAUGUGGGAGACAUUUUUGAGUUUGGGCUGAUCAGAUGAUGCAAAACUAAAGCAUUACGUGACCUUUUAUAGCAAGUAGCUCCCAAUACCUACUUGACACGUGUUACUGUGACCCAUAAAUAUUAUGGGGUCUAUUUGUGCCCUACCGGGUUGAAAACUUGGACAAUUGGGCAAGGACCCGCCUGACUAUGGAGGACUACUGAGGUGUGAUCACAGCUUUAGGAUUUUUCUUCCUCUGCAGCCGUCUUGCCGUUGGCAUGAUUUUCUUAAUCUCAAAUAAAGGCAUAGUUAUAGAGUUGUUUAAUCUCUAAAUGGGAUUUUAUAUAUCUUCAGAUAGCCAUUAAUACAUUUGAUGAAGAAAGAAAGACAAGUGCAUACAACAUGUAUACGACUAGCUUUCAUGGAGUUCAUUUAUGAUCAGUUUUCCUGUACAUGUAAACCAAGAUCAUAUAUGUUUUUGUUCCACAACAAUUUUGGAAUCUUGUUUAUCCGUUUUUAUCAUUAUAAUGUCACAUAGGCUGCCAACUUGGGCGCUAAAUUAAAGAUCCAGUUGGGCAAGUUCGUUUCAGAAUUUCAAUGGUGGAUUCAGGAAUUGUUUUAUAAGAUAUGCAAAAUAGUAGAGGGAUGAAUAGUGUUUCAUUAAGAAAAGAGCCCUGUAAAAAUAUUGUUUAAAGGUGCCAUAGAAACUAUAAUCAAUAAAUAACUUUUUUUCCCCAUGGGUGGUGUUUCUUGUGGGGAUCAGUGACUGGUUUGAGUCAACGCCGUGUCUCUUUAGUCCAGAAAUCAACUAUUUUAUGCAUUGAAUACAUCAACAAAGAAAAUAUGAAAGCCAAAUGACACCUCCCCCGCAAAAACUAAACCCUGGUUGCUAACUUUCUAUGUUUCAGUUCCAUUCACACAAGAAUAUUAGUUCAAGUUUGAGAAAAAUGGCGACUUACCUAGUGAUAACUCGGUCUUGGUUUGCGAUUUGACUUUAACGUCAUGGGUUGAAGCCUCCUACAAUCAUCGUGUAUGCUAGUUCAAAGCUCGUGGAAGAAGUUAUACAGGGAGGGAGAAACCUCCACAGCAAGCUCCAAAAGAGAAUUAUCACAUUGAAAGCUCCAGUUGAACACUGGGUGAAAGCCAUAACAAGAUUGGUUUUCUAUCGCUCUUUUAAGUAAUGGAAGAUUAUUAUCUCUGCUUGUCACUACAACCGUGCAUGCUGCUAGAUCUUUCUAGACACUUCAAACAGUGAAACCAAGUAUGAUUCUUUUUCUCUUGAGUGGGUCCACUUGCAUGCCAAUGAACGAGUUGAAAAGUUGGACAAUUGGCCACAGCGCGCACUUACCUUCUGGAACCGAAGGUCAGUGAAGUGGGGUUCCUUUUGGCCCCUUGUGUUUCUGUUCCAACCUACUCCAGGAACCGAAGUUCAGUGAAGUGGGGCUACUUUUGGCCUCUUGUGUUUCUGUUCCAACCAAACAAAAAUGGGAGGGAAAAAUAGCAUUAUGCUUGUGCUAAAGAUCAACGCAUGAUAGCUGAAUAAGGGAGAAAAAGGCAUUGCUAUCUCAAUUUCAUAAACUUGAUAAGUAGUGACAUUAAUAGUCUUCCUCAUAGAUGGAUACAUGGUUUUAUUUUAUUUAUUUAUUUUUAUUUUUUUGUUUUAUGUCAAUGCUAAUGAAUGAAGUGCAUUAGCUUGUUUUGUGACUAGAACUACAAAUGUCCAAAUUGGAGCUUCUCCAAUAUAUUUCUCAGUGAGUUAUUGAUUAGAACUCUUGGAUUGAGUUCCAAGAUUUGAAUCAGACCCCUCUAGCAGCUUCAGGGGUACGUAGCAACCUAUAGCAUAUUAAUGAAGACUUAGGAUUUAGACUUAGGAAUACAAAUUAAUAUGUACCUCAUGCUCUGACUAGCUUCCCUGCGUAUGCACAAAAUGGAGAUGACUCCCAAAAAAAUAGCAGAAUCGCCUUAGUAUGUUUUUGUGGUUAAGAUGAUUCUCCACUUUAUAUAUCCACAUUGGUUCAUUAUGCAAAUUAAUCAACUAAGCUAUUUUUAUUUUUUCUUAAAUGUGAAAUAGGAGCUCCAAAUUAACCUAACCAUUGGCCUGAUUGAAUUGAUUUCACUUGCAUAAUGUUAUAGUAGAAGUCCGUAAUUUGAAUUUUAUUUUUGCAAAAGGUAACGUAAAUGAAGCAUUGUAAUUAAAUUUAUUUGUAAUUACAAACUAAUUUUAUUUUAUUAAGAAUUAAUUUAAUUACUCAUUUAAAAUAAAAAUCAGUUAUACUUUUACCAAGAUGAUAAUAUUCAUAUUUUUCUAGUUAACAUAUAUAAAAUAGUACACUUUUUCAUAUAAAAAAAUAAUUUAUGAUUUAUUAUAAUGUUACUAUUCACAUUUUACUAAAUUGAUGGUACAUGAUAGUGAGAGAAGGGGGUGUCACACUCAGCUAAAGUUCUUUUCAAAAUAUUGCAUGGUGUUUAAUUUUAUGUGUCGGCGCGCGUGUGAAUGGAACCUGCAAAAGUCCAAAUUGGCGUUUCUCCAUUUUCCACAUAGGAUGGUGACGUUAAUAGACAAAGAUACAAUAUCUGUAGACAUUGCUUAAAAAUCGAUGUGAAGUAUUAGAAAUUACAGGGCACUGUACUGGGGGAGCGGCUGCCCCGCCAAAGGAGGAAGAAUGUAGCAAUUUCUUCUGUUAGCCAGGCCUUAGGAUUUAUGCAUGGGAUGCCUAAUAACAAACAGAGAAAAUAUACUUUUGGGGAAGGUAUCCAACAACAGACACCAUCAUUCAGAUGGUGGGAAGGUAUCCAACAGAUGCCAUCAUUCAGAUGGUAACAUAUAUAUACAUUUAUUAGUGAGUUUUUUUAAUACCUAUAAAAAAAAAUAUACACUUUGAUAUUGUGGCUGAAUCCAUUACAUACUCAACUAACCUUGCUCAUUAGGGAUUUGACUUAACAAGGGCAACGUUGCAGUACAAGCUCAAAACUUUAUGCAGGUGACAUUACAUUUGGUAAAGAAGAGGAAAAUAACGAAAGCCAUCCAUAAAAGCAAAAUUCCACAUGGGAUGAAAUUCACAAGCUUCAUUUACGAUAGAGUCGCAUCCAGGCAAUUAAUUCCACAUUAGACCGCCUGUUGACAUGUGUACCAAUCUUUUUUCAAAAAAUAUUUAUAAAUAAUUGAUACUCACAAAAAUAAUUUAAUAUUUAUAAAGGAUAAAAAAAUAUUUUCAAAUCUAUAACAAUUUAUAAAAUAUUAAUAAAAAAUUAUCUCUUAAACUUAGUAUAGUUUUAUCAGAUUAAACUUUUAUUUUGAACAAAUAAUUUUAAUCUAAGUUUUAAAUUCUAAAAUUAUUUCCUUAAAAUAAAAUUUUAAAAUUCAACACUUCAAUUGAAAUUGUCUUUUUAAAAAAUAUCUUCUUAUUUUAAUCCUUAUAAACUAUAGUUGAUUGAAAAUACUAUUGAAGUUCUCUCUUAAAAAAAAGUCUUAUUUUAAUCUUCAUAAAUUGCCCUUGAUUUGAAAAUAAAUUUUCAGUUAUCAUAUUUUAAAUAAUAUCUAUAUUUAAAAUACUCUAUUUAAAAAAAAAUGAACUAAUUUUAAUUAUAUUAUAUUUUAUUUUUUUAUAUAUUUUUAAUGAUAAACCAAACAUAGAAAAUCAUUUUUCUAAAUAUUUUAAAAUUUCUAAGCAACCAAACAUAAUCUUCAAAAUAAAAGGAAAAUAAGGAGGGACAUUUGAGAAAUGGCGAUUAAAAAAAAGUGUACAAAAGCUCAAUUAAUUUUCUUCUAGUCUUUUAUAUAAAAAAGUAAAGGAAUUGAAAAGUAUUGAUAUGUAAAUUAAUAUUUGGAUUUUAAUAGUAUUUUAUUUGUCUUUCUCUAUCUCAUGUAAAAGAGAAUUUAAGAUAUUUCCUAAAGCAAAGCAUUAGUUAUCUGCAAUCAGUGGUGAUCAUGCCCCAUGUCAAUUUCGGACCCAUAUCUUAAAACUGUAUAAUUUGCAUUCAAACAUUACUGAUUUCUCAGAUGUUUCAUACUCCACAGAAGAGCAUUGUUUGUGAAAGCAUGCAUUUAUGUUGGAUUUUGGAUGAUGUGGGAACUGGGGCAAGGAUCAUAUGGAAGAGUGGUCGAUUUUGUUCUGUACUUUAACAUUUGAAAUAGGAGAAGCUCGGGCAUUUGUGGGGCUUAAUUGAUUUUGAAGCCUGAAAUUGCGUUUCUGUCAUUUUGUAAAAAAUAUGGCAGAUUCCAUGCUCUCAUAUGUUUGGUCUGUGGCCAUGUAUAGAUGCCCCUUAGUGACCAGUUUGUAACUGUCAAUCAUAGUGUUUUGACUCUGGCUCAACAACAUCAGCCAUUGACGGAUUUUCAUACUUGCAAAUCAAAUAGUCUUCUUCCUCCCUUAGGAAUUUCGGUUUAAAUGUUAUUAAGCAUACAUUUGGCUGACAAUUAUUAACCACUUCAUGAUAUGGUUUCUUACCCUUAAUCAAUGGUUUCUAAGUGAAUAUAUGCAGAAGGAAAUCUGAACUGUAGACAGCAGUAUUGAUAACUCUCAAUAUUCUUUAUAUAAGAGAAUAAACAACGUCAUAGUGAUCGUCGCCUACAAGAAAGGUACAUUUCCCAACAAGAUGUAGUUGUGACUGGUACAUGGACGCAAUUAACUCGUACAAAAGAAUAAGACCAGUGCACGGCAGCUCUUAUUUUACAUGCUAAUUAUGCUAACCAAAGUCACUCAGUUGGGAUGGGAGGGAGAUGGAGGUUUGUGCGGUGGCUUGUGGGGCGGAGUUGGUGGCUUCUUUUCAGGAGCUUGUGGCUUUUUCGGAGCUGAAGGAGGCUCAAUCUUAUGAGGCGGCUUGUACGAGUCUUCUUUACUCUCGACAGGAGGGUGGCCAGGGUUGUGACCAUAAUGUGGUGGCUUCUCUCCCUUAGGUGGCUUGCCAACUGGGGUUGGUGGCUUGUGUUCAGGAAGUGGUUUCUCUCCCUUGGGAGGUUUACCAAUUGGGGUUGGUGGCUUGUGUUCUGGGAGUGGUUUCUCUCCCUUGGGAGGUUUAGUGGGUGACUUGUGUUCUGGAGGUGGCUUCUCCACCGGAGGCUUGUGCUCCGGUGGUGGCUUCUCCACCGGAGGCUUGUGCUCCGGUGGUGGCUUCUUGAUUGGAGGGGGCUUGGGGUAAUCAGCAAGAGAUGGGAUGGUGAGAACCACCACUCCAAGGAACAACACUAGCAAGUAUGUGGGAGACAUUUCUGAGUUUGAGCUGAUCAGAUGAUGCAAAACUAGAAGAAUUACGGGACCUUUUAUAGCAAGUAUCUCCCAAUACCCACAUGACACGUGUUACUAUGACCAUAAAUAUUAUAGGGUCCAUUUGUGCCCUACCGGGUUGAAAACUUGGACGCUUGGCCGAGGACACACCUGACUAUGGAGGACUAUUGACGUGUGAUCACAGCUUUUGGAUUUUUCUUCCUGUGCAGCUGUCUAGCGGUUGGCAUUAUUUUCUUAAUCUUAAAUAAAGGCAUAGUUAUAGAGUUGUUUAAUCUCUAAAUGGGAUUUUAUAUAUCUUCAGAUAGCCAUUAAUAUAUUUGAUGAAGAAAGACAAGUGCAUACAACAUGUAUACGGCUUGCUUCAAUCGAGUACAUUUAUGAUCAGUUUUCCUGUGCAAGUAAACCAGUUUUUUGUUCCACAACUAUUUUGGAAUCUUGUUUAUCAGUUUCUAUCAUUAUAAUGUCACAUAGGCUGCAAACUUGGGCACCCAAAGAUCUAGGUGGGCAAAUUUGUUUCAGACUUUCAAUGGUGGAUUCAGUAAUUGUUAAAAGGUGUUUCUUCAUUAAGGAAAGAGUCCGGUAAAAAUAUUGUUAAAAGGUGUCAUAGAAACUAUAAUAAAUAAAUAACUUCUUUUCCCCAUGGGUGGUGUUUCUUCUGGGGAUCAGUGACUGGUUAGGGUCACCCAAAAUGAGUCCAGAUUAAAAUUGGUUCGAGUCAAAGCAGUCUCUUUUGUCCAGAAAUCAACUAUUUUGCGCAUUGAAUGAAUCGAUAAAGAAAAAAUGAAAGCCAAAUCACACCUCCCCUGCAAAACCUAAACCCCGGUUGCUAACUUUCUAUGUUUCAGUCCUAUUCAUAUAGGAAUAUUGGUUCAAGUUUGAGAAAAAUGGCAACUUACCUAGGGUUUACUUGGUUUUGGUUUGCGACUAUUUACGCAACCAACCAUGAGUUUGACUUUAACGUCAUGGGUUGAAGCCUCCUACAAUCAUGUAUGAUAGUUCAAAGCUCGUGGAAGAAAUUAUACAGGAAGGAAGAAACCUCCAAAGCUAGCUCCAAAAGAGAAUUAUCACAUCGAUAGCUCCAGAGAUUCCCAAGGGAACUGAAUCAAAGACAAGUUCCUCACUUUUUCUUCUUUUGAGGCCAAAUAUGAACCAAGGAUCACACGACCUCAUUCAACUUCAUAAGUUUGAUUUCAUGCAGUUGAACACUGGGUGAAGGCCAUGACAAGAAUUGAUUAAAAAAUUCUACCACUCUUUUAAGUAAUGGAAGAUUAUUAUCUCUGAUUGGCACCACAACAGCACAUGCUGCUAGAUCUUUCUAGACACUCCAUGCAAUGAAAGCACAAUGGAUCUUGUAAUGAUAGAAACUAAGCCAUGCUACAGUACUAGAUGAGGGGGUAAAACUAGUAGACAUCUUUCUAGACACUCCAUGCAAUGAAAGCACAAUGGAUCUUGUAAUGAUAGAAACUAAGCCAUGCUACAGUACUAGAUGAGGUGGUAAAACUAGUAGACAUGGCUGGCAGUUGAUUACUACUCAAAAAGUACUCUUUUAUAGCUUGAAACUAACUGUUUUAAACACUUUUGAGUAGUAGUUAAUACCUUUUAACUUAAUUGGCACAUUAAGGAACCUAGCAAGGGUUACUAAUCAACAUUUGGCAAGUUUUGAUGUUUUUGGUAGCUAUUUGAUCAUUGAAACAAGCCAAGAAUGAGGGGGAAUUUUGUGAAGUCCAUGGCAAUGCAAGUUAAAGCUCAAAUACAUGAAGAAUCCAAGCUUUGGAGCACUUCAUAGCCCUUUGCCAAGCCAAUCAAAGAUGCAAGGAAGAAAACCAAAGGAAGAAAUCCAACAAUCAGCAUUUUGGCAUGGCUAUGUGAAAUUUCGCACACCAUGCGAAACCACAAGAGGCAGCCAAAGAAUUUCGCAUGGUAUGCGAAAUCUUCUUGUGCACUGACUCUGUUAGAUUUUUAUCUUCAGAUAUUUUGUGUAAUUUCCUAGUUUCUCCUUGUAACCAACUUAGAUAUUUUCUUUUAUAUCUUUUUUUAUAUUUUUUAGGUAACAUCAUAUAUAAGAGGAGAGACAUAAGGAGGAUAUGGAUGUUUUUCAUAGAACACUUGUAAAUUUUUGGUAGUAAGAAAUAUACAAAGCUUUUUGCUCUGCCUUACCUUCUCAAGGGAUGAGUGGCUAGGUUUUCUUGGAGUGAGGGAAGCUAGGUGAAGGACCUGAAUGCAAAGGUGGGAGUUUUCCUUACUUUAAAUGAAAGUAGUUGUUAAACAUUAAUGGUUUUUAUUUUAAGGUUUAGCUUUAAAUCCCUGAAAAACACCUUGAAUGGCCAAUACUUGGUAAGCUUUUUAGAUUCUAUGGAUGCUUAUUGCUAGAUCCAUGGAUGUCUAUUAGUUAUCAUUUACGAGCCAUUGGAAGGUGAUUCAAGGUGAGGGUCUUUAGUGUUUGAAGCCAUUAAUGGGAAGCAAUUACCAUUUUUUCAUGAAUCCUUUGGAUCAAAUCUUAAUUGCUAAAUAUAAAACCGGUUUCGAGAGAUAACCACCAUCCUUUAUGUUAUUAUCCCCAACGCGAGGAGAAGAUCCGAAAUCUUCCUUUUUAUCUAAGGAACCCGAUCCUAGUGACCUAAAGCUCCAAGAUACCUUUUCUUUGUAGUUAACUUCAUUUAUUGUUUUUGCUUAACUUAAAAUCAAUCUUUGCAACCACAAUUCCAUUUUCUUUAAAAGCUAAUUUUUAUAAGGAAAAACACCAUUUUAUUUCCUUCACUAAGUCAACUGUACGAUGAAAACCCAUCCCUGUGGACGAUCCUAGAGCCACUAUACUAUGUUAGCUAUGCUACCCUAGUGUGAGGUGAUUUAGGUUUUAUAAAUUUUUUUGAUAACACCCAUCUGAGCCAGAAUCAAAUGGCACGACUGAACCAGGGACGAAUCAAAUGACGCCGCUACCAAGGAUGGUGCCAAAGUACAUUGACAUGACUUUUGGUGAACACUUGUGAUCUUCACCACAAGUUUGGUGAUUUUUCUUUUACUAAUUUUUUUUAUUUUAGCUUAUCUUUUAUUUAGUUUUUAGUUAACCUUAAAUUUUUCCUAGAAUUGUAUUUCUUUUGUUUUCUUUGUUUUUGUUUCAGUGAUCUUUAGUUGUGCAUGCCCUAUUGGAUAAGAGAUAUUGAGGGAAUACUUGUGAAGAUUGAAACUCCUCGAGAAACUGAGUUAGAAGUGUGCUUGAACAUCAUGGAUGUUCCACCUGAAGACCAGAAUAGCCAACAUGGUUAAGAGGAUAAUUUCAACACAUACCGAUCCAUGAGGAACCGCAUACAUCCACCUUGUAUGAGUGCACCGUCAGGCAUAAUGCCUCCCACUGAGCAGCUAGUAAUCUGACCUCACAUUGUGCCACUCCUACCUACUUUCCAUGGGAUGGAGAGUGAGAAUCCCUACUCGCAUAUUAAGGAAUUCGAGGAGGUUUGUAAUACAUUCCAAGAAGGAGGAGCUUCAAUUGACUUGAUGAGGCUCAAGCUAUUUCCUUUCACUUUGAAGGAUAAGGCCAAGAUUUGGCUUAAUUCUUUAAGGCCAAGAAGUAUCCAAACUUGGAUUGAUUUGUAAGCCGAGUUUCUUAAGAAGUUCUUCCCUACCCAUAGGACCAAUGGUUUGAAAAGGCAAAAUUUGAACUUCUCAGUUAAAGAGAAUGAGAAAUUCUAUGAGUGUUGGGAGAGCUACAUGGAAGCUAUUAACGUUUGUCCUCACCAUGGCUUUGACACAUGGCUCUUAGUGAGCUAUUUUUACAAUGGUAUGUCUUCUUCAAUGAAGCAACUCCUAGAAACUAUGUGUGGAGGAGACUUCAUGAGUAAGAAUCCGGAGGAAGCCAUGGACUUUUUGAGUUAUGUGGCUGAAGUUUCAAGAGGAUGGGAUGAACCAAAUGCUAGAGAGGUGGGAAGAAUGAAGUCUCAACCUAAUGCUAAGGGUGAGAUGUAUGUUUUGAAUGAAGACAUUGACAUGAAAGCAAAGGUUGCAGCUAUGGCAAGGAGAUUGGAAGAGCUAGAAAUGAAGAACAUACAAAAAGUGCAAGCCAUUUCUGAGACAUCAAUGAAAGCUAUGCCUUGUUCCAUUUGUCAAUCUUAUAAGCACCUAGUGGAGGAGUGUCCUACAAUUCCAGCAGUGAGAGAGAUGUUUGGUGAUCAAGCAAAUGUUAUUGAUCAAUUCAAGCCUAAUAACAAUGCUUCAUAUGGCAACACCUACAAUUCAAAUUGGAGGAACCAUUCAAAUUUCUCUUGGAAACGAAAGCCACCUCAAUACACACAACCUACUCAAGCACCUUAGCAAUCCUCGAAUCUUGAACAAGCUAUUGUGAACCUUAGCAAGGUUGUGGGAGACUUUGUGGGAGAUCAGAAGUCCAUCAAUGCUCAACUGAAUCGGAGAAUUGACAGUGUGGAGAGUACAUUGAACAAAAGGAUGGAUGAGAUGUAAAAUGAUCUGUCUCAAAAGAUAGACAAUGUCCAAUACGUAAUCUCAAGGCUUACCAACCUCAACACAGUGUAAGAGAAAGGAAAGUUUCCUUCUCAACCUCAUCAAAAUCCUAAGGGUAUCCAUGAAGUAGAGGCUCAAGAGGGAGAAUCUUCAAAGGUGAGGGAAGUCAAAGUAGUUAUCACCUUGAAGAGUGGUAAAGAGGUUGAUCAACCCACAUCCAAGCCAAAGCAUAAUGAAGAGAGUGUAGCAGAAAAAGAAAAGAGAGGAAAAUAAAGGAAUUAGAAUAGAGAAAAAUACAAAGAAAGAUGACCAUGAGUCUAGUGUGGAUGAAGAGCCCGAGAGGAUGGUGAUCAAGGAAGAUAUGAUGAAGAAACACAUGCCUCCACCUUUCCCCUAAGCUUUGCAUGACAAAAAAAGAACCAAUAAUACAUCAGAAAAUUUUGAAGUAUUGAGGCAAGUGAAGGUCAAUAUCCCUUUGCUAGACAUGAUCAAACAAGUGUCGACAUAUGAAAAAUUCUUGAAGGACUUGUGCACUGUAAAGAGAGGGUUGAAUGUGAACAAGAAAGCUUUAUUGACCGAGCAAGUGAGUUCCAUCAUACAGUGCAAGUCCUAGUGAAGUACAAAGAUCCGGGUUGCCGUACCAUCUCAGUGAGUAUUGGAAGGACUUGUGUGGAGAAAGCUUUGUUGGACUUGGGAGCAAGUGUGAAUUUGCUAUCCUACUCUGUCUAUAAGCAGUUGGGAUUUGGAGAGUUGAAGCCAAUAUCCAUCACUCUAUCUCUAGCGGAUAGAUCAAUGAAGAUUCCAAGAGGGAUGAUCGAAGAUGUCCUGGUUCAAGUUAACAAAUUCUACUAUCCAGUAGAUUUUGUUGUUCUUGAUAUGGAUCCGGUUGUCAAAUGAACUAAUUAUGUUCCUAUCAUACUUGGAAGACCCUUCCUAGCUACAUCAAAUGCAAUCAUCAAUUGUAGGAAUGGAGUCAUGCAACUCACAUUUGUCAACAUGACAUUAGAGCUCAACAUCUUCCAUUUGUACAAGAAGCAUAUCCAUCAGGAGGAAAAAGAAGGUCUAGAGGAAGUGUGAAUGAUUGACACUUUAGUGGAAGAGCAUUGUGAUCGAGAAUGCAAAAAGAUUUAGUUGAGAAUUUUGGGGAUCUUGAUGAAAGGUUACUUGAACCCUCAGAUUUGCUUGCUACCCUACUCCAUUGGAAGAGAAGAGAAGAAAUUCUACCCUUAUUCAAUGAGGAGGAGACGCAAAGAGCUGCAAAGGAGAAACCCCCAAAACUUAUUCUUAAGCCACUACCCACAGAGUUGAAGUAUGUAUACUUGGAAGAAGACAAGAAGUGCCCUAUUGUUAUAUCUUCAACUCUUACCAUUCAUCAGGAGGAUUGUCUACUUGAAGUCCUUAGAAGAUGUAAGAAGACAAUAAGGUGGCUAAUUUCUUAUUUGAAAGGGAUCAGCCCUUUAGUCUGCACCCAUCAUAUUUACAUGGAGGAUGAAGCUAAGCUAAUUCAUCAACCUCAGAGAAGGUUGAACCCUCACAUGCAAGAGGUGGUUCGAGCUGAAGUUCUGAAGCUACUUCAGACCAGUAUUAUUUACCCCAUAUCAAAUAGCCCAUGGGUGAGUCCUACUCAAGUUGCGCCAAAGAAGUCUGGGAUCAUGGUGGUGCAAAAUGAUAAGGGAGAAGAUGUCUCUACACGCCUCACUACAGGUUGGAGGGUGUGUAUCAAUUACAGGAGGUUGAAUGCAGUGAUAAGAAAGGACCAUUUCUCAUUGCCCUUUAUUGAUCAGGUGCUUGAGAGGGUCUCUGGGCUUUUUUUUUUAUUGUUUCUUGGAUGGCUACUCCGGGUACUUUCAGAUAGAAAUUGAUGUUGAAAACCAAGAUAAGACCAUUUUCACAUGCCCAUUUGGAACCUAUGCAUAAAGGAGAAUGCCUUUCGGCUUAUGCAAUGCACCCGCAACUUUCCAAAGAUGCAUGUUAAGCAUUUUCAGUGAUAUGGUGGAGCGUAUUAUGGAAGUCUUUAUGGAUGAUAUCACCAUUUAUGGAAGUGCAUUUGAUGAAUGCUUGGUCAACUUAGAAGCUGUUCUGAACCGAUACAUUGAGAAAGACUUAGUGCUUAACUGGGAGAAGUGCCAUUUCAUGGUACACCAAGGGAUUGUCCUUGGGCACAUUAUCUCCAAGCAAGGCAUUGAAGUUGACAAAGCAAAGGUUGAACUCAUUGUUAAGUUGCCAUCCUCAACAAAUGUCAAAGGAGUAAGGCAAUUCUUUGGCCAUGUCGGGUUCUAUAGGAGGUUUAUCAAGGAUUUCUCUAAGCUUGCAAGGCCUCUUUGUGAAAUAUUGGUGAAUGAUGUUAAAUUCAUAUGGGAUGAUGGAUUUGAAAGGAGUUUUGAAGAAUUGAAGCUAUUUUUGACAACCGUACCAAUAGUGAGGGCUCCCAACUGGCAACUGCCCUUUGAAGUAAUGUGUGAUGUCAAUGAUUUUGCUAUAGGAUUUUUUCUUGGGCAAAGAGAAAAUGGAAAACCUUAUGUGAUCUACUAUGCGAGGAAGGCAUUGAAUGAGGCACAAAGAAACUACACAACCACCGAGAAAGAAUUGUUAGCUGUAGUUUUUGCCUUGGAUAAGUUUCGCGCUUACUUGGUGGGGUCCUUCAUCAUGGUUUUUACUGAUCACUUUGCUUUGAAGUAUCUGUUGACUAAGCAAGAUGCUAAAGCAAGGCUGAUUAGAUGGAUUCUCUUACUUCAAGAGUUCAAUCUCCAUAUCAAAGAUAAGAAAGGAGUGGAGAAUGUGGUAGCAGACCACAUUUCAAGGCUAGCUAUCGCACAUAAUUCCCAUGCUUUGCCCAUUAAUGACGAUUUUCUAGAGGGGUCUCUCAUGUUGGUGGAAGUUGUCCCUUGGUACGCUCACAUUGCUAACUACCUGGUCACGGGAAAAGUUCCAAGUGAGUGGAAAGCACAAGAUAAGAAGCACUUCUUUGCAAAAAUUCAUGCCUACUAUUGGGAAGAGCCAUUUCUAUUCAAGUAUUGUAUGGAUCAGAUAAUAAGGAAGUGCGUUCCUGAAGAAGAGCAACAGGGGAUCCUUAGUCAUUACCAUGAAAAUGCAUGUGGAGGCCACUUUGCUUAUCAAAAGACAGCCAUGAGGGUGUUGCAAUCGGGUUUCUGUUGGCCAUCACUUUUCAAAGAUGCCCACACCAUGUGCAAGAGUUGUGAUCGAUGCCAGAGGCUUGGGAAGUUGACACGCAGGAACAUGAUGCCUUUGAACCCCACUUUAAUAGUUGAUAUUUUUUAUGUUUGGGGCACUAACUUCAUGGGACCUUUCCCUAUGUCUUUUGGCUACUCUUACAUCUUGGUAGGAGUAGAUUAUGUUUCUAAGUGGGUUGAGGCAGUCCCAUGCAAACACAAUGACCAUAGAGUGGUUCUCAAGUUUCUUAAAGAGAAUAUCUUCUCAAGAUUUGGGGUGCCCAAAGCCAUAAUUAGUGAUGGGGGUACUCAUUUUUGCAACAAGCCUUUUGAAACUCUCCUAGCCAAGUAUGGGGUGAAGCAUAAGGUAGCUACACCUUACCACCCUCAAACUCAUGGACAAGUUGAGUUAGCAAACAGGGAGAUUAAAAACAUAUUGAUGAAGGUGGUGAACACAAACAGAAAAGAUUGGUCAGUCAAGCUUCUUAAUUCACUAUGGGCAUAUAGAACAACUUACAAGACCAUUCUCGGGAUGUCUCCUUAUCGCCUAGUUUAUGGCAAAGCAUGCCAUCUCCCUGUGGAAUUGGAAUACAAAGCUUGGUGGGCAAUCAAGAAGCUCAACAUGGAUUUGAGCAGAGCUGGGUUGAAGAGGUUCUUAGACCUUAAUGAGAUGGAGAAAUUGAGAAAUGAUGCCUACAUCAAUUCAAAAAUUGCAAAAGAAAAAUUGAAGAGGUGGCAUGAUCAGUUGAUUUCCCGCAAGGAUUUUCAAAAUGGACAAAGAGUCUUACUUUAUGACUCUAAACUCCACAUCUUUCCGGGCAAGCUGAAAUCAAGGUGGAUAGGUCAUUUUACCAUUCACCAAGUGCAUUCAAAUGGAGUAGUGGAACUACUCAACUCCAACAAUAUCGAGAACUUCAAAGUGAAUGGCCACCGUCUCAAGCCCUUUGUGGAGUCUUUUUCUCACAACAAGGAGAAAUUCAUCCUCCUUGAUCCACAUCAAGCUUAACAAGACCAAUUUUCUUGAUGGACUUAGUCUUUCUAAAGACUAUCGAGUCCAUAACUUUUUGUUUUAUUUUUUAUUUGAGAUUUUUUCGGUAUUGUUACUUGUUUUGUUUUUUAUUUUUCGUUUUAAUUUUAUUUGGUUUGAUUUAACUUAGGUUUUUGAUGAUCAAUUACAGGGGGGAUUUCAAAUAGAGGAAAAACCAAGAUAAUUCGCACACCCUACGAAAAUUUCGCAAGGCAUGCGAAAUUUAUGGCUUAUUUUGCAUGGGGUGAAAAUUUUCGUACAUCUUACGAACCAAUUUCGAACACUUUGCGAAAAUAAACCAACCCUGCGAAAUCAUUUCGAUUACUCUACGAAAUUUUCGUAGAGCAUGCGAAAAAUUUAGCACACCAAACACCAUUUCGCAUACUAUGCAAAAACCUAAGGGGUCUGCGAAACCAUUUCGCACCUCCAAAUCCAUUUCGCACAUUGUGCGAAAACCAAGAGGCGCUGUGCGAAAAUGAAAAGUCGCCCUGUCAUCCCUUUUUAAACCCCUCGAGCCCUAAAAUCUCCAUUUCGCAAGCACCCCUGUCCUUGCGAAUCCCUCAUUUUCCUCUACUACCUUGCAACCUCGUCCCUUUCCAUUUGAUAUUGUGCCCCGCGCACAUCUCAUUUCAGAGACUCGCACUCCGCGCCCCCUCAAAGCAUGGACUCGAGACCCACCUUCCAUUUCCGACGUGGCACGGACCCAAGGAGCCCUUUCUGCCCCUUCACUAAGACACACACCAAGGCAGAAAGCCUCCUUUGCUCAAGUGCCUAGUGAUUCUCCAUCUUAGGCCUCAGAGGCCUCGGAGGCCCCGUGGAUUCCACCUUCCGAGGGUAGAGCAGCCAUUGGUCCUUCCUCUUCUACUCCUUAGCGUAGAUACGAGACGAGGAGACCACCUACUACACAAGGGGCGACUACUUCGAGCCUUGAGAAUUCAGUACGAUGCCUUCCUGCCAAGAGGGUCAAGACUUCAGGUCCAAGUGAGUCAUCCAGAGCUUCAUAGCCUAAGCCUCCUGUAGAUUCCAAGGUUCCUACUGACAUAUCACCGGAGUCUAUUAUCAGAAGCCCGAUGCUCAUAGCACCGCCCAUUGAGGGCAACUCAGAUUAUAGAGCGAGAUCUUUCCACUUGGAGCUAUAUUUUGAUCAGGAGGCCAUACGACAGCAGCCUGAGCUCCGAGACUCUUAUGGCUUACUGCAGAGGUACCAUCUUGAGGAACUUAUGACUCCUCGUGAGUUUUUUUAUCCCAGAGUAGCACUAAACUUUUACCAGUCCAUGACUACUCGUGGCGUCCCGAGUCCUACCACGAUUCACUUCACCAUUGAUAGACGUCAUGGUAUCCUCAAGGCCAGACAUAUUACAGAGGCUCUACAAAUUCCUUUCGAGCUAGAGGAUCCAUCUGUUUUUCGCUAAUGGUCCCCAGUAUCUCAGAGGGACAUGGUCCGUAUUUUAUCUAGGGGAACAUCUACAGAUUCGAUCUUUCUACGGAAGGAGCUUCGACCUGGGAUGCUCCUCUUAGAUGUGGUGCUAUGCUCCAACCUCUUUCCCUUACAACAUUCGGUACAUAGGUGAUGAGCUAUUUUGGACGCUUUAUUCCGUAUAUCAGAGGGCUUCUACUUUGGCCCGCACCACUUGAUCAUGGUCUCCCUCAUCCACUUUGAGGAGAAGGUUCAUAGGAAGAAGCUUCAGAGGGUGGACACCAUUCCAUUACUAUUCCUGAGGUUACUUUGCCAGGUCUUGGAGUACAUGGGCUUUCCUACUGAGCCUCGGCUCGAGCUUUGCCGCCUUUGUCGAGAGUGAUCCACUCUCGACAAAUGGAAUUAGUUGGCGGGCUAUUCUGCACCUCCAGGAGCCCCUCCCAUGGUAGCACCUCCAAUGUCCCCACAGGCAAAGUAGGGCGAGCUCCCGGCAAAGACUGUACCACCAAUGCCCACACUUGAGGCUAUUUCUGCUGCUCUGCCUAUGACUCCUACUGUUCCACCAGUUGGUCCUUUUACAUCCGAGCCUUCCAUCACCAUCUCGGCUUCGGAGUUUCGCGCCCUUGUGCAUACCUUUCAGACACUCACCACCACACAUACUCCUCUCUUCUAGCAAAUGGUUGAGAUGUGUGCCCAUCAGGACCGGAAGACUACUAUACUCUGCCAAAUUCAGCAGCACCUAAGACUUUUGCCUCAACCUCAACCUAACCAUCCCAUAUCAUCAGAGCCUCUAGCUCCAACUGAGGAUACUAUUCCACCUGAGAACACUACCACAGUAGAGGUCCGGUUUCCACCACCUUAAGAGGCCACCACAGCUACAUCAGAGGAUGUGUCAUCUCCACUUGAGGCUCCCACUACUUGAUCAUAGGACAUAUCUUUAUCUUAUUGUAUUUACAUAUUAUAUUACUAGAGAUUUGUCCUUGUUUUGAUACUUUAUAUUCUGGGAUUGGAUGUAUUGCCUGAUGAUAUCUCAAUUGUACUUUCUCAUAUUAAUAUAUAGACAUCAAUUUUUUUUAGUAUACUUAGCAUUUUUCUAUUUCCUCUACUCAUUACUCUUUUGUUUUUUUUUACUCAUGUGGUUUCUCUUAUACAACUCAGACUCCAUUUCACUCAGGAGGUACCACUUCCUCCCUUUAUUUUCAAUUGCUCUUGAAAUAUUGAGUGCAAUGUUGAUCUUGGUUGGGGGGAGAGUUGAGGAAGGAAGUUUUGUUAAUAAUGCUAGGUUAAUUUGUUAAUUUAGUUACUUUCUGCUUAAUUUUAAAAGUUUUCACUCUACUUUCCAUGGUUAUUAAGGAAAAAUUCUCAAAAUGAAAUGGGAGAAAUCGAAUUCUUGCAUUUUUACUUGAAUCUUAGAAUUUGUAUCAUGCUUAUUAAAGUUGAUGAAUUAUUGAAACUCCUAUUGAAUUCAACCUUAUUUUUUCCACUUUAAUCUUACCACACACGGUGCACAUUAGGUUCCAGUUAUAAGAUAAAAAACUAUCUCACCCCCUAAACUUAGAAAAAUUUACACUUGGUACCUUUGACAUCGUUUUAAUAGUGUUGGGACACCUUAUAAAAGGCCAAUGAGCCUUUAAAAAAAAAAAAAAAAAAAAAAAGAGAAAGAACAAAGUAUUGCACUUGCCUUGAAACCUGAGCAAGAUCCGAGGGGUAUACAGUGAAAGUCUUUAAAACCUGGUGCCCUAAGCCUUGAUUGGUUGGGAGUCACCGACCUCAAUGCUCGUUAUAAGGGUGAAUAGGUGGAGUUUAACAUAUUGUAGGUGCUUGGGUAUUGAAUUUCAAUCUCAAAAGUCCGGGAAAAAAUCUAAGGAGUUAGUGGUCAAAAGAUCCUUAAAGCUUGAUGCCCUAAACCUUGAUUGGUUGAGAGUCAUUGAUGGAUCCCCGCUACAUGGACAUUUUAGAAAACAAUACCUUUAGCAUUGCACGCCUACAAUGAAAAAAAAAUGUGAAAUAAAAGAGGUGCGUUCUUAGCCUAUUGGAGGUUGGUCAGUUUGCUAAAGUUUGAGAAAUCUAGGUUGGGGGGAGAGAAUAGUCCGACAUACUAUAAUAAAAAACUAAUAACCUUAACACUUAGAUUUUUGUGGAAGAGUAAGGAUUGGACCUUUAGGGGUGGAAAUUCUUUUGAUGCUUAAAUUUGCAUAAUGCCUACUCUUUAUAAAUUAUGAUUAGGCAAGAGAUUUGAUGACUCUUGUUCAAAGUUGGGUUUUUCCUCUUUGAUGUUCCAUGAGAGAGUAUAAUCCUCAUCAUGCCACUUGAAAUCUUUUUGGAGUGAUUAACAUGAUUUUGUAAAUUAUUUUACUGUCUAUUUUUCUUUAUCUCUCUUUUAUUGCUAAUGGACUAGCAAUAUGUCAGUUGGGGGGAGUGAUUACUACUCAAAAAGUACUCUUUUAUAGCUUGAAACUAACUGUUUUAAACACUUUUGAGUAGGUGUUAAUACAUUUUAACUCAAUUGGCACAUUAAGGAACCUAACAAGGGUUACUAAUAAGUUUUUGGCAAGUUUUGGUGUUUUUGGUAGCUAUUUGAUCAUUGAAACAAGCCAAGAAUGAGGGAGAAUUUUGUGAAGUCCAUAGCAAUGCAAGUUAAAGCUCAAAUACAUGAAGAAUCCAAGCUUUGAAGCACUUCAUAGCCCUUUGCGAAGCCAAUCAGAGAUGCAAGGAAGAAAACCAGAGGAAAAAAUCCAACAACCAGCAUUUUCGCAUGGCUGUGCGAAAUUUUGCACACCAUGCGAAACCACAAGAAGUAGCCAAAGAAUUUUGCACACCAUGCGAAAUUUCGCAUGGUAUACGAAAUCUUCCUAUGCACCAACUCCGUUAUAUUUUUAUCUUCAGAUAUUUUGUGUAAUUUCCUAGUUUCUCCUUGUAACCAACCUAGAUAUUUUCUUUUAUAUCUUUUUUUUAUAUUUUUUAGGUAACAUCAUAUAUAGGGGGAGAGACAUAAGGAGGAUAUGGAUGUUUUUCAUAAAACACUUUUAAUUUUCUGGUAGUAAGAAAUAUACAAAGUUUUUUGCUCUGCCUUACCUUCUCAUUUUGUUUUCACCUAUCUUUCUAGCCAAACAACCUCUGAGAAUGAUUUCUCAGGGGAUGAGUAGUUAGGUUUUACGUUUCUUGGAGUGAGAGAAGCUAGGUGAAAGACCCAAAUGCUAAGGUGGGAGUUGUCCUUGCUUUAAAUGAAAGUAGUUGUUAAAUAUUAAUGGUUUUUAUUUUAAGGUUUAGCUUUAAAUCCCUUAAAAACACCUUGAAUGGCCAAUACUUGGUAAGCUUUUCGGAUUCUAUGGAUGCUUAUUGCUAGAUCCAUGGAUGUCAUUAGUUAUCAUUUAUGAGCCAUUGGAAGGUGGUUCAAGAUGAGAGUCUUUAGUGUUUGAAGCCAUUAAUGGGAAACAAUUACCAUUUUUUCAUGAAUCCUUUGGAUAAAAUCUUAAUUGCUAAAUAUAAAACUGGUUCGGGAGAUAACCAUCCUUUAUGUUAUUAUGCCCAAUGCAAGGAGAAGAUUUCGAAUCUUCUCAUUUGUCUAAGGAACCCGAUCCUAGUGACCUAAAGCUCCUAGAGACCUUUUCUUUGUAGUUAACUUCAUUUAUUGUUUUUGCUUAACUUAAAAUCAAUCUUUGCAACCACAAUUCCAUUUUCUUUAAAAGCUAAUUUUUAUAAGGAAAAGCACCAUUUUAUUUCCUUCACUAAGUCAACUGUAUGAUGAAAACCCAUCCCUGUGGACGAUCUUAGAGCCACUAUACUAUGUUAUCUAUGCUAUCCUAGUGUGAGGUGAUUUAGGUUUUAUAAAUUUUGUUGAUAACACCCGUCUGAGCCAGAAUCAAAUGGAACCACUGAACCAGGGACAAAUCAACAGCCUAUAUGGGAGGGACACAAGUUUAAUUGAUUUGCAUUUCAGCGUUAUAGAUAAGUAUGUUUUGGAAGAUUUGUUCUGGAAAUACUGCACCAAGUACGAUUCUUUUUCUCUUGAGUGAGUCCAUUUGCAUGCCAAUUAACGAGUUGAAAAGUAGGAGCACCUACCUCGUGCUCAUGGAACCGAAUGUCAGUGAAGUGGGGCUCCUUUUAGCCUCUUGUGUUUCUGUUCCAACCAAGGCGGCGUAGGGAAAAACAACAAUAUGUCUGUGCUAAAUAUCAACGCAUGAUAGAUGUUUUUUUUUUUUUUUUUGGUAUGUCAAGGCUAACGAAUGAAAUGCAUUAGCUUGUUUUGUGACUAUAACUGCAAAUGUCCAAAUUGGAGUAUCUCCAUUUCUCACUUCGGAUGGUUAACUUUAUAAACAAGAUAUAGGAAACAUGUGAACAUCUUGAGGAACAAUUCAAAUUAUUCAUUAGAAGUCCUGGGUUAAGUUCCAAGAUUUAAAUCAGACCCUUCUAGCAGCUUCAAGGGUACUUAGCAACCUAUAACAUAUUAAUGAAGAUUUAGGAUUUAGACUCCGGAAUACAAAUAAAUAUGUAUCUCAUGCUUUGACUAGCUUCCCUACAUAUGCAUAAAAUGGAGAUGACCCAAAAAAAAUAGCAGAAUCUAGCUUCCCUACAUAUGCACAAAAUGGAGAUGACCCAAAAAAUAGCAUAAUCGCCUUAGUUUCUGUGGUUAAGGUGAUUCUCCGCUUAAUAUCCACAUUGACUCAUUAUGCAAAAUCAACUGAGCUAAUUUUAUUUAUUUAUUUAAUGUCAAAUAGGAACUCCUAAUUAACUGAUUACUGUCGAAAAGUGCUAUUUUGUAGACCUAAUUAUAAGGGUUUUAAGCACCUUUGAGUAGUAAUCAUAUUCAUUUAACCUAAUUAAUUCAUUAAGCUCCUUAGUAAUUAGUUCUAACCAUUUUUAGUGGCAAGUUUACAUGUUUUUCAUCAGCUUAUGAACCAAUUCAAGCAUGCCAAUUGAUGGAGGAGCUACUUGGGCGAGUUAAGCAAGGAUUUUGGACGUUUACAGGCUUGAAUUUCAAGUGGAAACACGAGCACAAGCAAUGGGAACACCAUUUCGCAAGGGGAGGCAAUUCACCUUGCCAAAUGACCAAUUUCGCAAGGGGAUUUUCCUCAUGGUGCAAAAUUUGGUCAUUUCGCACCAUGAAGAAACCACCUUGCAAAAUUUCGCAAGGUGGAUUUAGGCACCUUGCGAAAUGCCAAAUUUCACAAGGUGGCUUUUCACCUUGCGAAAUUUGGACCUUUCAUCUUCCCCCCUUGCGAAAUGCCUUUGAAAUCCCCUGUUUUGAGACGCUGUUGAUGAUAUUCCACUGCCGGUUCUCCAAGAUAUUUUGCUUGACUUUUAGCUUUAUAAAUACCUAUUUUACCCUUGUAAUCAACCAAUGAAAAGGUUGCUUUUGUAAUAGCUCUUGUAAUUUAGCUUUUUAUUGUCUUUAAAUAGAGGUGAAGAGCCUCAGACACGAUCAUCUUGUAACCUGUAACUUUAUAAGUUAUAAGAGCACUUUUGUUCAUACGCUUCUUUUCUCUUUUCUUUCUCAUUUUCUUAGUAGCCAAACAUCCUUGGAGGAUGAAAUCCCCAAGGAUGAGAGGCUAAAACCUUUUAGUUUCUUGAAGUAAUGGAUGCCAUGUGAAGCUCCCGUGUCAGGAUGGAGAUUUCCAAGCCAUAAAUGUAAGUAGCUGAGCGUCAUAAAUGUUUUCAUUCAAAGUAAAGCUUUUAAUCCCUCUGACUUGCUUUGAAUGGCCAAUACUUGAUAACCUUUUGGUCUCAAUGGAUUCUUAUUGUUAGAUCCACUGACGUUCAUUAGUUAUCUCCUACGAGCCAUUGUAUUGCAAGUCGAGGAGAUGACCUAUACCAAUAAAAGAGCAUUUAUGAGGUUCAACUACCCUUUUUGUAAGUUUUCAAGGACUAAAACUCAGUUGUUAAACUCAUACCGGUUCGAGAAGUAAGCAUCACCUUAGUUGCUUCCCCAACUCGAGGUGAAAAGUCCCAAAAUCUCCAUUUUUACACAGUGAGUUAAGCAUGGCUAUCCAAAGCUUUAAGAAACUUCUUUUUCCAUCUUUUAACCUAUUUUCAUGUUAGUUUAGUUUACAACACCUUCAUCUUUUUAUGUUUUCAUCUUAACCUAAUUUUUAUUAAGAAAAGUUCACUCCAUCCUCCGAACUUCACCAGUUAAAGUAAAAACCCUUCCCAGUGUUCGAUCCUAGAGCCACUAUGCUAUAGUAGCUUUGCUACUUUAGUGUAAGGACCUUAGGUAUAAAUUUUGUUGAUACCCUUACAUGCCAAGCUACCAAGAGUCGGGUUAUCAUUAACCUAACCAUUGGCCUGUGUAAAUUGAUUUCACAUGCACAAUGUUGUAGUAGAAGUCCAUAUUUUGAAUUUUAUUUUUGUAAAGGUAAGGAAAAUGAAGCAUUGUGUAAUUAUAAAAAUAACUUCAUUGGAAUUCACAAGGUUCACCCAAAAUGGAGCUACAUCUGUAUUCUAUCCUACAGUAGACUAUAUAGAUUGUACAAUAGUAAAUUGCAAAUACAAUUAAUAAGUCUUGUGCUUCCUUACUAAUAAUCCUUUGACAUGAACAUUGCAGCACUAAGGUCCUCUUGGGAAGACACCUUGCACCCAUGAGAGCACUAAGAGGAAGCAAGGCAGAGUCAUGGGUGCAAUGUCAUGACUUGUUGUUGCACCAAGAGAGGCUUGGUGAUGCCAUGGUGUUGCAGUAGCAAGAAUGUUGCCUUGGCAGGGACACGAUCUAGGGAUAGAUGCCAAGAAAGGCUUAGCACUCACAUGAGUUGCACAAAGAUGAAUGUAAUAGAGCAUCAGAGAGACGUCUUGGCAAGUAAAUGAAUGGAUCCAAGAGACAACAACAUGAGGAGUUUCAAAUGGAUAAGGAAUGACUCAAAGACAUUUGAAAGCUACAAGUUGGAUUCUAAUUACGAUUGCAAUUUGAGUUUGAGUAGGAGUUUAGAUUUUGAUUGUAAUUGUAGUAUGAGUUGGACUAGGAUUGCUUAUCCUUAGUCAAUAUAGGAGCGGUUCGUGUCACCCUAUGAAAAGAGUUUGAGUAGGGACUAGGAUUGCUUACUCCUAGUCAAAUAUGGAGUAGGUGGUGCCACACCUAUAAAAAAAAGGGACAACAUGAGAGAGAGAGAGAGAGAGAAAGAGAGAGUGAAUUCACUAAAGAUAUUGUGGGAGUUUUGCUUUGUUACGUCUUGUAUUAUUACUUAGAAUAGGAAUAAAAUACAAGUUGGGGCUAGAGCCCCAUAAUUAAUCUCGUGUGCCUUUGUGGUUAUUCUUUAUUUGUCAUCUCGUGUGGAUUGGAUUAGGUUGACUUAGAGGGCUUCUAAGCACCACCUUUGUGGGUUAUUAUUUAUUUUCCAUCUCUUGUGGAUUAGAUUAGGUUGACUUAGAGGGCUUCUGAGCACCACCUUUGUGGGUUAUUAUUUAUUUUCCAUCUAUUGUGGAUUAGAUUAGGUUGACUUAGAGGGCUUUUAAGCACCACAUUUGUGGGUUAUUCUUUAUUUUCCAUAUCGUGUGGGUUGGAUUAGGUUGACAAGGAGAAAAAUUAUGUGGGAAAUUUGUGUUGGGACACUUACCAUAACCAAGUAAAAUCUACCAAGUCCUUUGUAAUAUCUUCAACAAAUAUUUUAGACUAGUUCUUUCAGUUAGUGUAAAGGAGGAAGAAGUGGUAUUGAUUCUAGAAAUAGGGUGUGUGUAUUUGAACUACAAUCCUUAUGAUCCUUAGGUCUCUAAACCUUCGUGAUGGGCUCCCUGACAUUUCAUAGGUUGUGCUACACAUGCGUUUGAAAUUUAGAGUGCGUUUGACAGUGAUUCCGGGAAGUGUUUUUGGCCUUUCUUACACUUGAAAAUUUUUAUUUUUCAAGUAUUAGAAAUGCUACAAACACUUUUGAAAAUUACUGUCAAACACACUCUUAGGAGCGCACAUAUAUAGUAGAAAACUAGAAAUUGUGGUUUUUUUAGGAUUUACUGUAAUGUCAUUAGGAGGGUAGUAAGUUGAAAUUGAGUAUGAACAAAUAUUUCUUUCUUUGGGAUGUUCUUCUAGUAGGUGCUGAUGAAACUGUUCUUUCUACUGCCAAUGUCACAUAUCAGCCAGAAAUUGAAAAUUUCAGUCAAGGUGUCCUCUGUUUUAGUGGUGAGGAAAGCUAGAAAUUUUAAGGUGAAGUUUUGUUAAAAACCUUAAGUAGCUGGGAUAUCAGGCCUGUUUUGCUUGAAAAAAAAAGUUGCAAGAUAACUCAUAUGCCAAACAGGUUCUGAUAUUGUGAAUCUAUCGGCAGACAUCAGUAAUCUCAUCUUCUGAGAUGGAUGUUGGGGGUGCAUGUGGUGGUGGAGGGGCAAGGUUUCAUUUGGUUUAUUUUGUUGAUGGAUAUUGUCUAGCCACCUGCGCCAAGUUUGAGGGGUGGUGGGUUGUGAUGACCCUACAAUUACUAUUAAUUUCUUCAUCUUUUACCGAUUAAAGUGUCCGAACAGUCGAAGUUACCCUUAUGCAUGUCAACUUGAUCACUUACCUCUUCAAUGGAGUUUAUGCUGGUUCAUUUAGGAACUGAUUUUUAUUGUUAUGUAUUAUAUGCUGAUGUUUAGGUCUCUCCAUCAUCACUAUAUACAAAAAUUCUAGGUUGAUACUAUAGGUUGAGAUUUAUUUUUUAAAUAAAAAAUAAUAAAAAUAAAAAUUAUGGUGAUGUUUAGUUGUUUUAUGGAAAAUUUUAACAAGUAAAAGUUAUUUUUGGGCAAGUUUUCAAACAAAAAGAAAAGUAAAAGUUGUUUUGACAAAAACAUAUAGAAAAAAAAAUCAUAGAAAAUAAAUAAUUUCCCCAUAUUCUAACUUUUUUGAAUUUUUCUCAAUGGGCAAAGGAAUAUCAAAUCAAGUUUGAGUAGGAUUUCUUAAUUUUUAAAAUAACUUACAAUUAAAAAAUUUUGGUGUUUUCAUUUUUGGACAAUUUUUUAUUAAGCAAAUGGACUCUGAGUCAUGCAAGAGAUAUGGUUCAUUAACCGGUCGAACAAUUUUUUUAAAUUAAUUUAAAAGUCAAAUACAUAAUCAAUUUCACAAAAUUUAUAAACAAAAAUAGGUUUAGAGAAGAUCUACACAUAAUUUUACUUUUCUAAUUUUAUUUUAUUUUAUUUUUUGUUGGAAAAUAGUCUUCAAAUCAUGUAAGAUUUAAUAGGUUAAAUUUGUUAACAAUAAAUUUUAAAUUAUAAAAUAUAAUCUGGAACUCAAAAAUCAAUUCAAGUAAUGCUAAAAAAAAAUCAAAUUUGGUAUAGAAUGACUUUGUAAAUUUUUUUACAAAACAAAUGAAUUUUAAAUCAAGUGAGAUUUAAUGCAUUAGAUUUUUAUCAAAUAUAGUAAUUUUAAAAAUAAAUUUGGAACUCAACAAUAGACACAAUAAAUACCAAAAAAUAAUGAACCAAAAUUGGUUUGGAAUAACUCCACAACCUUUUUUUUUUUUUUUUGGUGCACACGAAUUUUCUUACUAGGUAUAUUGCUUUCAAAUUGAGAAAGAUUUACCAUUUAGAUUUUUUUUUAAUGAGUUUAAUGGUAUUUUAAAAUAAUUCAAAAUUUAAAAAAUUGACUAAUUAAUAUUAUAAAUUGAUAAACCAAGACUAUUUCAAAAUGCAUUGGGGGCUAAGGGGGUUGAAAAUAGGGACAAUGGGAUGGGUUUGGGACAUGACACUCAUAUCUCAUUUCCAUUCCAAUUACACAGUUAUCUCCCAUCCUUAUCCCAAACUUGUGUUGGAGCAAGUUGAUUUGUUCCCAUCUUUGUUGACGAAAUGACUAAUAACCUCAUCCCCUCCUUAUCUUAGAUGUACAUUUUGUCAAAUUUGAUCAGGUAUGAUUGAUCCAAGCCCUAACCCUAAUUGGUAAUGAGUGAAUACUACACCUAAUUGCAUUCUUCUUUCAUUGCAAAAUAAUGAGAUUAUAAUAAUCUAGCAAAUAAGAAAAAAUAGUAUGGAAGUUCAAAUUAACACCAUAACUAUCAAUAAUUUUAAGCUUAUAGAUGACUUAAAUGAUUAAAAACUAAUGCAAAAUCCUAAAAAAAAUAAAAAUCAUAUAAAGAAUUCACAAGAGAACAGAAUGAACAAAAACCAAAUAUGAACAUGGGUCAACAUUAGUUAUGGAUUUGGAUUCCUUUCAAGGCCAAUCUUUGAACCAAGACUUCAUCAAAUCAACUACUUCAAAGGCUUUUGUGUUCUUCUUGGGUUGUGCUCUCAAACAAAGACUUCGAGGUGAUGUUCUAGAUGAUUGAAUUACACAUAUUUAGGGUGGAGAGAUUGGAGAAGCUUGAAGAUGCCAACGAUGGGUACAAUUGAGUGGUCAAUAAGAACAAUGUAGCCUAUGACUAGUUUGAUGUCAUGGUACAAGAGUUUUAGGCAUUGAGGUUAAAGCAAGAGCAACAUGGAAUUGAUUUCGGAGUCUUUCAGUUAGUGUAAAGGAGGAAGAAGUGGUGUUGAUUCUAGAAAUAGGGUUUUAAGUGGUGCGUGAUUACUACUCAAAAAGUGCUAUUUGAUAGCCUUUAAUUAAUCCUUUUUAACACUUUUGAGUAGUAGUUUAGGCCUUUUAACUCAAUUGGCAUGUUAAGGAUCCUUUAAAGCAAUUUUGAUCACUUUGUGCAAGUUUUGGUGUUUUUGUUAGUAUUUUGAUCACCAAAGCAAGUCAAGAAUGAGGAGAACUAUGAGGAAUCAUGGGCAAAGCUUAGAAUUCAAUUGCCAAGAGUGAAUCCGGAUUGCAAGGAGAAAAAGCAAAGAGAAUCUGUCAUGAAGCCUAUUCUUGAUGACAGUCGUAGCAGCCACUUUUGGAGCACUUUCUGAAGUCCAAAUGAUGCAAGCUAUAUACCAUUUCAAAGAUCAGGAAGUCAACAAUCCAAUGCUUCAAACGGUGCGCGAUUCGGAGUUGAAACGAAGAAGUUGCAGCCAUUACAAGCCAGUCACUCUAAAGUGUUGCGGAAUCAGCCUUUUGUUGCGAGAAUUUCGCAGCACUUUUGUACAGUAAGGUGUUUCUCCUUCUGACGAUGCACGAACCAUGCCGCGAGAGGGAAGCUAGGAACUUCAAGAUGGAAGCCAACUUUGCAGCCUGGUGAAGAUAGCUUGGUCUUGCGAAAUAAUUUCGCAGCCCUCUUGGGUGUCUGCGAAAUUUCGCAGGCACCACUUUUUUCCUGCGAAAUGGCUCCGGAAGCCUCCCGAAGCUUGCUACCGACAUUGGGAGAUAUUUUCCAUUAGAUUUUUGUUGUCUAAAUUCCAAAAUACUCCUUGUAAACCACCAAUUACAUGAUUCCUUAGUUUUUAAGUUAGUAAAAAGACCAAAUAUCUAUGUAAUAAUUAGUUUUAUAUUAGUUUGCUAUAAAUACCUCUCGGGAGCAUGUUCUCAGAGAGGAGUUCCUUCUGUAACCAUUUUGGUAAGCAAGUAAAGUCUUUUCUUUCUACUGCCUUACCUUCUCACUUUGUAUUUUCAUUUUAUUUCUAAGUUAUGAAUUCUCUGAGGAGCUUUCCCCAGAGAAUGAGUAACUAAACCUCCAAUUCCUUGGAGCUAAGGUUGCCGGGGAAGGUUCCAAGUGCAAGAAUGCAAAGCUCUGUGGUUUUAGCUAGUAAUGAAGAGGAAGUGAAAUCCUUUAGUGAUUUCAAUGUUUUUAGUUAACUUAAAACACCUUGGAGUCACCUGGGCCAACACUUGGUAAGGCAAGUGAUUUCCAACCGUGGAAAUGCACUAGUUUACCCCUUGCGAGCCUCUGGUAGGUGACUUCAAGGUAGGAUUUUCUGGAAUUACCAACACUUGGUAAGCUUUUGGACUCCUAGGAGACAUCCAUUAGUUAUCUCUUGCGAGUUUGUGAAGGGGAAUCCAAGGUUAAAGAUCACCUUGAAUGGUAAGUGCUCGUGAGAGGCAUGAACCAUUGCAAGUUGUAUCAGUGAGAGAAUUAAAGUGAAAUCUAAUUGAAGGAGUCUCUGUACAUCACCGGUUAGAGAAUUGACUAUAAGUUGAAUCUCUAAUGCGAGGAAAUGAACCAUCUGACCGGAGCUAUGUCUUUUGCAUGAGGAACCACCCCAGUGAACCUAAAUCUCCAAGGAAUGCUUUUCUUCCUAAAUUAUUCCAAACUUCUGUUAAGUUAGUUAGUUUAAGUCUAAACCUUUACCAAUCAAACUUUGUGUUUUAUUUCUUAAGCUAACCGUGAAAUGAAACAAAACCAAUUCACUUGGAAUUGGUAUCCUUGAUUGCUUGCAAAUCAUUCCCAGUGAACGAUCCUUAGAGCCACUAUACUAUAGUAGCUUUGUAUUUGCUACCCUAGUGUAUGGUGUUAUAGGUAUAAAUUUUGUUGAUCACUUCCUCAAUCAAGGAACACCAGCUGAACACAAAUCAGCUGAGACACCAAUUGGGCAUGAGUCAAAUGGCGCCGUUGCCGGGGAAUGAGUGUCAAGAUCAUUGUGAUACCAUUUUUGAGCACUUGUGAUUUUCAUCACAAGUUGGUAAAGUUUCUUUCACUUUACUAAUUUUCAUUCUCUCUUUGUUUAUUUACAAUCUAAGUUUAUCUUUUUAAAAUUUAGUCUAGUUUAAUUUUGCUAUUGUAGCCUUGUUUCUCUUGUUGUCCUCUGUUCUUGUUGUCCUCUGUUUUCAUUUUAGUUGCAGCUGAAUACUAGUUGUGUAUGCCAAAGUGGAUACGAGACAUUGGAGGUAGGCUUAUUAAGUGUGAUACACCUCAGAGAGGAGAAUUGGAAGUAAUCUUGAAUAUCAUGGAGGCUGCACCUGAAGAUCAGCAUAGUCACCAAGGUCGUCAAGACAAUCUCAAUGAAUUCAGAUCAAUGAGGGACCGUAUGCAUCCACCUCGUAUGAGUGCACCAUCAUGUAUAGUGCCCCCUACAGAGCAACUAGUGAUCAGACCAUAUCUUGUUCCACUUCUACCAACUUUCCAUGGGAUGGAAAGUGAGAAUCCGUAUGCACACAUCAAGGAAUUUGAAGAUGUUUGUAAUACAUUCCAAGAGGGAGGAGCUUCAAUUGAUUUGAUGAGGCUUAAGUUAUUUCCUUUUAAUUUAAAGGAUAAGGCCAAAAUUUGGCUUAAUUCUUUAAGGCCAAGGAGUAUCCGCUCUUGGACUGAUUUACAAGCUGAAUUCCUCAAGAAAUUUUUUCCUACUCAUAGAACAAAUGGCUUGAAAAGGCAAAUUUCAAACUUCUCAGCUAAAGAGAAUGAGAAAUUCUAUGAGUGUUGGGAAAGAUACAUGGAAGCUAUAAAUGCUUGUCCUCACCAUGGCUUUGAUACUUGGCUACUGGUGAGUUAUUUUUAUGAUGGUAUGUCCUCCUCAAUGAAGCAACUCCUCGAGAAAAUGUGUGGAGAAGAUUUCAUGAGCAAAAAUCCAGAGGAAGCUAUGGAUUUCUUGAGCUAUGUAGCUGAUGUUUCAAGGGGAUGGGAUGAACCAACUAAAGGAGAAGUGGGAAAGAUGAAGUCUCAGUUGAAUGCUUACAAUGCAAAGGCUGGGAUGUAUACUUUAAAAGAGGAUGAUGACAUGAAAGCAAAGUUGGCAGCUAUGACAAGAAGAUUGGAGGAGCUGGAGCUGAAAAGAAUGCAUGAAGUGCAAGCUGUUGCUGAAGCACCAGUGCAAGUGAAGUUGUGUCCCAAUUGUCAAUCGUUUGAACAUUUGGUAGAGGAAUGCCCUGCAAUUUCAGCUGAAAGGGAAAUGUAUAGAGAUCAAGCAAAUGUUGUUGGACAAUUCAGGCCCAAUAACAAUGCUCCUUAUGGAAAUACCUACAAUUCAAGUUGGAGGAAUCAUCCAAAUUUUUCAUGGAAGGCCAGAGCAACUCAAUACCAACAGCCGGAUCCACCAUCUCAACAAUCUUCAAGUAUUGAACAAAUAAUAGCUAAUCUCAGCAAGGUAGUGGGAGAUUUUGUGGGAAAGCAAGAAGCCACCAAUGCUCGAGUGGAUCAAAGAAUGGACAGAGUGGAUCAAAGAAUGGACAGAAUGGAGAGUAUGUUGAACAAAAGAAUGGAUGGAAUGCAAAAUGAUAUGAAUCAAAAAUUUGAUAACAUCCAAUAUUCAAUUUCAAGGCUUACAAAUUUGAAUACACUGCAAGAAAAGGGAAGAUUUCCUUCUCAACCUAACCAAAAUCCCAAAGGUGUCCAUGAAGUGGAAAGCCAUGAGGGAGAAUCAUCACAGGUGAAAGAUGUGAAAGCUUUGAUCACUCUAAGGAGUGGUAAGAAAAUUGAGCAGCCAACACCCAAGCCACAUGUUGAGAAAGAAGAAGAGAUGAAGAAAGGGAAGGAAAUGGAAGAUAAAGGCAGUGAGAUCAGUGAAGAAAAGAAGGACUCUGAUGCAACAAUGAAAGUAAUUCCAGAGAAGGAGCUUCUGAAGGAAGAAAUGCUGAAGAAAUCAACUUUUCCACCUUUUCCUCAAGCAUUACAGGGGAAAAAGGGGGUUAGAAAUGCAGCUGAAAUCCUAGAAGUAUUGAGGCAAGUGAAAGUUAAUAUUCCACUGCUGGAUAUGAUCAAACAAGUUCCAACGUAUGCAAAAUUCCUAAAGGACUUGUGUACUAUCAAAAGAGGGUUGACUGUAAACAAGAAAGCCUUCUUGACUGAGCAAGUAAGUGCAAUCUUACAGUGUAAGUCUCCUUUGAAGUACAAAGACCCUGGAAGUCCUACCAUUUCAGUCAUGAUUGGAGGAAAGGUAGUGGAGAAAGCCUUGCUAGACUUGGGAGCAAGUGUGAAUUUGCUUCCAUAUUCUGUCUACAAGCAACUGGGACUUGGAGAGUUGAAGCCAACAGCAAUCACUUUGUCUCUGGCAGAUAGAUCAGUGAAAAUUCCAAGAGGGGUAAUUGAGGAUGUAUUGGUUCAAGUAGAUAAUUUCUACUAUCCUGUAGAUUUUGUUGUUCUUGAUACAGAUCCUACUGUAAAGGAAGCUAAUUUAGUUCCUAUCAUCCUUGGAAGGCCAUUUCUUGCAACUUCAAAUGCAAUCAUCAACUGUAGAAAUGGGCUUAUGCAACUCACUUUUGGUAACAUGACACUGGAUCUAAAUAUUUUCUAUAUGUCUAAAAAGCAAAUCACUCCAGAAGAAGAAGAGGGUCCAGAAGAGCUAUGUAUUAUUGAUACUUUGGUGGAGGAGCACUGCAAUCAACAUAUGCAAGAUAAGUUGAAUGAAAGUUUUGUGGAUAUUGAGGAAGGUUUUUCUGAAUCUCCUAAUGGGCUUGCUACUCUACAAAGUUGGAGAAAGAUAGAAGGAAUUCUACCUUUGUUCAAUGAAGAAGAGGAGGCAGCUGUUGAAAAAGAAAUUCCAAAACUCAAUCUGAAGCCUUUACCUAUGGAGCUGAAAUAUACAUAUCUUGAAGAAAAUAAUCAAUGUCCUGUCGUAAUAUCUUCAUCUCAAACCAAGUCUCAAGUGAAGGAUGCAAGCUUCAAAUGGGAUCCGGGCAAACUGAAUCAGGAAGGGCAAAAAGUUUUGAUGUAUGACACAAGACUCCAUAUCUUUCCUGGGAAGCUCAAGUCAAGGUGGAUUGGUCCAUUUGUUAUUCACCGAGUAUAUUCCAAUGGAGUGGUGGACUUAUUGAAUUCCAAUGGCAAGGACAGCUUUAGAGUCAAUGGAUAUCGUCUUAAGCCGUUCAUGGAGUCAUUCAAAUCAGAAAAGGAGGCAAUCAACCUCCUUGAACCUCAAAAAGCCUAAGUGAAAUGGGUUUGCUGGACGUGGUUUUACCACAGUCCAAAAAUUUUUGUAAAUUUUGUAAAUUUUCAAGUUGUUUCCAUGCUUUUAAUCUUAGUUUUUGAUUUUAAAUCAUGUUUUUAGGUGUGUUUUAAUCGUUUUAUAUGAUCCCAGGCGGAAGAAAUUUCAAGGGGAUUGAAAAGAAAAAAAUCGGGUCGAAAUUGGAGCCGAAACAGAGCAAAAACAGGGGAAAAACAGAGCUCUGCGAAAUUUCGCAGGGUGAAGGAAACUUCUGCGAAAUUGGCAUUUUGCUGCCAAACCAUUCCGCAGCACUGUAGAAGCCUCUGCGAGUGUAUUUCGCAAUUGCGAAAGUGGAUUUGGCACACGAGUGCCACUUCGCAGCACAGUGACAUCAAUUUCGCAGCUGCGAAACUCACUGCGAAGUUGCUGCGAAAAUGGCAAGUUGCUGCGAAAUUGGCGUUUUGUUGCGAAACGUAAUCUGACCCCUGGGCUUCCGUUUUUCCUAUUUAUACCUGUCAAAAGUGCUGCGAAAAAGGUUUCAAAAAUUAGAGCACCAUUCUCGCAGCCCUUUCAUCUUCUUCGCCAAGCCACGCCGUCCGUUUCUCCGGUCGUCUUCUCCGUUUAGCAGCGCCGGCCAAAGAUCGAUAGCCCAAAAAUGGCACGAACGCGAGGGGCAAAGUCUUCAUCCCCUUCGAACCGCAAAAGGAGUCUGCGAAAGGAGCCAAGUUCAGGCUCUGUUCCAGAACCUGCUCCAAAGCCUUCGCCGUCGAGACCACAACCUUCUCCAGUGAAGCCGGCGCCACCAAAGCCGCCGGCAAGGCGAUAUUUAACCAGGUCAGGUGGUCAGCCAUUGAAGAAGAAAGCCAGAGUUGAGAGCUCUGAACCAAUCGAUUUGACUGAGCAAUCCCCUGAGAAAUCACCAAAUCCUUCACCGGUACAAAUUCCAGUGCCAUCACCGGUUCCCUCGCCAAUUCCCUCACCAGAAGCAACUCCAAUUCCAUCGCCGGUACCAUCUCCGGCACCCCAAGAAAAAGCUCAGGAGCCUCAAGCGCCAAUUCCAGAGCCCCAAAUUGCAGCUGAAGCACCUCUGGAAGAAGUGAUCCGAAGGCCAAUGCUGCCUCAGCCCCCAAUCGAAGGAAACCUGGAUUGCCGAACUCGGGCAUUCCAUUCUGAGCUUUGCUUCGAUUUAACAGCAUUCAGAGUGAGGCCAGAGCUUGCCCAAUCCUUCCAACUGCUGAGGAGAUAUCAUAUGGAGCAUCUGCUAGCUCCAAGGGAUUUUUUCUAUCCCCGGGUAGUCACGGAUUUCUACCAAACCAUGACAACCAAAGAAGUAAGAAAUCCAACUCUGAUUCAUUUCAUAAUUGAUGGAAGGCAUGGUAUUUUGGGAGCAAGACAUAUUGCUGAAGCCCUGCAAAUUCCUUUUGAGCCAACUCAAUUCGACAAUUUUAAAGCUUGGACAAAUCCUACUGAGUUAGAGAUGGUUAGCACACUAACCAGAGGAGCUGCAAAUCGAUCGCAUUUGUUGAGGGGGGAGCUACCUCCAGUUAUGUUUUUGAUUGAUGCCUUUUUGAGGCAUAAUAUCUAUCCCCUGCAGCAUUGGACCCAAAGAAGGGGAAUUCUCCUAGAAGCCUUGUACAAAAUGUCUGAAGGAUUCUUCUUUGGGCCUCAUCAUCUGAUCAUGGCAGCCCUUCUAUACUUUGAGGAGAAGGUUCACAAGAAGAAGCUUCAAAGAGCAGAUUGCAUUCCACUCCUCUUCCCAAGGCUGCUAUGCCAAGUUUUGGAGCAUCUCGGAUACCCCUCUGAGCCUCAGCAGGAAAGAAAGAGAAUAUGCCGUGAGCCUUUUACCCUUGAUAAAUGGAAUAAUAUGACGGCCUACAAAAUUGAUCAGCCUGGGCAGCCUCAGCCAGCAGCAAGGAGAGUCUCCCCAAGACAUAUACCUGAAGGUAUAACACUUGCUACUCCUGCCAUCCCUCGAGCUCCACCAGCUGCACCUGCUCCAUCACAGCCAUCCACAUCAGCUGAGCCGAGGAUGGCCAUCCCUAUAUCCGAAUAUCGAGAGCUGUGCCGUGCAUUGGAGACUCUUACAGCUUCUCAGAGCAAUCUUGCUCAGGAGUUGGCAGCCAUUAAAGCAUGCCAGGAGCAGAUGUUAGCCUCUCAGACUCAACAAGCUGCCAUCCUAAGGCAGCUUCAAGUCCAUUUCGAUCUGCCACAAGCUGUAGAGCCCUCUAUUCCUACUCCACCAGAGCCACACUCUCAGCCUUCAGAGUCUCAUCCUCCAGAACCCGAAGCACCAGCUGAUCCACCUACUGAGGAGGCAGAUCCUUCUGCCUAGCACCAUCACCCCCCUCAUCAGACAUUAUAUAUAUAUUUGCUGUUUAUGUUUUUAUGCAUGUUUGUUUUGUUUUAGUUGAAAAGAAAUCCCAGUAUUUUGGUACUAUAUAUGGGAUUCCUUGUGUUACUUGUCUUUAGUAUUGUAAUCACAUGAACUCAAAGUAAUACAAGUUGACUAUUUCUUGUUAAAAGUUAGCAUUAAAGUUUCCUUAUUUCCUUUUCUCACAUAUUCUAUUCUUUUUGAAACAUGUGGUUUUCCCCAAUCAAUAUUCGAAUUUGAUAUCAGCAUGGAGGUACCACUUCCUCCCUUUUAUUACAGUCACUCAAAUCACAUUGAGGACAAUGCUCAGUUCGGUUGGGGGGUAUGAGGAAGGAAGUAUUCUAAACCUUUUUGGUAUUGCAAUUAUAUUGGUUAAUUAGUUGUAGAUUUUACUUUUUACUAGUGUUACUCUAUUCUCCAUGAAUUUUGAGGAAAAAUUUUCAAAUUAAACCAAGAGAAAUUGAACUGUUGUUUUUCACUUGACUUAGAGUAUGGAUUAUGCUUACUAAAGUGGUUCAAUUGUUGAAACUUCUACUGAAAUUGAAUUGAGUUCUUCCACUUUAAGCUAUCCACACACUGUGCACAUUAGUUUCCGAUUAUAAGAUGAAAAGCUAUUUCCCUCUUGACUUAGUAUAUUUUUGGGACUUGGUAUAUUUGACCUCAUUUGAUAAAAAUUGAAACACCCUGCAAAAGGCCAAUGAGCCUUUGAAAUAAAGAAAGUUGUUUGCUUGCCUUGAAACCCGAGCAAGGUCUGAGGGGUAUAUGGUGAAAAUCUUUAAAGCCUGGUGCCCUAAGCCUUAAUUGGUUGGGAGUCACCGACCUCAAUGCUCGUUACAAGGGUGAAUAGGUAGAGUUAGCAUAUGGUAGAUGCUUGGGUAUUAGAAAUUCAUUCUUAAAAGUCCGGGGAAAAAUCCGAGGAGUUAGUGGUUGAAAGAUCCUUAAAACUUGGUGCCCUAAACCUUAAUUGGUUGGGAGUCAUCGAUGGACCCCCAUUACAUGGACAAGUCAGAAAGAGUACCCCAUAAAGCUACCUUAAAAAAAAAAAAAAAAAAAAAAAAAAAAAAAAAGAUGAAAGUGUGUUCUUUUCUUAUUGAUUUUGGUCAGUUUGCUAAAGUGUUGAAAAGAGAUAGGUUGGGGGGUGAGAUUAGUAGCAUAUUAUUCUCGGAACCUAAGGAACCAAUACACAUAGAUUUUUGUGGAAGAUUGAAGUUUAGUUCUUAGAAAAUGAAAUGAUUUUAAAACUUCAGUUUGCAUAAUGCACUCCCUUGAUUGACAGUGUUUAGCAUAGGUGUUAUGACUCUUGUUGAGAUUUGGGUUUGUAUUUCUUUAAUGAUUCAUGUGAGAAAUAGAUCAUCAUGCCACUUGAGAAUUAUUUUCCUUUUAGCAUGAUGUUGUAAAUUUUAGAUUAGUUUGCUAUUUAUUUUUUAUUUUCUCUCCUAUAUUGCUAAGGGACUAGCAAUAUGUCGGUUGGGGGGAGUGAUUACUACUCAAAAAGUGCUAUUUGAUAGCCUUUAAUUAAUCCUUUUUAACACUUUUGAGUAGUAGUUUAGGCCUUUUAACUCAAUUGGCAUGUUAAGGAUCCUUUAAAGCAAUUUUGAUCACUUUGUGCAAGUUUUGGUGUUUUUGUUAGUAUUUUGAUCACCAAAGCAAGUCAAGAAUGAGGAGAACUAUGAGGAAUCAUGGGCAAAGCUUAGAAUUCAAUUGCCAAGAGUGAAUCCGGAUUGCAAGGAGAAAAAGCAAAGAGAAUCUGUCAUGAAGCCUAUUCUUGAUGACAGUCGUAGCAGCCACUUUUGGAGCACUUUCUGAAGUCCAAAUGAUGCAAGCUAUAUACCAUUUCAAAGCUCAGGAAGUCAACAAUCCAAUGCUUCAAACGGUGCGCGAUUCGGAGUUGAAACGAAGAAGUUGCAGCCAUUACAAGCCAGUCACUCUAAAGUGUUGCGGAAUCAGCCUUUUGUUGCGAGAAUUUCGCAGCACUUUUGUACAGUAAGGUGUUUCUCCUUCUGACGAUGCACGAACCAUGCCGCGAGAGGGAAGCUAGGAACUUCAAGAUGGAAGCCAACUUUGCAGCCUGGUGAAGAUAGCUUGGUCUUGCGAAAUAAUUUCGCAGCCCUCUUGGGUGUCUGCGAAAUUUCGCAGGCACCACUUUUUUCCUGCGAAAUGGCUCCGGAAGCCUCCCGAAGCUUGCUACCGACAUUGGGAGAUAUUUUCCAUUAGAUUUUUGUUGUCUAAAUUCCAAAAUACUCCUUGUAAACCACCAAUUACAUGAUUCCUUAGUUUUUAAGUUAGUAAAAAGACCAAAUAUCUAUGUAAUAAUUAGUUUUAUAUUAGUUUGCUAUAAAUACCUCUCGGGAGCAUGUUCUCAGAGAGGAGUUCCUUCUGUAACCAUUUUGGUAAGCAAGUAAAGUCUUUUCUUUCUACUGCCUUACCUUCUCACUUUGUAUUUUCAUUUUAUUUCUAAGUUAUGAAUUCUCUGAGGAGCUUUCCCCAGAGAAUGAGUAACUAAACCUCCAAUUCCUUGGAGCUAAGGUUGCCGGGGAAGGUUCCAAGUGCAAGAAUGCAAAGCUCUGUGGUUUUAGCUAGUAAUGAAGAGGAAGUGAAAUCCUUUAGUGAUUUCAAUGUUUUUAGUUAACUUAAAACACCUUGGAGUCACCUGGGCCAACACUUGGUAAGGCAAGUGAUUUCCAACCGUGGAAAUGCACUAGUUUACCCCUUGCGAGCCUCUGGUAGGUGACUUCAAGGUAGGAUUUUCUGGAAUUACCAACACUUGGUAAGCUUUUGGACUCCUAGGAGACAUCCAUUAGUUAUCUCUUGCGAGUUUGUGAAGGGGAAUCCAAGGUUAAAGAUCACCUUGAAUGGUAAGUGCUCGUGAGAGGCAUGAACCAUUGCAAGUUGUAUCAGUGAGAGAAUUAAAGUGAAAUCUAAUUGAAGGAGUCUCUGUACAUCACCGGUUAGAGAAUUGACUAUAAGUUGAAUCUCUAAUGCGAGGAAAUGAACCAUCUGACCGGAGCUAUGUCUUUUGCAUGAGGAACCACCCCAGUGAACCUAAAUCUCCAAGGAAUGCUUUUCUUCCUAAAUUAUUCCAAACUUCUGUUAAGUUAGUUAGUUUAAGUCUAAACCUUUACCAAUCAAACUUUGUGUUUUAUUCCUUAAGCUAACCGUGAAAUGAAACAAAACCAAUUCACUUGGAAUUGGUAUCCUUGAUUGCUUGCAAAUCAUUCCCAGUGAACGAUCCUUAGAGCCACUAUACUAUAGUAGCUUUGUAUUUGCUACCCUAGUGUAUGGUGUUAUAGGUAUAAAUUUUGUUGAUCACUUCCUCAAUCAAGGAACACCAGCUGAACACAAAUCAGCUGAGACACCAAUUGGGCAUGAGUCAGUGCGUUAGAGGAUCAAGAAGAAGAAAAAGAAGGAACUGUUGGAAUUAGUAUGAGUGUGAAGAGAAAAGUAUAUAAAUAAGGGGAAGUAAAAGCAAAGUUCAAAAAGCUAUAUUUUUUUAUUGUUGGUGUAUGGUUGCAUGAUUAUCCCUAUAAAUAAUAGGAGUUUUUUGGUAUUCUACUAGUAGUUGAAGCAUAAUUUCAUAAAUUAAUAUUUAGAGCGGGGUGGGGUGAGUUGUGACAAAAUUCAUACCCGUCCCAAACCUUGGUUCAGAUUUUUAAAAUAUUCUCAAACUUAUCAUAUACCCAACUUUUAUAUUUCAUACUUGUCCUAAUAGAGGCACGUUAGGCCGGGUUACUUGAGUAACCUACAUAAUUGUCAUCCCUAGUUGAAAUACACUUUUUGGCAGUGGCCACCAACUGAGCUAGAAGCUUGAUUGAUUGACCUACAAGAUUAGUUCUCAUCAUUUUAAAAAAAGUUCUGGCUUUGGUUGUGAGUGCAAUUGAAUCUAAACUGGCAUUUGCUUAAUGCAUCUACUUCAAUCCUAAACUUCUUACUUCUUAAGCCUCAAUUGUUGUUAGGAUUUUGGAAAACCCAUUUCCUUAAAUUGUAAAUUUAAGAUAAAAUAAAAUAAAAGUGAGACAUUUCUUGAUUGAAUAUUGUUAAAGGUCCCUUGGCAUUAAGACUUGGUUGAAGCCUUGGAAGAUUAGUGGAACUCUCAACAUGUGUUUGAAUCUUGAGGAGAGUGGAUGUAAGCCAAAAUUUUGUCAAACCAUUAUACAAAUUGAGUUUGAAUCCUCAUUUCUUGAUUUCUUAUUUAUUUGCUUUUUCUUAUUAUUACUUGAAUUGUCAUUUGCAUUCAUUAAUGUUAAAAUUGGUUAUAAUUAACCAACACUAAUUCUCUUUCCCCUUCCCUUUCUUGGGUGUAAACCUAGGUUGGAUUAACUAGAUAAAUCUAUUAAGAUGGUAAAAGAAUAAUUAUUCUUAACAUACAUAAGAUCAUCUUCAAUCAAAUGACUCAUUGGCUAAUAUGUUGAAUUUGCUUAUUACUUGCAACUCAAAAUUGUGUUCUAGUUGUGUCAAGUCCCCAGUGUAUGGACAUUAAAUUUGUAGUACGUGAUGAGUAAUUAGAUGGUCCAACUCCAAGAAAGUGAUUGAAAAGUAGUUCAAGAAAGGUGCAAAAGGGAAUUGUUUUGGUAUUUUCGUUUUUAUUCUUGAAGGUGGCAGAGCUAAAAUUUGAGAAAUCAAGCAAAACAUACUGAAAUUACAUUGAAAGAAAGAAGAUGGGAGUUAAUGUCUUGCAGUACAUGAUAAGGACUUCAUGCAUGUAGUGUGACCCAUGUCUUGGACUGAUGCCAACUCACGGUUACACUUAUACCCUUGGUUCUCUCUUUACUACCUUGGCUAACCUAGAUCAGGCUAUGAGAUAGGCUCCUCACCACACCAUUACUUGCCCAUUAAUUAGAGACAUUUUCAAGCAAUGAGGUAACAUGGUGACACCAAGAGGGUCUAUUCCUCGCCCGGAACAAGUCUAGACUUGGUCUCAAAAAAAUGGAGAAAAAUGAGGUGUCGUUAUGUAGAAAUACAACAACCAUGCCUUCCUCAUUACUUAGAUUCAGAAUGUGAAGGUGAAAUUGAGAAACAGAAACUCUUGAAACCAAAAUGAAAAUUGAUACUUUUACGAAGAAUUACAACAACAUUAGAGGAAGACUACAUUCUUCCUCUUUAUUCCUACAUUUCUACACUACUUCUACUCCACUCCAUAUUUCUACAUACAUCUUUAAUCAGUCUUCCCUCCUUUAUAUAGAGCCAUCUUCACACAAAUUUCGCAAGGUAGAAAAGAGGAAUGAAACUUGGAGCAAGGUUCGACUACUGGUUGUAGCUUGUCAAGGCUGGAAGUGAACUUUUCUUGGCUUUCUGGGCAUGGGUAGUAACUUGUGGGUUCCUGUUUGGCAUAAAAAUGGCUAGAACAUGUGGCACUAUCUUGUUGGAUGAUGUGUCAAGCAUGUGGCAGCCAUCUAGUGGCGAUUAUGUCAAUUUUGGGAUGGAGAGUUGGCAUCCAAUUGCAAAGAAAUAUGACGUCUACCAACAUGCAAUGUAAACCUAUGUAGAUCAUAUGAAGAUAGAGAGGAAAAAUAUAGAAAUGGAUAUAUACCUAGAACUAGCUUUUUAUUAAAUGAAACGGAGAGACAACAAUGAAGGAAAAUAAAAUUUUUUGGCUUAUAUCAAAGAGUUCACAUUGUGUUACCCUAGGUUUUCUUAAAACUUACUUUUAUGAUAACAAAAAAGAAAAAACCAUUAUUGUUUAAUCCUUUGUUUUAAACGCAUGUAAGGUGUAAUUAAGUUAGUUCAAUGCAUUAAUUUAAGAAACUUGACCUAUCAAAAGUACAAAAUUAGAUGAAAUCCAUUUCAAUGGUUAAAAUGAUCAAAAUCAAACUUUUUCUAAGUAUUUUUUAAAAGCAUCAAUAGUGAAAGACAAUUUUAUAUUUAGUCGGAGUUUGGACAAAACUGAAAAACACACAAAAUCCAAGCGACCAUCUCUAGCUUGGAUGGUCGCUUGAUCCCACCUAGAGAUGUGCAUGAGUAAAAGGAUUUGAAAAUGGAAAUUGACUAUGUAGUCGAUCAAUUAACUUUGCAACAUCAUAUGCAAUCCUAAUUGCUAGUCAUCUAAUCAAUUAGGUAGUCAAUCAACAGGCCAAAAAUAUGUUUAUAAUGACUAUUUUGUACAAAAACCACCUGUAUAGUUAAAUAUAAUGCAUUUCAUUUAUAAAUCUUCUAAUUCUUGAAUAACGAUCCUAUCAUCCUUUGAAAGUUUUUAUUACACUUUUUUUACUUUUGUUCUAAAACUUACACAUCACCCUUAAUUGUACCAUGAGAACCUAGCUAUUUUUUAUUUUUUUUUUUGUAAUUCAUCAAAGUUAGCUUUUGUAUUCAUUGUUGUAUUAUUUUUAGUAUAACUUAGAAAGCUAGUGUUUUCAAGUGAGUAAAAUUAACUUGUAAAUAUUGUAAAGAUUCAUCGACAUGUAUCUUAAACUAAGUGUACAAGUUAAAACAUUUGCUAGUAGAUUUUCUCAAAAUUUAGAAUAGAGCUUGAGACUAUUGAAAUAGGUGGGGUUGCACCAAACCACAUCACAUCGUUGUUUGCACCUUUUUUCACUCUCUUUUACUUAGUUGCUCUAUAUUUGUUGUCUAGUAAUAUCCUAUAGGCUUGAUGGGUUAGGGAGCAUCCCUUUGUGAAAAAAUUUUAUUCAAUCCUUAGUUGUAUCACGCAUAUAUAAAAUGCCUCAUUGUUUUAAUGGUAUUCAGUCGUGGCAUCACAGAUAUGGGCAUCUAAAUUUUAAAAGUUUGAAACUUUUAUCUAAAGAAAAUAUGGUGCUUUGCCUUUUUGUAAAGCAUGUUGAUGAAAUCCAUGAGAAUUGUGUACUUGGGAAGCAACACCGAGAUGACUUUUUUUUUUUUUUUAUAAUAUUGUUUGUCCAAAUUCCCUACAAAUUAGGCCACCAGAUGUUCAUAAUUCUCCCUUCUUGAAUUUGAAAACUCGGACAAUUGGACAAUGCGACACCUAAGUCCGGUUUCUAAAUGCUAAAGUGAAAGGGUAGGUAUGGACCAUUGAAAUGUGAUCACAACUUUUCUCUGUAGCCAUGUUGUCUCUUUUUUCUUUUGCAUGAUUUUCUUACCUUAACAGAAUCAUAGACUUGUUUAGUCUCUAAAUGGGAUUAAUUUCAUCCAGCUUUAAGCUACUAUAUUAUAUCUAGGUGGAGGACUUUUAAGAGUGCAACCGACAUAGAGCACAUGGAAGUGGGUAUAUGGGACAUGAAAUUUCUUCUUAUAAAGAUUGCAUGAUUUUUAUAUUAGAGUUGUUGAGGCGCUAUGUAUUUAGCUUGUUUUGCAGUUAAAUUAAUUGGAUAAGUAGACAUUGGCGUUUCUAAAUCUACUGUGAAGUGCUUCAUGUACGUGUGAAGUAUUAGAAAUUUCUUUCUUGGCAACUUGUUUUUCUUUGCGGUCUACUGAUAGGUUUGACUAAAAUUAUAUUCCCUGUCAUGCUAAUUAAUUUUCACGUGCAUGCUCAAAAGAAAAGUAUGACCUUAGUGCACCAAAAUCACUUUGAUUAAUUUGUGAUAGGUUUUUGUGCAUCAUGACAUUAGCCUUAUUCAUUUAGAUAAUGUUUAGUUUUUAGAAAGUAUUAAGAAAAGGAAAAUAAAUAUUAAGAAAAAUAUUCUUAUAUUUGAUUGUAUUAUGAAAAAUAUCAUAAAAAAAUCAAAUAUAAUUUAAAUUAAUUAAUAAUUUAUACAUUUUCAAAUUAUUUAAUCUUUAUAUUGAAGAUAUAAUAUAAAUGAAAUGAGUUUUAAGUAUUAUAUAAAAGUGAUUUAUUGAUCUUACAUAUAUAUAUUUCUUUUUUUUUUCCUUCUAUUUUUUCUCUUUAUUUUAUUUUCCUUAUGUUUUCCUCAACAUUUUCCGGAACCAAACAUAGCCUUAGGAAAUCCACAAUUACCUUCAACUGAGUAGAUUCUGUUGUUUUAGCAAUGUUAGGCUGCUAACUUGUGUUGGUACGAACCUAUUAAGCCUAAAGAUGUAAUUAGUUAGGAUAUUCUUUUCCCUCUAGUCUUGUAGCUCCACGUGUACAGUUGGUUAGGACCUCAUUGUAUAUAAUGCUUGCCCUGUUAUUGUAGAAGACAACAAAGAUAAAUAAUAUUAACAUUUUUCCUCUCAUCUCUCUCUGUUUCCCUCUGUUUUCAUCUCCUCUCUCAUCUUGGUAUCAGAGCCUCCAUGGCUUCUUUCAAAGAAACCUCCGAAUCACCUUCUGCUAGCAUUGUUAAUGUGCAAAACCCAUUAUCUCAAUCAAACAACCUUCCUUCACCAGUAGCCACACCCUCUUUUUCUUUCUCGUCUAUGAAUCAACCUCUCACAGUGAAGCUGGAUAAUGGGAACUACCUCAUAUGGAAGAAUUAGCUUCUAAAUGUCAUCAUUGCUAACGGACUCGAUGAUUUCAUUGACGGAUCUCGACCCUGCCCUCCUCGAUUUCUCGAUCUGCAACAACAAACCCUCAAUCCAGAGUACUCAGCUUGGCAGAGAUACAAUCGACUUCUGAUGAGUUGGCUGUACGCAUCCUUGUCCAAAGAUAUAAUGGCUCAGAUUGUUGGGUAUUCAACAGCUAUGGAGAUUUGGAAUGCCCUUAAUCAGAUUUACUCUGCCUCUUCUAUGGCGCGGUUUACUGAGCUUCGCACCAAGCUUCAAACGCUCAAGAAAGAUGGACUCUCAGUUGGUGAAUAUAUUCAAAGGCUCAAAUCCAUUUGCAAUAGUCUUGCAGCAAUAGGAGAACCAGUUUCUGAGAAAGACCAUCUUAUCUAUUUGUUCAAUGGAUUAGAUUGUGAGUAUUAUUCUUUUGUUACCUCCAUUCAAAAUCGAUCUGACCAACCAACUAUUGACAAAAUCCAUAGCCUAUUGCUUAGCUAUGACUUCCGGCUUGAACAACAAAACUCUGUUUCUCUCCAUUCUGCCCAAGUCCAUAUGGCUCAUCUGAACAAGAAACCUUAUAAAUCAACUCCUCAACCUACAUUCAAUCAUAUUCACAUUCAACCUAGAUACUCUUCUCCACCUUUUAAGCCAACCACUAGUCAAUAUCAACCCAACAUUUUGGGCAAACCACAACCACAACCAUGACAGCCUCAACCUCAAUGGAAACCACAUUUUUCAAUCUAAAAUCAAAAGCCUCAGCGCCAAAUUUGUGGUAAAUUUGGACACACUGCUCUUAUUUGCUUCCAUCACACAAAUUUGAACUAUUCACCCCAACCUUCUCCUAAAUCUUUCAAUACUGUUCUCACCACAAAUUCCCAGCUCCCUAAUCCUCCAAAAUUUUCUUACCCUACAAUGGCUCAUCCUGCUGCUACGCAUAACACGGUUCCCGAUACAAAUUGGUACAUGGACUCAGGUGCUACACAUCACUUUACUCUGGACAUCAACGUGCUUGACACUGUGACACCAUUUAGUGGUUCAGAACAGGUGACAGUUGGGAAUGGUAAGCAACUCUGUAUCUCACAUCUUGGUACUGCAAAACUACCAUCUUCGUAUUCUCCUCCUGUUCUACAUCAGGUAUAUCACACUCCAAAAAUUUCAAAUAAUCUUAUUAGUGUUAAAAAAUUGUGUUCUGAUAAUAAAGUUUUUGUUGAAUUUUAUGCCACUCAUUUUCUUGUCAAGGAUCAGGUUUCGAAGAGAGUUCUCCUUUAGGGUCAACUUGAUAAUGGCUUAUACAAAGUUCAGUCGUCAUGCUCUCCUUCUGCUGUUUCCUUUCCUCCUCAAGUUUUCAUAGCCAACAUCAAGUAUCCAAAUCUGUGGCACAAGAGACUAGGCCACCCAGCUUUAUCUGUUGUUAAUCAAAUCUUGGAUUCUUGUAACAUUGCUCGAACACAGAAAAUUUGUUUUAAUUUUUUAAAUUCUUGUCAAUUAGCAAAGAGCCACAGGCUUCCUUUUUCUCUGUCUCCAUCCAUUGCAGAAAAACCUUUUGAGUUAAUUCAUACAGACCUAUGGGGUCUUUCGCUCGUUCGCUCUAUUUCUGGUGCUCUUUAUUUUUUACUUUUCAUUGAUGAUCAUACUCGUUUUACUUGGUUUUAUUUGCUCAAAACAAAAGAUGAAGCAUAUCCUACUUUUCUCAAGUUUCAAGCUCUCAUUGAAAAUCAAUUUAAUACCAAGAUUAAGGCUGUCCAAUCUGAUUGGGGAGGUGAGUUUCGAUCUCUCUCCAUACCGUUUUCAAAUAUGGGCAUUGUCUAUUGUUUAUCGUGUCCAUACACCUCACAACAGAAUGGGCGAGUUGAGCGAAAAAAUCGCCAUGCGAUUGUCCUUUCUUGCUUGCUCUAUGCCCUUAUCUUAUUGGCCUUAUGCCUUUCAAACUGCCACUUACCUUAUUAAUCGUCUCUCUACCCCUGUGCUGCAUCAUCAAUCCUCUUACUUCGCACUCUAUCACAAACUCCCAACUUAUACUCAUCUUAAGGUCUUUGGUUCCUCUUGUUUUCCGUAUUUGCACCCUUAUAAUACCCAUAAACUCCAAUACAGGUCACUAGAGUGUGCUUUUCUUGGUUACAGUUCACACCACAAAGGUUAUCUAUGUCUUGACAUUCAUUCUAGCAGGGUGUAUAUUUCUCGCCAUGUGAUUUUUAAUGAAGAUUCUUUUCCAUUCAAGAAUUUGAAAUCUUCUCUCUCUCAGUCUAUUUCUUCUUCCUCUUCUUUAUAAGUUCCUCUGUUCAUUCUCUUGCCUCCCCUUUCCCCAUCUCCUCUUAUUUCUUCAUCUAUACCUCAUUCUUUUCCCUCUUCUUCUUCUACCUCUAGUACUUGUUCCCCUCUCGUUGCUCCUACCUCUCUUCCUUCCUCUUCACACUCUGUGUCUCCAUCUAUUCCACCUCCUUCUCCACCUUCUCCGAGUGUGGACCUGCUUGCACCUUGUGUGAAUACAAAUUUACAUACUUCUUCUCGCACUCACAAUAUUCAUCCUAUGGUGACUAGAUCUAAGGUUUGUAUCUAUAAACCUAAGUUGUUGUUGAGUGUCUCCAUAGGUUCUCUCACUAAGCCUACUUCCUUUCUUCAAGCUAUUAAAGAUCCUUCAUGGAAGCAAUCCAUGGAAUUCGAGUUUGCUACCCUUCAACACAACAAGACCUGGCAUUUGGUUCCUUCACCUUCCUCAGGCGAAGUAAUCGGUUGUAAAUGGGUCUAUAAGCUAAAGCUUCAGCCUGAUGGCUAAAUUGAGAGAUACAGCCUGCUUAGUAGCUAAGGGUAUCAUCAAAUUGAAGUAUGGACUACUUCGAAACAUUCAGCCUGAUNNNNNNNNNNNNNNNNNNNNNNNNNNNNNNNNNNNNNNNNNNNNNNNNNNNNNNNNNNNNNNNNNNNNNNNNNNNNNNNNNNNNNNNNNNNNNNNNNNNNAGCUUCAGCCUGAUGGCUAAAUUGAGAGAUACAAGGCCUGCUUAGUAGCUAAGGGUUAUCAUCAAAUUGAAGGUAUUGACUACUUCGAAACAUUCAGCCUGAUUGUCAAGCUUUCUACUAUCUGUAUUGUGCUCAGUCUUACUUUUUCCCAGAAUUGGUGUAUUAGACAGCUGGAUGUUCAUAAUGCCUUCUUACAUGGUGACUUAGCUAAAGACGUUUUCAUGGAACAACUGCCUGGAUUUGUUGAUCCUCUCUAUCCUACUCAUGUCUGCAAGUUGGAUAAGUCUCUCUACUGUCUUAAAUAGUCACCUCGGGCUUGGUAUACUAAGCUGAGUACUUCUCGCUACACUUGGGAUUUGUUACUUCUAAGAAUGACUCUUCCUUAUUUAUUUGUCAUUCGUCUCAUGGGUUACUUCUUGUUCUUGUCUAUGUGGAUGAUAUAAUCGUCAUUGGGAGCCACUCUCCUCAGGUUACUCACCUUAUCCAACAGUUGCAUCAUUAGCUUUCUUUAAAGGAUCUUGGUCCUUUACAUUAUUUUCUGGGCUUGGAGGUUCAUCACACCCCUACUGGUAUUCACCUCAGCCAAGCAAAGUAUAUCACUGAUCUCCUUACCCGGGCGGCUAUGUUGGAUGCCAAGCCAUGUCCCACUCCUAUGUCCUCCAACACAUAUCUCUCUUUUCAUGAUGGAGUGGCUCUUGAAAAUGGUUCAGAUUAUCGAAGUUUUGUUGGUGCCCUUUAGUAUUGUACCAUGACACGCCCAGAUAUAGCUUUUGCAAUAAAUAAAGUGUGUCAAUUCAUGCACCAUCCCUCUAAUGUUCACUGGCAGGCUAUAAAACGUAUUCUCCGGUACUUAAAGGGCACAUCUCAUUUUGGUCUCUUCCUACAGCCUUCCUAUGACUUCAACAUCACUUGCUAUACAAAUGCCGACUGGGCUUCCUGUCCUGAUGACAAGUGUAGCACCAGUGGCUACUGCCUCUUUCUUGCCUCUAAUCUGGUUUCUUGGUCAUCUUCCAAACAAAAAGUGGUCUCCCGCUCCAGCGCCGAAUCAGAGUACCGAGGGGUAGCAAAUGGGGCUGCUGAAAUUGCUUGGACUGAAUCUCUUCUUUGUGAACUUUCCAUUACUCCCCCUCCCCUCAUUCUCUGUGACAAUAUCAGUGCCACGUACUUAGCUGCCAAUCCUAUUUUGCAUGCCCGCACCAAACAUGUGGAAAUCGACUAUCACUUUGUCACGGAACGUGUUCUUCAAUGCUCUCUUUUUGUCCAGUUUACACCUUCUGAUGAUCAACUUGCUGAUUGCAUGACCAAGCCUCUCUCCACCCAACGUUUCAUCACUCUACGCUCCAAGCUCACUGUUCUCACUAGACCAAUGAGCUUGAGGGGGGAUGUUAAGCCUAAAGAUGUAAUUAGUUAGGAUAUUCUUUUCCCUCUAGUCUUGUAGCUCCACGUGUACAGUUGGUUAGGACCUCAUUGUAUAUAAUGCCUGCCCUGUUAUUGUAGAAGACAACAGAGAUAAAUAAUAUUAACAUUUUUCCUCUCAUCUCUCUCUCUGUUUCCCUCUGUUUUCAUCUCCUCUCUCAUCUGAACCAAAUGAUCCAUGUUAACCUUGGCUUGGUUUGAUUUGGCUCUAUCUUAGAGAGCUCAAGGAUCACGUCAACUCUGGUUUCUACUAUUCAGGUCCAUUCCCAUAUGAACUGGUUCAAAUUUGAGAAAAUGGUAACAGACCUUUAGUGAUGUUGGUUUGGAGCCAGUUGCCAAACCCGCCCUGAGCUUUACCACUAAUGUCAAGGGAGAAAGCCAUUUGAACAAAAACAAUAGCUUCAAGGGACUGAAUCGUGGAUGAAAUCUGAUCCACAUUUCUUCUCAUUUUGGAAACAAAUGAGAACUUAACUAAGAAGAUUCUACGGCCUCAUAGUGCUUUUCCUGAUCUAAGGUUGGUUCGUUUCCCAAACUGUGAGAUGCACGUGCCAGACUUCAGAACUCUCACGCUCAGGAGUGUAUCCACGUGGUGGACAUAAGAUGGUGGCUUAAGAUCUGGUGUCGGUGGCUUUACUUUACUAGGAGAGUAGUGUGUCUUCAUCUCAUUCACUGCCGGAGGGUGGCGUAAGCAGUGACGCUAAGGUGGGGCACAGUCAAUAUCAUUUGCAUUUGACCAUUAUAGUUUUCUCCCGGCUUUAAAGUAACCUUAUCGUGAUAAAGGAUUACUAGCACUAGUUCAGAUGAUAGUCAUGUUAAAUUCGGACCAUGUUUGUGUCACAUUAUCAGCAACCAUGUGUUUAUGGUUCAUGCUUUCUGCAACUAAAAUUGAUAUAUAACCAGGUGAACUUCAAUCUAAAUUCUGAAAGUACUCAUGUGAUAGAUGGUGCCCGUCUGCAGAGUCCAUCAAUUGAAAAAUGGAGUGAGUGUAUCUAUAAGAGGGAAGGCUUGGAAAAUGUUCAGUUUUCUGGGAAUUCAACAAGGAUCUAAAAUAGAUUGUUUUCUUUGCUGAUUUCAAUGGUUGAAAUUUGAGAAGAUUGUGUCCACAUAACACAACUAUUACUGGUCCUUCUGUUGCAAUUUAUCCUCUAAAGCUCUAGCAUGUCUUCCAAUUCCCACUUCCCUGUUACUCCAGGAAAGCUAUUUCUGUCAUUGUGAAGAAGAAAAGAGAAUGUACAUAUCGAUGCUUUUAAGUGACUGGAGCAUUUAUAUCAGGUGGUCUGCAGCCAUAUAUGCCACUUUGUGAAGAUUGGAACAGUCAAUCACUAGGCUAUAUAUUAGUGUGGCCCAGCCACUUUAAUCAAGGACAAGUCUUCAUACUUAAAGUCAAAUUCUGCCUUUAGUCUCAUUAUAAAUUUCUGUUUAAAUAUUAAGCAAACAUUUGUUUAAUGCGAUUAAGACAGUACUAACUCAAUACCUGUUCUAUUUUUGGAUGCAAAUGCUUGAUGGUUUCAUCAUUGGAUGGGAUAAAGGUGCAUUCAUGAUUAGGAAUACUAGUAGUUAUAUUUUAAUUCUCUUUUUUCUCAAUGAGACUUGUUGGCACAAUUUUGCUGUUGAGAAACCUACCUCUCCAUGGAAAAUAAGUUGUGAUUGAUAGUACUGGAUAUAUUCAAGAAAUCUAAAUAUAGAUAGCACAAAAUAUUAUCGACAUAAAUAGCAUUAACAGCGUACGUAUGUCUCAGUGCUCAUCAGCUAUAAGCAUGGGGCAAACACUUACUAUGAGCAACUUACGUCAAAAUUCCAGAAUAGGACAUAGAAGUGACAGAUAUAGAACAUUGCAUAUGAGUCACAAGAAAGGAAAUUACGGGUGCAUAGCAGCUCUUAUUUUACAUACUACUACUCAUACUGAUCAAAGUCACUCAGUUGGGAUGGGUGGGAGUAGGAGGUUUGUGGGGUGGCUUGUGCGGAGGAGUUGGCAGCUUCUUUCCAGGACCUGGUUGCUUCUCUGCUGGAGUUGAAGGAGGCUUAAUCUUCCGAGGUGGCUUGUAUGAGUCUUCAGCAUUCUCAGCUGGAGGGUGACCAGGGUUGUGACCAUAAUGUGGUGGCUUCUCUCCCUUAGGUGGUUUGCCAACUGGGGUUGGUGGCUUGUAUGAGUCUUCAGCAUUCUCAGCAGGAGGGUGACCAGGGUUGUGACCAUAAUGUGGUGGCUUCUCUCCCUUAGGUGGUUUGCCAACUGGGGUUGGUGGCUUGUGUUCUGGGAGUGGCUUCUCCCCCUUGGGAGGUUUUUCCAAUGGGGUUGGUUUGUGUUCAGGAGGUGGCUUCUCCACUGGAGGCUUGUGUUCAGGAGGUGGCUUCUCCACCGGAGGCUUGUGUUCAGGUGGUGGCUUCUCCACCGGAGGCUUAUGCUCUGGUGGUGGCUUCUCGAAUGGGGGAUGCUUAGGAUAAUCAGCAAGUGAGGGGGCGGUGAGAACCACCAGGCCAAGCAACACCACUAGCAAAUAUGUAGGAGACAUCUUUGGGUUUGGGCUCAGAUGGUGCAAAACUAGGAGAAUUGGCUAGCCUUUUAUAGCGGAUCGUACCCAAUAAUGAAAUGACACGUGUCAUUAUGACCCAUGUGUAAUGGGGUCGAUUUGGGUCCUACAGUGUUGAAAACUUCGACAUCCACUUUUGGCCUUUUGCUUUCUCUACAGCCGCCUUGCUUUUUCCCUCUUUCCUUUUGUUUUCCUCCUGCCCCAUUCUAUCAACUAAACACAAUUAUGUAGUUGUUUAAUUCUUAAAUGAGAUAUUAUCCGUCAAUCGUAUUAUAUUUUAUCAAGAGAGAACGGAGUGCAAUGUGGCUGUAAUUUUAUCGUUUAGUUUUAUCUCUUGGACCACUGCAUUUUUGUUAAGAGGUGCAAUAAUACACGUCUUUAUCUGCCAUUCAAUAUUUACAGUAAAGAGAGGGCACAAAACUCUUCACUUCGCACCAUAAUUAUUUUGUUUUCUGGACACCCCGGGGCCCUUUGGUUGGUUUGGGGGUCAGAAAGUGAACAUCAUAGGGGGUUUUUCCCUUAUGUGCAUUUGUAUCUGAUGGCUUUAACUCGCCUUGUUACUACAAAGAAACUGUCACAGAUAGGAACUUAUUCCAGGCUGAGUAUCUCCUCAUAGACCCUAUAAAAGAAGACAAGUCAUAAUGAACAUCUAACCUUUGUUCAAUUUGAUUCAAUGCCCCCAUUGUGUCCAUCUCACAAAUCUGAAUUAUUAUAUCCAUUGAAUACAUAAAUUAAUGAAGAAAAUAUGAAACCCAAGAUACAUCUCUGCACAACCUCAACCCUGGUUGCUAUGUUUCCCUUCUAUUCACAUGAUUUGAUGCUAAUUGCCAAACUUGCAACAAGCCCUGAGUUUGACACCUAGUAUCGAUGGGCGAAUUUAAAGUCUCCUCCAAACAUAUAUUCCACAGCUUGAAGCUCACAGAAGAUGUUACAGGCAGGGAAAAACCUUCAGAGUUCGCUACCAAAGAUAAUUAUUAAGGAGAUAUCACAAAGAGAAUUCCAAGGGGUCUGAAUCAAAGACAAAUUGGUCGUUCGUGGGGGUUCUUACUUUCUUUUGGGUAUAACUCACUGAGGGCACUGUCUUUGUUAUUUGCAUUUCACAUUUAGAGUUCUGUUCUGGAAACAUAUAAAAGGAGCAUCAUUUUGUUCUUGGGUAACCCAUAGUCGUGAGUGGGUCCAUUUGCAUGCUACUUAGUUGAAAAGUUGGACCAUUUGCUCCGACGCCUACCUCCCGGAUUCCAUGCUCGGAUAAAACAAGAAUAAAAAAAAUAUUUAUAAUUUACAAAUGGGGGAAAGAAAAAAAUGUCAACAACAAACCAGGAAAAAAGAGUAGUAAAAUUCAUGUCACAUGCUAGUGAGAGAAGGGGUUGUUACACUCACUCGAAGUUCUUUCCAAAAUAUCGCAUGGUAUUUUAUUUUAUGUGUCAGCGCAGUUGUGAAUGGAACGUGCAAAAGUCCAAAUUGGCGUUUUUCCUUUUCCCGUGUAGGAUGGCGACCUUUAAUAAAUAUUUAAAACAAAAAACGAAAAAAAGGAGGGAAAAGGGAUCAGAAAAGAUAAAACAAUGUGUACAAGAGCUCAAUUAGUUUGCAAAUUACUGUUUGGAUUUUGAUAGUAUUUUAUUUGUCCAUCUAUAUUUGAUGGAAAAGAGAAUUUAAGAUAUUUCUGAAACAAAAGCAUUAGUGUAAAACUAAAUUAAGGUAUAAUUAAGUUAGUUCAAUGCAUUAAUUUAAGAAACUUGAUCUAUCCAAAGUACAAAAUUAGAUGAAAUCCAUUUCAAUGGUUAAAAUGAUCAAAAUCAAACUUUUUCUAAGUAUUUUUUAAAAGCAUCAAUAUUAAAAGACAAUUUUAUAUUUAGUCGGAGUUUGGACAAAACCAAAAAGCACACAAAAUCCAAGCGACCAUCUCUAGCUUGGAUAGUCACUUGAUCCCACCUAGAGAUGUGCAUGAGUAAAAGGAUUUGAAAAUGGAAAUUGACUAAAUAUUUAGUUGAUCAAUUAAAUUUGCAAUGUCAUAUGCAAUCCUAAUAGCUAGUCAUCUAAUCAAUUAGGUAGUCAAUCAAGUGUUUGUAAUGACUAUUUUGUACAAAAAACCACAUGUAUAGUUAAAUAUAAUGCAUUUCAUUUAUAAAUCUUCUAAUUCUUGAAUAACGAUCCUAUCAUCCUUUGAAAAUUUUUAUUACACCUUUUUUACUUUUGUUCUAAAACUUACAUAUCACCCUUAAUUGUACCAUGAGAACCUAGCUAUUUUUUUUUUUUUUGUAAUUCAUCAAAGUUAGCUUUUGUAUUCAUUGUUGUAUUAUUUUUAGUAUAACUUAGAAAGCUAGUGUUUUCAAGUGAGUAAAAUUAACUUGUAAAUAUUGUAAAGAUUCAUUGAUAUGUAUCUUAAACUAAGUGUACAAAUUAAAACAUUUGCUAGUAGAUUUUCUCAAAAUUUAGAAUAGAGCUUGAGGCUAUUGAAAUAGGUGGGGUUACACCAAACCACAUCACAUCGUUGUUUGCACCUUUUUUCACUCUCUUUUACUUAGUUUCUCUAUAUUUGUUGUCUAGUAAUAUCCUAUAGGCUUGAUGGGUUAGGGAGCAUCCCUUUGUGAAAAAAUUUCAUUCAAUUCUUAGUUGUAUUACGCAUAUAUAAAAUGCCUCAUUGUUUUAAUGGUAUUCAGUCGUGGCAUCACAGAUAUGGGCAUCUAAAUUUUAAAAGUUUGAAACUUUUGUAAAGCAUGUUGAUAAAAUCCAUGAGAGUUGUGUACUUGGGAAGCAACAUCGAGGUGACUUUAUUUUUUUUUCCUUUUAUAAUGCCACACCUAAGUCCGGUUUCUAAAUGCUAAAGUGAAAGGGUAGGUAUGGACCAUUGAAAUGUGAUCACAACUUUUGGCCUUUUCCUUUCUCUGCAGCCAUGUUGUCUCUUUUUUCUUUUGCAUGAUUUUCUUACCAAAACAGAAUCAUAGACUUGUUUAGUCUCUAAGCUACUAUAUUAUAUCUCGGUGGACUUUUAAGAGUGCAACCGACAUAGAGCACAUGCAAGUGGGCAUAUGGGACAUGAAAUUUCUUCUUACAAAGAUUGCAUGAUUUUUAUAUUAGAGUUGUUCACGUGCAAUGUAUUUAGCUUGUUUUGCAGUUAAAUUAAUUGGAUAAGUAAACAUUGGCAUUUCUAAAUCGACUGUGAAGUGCUUCAUGUACGUGUAAAGUAUUAGAAAUUUCUUUCUUGGCAACUUGUUUUUUCCUUGCCAUCUACUGGUAGGUUUGACUAAAAUUAUAUUCCCUGUCAUGCUAAUUAAUUUUCAUGUGCAUGCUCAAAAGAAGAGUAUGACCUUAGUGCACCAAAAUCACUUUGAUUAAUUUGUGAUAGGUUUUUUUGCAUCAUUUAGAUAAUGUUUAGUUCUAAGAAAAAUUUAUAUAAAAAUGGUUUAUUUAUCUUACAUAUAUAUAUAUAUAUAUAUAUUUUUUUUUUUUUCAUUUUUUUUUCUUCUAUUUUAUUUAUUUAUUUUAUUUUCCUUAUGUUUUCCUCACAUUUUCCGGAACUAAACAUAGUCUUACGAAAUCAACAAUUGCCUUCAACUGAGUAGAUUCUGUUGUUUUAGCAAUGUUAGGCUGCUAACUUGUGGUGGUACGAACCAAAUGACCCAUGUUAAUCUUGGCUUGGUUUGAUUUGGCUCUAUCUCAGAGAGCUAAAGGAUCACGUCAACUCUGGUUUCUACUAUUCAGGUCCAUUCCCAGAUGAACUGGUUCAAAUUUGAGAAAAUGGUAACAGACCUUUAGUGAUGUUGGUUUGGAGCCAGUUGCCAAACCCGCCCUGAGCUUUACCACUAAUGUCAAGGGAGAAAGCCAUUUGAACAAAAACAAUAGCUUCAAGAGACUGAAUCGUGGAUGAAAUCUGAUCCACAUUUCUUCUCAUUUUGGGAAAAAAUGAGAACUUAACUACAAAGAUUCUACUGCCUCAUUCAUAGUGCUUUUCCUGAUCCAAGGUUGGUUCGUUUCCCAAAUUGUGAGGUGCACGUGCCACUCUCACGCUCAGGAGUGUAUCCACGUGGUGGACAUCAGAUGGUGGCUUAAUAUCUGGUGUCGGUGGCUUUACUUUACUAGGAGAGUAGUGUGUCUUCAUCUCAUUCACUGCCGGAGGGUGGCGUAAGCAGUGACGCUAAGGUGGGGCACAGUCAAUAUCAUUUGCAUUUGACCAUUAUAGUUUUCUCCCGGCUUGAAAGUAACCUUAUCGUGAUAAAGGAUUACUAGCACUAGUUCAGAUGACCGUCAUGUUAAUUCGGACCAUGUUUGUGUCACAUUAUCAGCAACCAUGUGUUUAUGGUUCAUGCUAUCUGCAACUAAACUUGAUAUAUAACCAGGUGAACUUCAAUCAAAAUUCUGGAAGUACUCUUGUGAUAGAUGGUGCCUGUCUGCAGAGUCCAUCAAUUGAAAAAUGGAGUGAGUGUAUCUAUAAGAGGGAAGGCUUGGCAAAUGUUCAGUUUUCUGGGAAUUCAACAAGGAUCUAAAAUAGAUUGUUUUCUUUGCCGACUUCAAUGGUUGAAAUUUGAGAAGAUUGUGUCCACAUAUCACAACUAUUACUGGUCCUUCUGUUGCAAUUUAUCCUGUAAGGCUCUAACAUGUCUUCCAAUUCCCACUUCCCUGUUACUCCAGGAAAGCUAUUUCUGUCAUUGUGAAGAAGAAAAGAGAAUGUACAUAUCGAUGCUUUUAAGUGACUGGAGCAUUCAUAUCAGGUGGUCUGCAGCCAUAUAUGCCACUUUGUGAAGGUUGGAACAGUCAAUCACUAGGCUAUAUAUUGGUGUGGCCCAGCCACUUCAAUCAAGGACAAGUCUUCAUACUUAAAGUCAAAUUCUGCCUUUAGUCUCAUUAUAAAUUGCUGUUUAAAUAUUAAGCAAACUUUUGUUUAAUGCGAUUAAGACAGUACUAACUCAAUACUUGUUCUAUUUUUGGAUGCAAAUGCUUGAUGGUUUCAUCAUUGGAUGGGAUAAAGGUGCAUUCAUGAUUAUGAAUACUUGUAGUUAUAUUUUCAUUCUCUUUUUUCUCAAUGAGACUUGUUGGCACAAUGUUGCUGUUCAGAAACCUACCUCUCCAUGGAAAAUAAGUUGCGAUUGAUAGUACUGGAUAUGUUCAAGAAAGCUAAAUAUAGAUAGCACAAAAUAUUAUCGAUAUAAAUAGCAUUAACAGCGUACGUAUGUCUCAAUGCUCAUCAGCUAUAAGCAUGGGACAAACACUUACUAUGAGCAACUUACGUCAAAAUUCCAGAAUAGGACAUAGAAGUGACAGAUCUAUAUAUAUAGAACACUGCAUAUGAGUCACAAGAAAGGAAAUUACGGGUGCAUAGCAGCUCUUAUUUUACAUACUACUACUCAUACUGAUCAAAGUCACUCAGUUGGGAUGGGUGGGAGUAGGAGGUUUGUGGGGUGGCUUGUGCGGAGGAGUUGGCAGCUUCUUUCCAGGACCUGGUUGCUUCUCUGCUGGAGUUGAAGGAGGCUUAAUCUUCCGAGGUGGCUUGUAUGAGUCUUCAGCAUUCUCAGCUGGAGGGUGACCAGGGUUGUGACCAUAAUGUGGUGGCUUCUCUCCCUUAGGUGGUUUGCCAACUGGGGUUGGUGGCUUGUAUGAGUCUUCAGCAUUCUCAGCAGGAGGGUGACCAGGGUUGUGACCAUAAUGUGGUGGCUUCUCUCCCUUAGGUGGUUUGCCAACUGGGGUUGGUGGCUUGUGUUCUGGGAGUGGCUUCUCCCCCUUGGGAGGUUUUUCCAAUGGGGUUGGUUUGUGUUCAGGAGGUGGCUUCUCCACUGGAGGCUUGUGUUCAGGAGGUGGCUUCUCCACCGGUGGCUUGUGUUCAGGAGGUGGCUUCUCCACCGGAGGCUUAUGCUCUGGUGGUGGCUUCUCCACCGGAGGCUUAUGCUCUGGUGGUGGCUUCUUGAAUGGGGGAUGCUGAGGGUAAUCAGCAAGUGAGGGGGCGGUGAGAACCACCAGGCCAAGCAACACCACUAGCAAAUAUGUAGGAGACAUCUUUGGGUUUGGGCUCAGAUGGUGCAAAACUAGGAGAAUUGGCUAGCCUUUUAUAGCGGAUCGUACUCAAUAAUGAAAUGACACGUGUCAUUAUGACCCAUGUGUAAUGGGGUCGAUUUGGGUCCUACAGUGUUGAAAACUUCGACAUCCAGUUUUGGCCUUUUGCUUUCUCUACAGCCGCCUUGCUUUUUCCCUCUUUCCUUUUGUUUUCCUCCUGCCCCAUUCUAUCAACUAAACACAAUUAUGUAGUUGUUUAAUUCUUAAAUGAGAUAUUAUCGGUCAAUCGUAUUAUAUUUUAUCAAGAGAGAACGGAGUGCAAUGCAGCUGUAAUUUUAUCGUUUACUUUUAUCUCUUGGACCACUGCAUUUUUGUUAAGAGGUGCAAUAAUACACGUCUUUAUCUGCCAUUCAAUGUUUACAGUAAAGAGAGGGCACAAAACUCUUCACUGCUCUGCAUGUGUCCCAAAAAUGCGAUUGGACAAAUUAUGAUUUGCAUGCUAAAAAGAGGCAAAUGAGGUUAAUUCGCACCAUAAUUAUUUGGUUUUCUGGACACCAUAAAAAGAUGUUAUACAGGCAGGGAAAAACCUUCAGAGUUAGCUACCAAAGAUAAUUAUCAAGCAGAUAUCACCAAGAGAAUUCCAUAGAGUCUGAAUCAAAGACAGAUUGCUCGCUCGUGGGGGUUCUUACUUUCUUUUGGGUAUAACUCACUGAGGUCACUGUCUUUUUUAUUUGCAUUUCACAGUUAGAGUUCUGCUCUGGAAGGUUUGUUCUGGAAACAUAUAAAAGGAGCAUCAUUUUGUUCUUGGGUAACCCAUAGUCGUGAGUGGGUCCAUUUGCAUGCUACUUAGUUGAAAAGUUGGACAAUUUGCUCCGACGCCUACCUCCUGGAUUCCAUGCUCGGUAAAACAAGAAUAAAAAAAAAUAUAUAAUUUACAAAUGGGGGAAAGAAAAAAUGUCGGAAAAAAUAGUAAAAUUCAUGUCACAUGCUAGUGAGAGAAGGGGUUGUUACACUCACUCGAAGUUCUUUUCAAAAUAUCGAAUGGUAUUUUACUUUAUGUGUCAGCGCAGUUGUGAAUGGAACGUGCAAAAGUCCAAAUUGGCGUUUUUAUUUUUCCCAUGUAGGAUGGUGACCUUUAAUAAAUAUUUAAAACAAAAGACGAAAAAAAAAAGGAGGGAAAAGGGAUCACAAAAGAUAAAAUAAUGUUUACAAAAGCUCAAUUAGUUUGCAAAUUACUGUUUGGAUUUUGAUAGUAUUUUAUUUGUCGUUCUAUAUUUGAUGUAAAAGAGAAUUUAAGAUAUUUCCGAAGCAAAAGCAUUAGUUUGCUCUGUGAUGUCCCACAUCGAAUAGGGGAGAAAGUUUCUGGCGCUAUAUAUGUAGAGGCUCCUCUUAACCAAGUAGAUGCGUUUUAAAACCAUGAGGGCCCCCUUAGGUCCAAAGCGGACAAUAUCUACAUGAUUGGGUGUAAGUCAUUACAAAUGGUAUCAGAGCCGAUCCCCGACCCCGGUGUGGGGGUUUGUUUGGCCCUGUAAGGGGUGUUUGUCUGUUUGACCCCACAAUCCCAUGGGACACAACGAGGACGUUGUGUCUGCAUGGGGGGGCGUUUGUGAUGUCCCACAUCGGAUAGGGGAGAAAGUUCCUAGUGCUAUAUAUGUAGAUGUUUCUCUUAACCAAGUAGAUGCAUUUUAAAAUUGUGAGGGCCUCUUUGGGCCCAAAGCGGACAAUAUCUACAUGGUUGAGUGUAAGUCAUUACAUGCUCCAUGUCAAUUUCAGCAUUUCUCAUAUGUUUCACACAUACACAGAAGAGCAUCGUUUUUUAAAGCAUGCAUUUAUGUUGGAUUAAUUUGGAUUUUGUGGGAACUGGGGCAAGGAUCACAUGGAAGAGAGGUUGACUUUUUUCAGUACUUCAAUGGUUGAAAUAUGUGAAGGCUUGAUUGAUACUAAAGCUUGAAAUUGCGACUCUGUCAUUUGUAAAAAAAUAUGACAGCUUCCAUGCUCUCGUUUGGUUGCAUUGUCCGGUCGAGAGGUGCAAAAAGCAUUCUCUCUCUUCUAAUAGUCUUUUCGUUUAAAUCAAGGGAUUUGCCUUCCCGGUCGAGGUCCAAUAGAGGGUAACGGUCACCUACUAAACAUUAAAUGCUCCAACAACUAGUGAACUGAUCGACCCCAGCUCGACUAGUUGAGGUUACUUUUUGGUUUUCUUGUCUCCCGAGGUUAGAAACCUAUAAAUAGAGAGCUUCACUUCAUUUAUGAGUAAGAGAACACCUAAAUUUAUUUGUUUACCUACUUGUUUUUGCCAUAAAAGCUCUCAUUUCUUUUCUUGGUGUAUUAAAUCUCCAUUUGCAUAUCCUUUAGUGCACCUUUGUGAUUCAUUCUAGCCUUGAGUUGUAUUUAAGCCUUUGUUGAGCUAGGUUGAGAGUUUCAUACUUGUUUAUUGAGUGUUAAAGCCUUCAAGUGAGUUAAAACUUGAAGAGAUUGUGUAAGAGCCCAUUGGAGUCGGAAUCCAAGUGUAAAGGUGAUUAAAAGCUUGGUUGAAGCUUCAAGUUAGUGGAACUCUCACUCGGUUAUGAGCUUGAGAAGAGUGGACAUAGACAAGGCAGUGUCGAACCACUAUAAAAUCUGAGUUUGAUUUCUCUAACCUUAUCUCUUUAUAUUUGCUUCUCUUGUGCUUAAAUUUUUUGUGUUUAAAAAGAAUUUUUAAAAACUCAAUUCACCCCCUUCUUGGGAGUUUUUCUCUUUUAAGAUCAGCUUUUAUUUUCUCAAUUGGUAUCAGAACUAUGCCUCUUGUUUAAGACUUAAUCGUCUAAGAGGAAAUGGCUAAUCCAUCAAGUUCAUCUCACAUUGAAAGUUUUGCAACCAAUAGACUUCUUUUUUUUUUUUUGCGGGAACUGAUUAUCCCUAUUGGAAAACUAAAAUGACUUGGUUUUUACAAUCAAUUGAUUUAGAUGUAUGAGAUGCCAUUGAAGAUGACCUAACUUUUCCUUCAAAACUAGUUGAUGGAGUCAUGGUUCCAAAACCUAAGCAAGAAUGGGAUGAGCGUGAUUGAAGAAAUUUUCAAUUAAAUGCUAAAGUCGUUUAUACUUUGCAAUGCUCUAUGGACAGAAAUGAAUAUAAUAGAAUAUGUCAAUGCAAAUCGGUUAAAGAAAUUUGGAGAUUGCUUGAAAUAACUCAUAAAGGAACAAAUCAAGUUAAAGAGUCAAAAAUCAAUUUACUUGUUCAUAGAUAUGAAUUGUUUUUUAUGAAAGAUAAUGAAACUAUUGUUAAGAUGAUCACUAGGUUCACCAACAUUGUUAAUGGUCUUAAAGCCUUGGGAAAGACCUACAAGGAAUCCGAAAACGUGAUGAAGAUCUUGAGGUCACUUCCAUCAAAGUGGCAUACCAAGGUCACCGCAAUUUAAGAAGCAAAAGACUUGAUCAAGCUACCUUUGGAGGAGUUCAUAGGGUCAUUGAUGACAUAUGAAAUCAAUUUGGCAAAGAAGUAACAAAAAGGUGAAGACAAAAAGAAGAAGAACAUAACUCUCAAAGCUACAACUAAGGAAGAAGAAGUUGAAGAAGAAAAACAAAUUGAAGAAGAUGAAGAUUUAGCCCUCAUCACAAGAAAGUUCAACAAAUUCAUGAGGGGUGAAAGGUUUAGAAGAAGAAGGUUCACUUCUAGAAGAGACUUUUCUAAAAAGGAAUCUUCAUCUAAUGGUGACAAAAAGAGAUGGGAAGAGAAAAGAGACUUGGUGUGUUUCAAGUGCAAGAAACCGGGACACAUUAAAUAUGAUUGUCCUCUCUACAAAAGUGAAGUCAAGAGGAAAAAGAAUAAGGCAAUGAUGGCCACUUAGAGUGAAAGUGAAGAUGAAUCAUCCGAAGAAGAAAAUGAGAAAGAAGUGGCAAACAUGUGUUUCAUGGCAAUAGAUGAACUUGAUGAGGUAAAAUCUAACCUUAGUGAUUAAGAUAUACAUGAUGCAUUUGAAGAAUUGUAUGAGGAUUUUUAAAAACUUAGUUUGAAAAAUAUUUCUCUUAAAAAGAAAGUUCAACAACUUGACAAAGAACUUAGAGAAGUAAAAGAAAAAUUUUCAAAUGUUAAAGUUUCUAAAACUCAUCUUGAAAAAGAAAAUGAGAUUCUAAGAAAGAAAAAUGAAUAGUUGAACUCCUCUCUUUCAAUCUUUUCUUCUAGACAAAAAUCUUUUGAAAUGAUUCUAACUAGCUAAAAAUGUGUUUUUGACAAACAAGGGUUAAGAUUUAAAUCUUCAAAAAAUCAAAAGUAUUUUAAAAACUAUUUUGUAAAGGAAUCCACAAGUGCAAGUCCUUCCACUACUUGCAACUUUUGUGGAAGAGAAUGGCACAUUAGUAGUACGCCCUUUAAGAAAUGGUUCUCAAAAGAAUUUAAAUGCAAAAACUAAAAAAGAUUUGGAUUGAGAAAUCCAAGGUCACUAACCCUCAAGGACCCAAAAAGAUAUAGGUACCUAAAUCAACUUGAGUUUUAUGUUGUAAGGUUCAAAGAAUGAUAAGUGGUUCUUAGAUAAUGGUUGCUCAAGACACAUGACCGGAGAUGAAUCCAAGUUUGCUUUUCUUAAAAAGAAAAAUGGAGGAUAUGUUACCUUUGGAGACAAUGCAAAAGAAAGGAUGAUUGGUCAAGGCAACAUUGGUAAUGGCACAUCCUCUCUCAUUGAAAGUGUUUUAUUAGUAGAUGGUUUCAAACAUAACCUUUUAAGCAUUAGUCAAUUUUGCGACAAAGGUUUUUAAGUGAUUUUUUAAGCAUCUCAUUGCAUCAUCAAGGAUAUUCAAAAUGAUAAAACCAUUUUCAUGGGCCAUAGAUGUGAUAAUGUUUAUGCUAUAAAUAUUUCAAAAUAUGAUGGCCAUGAUAGAUGUUUUUCAAGCAUGCAUGAUCAAAGUUGGUUGUGCCAUAGGAGAUUGAGACAUGCUAACAUAGACCUCAUUUCCCAACUCAACAAAGAUGAACUUGUUAGAGGCCUUCCCAAAAUAAUUUUUUAAAAAGAUAAAGUUUGUGAAGCUUGUCAAGUGGGAAAGUAAAUCAAAAACUCUUUUAAAAACAAAAACUUCAUUUCCACAUCUAGGCCACUUGAGUUGUUGCAUAUGGAUUUAUUUGGUCCCUCUAGGACACCAAGUCUUAGAGGAAAUUCUUAUGCAUAUGCUAUUGUGGACGACUUCUCUAGAUACACAUGAGUCUUGUUUUUUAGUCAAAAGAAUAAAGUUUUUUAUGAGUUUUCAAAGUUUUGCAAUAAGAUUCAAAAUGAAAAAGGUUUUUCAAUUACUUAUAUAAGAAGUGAUCAUGGGAGAGAAUUCGAAAAUAUUGAUUUUGAAGAGUAUUGCAAUGAGCAUGGAAUUGACCACAAUUUUUUGGCUCUUAGAACUCCUCAACAAAAUGGGGUAGUUGAAAGGAAAAAUAGAACUCUUCAAAAAAUGACAAGAACCAUACUAAAUGAAAACAACUUACCAAAAUAUUUUUAGGCCAAAACGGUUAACACUUCUUGUUAUGUUUUAAAUAGAGUAUUAUUGAGGCUCAUACUUAAGAAAACUCCCUAUGAGCUUUGGAAAAACAAAAAACCCAACAUUAGUUAUUCCAAAGUCUUUGGAUGCAAUAUUUUAUAAUAAACACCAAAGACAAUCUUGGAAAAUUUGAUGCAAAAUUGGAUGUUGGAAUUUUCCUUGGUUACUCAACUUCAAGUAAAGCUUUUCGAGUUUUAACAAAAGAACCAUGGUUGUAGAGGAGUCCAUCCAUGUUAUUUUUUAUGAAUCUCCAAGAAAGAGAGAGGAUUGAUGAUGAUUUAGGUUUGAAGACCUCUAUAGGAAGAUUGCAAAUCGAAGAUAGAAGACAACAAGAAGAAAAUGGAGAGAAUCCAAAGAAAGAAGGAUCACCAUUGGCACUACCCCCUCAUCAACAAGCGCAAGGUGAAUCAAGUCAAGAGCUUCCUAAAGAAUGGAAGUUUGUCAUCAAUCACCCACAAGAUCAAAUUAUAGGCAAUCCAUCUAGUGGGGUAAGAACUAGAUCCUCUCUUAGAAAUAUUUGCAAUAAUCUAGCUUUUAUCUCUCAAAUUGAGCCUAAAAAUAUAAAUGAUGUUUUAGAUGAUGAAAAUUGGAUAAUUGCAAUGCAAGAAGAGUUAAAUCCAUUUGAAAGAAGUGGAGUAUGGGAAUUAGUACCAAGACCUUCAAAUCAAAGUGUUAUUGGAACUAGAUGGAUCUUUAGAAAUAAAAUGGAUGAAAAUAGCAUAAUUGUUAGAAAUAAAGCAAGAUUGGUAGCCCAAGGUUUUAAUCAAGAAGAAAUGAUAGAUUAUGAAGAAACCUUUGCCCCCGUAGCUAGGUUGGAAGCCAUUAGGAUGCUACUUGCCUUUGCAUGUUUUAAAGACUUUGUUUUAUAUCAAAUGGAUGUGAAAAGUGCUUUUUUAAAUGGUUUUAUAAAUGAAGAAGUAUAUGUUGAACAACCACCCGGUUUUCAAAGUUUCAACUUUCCUAACCAUGUUUUUAAACUUAAAAAGACACUUUAUGGUUUGAAACAAGCACCUAGAUCAUGGUAUGAAAAAUUGAGUAAAUUUCUUUUGAAAAAAAUGUUUUAAAAUGGGAAAAAUUGACACAACUCUUUUUAUAAAAACCAAAGAAAAUGAUAUGCUCUUAGUUCAAAUAUAUAUUGAUGAUAUCAUUUUUGGUGCUACUAAUGUCUCUCUUUAUGAAGAAUUUUCUAAGUGCAUGCAUAGUGAGUUUGAAAUGAGCAUGAUAGGAGAACUCAACUUCUUCCUUGGACUUCAAAUCAAGCAACUAAAGGAAUGAACCUUCAUCAAUCAAGCAAAGUAUAUAAGAGAUCUUCUCAAAAGGUUCAACAUGGAAGAAGCCAAAACAAUGAAGACUCUAAUGAGCUCAUCCAUUAAGCUUGAUAAGGAUGAGAAAGGUAAAUCCAUUGACUCUAUUAUGUAUAGAGGCAUGAUAGGUUCUUUGCUCUAUUUGACCACUAGUAGACCUUACAUUAUGUAUAGUGUGUGUUUGUGUACUAGAUUUCAAUCUUGUCUUAAAAAAUCUCACUUAAGUGUCGUGAAAAGAAUCCUCAAAUAUUUGAAAGGGACAAUGGACAUAGGCUUAUGGUAUCCUAAGAGUGAUAACUUUGAAUUAAUUGGUUUUUUGGAUGCUGAUUUUGUCAGUUGUAGGGUUGAAAAAUAAAACACUAGUGGCACUUUUCAUUUCUUAAGACACUUACUUGUCUCAUGGCAUAAUAAGAAGCAAAAUUUGGUAGCUUUGUCAACAGCAGAAGCUAAAUACAUAGCAACUGGUUUAUGUUGUGCACAAAUCCUUUGGAUGAAAUAAACACUUAGUGAUUUUGAUUUAUCUUUUGAGCAUAUUCCUAUUAAAUGUGAUAAUAGUAGUGCCAUAAGUAUAUCAAAAAAUCUCGUGCAACACUCUAGGACUAAGCAUAUAGAGAUUAGACAUAAUUUUCUUAGAUAUCAUACACAAAAGGAUGAUAUAACACUUGAAUUUGUAAGCAUAAAAGACCAACUUGCCGAUAUCUUUACAAAACCUCUAAGAACAUUUUGUUGAUAUUAGAGGACAAUUAGGAGUGAUUUCUUUAUGAUCUAAUGUGAUGAAUUCUUGAUGAAUAUACUUUUUGAUUGCAUGAAUUUCAUGUCAUAUAUGCAUCAUAUAGAAAUAUACUUAGAUAAUGGUCAAAUUUCGACCAAAAAUCAAAAUUCCCAUGGCAUUAGGCAUAAAAAUUUUGGAAUUUCAACUGAAAAUGGUAGGAGGAGGAUCACAAAAUGAGAAAGUAUGCAAAAAUUGAAAAAUCAAAACGUUGACCAAGCGGUCAAUCGGACUAGACCGAUCGACUAGUUUGUCGAGAUUUAGGAUUUUUAAGAGACUCCAACGCUUCAAUUUUUGCACCGUUCUCCUCUAUUUCUUCACGGUUUCUCUGAUUUUGUCUUUUAGAGACUAAUUUGAGUGCGUUUUGGAUCAAUUGAAGCAUUUUGGAUUGGAUUUUAGGAAGAUUGAAAGUUAAGGUUUCGGAUUUGGGUCGCCUUCUCUUCCUCUCGCGUGUCACAAUCAGCUUUAGCAUUGUUCUCUUUCCAUUUUCACACACCUAGGGUUUCAGUUGUGAGCAUCUCUCUCUCUUUACCAACCACUACUCCCUUGCUUCUUCCAUAUGGCUCCUAGGCGAGAGUCCGCUACUUCUAGGGCACAAGGCAAGCACCCAACUGAGUCGUCUCAGUCAAAGGCACGUCGAAAAGUGAGAUUUGACAUUGCCUUGUUCAGUUCCAUGGAGGACUACCAACUAUACAAGCAACACUUUGCUUAGAGACGAGUAGUUCCCAAGAGAAAUAUUAAUUUUCCUCAACUUCAGCAUUUCGAAUUUAAGGGUCUAUUUACUAGGAUGGUUGGUUGUCUAUUGUCACAAUUUCGGAGCCGGUUUUCCUGACCUUAGUGCGAGUUUUUUACUCGAGGGCGACUUAUGGCAUGGGUGGCAUGAUCAUUUCUACUGUUGGAGGAGUUGAGAUCUGUCUGGACCCAGAGAGCAUCUGCCAUAUUUUCGAUAUUGCUCUGGUUGGACUCAAAGUAUACAAGUCCAAAAUGUGGCCCAUUGUGCCAGGAUUUGAGCUUAGAGAGGUCAUUCAGAGGAUUUGUGAACUUCCAGACGCCCAGGAGAUGGGCAAACCAUUGCCACACAGUUUGACGGUCAUCAACAGGGUGCUACACCAUAUAUUGUGCUCUAUCUUUCUACCACGAAGUGGACAUUGAGAUGAGGUCUCUUAUUAUGAGGCAUUCCUUAUUGACUCCAUUCUAACGGAGAGACGAAUUCAUCUACUAUGUCAUCAUUCACUAAGCCUCCUCACAGUGACAUACCACCUCAUCAGGCACCUCUUGCUCCUGACCAUGCUCCAUUGAUGGAUUUAUUUACUCAUAUUAGCUCUCUAGGCACUCGCAUGAAGGAGUUUGUUGUAGUUAGUGAUACAUGGUUCUACUCCAUAGAGGAUCGCAUGGAUCAGUAUCAGACUGGCUUCACGUCACAGUUUGAGUAUCUCCAAUAGAGGAUUGAGCAUAUUGAGGAUCACUUGAGCAUGAGAAGAUGAUGGCUUUUCUAUGCUCUGUGUUUCCACCUCCACCUCGUCAACCUUGAUUUCUUAGAGACCCAUUGUUUUCAUUUUGUAAUGUUGCCAAAAGGGGGAGAUAUUUAGGAUCUAGGACUCUAUAGGAGACUUACAUGCAUAUCAUUUUCAUAUCAUUGUUUGGAUCGUACAUAUUGGAUAGUGAUACUUUUUACUUAUAUAUGAUAUGCCUAUAUGUUUCAUGUCUUACAUUGUUUCUUAUUGCAAAUUAUCUCUAACAUGUCUUGAUUAUCUUUUUUUUAACUUCAUAAAUUUUGAUUGUUAACCCAUGAUUGGUUUGAGGGGAAGAUUCUUCUUCUCCUAGAUAACCAAGGUUUGUCAUCAUAAAAAAAUUGGAGAUUGUUAGCCCAAGGGUUCUCCUAAUCAUGUUUUGAUGAUAACAAACCAUGCUUAAGUUACUAAUUGGUUUGAAUUAUAAAGAAUUUCAAGUGUUAAUUUGAAAAUUCAUCAAAGAACCUAAUGGAUGCAAGAUCAAGAUUUUUGGAAGACCUUUAAUCAUAAGAAACAUAUGUAAGAUGAAUGCAUGGGUGCACUUAAGAUUUGCAUAUCAUUUCAUGCAUAUUUGGAAAACACGGUUUAUGCUUUAAAGUUACAUUUCCAUCAAAAUUUGAGAUCCAUCAAAUGAACCUUAGGAAAAAUGUUUUAAAAUUGGCAUAUAAUUUUACCUAAAGACCUUGCCUAAGUGUUAGAAGCAAAAGGACAAAAAAAAUAUAGGUUUUCUGGUCAAAAAUGGUGAACCAGUCAAGGCAUUGUCUAAAUCAGCUCAAUCGGCCAAGGUACCGGUCGAUCGGUUUCCCUUUCCCUGUCGAGAUCUAGUCAAGAGGUACAAAAAUCACAAUCUCUGUCUCUUUCUCUCUUUGUCUAUCUUCCAGUAGUCUUUCCUUCCCGGUCGAGGGAUUUGCCUUCCCGAUUGAGGUCCGAUUGAGAGUAAUAGUCACUUGCCAAAUAUUAAAUGCUCCAACAGUUAGUGAACUGGUCGACCCCCACCUUGCCCAGUUGAGGUUACUUUUUGGUUUUCUUGGCUCCCGAUGUUAGAAACCUAUAAAUAGAGAGUUCCACUUCAUUUAUGAGCAAGAGAACACUUGCAUUUAUUUGUUUACCUACUUGUUCUUGCCUUAAAAGCUCUCAUUUCUUUUCUUGGUGCAUUAAAUCUCCAUUUUGAUAUCCUUUAGUGCACCUUUGUGAUUCAUCUUAGCCUUGAGUUGUAUUUGAGCCCUUUUUUUAGCUAGGUUGAGAGUUUCAUACUUGUUAAUUGAGUGUUAAAGCCUUCAAGUGAGUUGAAACUUGUAGAGAUUAUGUGAGAGUCGAUUGGAGCCGAAAUCCAAGUGUAAAGGUGAUUAGAAGCUUGGUUGAAGCUUCAAGUUAGUGGAAUCCUCACUCAAUUAGGAGCUUGAGGAGAGUGGACGUAGCCAAGGAAGUGUCGAACCACUAUAAAAUUUGAGUUUGAUUUCUCUAACAUUGUCUCUUUAUAUUUGUUUAUCUUGUGCUUAAAUUUAUUGUGUUUAAAAAGAAUUUUUAAAUACCCAAUUCACCCCCCUCUUGGGUGUUUUUCUCUUUUAAAAUUAGCCUUUAUUUUCUCACAAACUAUUGUAGUAUAGUGGUUUUUAGGUGUCAUCCAUUAGGAUGAAUUGUUCUCGGUAAUUAAGGCGUGAAUGAGAGGAGAAUUAAUGAUUGUGAUUAAGUAAAAUUGAUUUGAAAAUUCAUGGUGAAAAAUCAAUUUAACAAUGGUUUCUAAUUGAGAAAAACAAUGAAAUGUGAAAUAAAAUAAAAUUAAUAGGAAAUGAAAUUCUCGAAGUUAGAAUUUUCUAAAAAACAAAUUCCAUGGUGAAUGGAUGUUGAGAUCUAAUUUUCAUCAAGUUAGAUUGAAAACCGAAAUUUUCAUAUAAACUGAUUUUUUAUUUAGUUUUAGGUCUAGAUUUAAUUUCCCUUAAAAUUAGGUUAUUUAAUCCAAGAAAUCAAUUCAAAUCAUAUAUUCAAUUCAUCUUAAAUUAUCUUCCAAUUAUUCACACAAUGCAACUAUUCAAUCUCAUCAAAUCUAGCUUUUAAGAAUUUAAUGAAUCUACCUAGUUUGCAUUGUAAUAGUCAUCCAUGACAAUUUGAAGAGAAAAAUAAUUCAAUUAAUCAAUCACUUGGAUCAAAUUACCUUUGCAAUUAAAGUUCAUUUCUCUAAUUCACCACAGAUUUUGUCUCUAGAUCCUCCUUUCUCAAAGAAAAAUGAGAUUUAGCCACACAUGAUUGGAGAUUUGGUCUCAUAAGGCAUGUUUAGCUAGUGAUAAAAUGAGAGAAAAUAAAGAAAAAUAGAGAAUUCGAUUAAGAAAGAAAAUCUAAAAAAUUCUACAAUUAGAAAUGUCCAAAAAGCUUUUUCAUGAGAAAAUCAAGUUUCUAUUUAUAGGCCAAGGUCAAGUGGACACUUGACAUCAUCUAAGAGGUCUUCCGGAAGCUUCUUCAUCAAGAAAUCUGGAGUUUAAUAAUAAAAUGGUCAUUUCACAAGAGCUCAAACAAUUUCGCAUGAUUAUGUGAAAUAAAAAAUGCAACAACAGCAAUUUACAUCUUCUUGGAGCAUUUCGCAUGACUGUGUGAAAUUUUCACAUGAUCAUGUGGAAUCGACUUGACAACUCUCAUUUAGCCUACAACAUAAUUCCACCUUUUGGUCCAUUUUUCAUAGUCAUGCGAAAUGGAAAUAUUUGAUUUUUAAGUUUUCUUUUGUCAUUUCUUUCAUUUCCUUCUCUUGAUUCCACUUCAACUACCUCCGAAUCCUGGUCCAAACCAAUUGCAUUACUUCUUUCAUUAUGCAUUUGGAUCAUCAUCAACAUUAUUUGUUCUCUUCAAUUUGAUUCAUCUCUUUUGUCACCAAUUUAUCAAAAUCAUACCUUGAAAUGACUCCAAAACUUCAUAAAACUUGUUAGUAACUCUUGCAAGGGCAACAACAUAUUAAUUAAGUGUUUUAGGCAUAGUUACUACUCAAAAGAUGCGAAACUCAUGAUAAUUAUUAUAUAAAAUAUGCUCUUUUUGAGUAGUAAUCAACUUUCUUGCAUAAGCAGACCUUUUAGGGUGGAGUACUAAAGACCAAUAUGCUUGUCCUUGUUGUAAUAAAGAAACUUGCUCUUAUUGAUUGCACCAUGGGAGAAAAUUUUGCUACAUGAGUUAUCAUCAAUUUCUUCCCACCAAUCAUAGAUUUAGACGUGACAAGAGGCCUCUUAAUGGCAAGGAGGAACUGACACUCACACUUAUACAAUUAUCGGGCAUUGAUGUGUUGCAACAAUUAGAAUAACUUACACCAAUUAUGUUGGGGAAGUCACAAAAGGCAAACAUGAAAACUAAAAGGAAAAAAGAAAAAUGUUACAUAUCACCACAACUGGAAAGAAAAAAGUAUUUACUUUCAUUUGCCAUAUUGGAAAGCACUUAUUUUACAUCAUAAUAAUUUAGACAUAAUGCAUAUUGAGAAAAAUGUGUGACAAUAUAAUUGAGACAUUGUUCAGUAUUGACGAAGAAACAAGGACAACCUAAAUAGUCAUCUCGAUUUACAAGCUCUAACUAUUAGAAAUGAGAUUCACCCAAUAGAAAGCAGGACCAAAUUUAUUUUGCUUGCAACAUGCUACUCACUCACCCCAAAUGAGAUUAAGGAAUUUUGCAAGUUUUUGAAAUCAAUAAAGGUCCCCAAUGGCUAUUCUUUCAAUAUCUCUCGUUAUGUGCAACUCAAUGAAAGGAAGAUAUAUGAGCUCAAAUUGUAUGAUUGUCAUGUCCUAAUGCAACAACUUCUCUCACUUGUAGUUCGUGGAGUUCUACAUAAGAAUGUUUGUGGAGUUAUCAUAGAAUUGCGUAAUUUUUUCAAGCAAUUGUGCUCAAAGGUGUUAGAAACAAAUCACUUACACCAACUUGAGAACAAUAUUAUUGUCAUACUAUGUAAAAUGGAGCAAAUAUUUCUUCCAUCAUUCUUUGAUAUUAUGGUGCAUUUACUUGUGCAUCUAGUAAGGCAAAGGUUGCAAGACUUGUGCAAUAUUGUUGGAUGUACCUAAUUGAACGAUAUUGUUAUAAUUUCAUAUGAAUCAUUUAAUUUUAUUUUAUAUUAUGUUCAGUUCAUUAACAUGUACAUUGGUCUACAUAUGGAUGAUGAUAGGUACCUAAGCACUUUAAAGUCAUAUGUGCGUAAUAGAACUUUUCUAGAAGGUUCUAUUGUAGAAAGGUACCUUGCAAAAGAAUGUACAACAUUUUAUUCUAGGUACUUGAAUGAUGUGGAAAUAAAGUAUAAUCACAAUGAUAGAAACUUUGUUGGUUUCAACACUAGAGGAGAUGAAAGGGGUUAUCUUUAAACAUAUUGGACAUGCAUUGGGAAAGCCCAUAUUUCAUUAACUUAGUUCAAAAGAGUGGUCACAAGCACAUUUAUAUGUGUUGACAAAUUGCGAAGAUGUCAUACCAUUCAUUGAGUAAAAAAUUUAUUUGAAUUUUAAUUAAAGCUCUAGUUUAUAUCCUUAAUCAAUGUUUUUUAAAUUCACAAGGAGCACAAGCAAACCAUCAAGGCUAGACCACAUAUACGUGUUUGAGACGUAGAUUUAAUUCAUAACAAGGAAUUUAUCAAGUGGUUUGAAAGACAUGUAAGUAUAUUCCUUAUUAUAAGGGAUUUAUUUCACAUUAUGUUUAUAUUGAAUCCAAACCUAUUAUUGAAUUGUAGGUUGAACAAUUACAUAAUGAAGGUCAUAUAUCUGAACACCUUCUCACAUUAUCAUGUGUUCCAAAUUCAUUAGUUACAUGCUUCAAAUGAUAUAUUGUCAAUGGAUUUAGAUCCCACAUUAAAGAACGUGAUAAAAAAGUUUUUAAAAAAAGACUCAGAAUAAUGGAAUUGUUGUAGUUGCAAAAACGUCAAGCUUUACAAGUGCAUGUGAUAUGAGUCCAAUUAUUAGUGAUGCUCUCUACUAUGGUGUUCUAACUAAAGUUGUUGAGUUACAUUAUCUUGGUGAAAAUAAGGUUGUUUUAUUCGAGUUUGAUUGGUGGGAUGUUACAAAUAUUGGAAAAUUGAUAAAAGAUGAUGAGUACAAUUACACAUUUGUUAACUUUGCAUGAAUUCUAACCACGAACGAACGAUUUGUACUUGCAUCUCCAGCAAAGUAAGUGUUCUAUGUGAAGAAUGCGAAUGAAUCAGAUUGGCAUACUAUCAUGGAGAUGCAACCUCAAGACCUCUAUAAGAUGAACGGGAUAGGAUCCAAUGGUGAUUUUGAACCAUUUCAACAAAGUGAACUACAUGAUCACUAAUAUAUCUCAGAUUUAGUUGAUGAAGAUAUAAUCAAGUGGAACAAAAGUGAUGUUUUAGGACUAAUCAUCCUAAAAAAUAUUGUAGUUUCUUAAAAAAAAAAUGAAAAUGAAGAAGAUAAUUGAACCUUUGUCAUACUUUAAAAAGCAACUAUGCAUUGUUCAUUUUGUAUGUUUUGGUUUUCUUCAUUUAAUUUCCUGAUUUUUGUGAUUCAAUGUCAUAUUAUUGAUCUUGAAAUAUUUUUCUAAUUUUUCAUUCUACGAUGGUUUCAACAAGGAUGACAUCAAGUCAAAAAAGGAAAUGUGGUCCCACACACAAUAUUGCAUUACAGGGAUUAAGGUCAGGGAAGAAGGUAAAAGUUGCAUUUAAUGAGUACAAUCAAUUGGUUAAACAGAAAAAUGGAAAACACUUAUCGAGCUACAUAGGGACACUUGUAUCUAACCAACACAAUGUACCUCUCCAAGCUAGUGAUUGGAAAAAUGUUCCAAAUGAUGCAAAAGAGAAAGUAUGGCCUUUGUUUUGGUAUGUUGUAUUUCUCACUAUAUGAUGUCAUUUCACUGUUAUUCUAUUUUGUGACUAACGUUUGAAUCAUAUGUAAGAAAAAUUUGAAGUAGAUAAAGACUGAAAAGAUUACAUGUUGGGUAUAGCCUCAAAUAAAUAUAGAAGCUAUAAAAAUAUGAUGAAUGCAAAAUACUAUGACCCUUGGCAUAAGGAUGCAUGAGGAGAGGUUAAUACAUAAAUCACCAUUUGUCUCUGAUGUUGAUUGGAAGUGGCUUGUCUCUGAUGCAUAAACCAAAUCCCCCACUGAAUGUUUGAUAUUUGAUAGCAGGAAAAACACACCCGCAGCUAUACACCUCCAUCAUUCAGAUAAUUAUAGUGGGGGAGAUGAUUCAUGGUUGCCCUUAUACCCUUUAUUUGCACCAUCUAUUGAGAUUCUUUAUCAUGGCCAGGUUUUACUGCAGCAAUAAGAUAUGGUGGCAACAAUUUUAUCUAUAGGUGCGGUUCCAGACCGCCUCCAUAGGUGCGGUUCCUGACUGCCUCCAUAGGUGCCUCUUCUUGUAAUGUUUGUUCUGGGAAUUACACUUGAAAGCCUUAUCGUGAUAAGGGAUUACAAACACUAGUUCAGAGGACAGCCAUGUUAAACUUCCACUAUGUUUGUGUCACAUUAUCAGCAGCCUAGUGUUUAUUGGUCAUGCUAUCUGCAACUAAUAUAACCCGGUGAACUUCAAUCUAAAUUCUGAAAGUACUCAUGUGACAGAUGGUGCCUUUCAGCAGAUAUCAUCAAUUUAAAAGUAGUGUGUGUGCCUAUAGGUGGGAAGGCCUUGGCAAAUGUUCAGUAUUCCGGUAAUUCAAGAAGGAUAUAUCUAAAAUAGAUUUUCUUCUUGCCCAUUUCAAUAGUUAAAAUUUGAGAAGAUUGUGUCCACAUCACACAAAUAUUAUUGGUCCUUCUGUUGCAAUUUACCUCUGAACAUGUCUUCCAAUUCCCACGGUCCUGUUACUCCAGGAAAACUAUUUCGGUCAUAUUGAAAAAAAAAAUAUUAAAGAAGGUACACAUGCUUUUAAGUGGACUGGGGCAUUCAUAUCAGGUGGUCUGUAUCCACAUAUGCCACUUCGUGAAAGGUGGAACAGCCUAAUCACUAGGCUAUUUAGUGUGGCCCAGCCACGUUAAUCAAGCACAAGUCUUCAUACUUAAAGUCAAAUGGUGUCUUUAGUCUCAUUACACAUCGCUAUUUGAAGAUUAACUCAUCACUAGUGUAAUGCGAUUAAGACAGUCCUAACUCAAUAUUUGUUCUAGUUUUGGAUGCAAAUGCUUGCUGGUUUCAUCAUUGGAUGGGAUAAAGGUGCAAUCAGGACUAUGAAUACGUGCAGUAAUACUUCAUUCUCUUUUUUCUCAAUGAGACUUCUUGGCACAAUUUUGCUGCUCAGCAACCUACCUUUCCAUGGAAAAUCAGUUGUGACUGAUAGUAAUGGAUAUAUUCUAGAAAGCUAAACAUAGAUAGCAUUCAAUAUUAUCGAUAUAACAUUAACAGCGUAUGUCUCAAUGCUCAUCAGCUACAAGCAAUGGACAAACACUUUGAGUAACUCACAGCAGUCAAAAUUCCUAAACAGGACAGACGUGACAGAUCUAUAUAUAGAACACUGCAUAUGAGUCACAGGAAAAGAUAAUACGGGUACAUAGAAGCUCUUAUUUUACAUAUUACUCAUACUGAUCAAAGUCGCUCAGUUGGGAUGGAUGGGAGAAGGAGGUUUGAGGGGUGGCUUGUGCGGGGAAGUUGGCAGCUUCUUUCCGGGAGCUGGUUGCUUCUUUGCUGGAGUUGAAGGAGGCUUAAUCUUCCGAGGUGGCUUGUAUGAGUCUUCAGCAUUCUCAGCAGGAGGGUGACCAGGGUUGUGACCAUAAUGUGGUGGCUUCUCUCCCUUAGGUGGUUUGCCAACUGGGGUUGGUGGCUUGUUUUCUGGGAGUGGCUUCUCUCCCUUGGGUGGUUUGCCAACUGGGGUUGGUGGCUUGUGUUCUGGGAGUGGCUUCUCCCCCUUGGGAGGUUUUUCGAAUGGGGUGGGUUUGUGUCCUGGUGGUGGCUUCUCUCCCUUGGGAGGUUUACCAAUUGGGGUCGGUGGCUUGUGUUCUGGGAGGGGCUUCUCUCCCUGGGGAGGUUUAGUGGGUGGCUUGUGUUCUGGAGGUGGCUUCUCCACCGGAGGCUUAUGCUCUGGUGGUGGCUUCUCGAAGGGGGGAUGCUCAGGGUAAUCACCAAGUGAGGGGGUGGUGAGAACCACCAUGCCAAGCAACAACACUAGCAAGUAUGUAGUAGACAUCUUUGGGUUUGGACUCAGACAGUGCAAAACUACGAGAAAUCGCUAGCCCUUUAUAGCGGCUCGGACCUAAUACUGACAUAAUAUAAAAUAAAUAUUAUAUUUUAUCAAGAGAGAACAGAGUGUAAUUUUAUCAUUAAUACCGAUCGAGGCCAAAGAAAGAAGACCCAUAAUCCAUUUCCCACAAGCAUACACAAUGCAGCUGUAAUUUUAUCAUUUACUUUUAUCCCUUGGACCACUGCAUUUUUGUUGAGAGACACAAUAACACAUUUUUAUCUGUCAUUCAACAUUUACAGUAAAGAGAGGGCACAAAACGCAAUUAGAUAAAUUAUGUUUUGCCUGCUAAAAAGAGGCAAAUAACUUUAUUUGCAACAUAAUUAUUUUGGUUUCUAGUGACCCCGGGGCCUUUCGGUUGGUUUGGGAUCGGAAAAUGAACAUCAUAGGGGGGGUUGUGCCCUUAUGGGCAUAUAUAUCUGAUAGCUUCAACUGGCCUUGUUCCUAGAAAGAAAUUGCCAAAGAUAUAAACUUAUUCCAGGCUGAAAGUAGAUGAGAGUCAUAAUGAACAUCAACCUUUGUUCAGUUUGAUUCAAUGCCCCCAUAGUGUUCAUUUCACAGAUCUGAAUGAUUAUAUCCGUUGAAUACAUAAAUUAAUGAAGACAAAUAUGAAACCCAAGAUACAUCUCUGCAUAACAACCCCAACCCUGGUUGCUAUGUUUCCCUUCUUCUAUUCACAUGAGGAUACUGGUUAUAAUUGUCAAACUUGCAACAAGCCCUUUGACACCUAACGUCAAUGGACGAAUUAAAAGUCUCCUUCAAACGUCUAUUUCACAGCAUGAAGCUUAUAAAGGAUGCUGACAACCUUCAGAGUUAGCGACAAAAGAUAAUUAUCAAGGAGAGAUAGUUCCAUGAGAAUUCCAAGGAGUCUGAAUCAAAGACAAAUUGCUCACUCAAGGGUUCUUAUUUUCUUUUAGGUACAAAUCUCUUGAGUGUUGUUAAAGAAACACGUCACUGUCAUUUUGAUUUGCAUUUAACAUUUCACUUUUGUUCUGGAAGGUUUGUUCCGGAAACAUAUCAAAUGAGCAUCAUUUUCUUCUUCGGUGACACAUGGUCGCGAGUACGUGGGUCCAUUUUCAUGCCACUUAGUUGAAAAGUUGGAAAGAAAAAACAUGCCAACAAGAAGAUAGUGAGAGAAGGGGCACUUCAAGCCUUUAACAUGAACAAACAGUAAAUAAAAGAUGUUUCUCCACUCAUAAAAGUGUGUUAGAUAGCAAUAUAACGAAUCACAUCCAAAAUCUUUACUAGGCUCAAACAUAAAGAAGACUCAUUUUUAAGAAAAGAUAAAAAUGGCAUUGUCUGAUAGUAUCCAAUACACGAGAUGGCACUUAAUUUGUACAAGAUCUGUCAAUGCUGACGCACAUUUUCUGAUUAAAAAAAAACUGAUCAGUCAAAAGCAAUGAAGAGAAGUGAUGACAAUGAAUGAUGCUUCCAAUAUUUUCACCCCUUAUAGUGUUCUUCAUGAUUCAGAUAUAUAAUUGGAAAUAGAACAACCCUAUGCCAUACAUUCGUCUAAGUAUGGUGUCUAAUUUUUUGUGUCAGCGGUUGCGAAUGGAGCGUGCAAAAGUCCAAAUUGGCGUCUCUCCAUUUCCACAUAGGAAGGUGACCUUUAUUGACAAAUACCCAAUAUUUGUAGACAUUCCUUAAAUAUCAUAACUUCUUGUUGAUUUGAAAAUCAUUUUUCAACUACCAUGUUUUAAUAAAUAUUUUUUAAAAUGUAUUUUUAUCAAAGUCCACCAUGAUGGAUAAUAUUCACCAUGCAAUAAUUAAUAAAGUACAAACUAAGCGAAAUGAAAAGCAUUUUCUUUGCUUUGAGUUGAUUUUGGUUGCAUUGAGUUGAUUUUGGUUUCAUGGUUUUUUCAACUCUUAUUUUGAUUGGAAGAUGUCAAGAAAAGAAAACAUAAAGAAAAAUUAAAAGGGAAAAAAGAAGAAAAAUAAAAAAAAAUAGAUUUAAAAGUUAAUAAAUUAUUUUUUAUAUUUAUUUUAAUUCAUUUCACUUAUUUUUCUUUUACUAUAUAAAAUUUAAAUAAUUUAAAUUUUAUAAUUAAUUUAAUUACAUUUCAUUUUCUUCUAUAUUUAAAUAUUGGAAAAAUAUUUUACUUAAUAUUUUUUUCUUUAAUUUCUUUGGCAUUUUGGGAACCAAACUUAGCCUUUAAAAUAAAAAACAAAAAAAAAAUGAAAAUAAGGAGGGAAAAGUGAGAAAAGAUAAAAACAAUAUGUAAAGGAUUUGAAAAGUAUUAGUUUGUAAUUACUAUUUGGAUUUCAAUAGUAUUUUAUUUGUCUUUCUAUAUUUCAUGUAAGAGAGAAUUUAAGAUAUUCCCCAAGGCAAAGCAUUAGUUACCUGCAAUCAGUGGUGAUAAGGCUCCAAGCCAAUUUUGGGCCCCAUAUCUUAAGACAGUACAAUUUCCAUUUCAACAUUUCUGAUUUCUCAGAUGUUUCACAUACCACAGAAGAACAUUGUUUGUGAAAAUAUGCAUUUAUGUUGGAUUUUGUAUGCUGUGGGGACUGGGGCAAGGAUCAUAUGGAAGAGUGGUUGACUUUUUCUGUACUUUAACGGUUGAAAUAGGAUAAGCACGGGCAUUUGUGAGGCUUAAUUGAUUUUGAAGCCUGAAAUUGCGUUUCUGUCAUUUUGUCAAAAAAAUGGCAGAUUCCAUACUCAUAUGUUUGGCCUGUGGCCAUGUACAGAUGCCAUUUAGUGACCAGUUUGUAACUGUCAAUCGUUGCGUUUUGACUCUGCCUCAACAACAUCUGCCAUUGACGGGUUUUCAUACUUGCAAAUCAAAUAGUCUUUCGUCCCAUCAGGAAUUUCGGUUUAAAUAUUAUUAAGCAUACGUUUGGCUGACAAUCAUUAUCCAGUUCAUGAUUUGGUUUCUUACCCUUAAUCAAUGGUUUCUAAGUGAAUAUAUGUAGAAGGAAAUCCGAAGUGUAGACAGUAGUAUCGAUAACUCUCAAUAUUCUCUAUAUAAUAGAAUAAACAGCGUCAUAGUGAUCGUCGCCUACAAGCAAGGUACAAAUACCAAAACGAGUGACUCACAUAGACAUCUCCCAACAAGAUGUAGUAGUGACUGACACAUGGACACAAUUAACUCGUAGAAAAGGAUAAGACCAUUGCACAGCAGCUCUUAUUUUACAUACUACUUAUGCUAACCAAAGUCAAUUAGUUGGGAUGGGUGGGAGAUGGAGGUUUGUGCGGUGGCUUGUGGGGCGGAGUUGAUGGCUUCUUUCCAGGAGCUUCUGGCUUUUUCAUCGGAGCUGAAGGAGGCUCAAUCUUAUGAGGCGGCUUGUAUGAGUCUUCUUUACUCUCGACAGGAGGGUGGCCAGGGUUGUGAUCAUAAUGUGGUGGCUUCUCUCCCUUAGGUGGCUUGCCAACUGGGGUUGGUGGCUUGUGUUCAGGAAGUGGUUUCUCUCCCAUGGGAGGUUUAGCAAUUGGGGUUGGUGGCUUGUGUUCUGGGAGUGGCUUCUCUCCCUUGGGAGGUUUAGUAGGUGACUUGUGUUCUGGAGGUGGCUUCUCCACCGGAGGCUUGUGCUCCGGUGGUGGCUUCUUGGUUGGAGGGGGCUUGGGGUAAUCAGCAAGAGAUGGGGUGGUGAGAACCACCAGUCCAAGGAACAACACUAGCAAGUAUGUGGGAGACAUUUUUGAGUUUGGGCUGAUCAGAUGAUGCAAAACUAAAGCAUUACGUGACCUUUUAUAGCAUGUAGCUCCCAAUACCCACUAAGUAUUGUGGGGUCCAUUUGUGCCCUACGGGGUUGAAAACUUAGACAAUUGGGCAAGGACCCACCUGACUAUGGAGGACUAGUGAGGUGUGAUCAUAGCUUUAGGAUUUUUCUUCCUCUGCAGCCGUCGUGCCGUUGGCAUGAUUUUCUUAAUCUUAAAUAAAGGCAUAGUUAUAGAGUUGUUUAAUCUCUAAAUGGGAUUUUAUAUAUAUCUUCAGAUAGCCAUUAAUAUAUUUGAUGAAGAAAGAAAGACAAGUGCAUACAACAUGUAUACGACUAGCUUUCAUGGAGUUCAUUUAUGAUCAGUUUUCCUGUACAUGUAAACCAGGAUCAUAUAUAUGUUUCUGUUCCACAACUAUUUUGGAAUCUUGUUUAUCAGUUUUUAUCAUUAUAAUGUCACAUAGGCUGCCAACUUGGGCGCUAAAAGAACCAGUUGGGCUAGUUCGUUUCAGAAUUUCAAUGUGGAUUCAGGAAUUGUUUUGUAAGAUAUGCGAAAUAGUAGAGGGAUGAAUAGUGUUUCAUUAAUAAAAGUGUCCUGUAAAUUAGAAGGUGUCAUAGAAACUAUAAUCAAUAAAUAACUUUUUUUCCCCACGGGUGGUGUUUCUUGUGGGGAUCAGUGACUGGUUUAGGUUCACCCAAAAUGAGUUCAGACUAAAAUUGGUUUGAGUCAAUGCCGUGUCUCUUUUUUCCAGAAAUCAACUAUUUUAUGCAUUGAAUAAAUCAUACAAAGAAAAUAUGAACGCCCGCAAAACCUAAACCCUGGUUGCUAACUUUCUAUGUUUCAGUUCUAUUCACGCAAGAAUAUUAGUUUAAGUUUGGGAAAAAUGGCAACUUACCUAGUGAUUACUUGGUUUUGGUUUGCGACUAUUUACGCAACCAACCAUGAGUUUGACUUUAACGUCAUGGGUUGAAGCCUCCUACAGGAAGGGAGAAAGCUCCACAGCUAGCUCCAAAAGAGAAUUAUCACAUUGAUAGCUCCAGAGAUUCCCAAGGGGACUGAAUCAAAGACAAGUUCCUCACUUUUUCUUCUUUUGAGGCCAAAUAUGAACCAAGGAUCACACAACCUCAUUCAACUUCAUAAGUUUGAUUUCAUGCAGUUGAACACUGGGUGAAGGCCAUGACAAGAAUUGAUUCAAAAAUUCUAUCACUCUUUUAAGUAAUGGAAGAUUAUUAUCUCUGAUUGGCAUCACAACAGCACAUGCUCCUAGAUCUUUCUAGACACUCCAUGCAAUGAAAGCACAAUGGAUCUUGUAACGAUAGAAACUAAGCCAUGCUACAGUACUAGAUGAUGAGGUAAAACUAGUAGACACGGGUGGCAGCCUAUAUGGGAGGGACACAAGUCUAAUUGAUUUGCAUUUCAGCAUUAUAGAUAGGUAUGUUUUGGAAGAUUUGUUCUGGAAAUACCGCACCAAGUAGGAUUCUUUUUCUCUUUAGUGGGUCCACUUGCAUGCCAAUUAACGAGUUGAAAAGUAUGAGCACCUACCUCGUGCUCGUGGAACCGAAGGUCAGUGAAGUGGGGCUCCUUUUGGCCUCGUGUAAACUUGAUUCAGAAGUGAAGUUAAUAGUCUUCCAUUCAGAUGGAUACAUGGGAAUUUUUCUCUUUUAUUUAUUUAUUUAUUUUUUUUUUGUGUGUGUAUGUCAAAGGAUAAUGAAUGAAGCGCGUUAGCUUGUUUUCUGACUGGAACCGCAGAUGUCCAAAUUGGAGUUCCUUCAUUUCUUACUUAGGAUUGUUACAUGUAUAAACAAGGUAUAAGAAAUAUGCCAACGUGUCUUGAGGAGUUAUUGAUUAGAAAUAACAAGUCACCCGACUGUAGAGUUCCAAGAUUUGAAUCUUCAGACCCUAUAGCAGCCUCUGGGGUACGUGGCAUCCUAUAGCAUAUUAAUGAAGGCUUUUUCGAUUUAGACUUCACAAUACCAAUUAAUAUGUAUGCACAAAAUGGAGAUGACCCCAAAAAAAACAGAAUCGCCAUAGUUUAUGAGGUUAAGGUGAUUCUCCACUUAAUAUCUACAUUAGCUAAUUAUGUAAAUCAAAUGAACUUCUAUUUUUCCUUUUUUUUUUUGGUUUAUGUCAAAUAGUAGCCCAUAAUUAACCCAACCAUUAGCCUGUUUGAAUUGAUUUCACAUGCACAAUGUUGUAGUAGUUCAUAUUUUGAAUUUUAUUUUUACAAAGGUAGUUAAGGAAAAUGAAGUAUAAUAAUUAUAAAAGCAGACUAUAUACACUACAAUAAUUGUUAGAAUGGUAUCUCAAAUUCUAAUUUAAAAUAUUAUUUUUUGUAAAAGAAAUAUUAUAUAGAAUAUUUCCUAAUUUUAUAAAUGAUUAUAAUUAGAUCUUUAUAAAAUAAGGAAAGUUGGUAAGAAUAUCUUUAUAAAUAUUUUAGGUCAUGAGAGAAAGAAAUGGGAUAAAAAUGUGAUGAAGAGGUGAAAUAAGAGAGUUGAUUAGGAUAUAGAUGUGAAGAAGAAAGGGAUUCAAUAUAUAUAUAUCUUUCAAUUACCACAUUAAAACCCUGUGAACCUUUUAUAUGGUUUACUUUAUUUUUAUAUUCCUCCUUUAAUAUAUUUACAUUAAUGCUUCCAUUGGCACAACAAUAACGAAUUACAAAUACAAGCAACAAGUCCCAUGUUUUAUUACCAAAAGCAGGUAAAAUCCACCUAAUAUAUUACAAUAUAUUCAUCCAAUAUUUUAGACCAAUUCUUCACCAUAAAUAUCAUAAUGUGGCUUUUGUUCUUUCUUAAAUUUAAAUUGAAUUGUCUUAUAUCAAUUUGUUUGUGAUUUUUUCAUUAACUUCACUUUCAUUUGGUUAUCUUUGGUUUUUGAAAAGUAUUAAGGAAUUAAUUAACAAAAUAAUGUUAAGAAAAAUAAUUUUCUCUCUUUUGAUUUUGAUUUUGUAGUAGAAAAAUAUAAUUAAAAUUAUUUAAAAAGUAUGUAAUUUUAAAUUAUUUAAUAUUUAGAUAAAAAAAAUAAGUCUAAUGAGUUUAAAAUAACAUAUAAAAAUAAUUUAUUUAUUUUAAAUUUAUUUUUUAUUUUCCAUUAUGUUCUCUUUCUCUUUUACUUUUUCAUAUUUUUUCUUACGAAGAAUCAAACACAACCUCAUAUUAUAUGUCAAGUGUUUGUCUAUAUUUGAGCAAUGUUAGAUACGGCCAUGGAUUCAUCAAACUAAACUGAUUUUAAUAGAUACUUCACAAAUUGAUUUAUACACUAAAUCAUUGGAUAGCAAUGAUGCAUUGGAAUUAAACGUAGGAUGAAGCUCGAAGAACACUGUUUGUGUAACAACAUAUUUAUGAAAUUAUGCAAAGGAUGAGCUUCGGGGUAGUAGUACAAGGUCAUUAAUGGAGAGCCGUGUUAAACCUUGAUUGUGAUUGGAUUCCGUUAUCAGCAACAGCAACCUUGUUUGUAACCUUGAAAGUCAUUCUGUCCACAUCGAAACUCCAAUUUGACGUUUGUAAUUACCAUUCCUGGAGUGUUCCUUGAUUGAAAUUUAAAUAAUAAUUGCGGCCCACAAGGAAUAUUUUCGAUUCUGUGGGAAUUUGACAAGGUUUGUUAGAGAAGACUGGUGACAUGUUGACUUCAAUGGUUCAAAUAGGAGACGUAUGUGGAUUUGGGGGGUUUAAUUGAAACUGAGUCCCUAUGGCUUUUUAAUAUUUGCAUUGAGCAGUCUCCAUGUGACUUCCUAAUUCCCACCAACCCUCCUGUCCAUGCUGUGAAACUAAAUUGUAAUUUAUCAGCCUUUGUCAAUGGUUUCUAAAUUAAAGAUAUAGACCAUGCAUGUACUUUAAUAAAAGCAAAUCUAAAGUGUAGAUAGCAGCAAUGGUGACACCCAAUAUUCUCCAUAAAAUAGAAUUAGAAUAAGCAGUGUUACAUUGUUCAUGAUCACCUACAAGCAUACAAGAACUUCCAUGAAUAACUCAUAGCAAUUGCCAACAGGGCGUCGUAGAGACUCAUACAUAGAACACUAUCCACCCAGAGGAAAGGACAAGACCAGUGCGCUGCAGCUCUUAUUUUUCACAUGUAUACCACCACUCGUAAUAACCAAAUUCACUCAGUUGGGAUAGGUGGGAGAUGGUGGUUUGUGGGGUGGCUUGUGGGGAGGAGUUGGAGGAGGCUUUAUUUUCUGAGGCGGCUUGUAUGAGUGUGCAGGAGGAUGCCCGGGAGUGUGACCAUAAUGUGGUGGCUUCUCUCCCGUAGGUGGUUUGCCAAAUGGGCUUGGUGGCUUCUCUCCCUUAGGAGGUUUACCAAUUGGGGUUGGUGGCUUGUGUUCUGGGAGUGGUUUCUCUCCCUUGGUAGGUUUGCCAAUUGGGGUUGGCGGCUUAUGUUCUGGGAGUGGCUUCUCUCCCUUGGGAGGUUUGCUAAUUGGGGUUGGCGGCUUAUGUUCUGGGGGCGGCUUCUCUCCCUUGGGAGGUUUGCCAAUUGGAGUUGGCGGCUUAUGUUCUGGGAGUGGCUUUUCUCCCUUGGGAGGCUUGCCAAUUGGGGUUGGCGGCUUAUGUUCUGGGGGUGGCUUCUCUCCUUUAGGAGGUUUGCCAAUUGGAGUCGGCGGCUUAUGUUCUGGAAGUGGCUUUUUUCCCUUGGGAGGUUUGCCAAUUGGGGUUGGCGGCUUAUGUUCUGGGGGUGGCUUCUCUCCCUUGGGAGGUUUGCCAAUUGGAGUCGGCGGCUUAUGUUCUGGGAGUGGCUUCUCUCCCUUGGGAGGUUUUGUUGGUGGCUUGUGUUCUGGAGAUGGCUUCUCCCCUGGAGGCUUGUGCUCCGGAGGUGGCUUCUGAAAUGGCGGGGGCUUGGGGUAAUGAGCAAGAGAUGGAGUACUGGUGAGAACCACCAUUCCAAGCAACAAUACUAGCAAGCAUGUGGGAGACAUCUUUGAGUAGUUGUAGCUAAGAUGGCGCAACACUGUAGGCAUUGGGUGGCCUUUUAUAAAGGGCUGGACCCAACAGCCAUAUGACACGUGUCAUGAUGACAAAUGAAGUUGAGGGGAUCCAGAUGGGUCCUACUGAGUCGAAAACUUGCACUAAUUGAUCUGGUGAGAUGACUAUUUCUGUCCUUUUGCCCUUCUCGGCCACCCUGUGCUGUUUUCCUUUUGCACGAUUUUCGUUGCCAAACAAGCAAAUAAUAUUUCGCCAAGAAAGAGGAGAGUGAAUGUGGAAUGCAUCAAGUCCCAUCAAGGAUGGCAGAGAAGAAAUAGAAGAUUGCCCAACUGUGAUAAACAUAGCAUACACGUAGCACCAGGAACUUCAUUUACUUCCAUCUAAUGGAACAUAACAAUCUUCUAAAGUUUUUGCAUGAUUUUGUUAUAUGUCUCUUAGCCUAAAGUUGGAAAUGCGCAACAAAUUUUGUCACUUCUCUAUUUCCCACUGAUGAUGUUAAUUAGCCUUCAUAGAUAUCAUCCUUUCUACAAAGUGCUUCAUUUGUGUGUUAUUGUAAAGUGUAAGAAAAGUAAUUGAACAUGUUCUUUUUCCUUUCAUAGAUGACUUUUGAUGUGCAUUUUAAAAGCAGCGCUGUGAGUCGGUGACCUUGAUUCACACGGAAACUAAGGCUCCUAUAGGACCCACUUUUAGCUGGUUAGGGGUGAAGAAAAUAUCAACUUUUCAGAGUGAUUUAAGUCAAGGCCAAGCCUCACUGUGUCAUUACUCGUGUGAAUUUUAUAUGCACAUACAUACAUAAAUAAAGUAUGAGACCCAAAUAACACCUUCCCUUUACAAACUUAACCCCAGCCGCUCUCUUUCAAUUCUUUUCACACAAGGGUAUUGACUCUAUAAAGGUCAAGAAAAUCAUAAUUUCCUAGGGUUUACAAGGUAAUUGGCUUAAUGCUAAUGUGAAAACAUAAAAGAUAAUAGUAUAUUGUAAGCUAACGAAUAUUCUAUAGUUAUAAUUAUUUGUGAUGUGCAUAAAUAAAUCUUCAUAUAUAUAAUGGAACAAUGAAUAAAGAACCAAUGAAAAAAUACUAUAUAUCAUUGCUUGGCAUUUAAACCGUAUAUGCUGCUCUUUCUAGCUACUCCAUCCACUGAAAGACAACAAGGUAAUCCAUGUUAUAAUGAUAGAAGAUACUGUCUCUAGGCUUUUUGUGAUGAAAAAUAUAAGAUAUGGGUAGGGUUGACCCUUGUAUGUUUGUCCUAUAAACACUUCAAAGUAACAUAUUUUUCUUCUUUAGCAACUCAUAAUGAUGGGGUUCAUUUGCAUGUCACUGAGUUGAAAAGUUGGACAAUUGCCCAUGUCGCCUUCCUCCUAGAUUCCGUAGUUCACGGGAAGGUAACUCAAGUUUGACAUAUUUUGAAUUCUUUUCACUCGGACGUCUUCAUAACCUGACAAAACAAAAAUGAAAAACAGAGGAUUGGUAUAUUAUUCAUGGUAAGCCUCAAAUUAUAGUAGUAUGAGAAAGGAGAAAAAGAUUUUGGGAACUCCAAUCUGGAUAAUUCUCGUUUCUUCUCUUGAAUAAAAAUUUCACUUACCUAACUUCGUUUGGAGAAAUGGCAUAUUUUAAUUUUGUACGUCAUUGCUAAUAAAUGGAGCAAUUUAGCAUGUUUUGUGACUGAAACUGCAAAUGUCCAAUUGGCAUUUCUUCAUUUCCCACUUAGGAUCUGAUCUUGUAGACCAUAUAACGAUAUGUAUCUGUGCAAGCAUUGAAAACUAAUGUGAACUAUGAGGAGUUACAAGCCACUGGACUGUAGAGCGAGUGCCAAGAUUUAAAUCUUCAGGCUCUAUCUGGGUAAGGGGAGGAUAGCGACCUAACCUUUUACCAAAGGCUUAGAAUUUAGACUUUUGGAAAAAAAUUUCUCAUGUUUUGGCUGGAUUUCUUGUGCUUGGCGCAAAAAGGAGAUGGCCUCAAGAAAUAGCAGACUCACUUUUGUUUUCAGCCCUUAAUAAUUCUCCACUGCUUUCCAUAACUACAUGGGUUAUACAUGCAGUCUGCUGCAAUAUUCCAGUUAUAUUUAUUAUUUCAAAGAGGGUGAAUGACUUCACAUGCAAUAUGUUGCAGUAACAACCCAAAUUUUGGCACACCAUCUUAAGAAUAGAAAAGUAUAAUAAAAGAAAUCAAUCAGAGAAUCACUUUGCAUGCAGUUCAUAGAGUUCGCCCAAAAUGGAGCCACAUGUACGGACAACCCCACAAUAGACAAUCUUCUCUAUACAGUAAUAAAAUACAGAAAUGGUUAAUGAAGCUCUGUAUUUCCUUAUCAUAUAUGACCGGUUGAAAACUCAGCAAGUCUUCCUCAAUCACAGACAGUUGGAGUUGCUUCAUCAAAAUCAUGCCUUCAUUACUGGCUUCAUUUUGGUUUCAAUGUCUGUUCUACCCUUAAAUUGGGUCUCUGCUUACUACCGGGAUAUCCUUUAGCGUCCUGCAAUUCUACUAGAUUAAAGAGAAUGACUUAAUUCUGCAUUCUGCCGUCCCUAGUCCAAGUGGUACUAGAAUUGAUGUUUCCUUUAGUGUCCUUUCUUCAUACUUUCAGGUUCUUCCCUUGUUUCAAUAAUGCUGUUUUCCUUCAUGUUUAACCUCUGUUGAACCACUUAAAACAACACAAUUUGCACACCAAUGUUUCUUUACAGAAAAGACUGUUUGCAAAAAUGCACAUGUUAUAAGGUUAAUGGAAGAAUUAAUUUGGGGAUAAGGGACUAGGAUUGGGCCAAUGAAGUUUGGUGUUAAAUUUUGAUUAUGAUUGCUUUUCAUUAUCAGGUACCUUAUAUUUGCUGAUGCUAUCUGGAACUAAAUUCAAAUCAGACAUUAUCCGAUUACUAACAGGACAUAUCAUGUCCCUCUGCAGAGUUUCUAAACUAACAUGUAUCGAAAUGUGGCCCCAAAAGGAAGGCUAGGAAGAUGGAGGAUUUUGUAGGAAUCGACCAGAAUCAGAUGGAAGAGAGAUAGUCCUGUUGACUUUAAUGGUUGUGAUAGGAACAUGCAUCAUUAUAUGAGAAGUUGCAUGAAUUUAUGUAUCCUGUUAUCGUUCCUUGACGAUUUCCCAAUGCAAUUUCACUGUCCACAAGACUAACCUCUCCAUGCAGUCAAAUGAAUUGUAAUUUCUCUAUUGGUACCAGUAGUACAUUUCAUACCAAACAUAUAGUAAAUAUAAAAUAUAAAUAGAUCAAGGAAAUCUGAAUUGUAGAUAGCACUGCAAGUAACACUCAAUAUUCUCUAUAUAUAAUAAAAUAAACAGUGUCACAAUACUCAUCACCCAGUGGCAAGGGAGAAAAACCUACAAUGAGUACUCAAAUCACCAUUCUCAAACAGAAACAUAGCAGUGACUGAUACAUAGAACCUAUAUGCUCACAGGGAAAGAAUAAGAUGACCAGUGCACAGCGGGCAGCAGCUCUUAUUUUACGUACAACUCAAAUCCCAAACUAACCAAAGUCGCUCAGUUGGGAUGGGUGGGAGAUGGUGGUUUGUGGGAUGGCUUCUGGGUAGGAGCUGGUGGCUUCUGUCCCUUUGGUGGUUUGCCUAAUGAGCUUGGUGGCUUGUGCUCCGGGAGUUGUUUCUCUCCCUCGAGUAGGUUUCGAGUCUUGUCAGAUGGCUUGUGUUCUGGUGGUGGCUUCUCUCCCUGGGGUGGUUUGCCGAAUGGGCUUGGUGGCUUGUGUUCGGGGAGUGGCUUCUCUCCCUGGAGAAGGUUACGAGUUUUGUCAUAUGGCUUUUGUUCUGGUGGUGGCUUCUCUCCCUGGGGUGGUUUGCCGAAUGGGCUUGGUGGCUUGUGUUCGGGGAGUGGCUUCUCUCCCUGGAGAAGGUUACGAGUUUUGUCAGAUGGCUUGUGUUCUGGUGGUGGCUUCUCUCCCUGGGGUGGUUUGCCGAAUGGGCUUGGUGGCUUGUGUUCGGGGAGUGGCUUCUCUCCCUGGAGAAGGUUACGAGUUUUGUCAGAUGGCUUUUGUUCUGGUGGCGGCUUCUCUCCCUGGGGUGGUUUGCCAAAUGGGCUUGGUGGCUUGUGUUCGGGAACUGGCUUCUCUCCCUUGGGAGGUUCAGUUGGUGGCUGCUGUUCCGUAGGUGGUUUCUUCACCGGCGGCUUGUGCUCCGGAAGCGGCUUCUCUACCUGGAGAAGCUUACGAGUUUUGUCCGAUGGCUUGUGUUGUGGUGGUGGCUUCUCUCCCUGGGGUGGUUUGCCAAAUGGAGUUGGUGGCUUGUGUUCGGGGAGUGGCUUCUCUCCAUUGGGAGGUUUAGUUGGUGAUUGGUGUUCCGUAGGUGGUUUCUGAAGUGGGGGAUGCUUGGGGUAGUCAGCAAGAGACGAGGUAGUGAGAACCACCAGUCCCAGCAGCAACACUAGCAAGCAUGUGGAAGACAUCUUUGAGUUCAGGCUGAGAUCUGUGCAAGGAUAACAGAAUUAGGUGGCCUUUUAUAGAGGCCUGGACCCAACACCCAUAUGACACGUGUCAUGCACUCAUGGUGACACAUAAUUCUAUGGGACCAUUUGGGUCCUACAGAAGUUGCAAAGUUGGACUACUGAGGUGUGAUCACAACUUUUGUCCUUAUUGCUUUCUCUGCGGCCAUUGCACGAUUUCCUUUAGCAUCAUUUUCUUGGCUAAAUAAGCGUAUUAUAUUUGUGGCAGACCGUCCACGUGUCAUAAACAGAUAUAUUAUAAUAAUGUAGUAUGCUUUUCUCCAAUGGAACAUGACACUCUUCUAAGUCUUGUUUUAAAUAUUGUGCAGGAUUACUUUAUACGUUGCAGUUCCAAGUCAAAAUUGGUGGGCAAACGUUGGCCUUUUUUCAUUUCACCUAAGAUUAAUGCUCACCUGGGAUAGGCACUACAUGACUUAUCUGCUCUUUUACUGUAAAGUUGCUUUGUGUAUGAGAUACACCUCCCCUGCACACCCUCAACAUUCGUUGCUCUGUUUUCCUUGUGUCCAGACGAGGAUAUUAAUUGGAGGCUGACAAAACGACUGCUAGCCCAGGAUUUACAAGGUCCUGGUUUGAGGCUUCGGUGAAAGUAUUUUUGAAAAGACACACAUAGAGAUAGUGCGUUUGGUGCAAUGCAGCACUGUGAGCCAUUCUGACGCGUUCUUAAUUUCAAAACUAAUGAAUGCUUCAAAAUUUUAAGAAGUGACAUUUCCAAAUAUUUGAGUUCGUUUAAUUGAACAUUGGAUAACUAGUGAUCAUAGAUUAUUAUCUGUGCUUGGCACUAUAAGAGGGUAUAUGCUUCUUUUUCUGGCCCCUCCUUCAAGGGAGGAGGGACAAUGUGAUCUGUAACGUUAGAAGCUAUUCCAUGUCAUCUUUGGGCUCAGUUCAAAACUAAAAGAUAAUGGGGGGGGGGGGGGGGGGCAUAUCAUUUUAUAUUUCUUCUAGAAGGUUUGUUCUGGAAAUAUUUCACAGGAGCAUAUCUUUUUCUUCUAUUACGUCAUCCGCAGCCUCCAAUAGGUCGGUUAACAAGCCACCGAGUUGAAAAGUUGGAAAAAUGGGAACACAGCCCGCCUCUUGUAUUCAGUAGUUAAAUAAAAGGUCACUAGAAGUGAGAUCCCUUUUGGCGUCUUGAUUUUCAAUCCAGCACCUCUGUGACCUGACAAACCAAAAAAACUAAAAAAUAAAAAACAGUACGUGGGUUGGUGUUAAGCAUCAAGACAUGUUAAUGAAAGAAGGUAGAGAAUAGGAUAUUGAAAUCCCAAUCCUGAUAACAUGAUUUUCUUUGCUAACAACCAUAUUAUAUUUUAUCAAGAAAGAGUAAUGCAUGUGGCGUCCAUCAAGACCCAUUAGAGUUCCGCUAAAGCUAUAGUUCUGUCAACGUUAUCAUUUACGUUUCCUCUAGAUAAUGGCAUUUUCCUCUAAAGCUCUUGCACCAUUAGGCUUCAAGUCAAAAUUUCACAUGUGAACUUUGGAAAUUUUCUCCAUUUGCCCCUAAGGAUACAGUUAGAAUUGACUUAAAAUCCUGAUUGAUAUGUACUAUUAACCAAAGAAUAUUGUAUAUAAUAAUUGAAAUAUUGUUGAUUCAUCGUGGAAAUACAUUUUGUAAGGAAAGUUGUUGAGAAUUUAGUAUGCUAUAUGGAGAAAAAAGUCAUGACUUAAGGUUGUGUAUGUAUAUUCUAUAUCAAAUAUUAGGUAGGAAUGUGGGAAAGAGCAGAGUGUAAUGAUAAGAAACAAAGAAAUAUAAGAUAUUCUUGAAAGUGGAAAAUAUAAAAUGGCUAACGAGUCAAAUUUAUGAUGCGUAAGGGGGAUCAUGUCACAUAAGAAAACCAUGGCAUACUAAAGACGUACGUGUGGUAUGGAGUAAUAAUUUUGUUAAAAUAAGUUUCUUGUUGGAGUACAUUAGGUGACUAUUCAUAACGUAUCAAAUUAAAGAGUCAAGUGCAUCAAUGAAGGCAUAUGUAGAAAAUUUGUUUGUGACAUGUACCAUAAAGAUAAGAUUGACUUGAUAGAAUUUAGUCUAAGUAGGAGUUGUUAAAGGUGUCUUAAAUUUCUAAUUGAUGUAUAUUUUUUUCUAAAAAAAUAUUAUAUAGAUAUUUUAAUAAAUGAUUAAUUCUUUGUAAAAAUACUUACAUAAUAAAAAACAUCAUUAAAAAUAUCUUUAUAAAUAUUUUAAGUUACAAGAAGGAAAAAAACCACUGUGAGAUAAUGAUGAACAUGCAACACUGUACCAAGUAAAUAAAAAUGUGAUAAAAAAAAAAGAGAAACACUCGAUAAAGGAAGGCUCGUAUAUAAAGAGUAAUAUUUUUAAUCAUAUGAUAGAAUGAUUUUCUCUCAUUCAUGAAUAUAGGCAAGAUUGGGGAACCAUUAUAAAAUUUUGUACACCUCGUGUAAAUUGAUGUUUGUCUUCAUAUUUUACACCAACAAAUGACAUUGAAGUUGUCAUUGAUAAAAGGGAAAAGGCAUGCCUCCACACCAUGUGCUUGAUUCGAAUGGUUCAAGUUUGAAGAAUUUUCUCCGGAAGAUCUAAAACAUUUUCGCCUUUAAAUUUCAUUUGAUUAUUAAUAUCCGAAAAAAUAGUUAAAUACUCUUUCUAUUUUUGAGUUGUUGAAUUUUUUGAAAGUUUUUAUAUUUGUUAUCAAGAAUUUCUAUUUUAUUAAGGGUGAAUAUUUAUAAAUAAGAUAUUAUAUAAUAUUUGGAUAAGAGAGAAUGGUGGAAUAUAAUAAAGUUUUAAUCCUUCCCAAUUUUGAACCUUUUUUUUUUUUUUUGAUAUAAUCGCCUUUCUCUUGCAAUCCUAUUAUCAGGUACCUUAUAUUUGCUGAUGCUAUCUGGAACUAAAUUCCAAUCAGGCAUUGUCCAAUUACUAAUAGGACAGAUCAUAUCUCUCUGUUUCUAAACUAACAUGUAUCGUAAUGUGACCUCAUAAGGAAGGCUAGGAAGAUGGAGGAUUUUGUGGGAAGCGACCAGAAUCAGAUGGAAGAGAGAUAGCCCUGUUGACCUAAUGGCUGUAAUAGGAGAAGCGUGUGGUUUUAUGGGACUUAACUGAUACUAAACCUGUAUGAUGCUUGGAGUGGUGUUUCUUUCAUUUUGUUAAGAAAAUAUGGCAGCAUACAUGCUUUCAACUGAGUGCAUCAGAGCAUCCAUAACAGAUGGUCUGCAACCCUAGGUGCAUGCCACUUUCUGACUGAUAAUGAAAUUGUCAGGUACCUGGCCUUGACUAAGCUCAACAGCAUCACAUAAAGAGAAGCUUUCAUACUUAGAUUACUGUUUAAAGUUUUUGCUUAUUUGAUUUCUUAAUGCCAUUAUGACAUUAUUGAUUCAAUUCUGCUUCCGAUUUUCGAAGUUCUGGGCAUCUACUGAUUGCAUCAUUAUAUGAGAAGUUGCAUGAGUUUAUGUAUCCUGUUAUUGUUCCUUUGCGAUUUCACUGCUCACGGGACUAACCUCUCCAUUCAGUCGAAAUGAAUUGUAAUUUCUUUACUGGUAGCAGUAGUACUUUUCAUAGCAAAGAUAAUAGAAAAUAUGAAAUAUAAAUAGAAGGAAAUCUGGAUUGUAGAUAGCACCAUAAGUAACACUCAAUAUUCACUACAUAAUAAAUAGACAGUGUUACAUAGGUAGAGAAACCUACAAUGAGUACUCAUCACCAUUCUCAAACAGAAACAUAGCAGCGACUUAUACAUAGAACCUAUAGGCUCGCAGGGAAAGAGUAACAUGAUAAGUUCACAGCGGGUAGCAGCUCUUAUUUUACGUAUUACUCAAAAUCUCAAACUAACCAAAGUCACUCAGUUGGGAUGGGUAGGAGAUGGUGGUUUGUGGGGUGGCUUCUGGGUAGGAGCUGGUGGCUUCUUUGUUGGAGUUGAAGGAGGCAUAUUCUUCUGAGGUGGCUUGUAUGACUCUUCGGCACUCUCUGCAGGAGGGUGCCCAGGGUUGUGACCAGAAGGAGGUGGCUUCUGUCCCUUUGGUGGUUUGCCUAAUGGGCUUGGUGGCUUGUGCUCCGGGAGUUGUUUCUCUCCCUCGAGUAGGUUUCGAGUUUUGUCAGAUGGCUUGUGUUCUGGUGGUGGCUUCUCUCCCUGGGGUGGUUUGCCGAAUGGGCUUGGUGGCUUGUGUUCGGGGAGUGGCUUCUCUCCCUGGAGAAGGUUACGAGUUUUGUCAGAUGGCUUUUGUUCUGGUGGCGGCUUCUCUCCCUGGGGUGGUUUGCCAAAUGGGCUUGGUGGCUUGUGUUCGGGAACUGGCUUCUCUCCCUUGGGAGGUUCAUUUGGUGGCUGGUGUUCCGUAGGUGGUUCCUUCACCGGCGGCUUGUGCUCCGGAAGCGGCUUCUCUACCUGGAGAAGCUUACGAGUUUUGUCAGAUGGCUUGUGUUGUGGUGGUGGCUUCUCUCCCGGGGGUGGUUUGCCAAAUGGACUUGGUGGCUUGUGUUCGGGGAGUGGCUUCUCUCCAUGGGGAGGUUUAGUUGGUGGUUGGUGUUGCGUAGGUGGUUUCUGAAGUGGGGGAUGCUUGGGGUAGUCAGCAAUAGACGAGGUAGUGAGAACCACCAGUCCCAACAGCAACACUAGCAAGGAUGUUGAAGACAUCUUUGAGUUCAGGCUGAGAUCUGUGCAAGGAUAAAAGAUUUAGGUGGCCUUUUAUAGAGGGCUGGACCCAACACCCAUAUGACACGUGUCAUGCACUCAUGGUGACACAUAAUUCUAUGGGACCAUUUGGGUCCUACAGAAGUUGCAAAGUUGGACUAUUGAGGUGUGAUCACAACUUUUGUCCUACUUGCUUUCUCUGCGGCCAUUGCACGAUUUCCUUUAGCAUCAUUUUCUUGUCUAAAUAAGCGUAUUAUAUUUGUGGCAGACCGUCCACGUGUCAUAAACAGAUAUAUUAUAAUAAUGUAGUAUGCUUUUCUUCAACGGAACUUGACACUCUUCUAAGUCUUGUUUUAAAUACUGUGCAGGAUUACGUCAUAAGUUGCUUGUUCCAAGUCAAAAUUGGUGGGCAAACGUUGGCCUUUUUUCAUUUUCCCUAAUAUUAAUGCUCACCUGGGAUAGGCACUACAUGAUUUAUCUGCUCUUUUACUGUGAAGUUGCUUUGUGCAUGAGUUACACCUCCCCUGCACACCCUCAACAUUUGUUGCUCUGUUUUUCUUGUGUCCAGACGAGGAUAUUAAUUGGAGGCUGACAAAACGACUGCUAGCCAAGGAUUUACAAGGUCCUGGUUUGAGGCUUUCACGAAAGUAUUUUUGAAAAGAUACACAUAGAGAUUGCGCGUUCGGUGCAAUGCAACAAUGUGAGCCAUUCUGAAGUCUUAAAUUUCAGAUUAAUGAAUGCUACAAAAUUCUAAGAAGGGCCGUUUCCAAAUAUUUGAGUUCAUUCAUCCGAACAUCGGGUAUAUGCUUCUUUCUCUAGCCCCUCCUUGAAGGGAGGAGGGACAAUGUGAUCUGUAUCGUUAGAAGCUAUUCCAUGUCGUCAUCUUUGGGCUCAGUUCAAUACUAAAAGAUAUGGGCGGGGCCCUUAUCAUUUUAUAUUUCUUCUAGAAGGUUUAUUCUGGAAAUCUUUCACAGAAACAUAUCUUUUUCUUCUCUACGUGAUCCGUGGUUUGAAAGUUGGAAAAAUGGGUCCGUUAACAAGCCACCGAGUUGAAAAGUUGGAAAAAUGGCAACACCGCCAACCUCUUGUAUUCGAUAGUUAAAUAAAAGGUCACUGGAAGUGAGAUCCCUUUUGGCCUCUUGAUUUUCAUUCCAGCAUCUCUAUGGCCUGAUAAAUUAAAAAACUAAAAAAAAAGACAGUACGUGGGUUGGUGUUAAGCAUCAAGAGUCAAGACAUGAUAAUGGAGAGAAAGGAUAUUCAAAUUCCAGUUCUGACAACAUGAUUUUCUUUGCUGAACUACCAUAUUAUAUUUGAUCAAGAAAGAGUAGUGCAUGUGGCCAGGAUCAAGACAUACAUUAAUUUCCACAUGAUGAAGACAGUUUCUGAGAGUUUCUUCUAAAGCUCUUGCGCGAGUAGGCUUCAAGUCAAAAUCUCCCAUGUAAACACUGGUUUUUCUUUCAUUGCCACUAAGGAUGCAGUUAAUAUUGACUUAAGAUCCUACGUGAUAUAUUUUUUUAAAAGAGCUAUAUUGUAGAUAAUAUUUGAAAUAAUGUUGAUUCGUUGUGGAAAUAUAUUUGUAAGGAAAGUUGUUGACAAUUUAAUAUAGUAUAAGAAGAAAAAAGUUAUCAACUAGCUAGAGAUGAGUAUGUAAAGUGAGGCUCACGAUUCAACGCGUAAAUAUAAGAUAUUUUAAGGCUCAAUAGUUAUGAUAUCUAUUUUAUUUUUUGUAUCUCAUAUAUUCAAAGAUAUAGUAAAAUGAUUUUACAUAUAUAUAUAUAUAUAUAUAUGAACAUAACUAUUUGUGCCAAUUGAUUUUUAUCUUUAUUUUGUAUAUUAGUAAUUAUAUUAAAGUUUUUACUAAUAUAAUAACUAAUAUAAAAGCUUUUUCUAAAAGAGUCAACAGAGCAAAACACUUAUUAUAAAAAAUAAUUUUGAUUGAAGGUGGAGUCAAUUAUUCUUUAUUUAACAUGUAAUGCAUACGGCGUGUACUUCAUAACUAAAGUAUAUAAGUGUAACAUCUCUUAUAUAUUCUCAUUCAAUCUCGAAAGUGGAAAUUUUAAAAAGAUUAAACGGUUCAAAUUUGUCGUGCAUAAAGGGGAUCAUGUCACAUAAGCAAACCAUGGCAUACCAAAGACAUAGGUAUGGACUAAGAAUUUUUUUCAAAUAAGUUUCUUAUUAGGGUACAUUAAUAGGUGACUUUUUAUGACAUAUCAAAGGAGUCAAGUGCACCAAUAAAAACAUAUAUAGAAAAUUCAUGCAUGACAUGUAUCACUAAGAGAAGAUUGACUUGAUAGAGUUUAAUCCAAAUAGGAGAUUGUUAAAAGGUGUCUCAAAUUCUUGAUUGAUAUAUAUUUUUUUUAUUAAAAAGGUUAUUAUAUAGAUAUUUCAAUAGACUAUUAAUUCUUUGUAAAAAUAGUUAUAUAAUGAGGAUGGUGAUUAAAAAUAUCUCUAUCAAUAUUUUGGAUUAUAAAAAGAAAAAAAAUGAGAUAAUGAUAAACAUAUAAAACUUGUACAAGUAGAUAAAGAUGUGAUGAAAGACACUUGAUGAAUGAAGGCUUUGUAUUUCAAGAUAUAAAUAUAUGGAGCAAAACUCUUAAUUAUAUGAUCAAAUGAUUCUCUCAUAUUCAUGAAUAUAAGCAGGAUUGGGGAACCAUGAUAGAAUCUUAUAUGCCUCUCCAUGUAGAGUGAUCGAUGUUUAUCUUCAUAUUUUACACCAGUGAAUGACAUUGAAACUCUUAUUGAUAAAAGGGAAAAGGCAUGGCCUCCACCCCAAGAAAAACAAGUAACCUCGGUUUAAAUCACUAGUCUACACCCCGAAGAGAGAACUAGCCAAACCUACUAAAAGAGAAACUUAACAAUUUAGAAAGAAACCGUCCAUGAUAAAGGGCCCCUAAAGGUCCAAUUCAGUGAGGUCGUGAACAAAAACACUUUCAUGUCAAAACAGAGAUAGGUACCACCAAAAUGUAAAGGGAAAGAUGUAAACCACGUCGAACUUUGGUAAUCAAUGGUAAAGAUAGCAUGAUAGCUAAAAGCACUAAAGCUGUGCUUGGUAUGCAAAAAUGAAAAGUGGAAAUCAGCGUCUUAUUCUUUUUCACCUUUAUUCACAUAUUAGGAUAACUAAUAUCUAAUGUUUUUUAUGUCUCAAAUUCUAUUCCAUGUUAUGGUAAACUUUCAUCUUGUUUAGAUCACUUUUGUCUGGUUUGGGCUCAAGACGAUAAGCCUAUAGAGACUUCAUAUUGGGUUGAAUCGAUGCCCUUGAUCUGAUCUGUUCGUUAGAAAAAUCUGAAUUAUUAUAAGCAUUUAGAUAAAAAAUAAAUAAAUGUGAAACACAAACUACUCCCUGCACAACCUUGACCCUAGUUACUCAGUUUCACUGCUCACAGGACUAACCUCUCCAUUCAGUCGAAAUGAAUUGUAACAAGAAGAUUUUUGACAGGAGGACGGUAGUUUAAAAUAAUAAUUUCUAAAGUACUUUUGUGAAAAAAAAUAAUUCCAAACGUGGAUUUUAUCAAGUAAAAAGAAAAAAAAAAGUUAUUUUCUUUUAAAAUCUGUUCUUCUAAAGAUGAUAUAUAUACCAAAAAAAAAAAUUGUUUUCUGAAGGUAAAAUUUUUAAAAUUCAUUUUUAAAAAAAUUUACACACUAAAAUUAUCUUUUCAAGAGAAGAUUUUUUUAAUUUUAAAUAAUUAUUAAUUUAUAAUUAAUUUGUUAUUAAUUAUUUAUUAAUUUUUUUAUUUGAAAAAUGCAUUUAUAAAAAACAAAUUUGUUAUUAAUUUAUUAAAUAAUUUUUACAAAAUAAAUAAUUUUUUUUUAUUUUAAUUUUAAAAUUAAUUUUAUUAUAUAAAUUUUAAAAUUAAAAAUAUUAAUAUUUAAUUUAAAAUUUAACUAUAAAAGGAAUAAAAUAUAGAAAAAUAAAUUAAUUUAUUAUUCAAUAAAUUAAUUUUCAAUAAAAUUUUCAGCAUUAAGAGAUAAAUUUUUAAGUAUUAAUCAAUUUAAAAAGAAAUAAUGAUCAUUUGUAUAUUAAGAUAUUUUAUUUAGUAAUUAUGAAUGAUAAACAACUAAAGUAAUUUGAAAAAAUAAUAAAAUAUUUAAAAAAUAAUAAUUUAAUACACGUAAAAUUAGAAAUGAUUAACUAUUUUUUAUUAAGAAAAAAUUGAGGAAAUAUUUUGUUAUUUAAAAUUUUUUAUUUGUUUUCAAUUUUUAAUGUUAUAGGUUUCAAGAAAAUUGAUCAAAUAAAAAUUAAGAAGUCAUUUUUUCAAAAACUAUAUAUCUAAAUAAAAGCCUUGAAAUUCAAAUACACAAUAUCAUAAAUAUAAACACCAAGUCAAUCCUUAAUUAUCAAAUGUUUUUAAUAUUAAAGAAUCAAAAUCACCUACUAUCAUGAUAAUAAGAAAACCAAUAAUAUUGUUCAUAUAAAUACUAAAAAGCUAACAAAUAUCCCAAACAAUUAAUAAAGUAUCAAACAUGAUAAAAAGUCAAUUAUUAUCAUGAAUGCAAAAAAUCAAUAAUUUUGUUUAUAUGAACCAUCAACAAAGAAAAAAAAAAUCAAUAUCUAAAUAUUAAACAUAAUUUAUAUUUUUAUAAAUAUUAUUGUUGAUAAAUAUCUUAACAAUUAUAAUUUUAGUAAAUAAAAUUAAUUAAUUUUAGUUUAAGAAUUAUUUUUUUAUACUUUCGUAUUCUUAUCAAAAAUCCCCAUUUUGCAUGUCUCCUUUGGCAUGACUUUCUUACCUAAACAAGCAUAUAUAUAUAUAUAUAUAUAUAAAAUAUUUGGUUAAGAAAGAGUACUAAAGUUUAUAUGGCACACAUCAAGAUAGAAACAGAAGUGGAAGAUAAUCCAAAUGUAUGAACAGAUAUAUUAUAUCCAUGUAGUGGUAGUGACUUCAUUAUUUACUUUUAUCUAAUGGAGCAUGACACACUUCUUCUGAAUAUUUUGCACGAUUAUGUUAUGUGUCAGCUUGUUCUAAGUCAAAACUAGUGAUAAAAAUCGGUUUUUUUUGCAUUUCCUUCAUGAAGAUGGCACCUGGAUGGGGCACUACAUGAGUGGCAUAGCACGAAGUGAUUUAUCUGCUCCCUUUACUAUAAAGUGCUUUGUGUAUAAGUUACACCUCCCCUGCACUGCCUCAACAUUUGUUGUUCUGUCUUCCGUCUGUCCAAACGAGGACAAACGUAUGUUGUAGGUUGACAAAACCACAGCUAGCCUAGGAUUUGCAAGGAUCUAGUUUGAUUCGUAUGCAAAAGGAUUGGUGAAAAGAUUCACAAAGAUAAUGCUUUUUGCAAUGCAAUCUUGUUCUAAUUCAACAGUGUGGACCAUUUUCAUGUAAUGCUUCAACUAGAUGUCAGUUUCAUGAAUUUUUGUUCAUCUAAUUGAUCACUGGAUAGGCCAUAACCCGAAGAAAUUCAAAAUUCCCUUCAGUACUGUAGCUAAGGAAAGAUCCCUAUCUACCACUGGGAUUUUAAGAGGGUAAAAAUGUAGGUGGGUGCCUAUAUCAUUUGCACUUCACUAUAGGCCUCUUUGGGAAGAUUUCUUCUGAAGACAUUUCAAAGAAACAUAUUUUUCUCUUCUCUCCGUAAACGGCAGCUGCAAGUCAGUCCAUUCACAGGCCACCGAGUUGAAAAGGCUGGAAAAUUGGCCAAAGCACCCGCCUCCUGGAUUCCAUGGGUAAGGAAAAGGUCACUGGAGGUGUGAUCCCUGUUGGCCUCUUGAUUUCCAUUCCGCCAUCUAUAUGACCUGAUAACCCAAAAACACAGAAGGAAAACGUCACCUGGGUUCAUAGUAAGCAUCAAGUCAUGAUAGAGACCAGACAACAUGACCAACAAAGAGUAGCGAAUGGGGCCAACAUCAAGCCCCAUUACGGUUAGAAGAUGGAAGAAGUAGAAGACAAUCCAAUUCUGAUAGAUUCGGGCAAAUGUAGUGCUGUUCAAACUUAAUCAUUUACUAUUUCUUCAUGAAUCACGGCAUUUUUCUUCUGAAAAUUUUCCAAGAUUAGGCCUCUGAAGAAAAAUUUCAUAUGUAAAUUGGUAUAUUAAGGAAAAGGCGUUACAAAGGUGAAAAAAAACCAAUCAAAUCUUAUAUAUGACAUCUCAAAAAUAUGAACUUGCUAUAAAUAUUUAAAAUCAAAAUCUUGCACAUCACCUCGUAGUACGAACUUGCUAUAAAACUUGAAAAUCAAGAAGAAAGGGGCAGUAUUGGACGAGACUACUUAGCACAUAUUAUUAUGAUGUUUUUUCAUUUUCUUAAUGUUGUUUUUAUGUCUUAAAUUCUAUUAUUCUAUGUUACGGUAAACAUUCAUCUUGUUUGUGUGGAAUAGGAUCACUUUUCUCUGGGUUGAGUCGAUGCCCUUAGUUAAUUUGUUCAUUUGAAUAAACUAAAUUAUUAUAAGUAUUUAGAUAAGAAAAACGUGAUACAUAAAUUACGCCUCUCGGCACAACUUCAACACUGGUUACUCUGUUUCAGUUUCCUCACACAAGAUUAUUGGUUCUAGGGUUUAUUUGGUUUUGGUUUGAUUCUAAUUGCUAAACUUUCUCAAGGAAGAUGUUAUAUAGGGAGUGAGAAACCUUCACUCUUGGCUACCUCCAAGAGAAGAGCAAGUGGUCUGAAUCAAAGAUAUACUGCUCACUUUUUCUUCUUCUAAGGACAGCUAUGACCUUGCUUUAAGGUUCGAAUAGCCUAAUGCAACCUCCCAUUUCUCAAGUCAGCUGAUGAUGUAAGUCACCUUGGCUUUCCACAUUCAUACGGUGAGGACGUUUGUGGGUGUAAUUCUCUUAACAGUUUUCAUUUUAUAUGGAAAAAUUCAUAAUUAAGGGUAAUUACUGAUUCCAUUUGACAGUGACCAAGUUUAAAAUAUUAAUUCAUAUAUUAAAUGCACAUUAAAAAAUCAUGGAAUAAAUAUAUUUACUAAUAUAUAGUUCUUUUGCCAUGUUCUGUCACAGAAGCAUCGAACUUUCCCUAGAAAUUUUUGCAUGGUAUUCUACUUAUGAUUUUGAAAACUCUAGGCACCUGAGGCCACUAAUUGCAUGGUUGGAUGAGGAGCUGCAUGAGAUUAUGUAUCGUGUUGUUCCUUAACUACAAAUAUCAGUUUUAAGUAGCAUCUCCAUGUGACAUUUUCCUGAUGCAAUUUCGCUGUCCACCAACAAAUUUCACCAUGCAGCAAGAUGAAUUGUAAUUUCUUUAUUGUUAUCAACAGCUUUAAUUAAUCUUGAUAUAUAUAUAUAACUUAGUAGAAGUAUAUUAAUCUAGAUUGUAGUUGCACUAAGAUAAUAGGCAAUAUUAUAACAGUGCCACAAUGCUCAUCGCCAAAUAGAAAGGUAGAAAAACUACAAUGAGUAACUCACAACAUUCUCAAACAGGACAUAGCGGCGACUGAUACAUAGAACACUAUUGGCACUCAGGAAAUGAUAAGAUCAGUGCCCAGCAGGCAGCACGUCUUAUUUUACAUACUACUUAAAACUAACCAAAGUCAUUCAGUUGGGAUGGGUGGGAGAUGGUGGUUUGUGCGGUGGCUUUUGGGUAGUUGGUGGCUUCUUUCCUGGAACUGAUGGUUUUUUUGUUGGAGUUGAAGGAGGCUUAAUCGUCUGAGGUGGCUUGUAUGAGUCUUCAGCACUCUCUGCGGGAGGGUGCCCAGGGUUGUGACCAUAAUGGGGUGGCUUCUCUCCCUUAGUUGGUUUGCCAAGUGGGCUGGCUGGCUUGUGCUCCGGGAGCGGCUUCUCUCCCUUAGGUGGUUUGCCAAAUGGGCUUGCUGGCUUGUGCUCUGGGAGCGGCUUCUCUCCCUCAAGAAGUUUACGGGUUUUGUCAGAUGGCUUGUGUUCUGGUGGUGGCUUCUCUCCUUGGGGUGGUUUGCCAAAUGGACUUGGUGGCUUGUGUUCGGGGAGUGGCUCCUCUCCCUUGGGAGGUUUAGUUGGUGGCUGGUGUUCCAUAGGUGGUUUCUCAACCGGGGGCUUGUUCUCCGUUGGUGGUUUAUGAACUGGGGGAUGCUUGGGGUAGUCAGCAAGAGACGGGGUGGUGAGAACCACCAGUCCCAGCAGCAACACUAGCAAGUAUGUGGAAGAGUACAUCUUUGAGUUCAGGCUGAGAUUUGUGCGAGACUUGAAGAAUUAGGUGGCCUUUUAUAGCUGGCUGCACCCAACACUCACAUGACACGUAUCAUGGUGACACAUGUGCUAUGGGUCCAUUUGGGUCCUACAGAAGCUGAAAACUUUUGACUAUUGAGGUGUGGUCACAACUUUUGUCCCUAUUGCUUUCUCCGCAACCGUUUUACAUGUUUCCUUUGGCAUAAUUUUCUAAGCUAAACAAGCAUAUAUCAUAUUUGGUUAAGAAAGAGUAAAGUGUAUAUGGCACACAUCAAGGAAGAGAAACAGAAAAAGUGGGAGACAAUCAAUUGUGAUAAACAGAUAUAUUAUAUUCAUGUAGUACUAGUGACUUUAUCAUUUACUUUUAUCCAAUAGAUCAUCACUCUUUCUUCUAAAUAUUUUGGAGGAUAAUGGUACAUGUUGCUUGUUUCCAAGUCAAAAUUGGUGGCAAAAAUCGGCAUGAUACGAAAGGAUUGGUGAAAAGAUUCACAUAGAUGGUGCUUUGUGCAAUGCAGUCUUGCUCUAAUUCAACAGAGUGGACCAUGGUGAUGUAUUUUAAAUUUUAAAUUUUAAAUUAAUGCAUGCUUCAAAGUUUUAACUAGAUGUCACUUCCAUGGAUUUUUGUUCAUUUAAUUGAGCACAGGAUAGGCUAUCAAACUUGAAGUAAUAUAAAAAUCCCUUCAUUACUGUAACUAAUGAAAGAUCAUUAUCUGCGCUUGGUAUUUUGCCAAGGUAUUUGCUGCUCUUUCUAGCCCUGUCUUACAGUUAAGGACAAUGUGAUCUAGUUAACCUUAGAAGCUAUUCCAUGUCAGAUACAAGAGAUCAAGCACAUUAUCUUUGGGCUCAGUUCAAAACUAUAAUAUAUGGGUGGGGUGGAGGCCCAUAUCAUUUGCAUAUCACCACUAUUGGUUUAGUUUGGAAGGUUUCUUCUGGAAGAUUGCUGCUUUCUGGAAUCAUUUCAAAGAAAUAUAUCUUUUUGUUCUCUUGGUGACGAGCAGCGGCAAUCAAGUCUGUUGACAAACAACCGAGUUGAAAAGUUUGAAAAUUGGUCACAGCCCACGUCCAUGGUUAAGGAAAAGGUCACUGGAAGUGAUCCCUUCUGGGCCUCUUGAUUUCCAUUCUGACAUCUAUAUGACCUGAUAAAUAGAAAGAAAAAAAAACAGAAGAAAAGCGGCACCCGGGUUCAUAGUAAGCAUCAAGACAGGAUACUGAAAGAAGGGAGAAAGGAGAUUGCAAGUCCAAUCCUGAUAAAAUGAUCAACAAAGAGUAUCAAAAUGGGGCCAACAUAAAGACCCAUUGAGGUUAGCAGAUGGCAUGGCAUUUUUCUCCUUAAGUUUUCCAUGAUUAGACUUGAAGUCAAAAUUUCACAUGUAAAUUUGUAUUUCUACAUUUCCCACUGACGACACCCAACUUCAACUUGAGUUAGAAUAACAUUGUGUGAACUUAUCUGGCCCUCAAAAUUUACUGUGAAGUGCUUUCUGCGUGUGAAGAUUCAGAAAAGCACCAAGGGAACAUGUAUGGUCUGCCUUUUUCUGAUGUUAUGUUUGUCUCUAAUUCUGUUCCAUGUCAUGGUAAAUGUUCACAUUGCUUGUAUGGAACACACCAGGAUCACUUUUUCGGGUUUAUUUUGAGGCUUCAUAUUGGGUUCAUAUUGGGUUCAAUGCUUUUAAUGUGUUCAUUAGACAAAUCUGAAUUAUCAUAUGCAUUUAGAUAAGAACAAUAAUGUGAAACCCUAGUUACACCUCCCCUGCAUAACCCCAACCCUGCUUACUCUAUUUCAGUUUACUCACACAAGUUUUACCGGUUCUUAUAAGUCAAGAAAAGGCAACUGAUGUUGGAUUGACUCUCUUCCAUGUAUAAAAAGCAACUUUUAUAUAUACAUAAAAUAACUUCUUCCCCUCACCAAUGUGGGAUAUCAUGGAUUUAUUCUGGAAACACAUCAAAGGAACAUCUUUUCUCUUGGGUGACCCUAAGUGGUGAGUCAGACCAUUUGCAUGCCAUUGAGUUGCACAGUUGGAUAAAUGCACCUACCUCCUGGGCUCCAGAGUUAAAAGGGUGGAUCCCUGGAUCGCAACCCUCUUGGCAUCUUGGUUUCCAUUCCAACAUCCACAUGACUUGACAAAACAAAAAACAGAAUAAAAUCAUCACUAUUUUCAUGCUAAGCACCAAUACAUGAUGGAAAUCAUUGCUUAAAGAUUUGGGGUCAUUUAGGUUUUGACUGCCUCCUAACACCUCACCUAAUCACAAGUUUUUAUGCUUACAAAUCAAAUAUCGUUCUUCAUUAUAUUAAAAUCAUUUUAAGAUUUCAGAUCCAUCUGCUAAUUAUGAUUAUGAUAACAUUAAUUCACCUGUGCUUCUCAUUUUCGACACACAAGGCAUCUAGGUUUGCAGGAUUUCCUUAUUAGAUGAGAUAAAUGAGUACGCAUGGUUAUGUAUGCAGCAUUCAUUAACCAUGGUAUGUGACAUUUAGAAUUAAGAUAGCAAGCAAACUUUCCCUGCAGCUUGAGUAAAUUGUGAUUUCUUAGCCUCUAUGAGUGGUUCCCAAAUCAAAUUAACAUAGUGAAAUAUACGUAGUCCAGUGAAAGGAAAUGUAAAUUAUAAACUAACAGCACUACACUACUGGUAACACUCGAUACUCUCUAUAUAAUGCAAUGAAAUAUACGUUAUACGUUGCUUGUUCCAAGUCAAAAUUUGUGGCCAAACGUUGGCCUUUUUUCAUUUUCCCUAAGAUUAAUGCUCACCUGGGAUAGGCACUACAUGAUUUAUCUGCUCUUUUACUGUAAAGUUGCUUUGUGUAUGAGUUACACCUCCCCUGCACACCCUCAACAUUUGUUGCUCUGUUUUCCUUGUGUCCAGACGAGGAUAUUAAGUGGGGGCUGACAAAACGACUGCUAGCCAAGGAUUUACAAGGUCCUGGUUUGACGCUUCCGCGAAAGUAUUUUUGAAAAUAUACACAUAGAGAUUGCGCGUUCGGUGCAAUGCAACAAUGUGAGCCAUUCUGAAGUUUUUAAUUUCAGAUUAAUGAAUGCUACAAAAUUCUAAGAAGGGCCGUUUCCAAAUAUUUGAGUUCAUUUAUCCGAACAUCGGAUAAGUAAUGAUCAUAGAUUAUUAUUAUUAUCUGACGUUCUUAUAAUGGUUGGCAUUAUAAGAGGGUAUAUGCUUCUUUCUCUAGCCCCUCCUUCAAGGGAGGGACAAUGUGAUCUGUAUCGUUAGAAGCUAUUCCAUGUCGUCAUCUUUUGGCUUAAGUCAAUACUAAAAUAUAUGGGCGGGGCCCCUGUCAUUUUAUAUUUCUUCUAGAAGGUUUGUUCUGGAAAUCUUUCACCGAAACAUAUCUUUUUCUUCUCUACGUGAUCCGUGGUUGGAAAGUUAGAAAAAUGGGUCCGUUCACAAGCCACCGAGUUGAAAAGUUGGAAAAAUGGCAACACCGCCAACCUCUUGUAUUCGAUAGUUAAAUAAAAGGUCACUGGAAGUGAGAUCCCUUUUGGCCUCUUGAUUUUCAUCCCAGCAUCUCUAUGUCCUGAUAAACUAAAAAACUAAAAAAAAAACAGUACGUGGGUUGGUGUUAAGCAUCAAGAGUCAAGACAUGAUAAUGGAGAGAAAGGAUAUUCAAAUUCCAGUUCUGACAACAUGAUUUUCUUUCCUGAACAACCAUGUUAUAUUUGAUCAAGAAAGAGUAGUGCAUGUGGCCAGGAUCAAGACAUACAUUAAUUUCCACAUGAUGAAGACAGUUUCUGAGAGUUUCUUCUAAAGCUCUUGCGCUAGUAGGCUUCAAGUCAAAAUUUCCCAUGUAAACACUGGAUUUUCUUUAAUUGCCACUAAGGAUACAGUUAAAAUUGACUUAAAAUCCUACGUGAUAUAUAUCUUUAACAAAAGUAUAUUGUAUAUAAUAUUUGAAAUAAUGUUGAUUCGUUGUGGAAAUAUGUUUGUAAGGAAAGUUGUUGACAAUUUAAUAUAGUAUAAGAAGAAAAAAGUUAUCAACUAGAGAUGAGUAUGUAAAGUGAGGCUCACGAUUCAACGCGUAAAUAUAAGAUAUUUUAAGGCUCAAUAGUUAUGAUAUCUAUUUUAUUUUUUGUAUCCCAUAUAUUCAAAGAUACAGUAAAAUGAUUUUAUAUAUAUGAACAUAGCCGAUAGUAUCAUGUUAAAACCUUAUAUGACUCUUUGUGCCAAUUGAUUUUUAUCUUUAUUUUGUGUAUUAGUAAUUAGUAUUAAAGUUUUUACUAACAUAAUAAUUGAUAUAAAAGCUUUUUCCAAAAGAGUCAAACAGAGCAAAACACUUAUUAUAAAAAGAAUUUUGAUUGAAGGUGGAGUCAAUUAUUCUUUAUUCAACAUGUGAUGCAUACAGCGGGUACUUCAUAACUAAAGUAUAUAAGUGCAACAUCUCUUAUACAUUCUCAUUCAAUCUCGAAAGUGGAAAAUUUUAAAAGAUUAAAUGGUUCAAAUUUUCCGUGCAUAAAGGGGAUCAUGUCACAUAACCAAACCAUGGCAUACCAAAGCCAUGAUAUGGACUAAGAAUUUUGUUAAAAUAAGUUUCUUAUUAGGGCACAUUAUGUGACUAUUUAUGACAUAUCAAAGGAGUCAAGUGCAUCAAUAAAGACAUAGAAAAUUCAUGCAUCACAUGUACCACUAAGAGAAAAUUGACUUGAUAGAGUUUAGUCCAAAUAGGAGAUUGUUAAAAGGUGCAUCAAAUUCUUGAUUGAUAUAUAUUUUUUUUAUUAGAAAGGUUAUUAUAUAGAUAUUUCAAUAGACUAUUAAUCCUUUGUAAAAAUAGUUAUAUAAUGAGGAUGGUGAUUAAAAAUAUCUCUAUCAAUAUUUUGGAUUAUAAAAAGAAAAAAAAUAUGAGAAAAUGAUAAACAUAUAAAACUUGUACAAGUAGAUAGAGAUGUGAUGAAAGACACUUGAUGAAUGGAGGCCUUGUAUUUCAAGAUGUAAAUAUAUGGAGCAAAACUCUUAAUUAUAUGAUCAAAUGAUUCUCUCAUAUUCAUGAACAUAAGCAGGAUUGGGGAACCAUGAUAGAAUCUUAUAUGCCUCUCCAUGUAGAUUGAUCGAUGUUUAUCUUCAUAUUUUACACCAAUGAAUGACAUUGAAACUCUGAUUGAUAAAAGGGAAAAAGCAUGGCCUCCACCACAAGAAAAACAAGUAACCUCGGUCUAAAUCACUAGUCUACACCCCGAAGAGAGAACUAGCCAAACCUACUAAAAGAGAAACUUACCAAUUUAGAAAGAAAUCUUCCAUGAUAAAGGGCCCCUAAAAGUCCAAUUCAGUCAGGUUGUGAACAAAAACACCUUCAUGUCAAAACAGGAAUAGGUACCACCAAAAUGUAAAGGGAAAGAUGUAAACCAAGUCGAACUUUGGUAAACAAUGGUAAAGAUAGCAUGAUAGCUAAAAGCACUAAAGCUGUGCUUGGUAUGCAAAAAUGAAAAGUGGAAAUCAGCGUCUUAUUCUUUUUCUCCUUUAUUCACAUAUUAGGAUAACUAAUAUCUAAUGUUUUUUUUAUGUCUCAAAUUCUAUUCCAUGUUAUGGUAAACUUUCAUCUUGUUUAAGUGGAAGAGUAGGAUCACUUUUGUCUGGUUUGGGCUCAAGACGAUAAGCCUAUAGAGACUUCAUAUUGGGUUGAAUUGAUGCCCUUGAUCCGAUCAGUUCGUUAGAAAAAUCUGAAUUAUUAUAAGCAUUUAGAUAAAAUAAAUAAAUAAAUGUGAAACAGAGACUAUUCUCUGCACAACCUUGACCCUAGUUACUCAGUUUCACUGCUCACGGGACUAACCUCUCCAUUCAGUCGAAAUGAAUUGUAAUUUCUUUACUGGUAGCAGUAGUACUUUUCAUAGCAAAGAUAAUAGUAAAUAUGAAAUAUAAAUAUAUAGAAGGAAAUCUGGAUUGUAGAUAGCACCAUAAGUAACACUCAAUAUUUACUACAUAAUAAAAGAGAUAGUGUUACAAAGGUAGAGAAACCUACAAUGAGUACUCAUCACCAUUCUCAAACAGAAACAUAGCAGUGACUUAUACAUAGAACCUAUAGGCUCGCAGGGAAAGAGUAACAUGAUAAGUGCACAGCGGGUAGCAGCUCUUAUUUUACGUAUUACUCAAAAUCUCAAACUAACCAAAGUCACUCAGUUGGGAUGGGUAGGAGAUGGUGGUUUGUGGGGUGGCUUCUGGGUAGGAGCUGGUGGCUUCUUUGUUGGAGUUGAAGGAGGCGUAAUCUUCUGAGGUGGCUUGUAUGAGUCUUUGGCACUCUCUGCAGGAGGGUGCCCAGGGUUGUGACCGGAAGGAGGUGGCUUCUGUCCCUUUGGUGGUUUGCCUAAUGGGCUUGGUGGCUUGUGCUCCGGGAGUUGUUUCUCUCCCUCGAGUAGGUUUCGAGUUUUGUCAGAUGGCUUGUGUUCUGGUGGUGGCUUCUCUCCCUGGGGUGGUUUGCCGAAUGGGCUUGGUGGCUUGUGUUCGGGGAGUGGCUUCUCUCCCUUGGCAGGUUCAGUUGGUGGCUGGUGCUCCGUAGGUGGUUUCUUCACCGCCGGCUUCUCUCCCUGGAGAAGGUUACGAGUUUUGUCAGAUGGCUUCUGUUCUGGUGGCGGCUUCUCUCCCUGGGGUGGUUUGCCAAAUGGGCUUGGUGGCUUGUGUUCGGGAACUGGCUUCUCUCCCUUGGCAGGUUCAGUUAGUGGCUGGUGUUCCGUAGGUGGUUUCUUCACCGGCGGCUUGUGCUCCGGAAGCGGCUUCUCUACCUGGAGAAGCUUACGAGUUUUGUCAGAUGGCUUGUGUUGUGGUGGUGGCUUCUCUCCCUGGGGUGGUUUGCCAAAUGGACUUGGUGGCUUGUGUUCGGGGAGUGGCUUCUCUCCAUUGGGAGGUUUAGUUGGUGGUUGGUGUUCCGUAGGUGGUUUCUGAAGUGGGGGAUGCUUGGGGUAGUCAGCAAGAGACGAGGUAGUGAGAACCACCAGUCCCAGCAGCAAUACUAGCAAGGAUGUGGAAGACAUCUUUGAGUUCAGGCUGAGAUUUGUGCAAGGCUAGAAGAAUUAGGUGGCCUUUUAUAGCGGGCUGGACCCAACAACCAAAUGACACGUAUCAUGAUACACAUAUGUGUUAUAAGAUCCUUGUGGGUCCUACAGAAGUUGAAAACUUUGACAAUUGAGGUGUGAUUACAACUUUUGUCCCUAUUGCUUUCUCGUCAGCCGUUUUGCAAGAUUUUUGACAGGAGGACGGUAGUUUAAAAUAAUAAUUUCUAAAGUACUUUUGUGAAAAAAAAUAAUUCCAAACGUGGAUUUUAUCAAGUAAAAAAAACAAAAAAAAGUUAUUUUCUUUUAAAAUCUUUUCUUCAUGAUUCAUAUACCAAAAAAAGAAUUGUUUUCUGUAGGUAAAAUUUUUAAAAUUCAUUUUUAAAAAAAAAAAAUUACACACUAAAAUUAUCUCUUCAAGAAAAUAUUUUUUAAAUUUUAAAUAAUUAUUAAUUUAUAAUUAAUUUUUUAUUAAUUAUUUAUUAAAUUUAUAUGUGAAAAAUGCAUUUAUAAAAAACAAAUUUUUUAUUAAUUUAUUAAAUAAUUAUUUACAAAAUAAAUAAUUUUGCUUUAUUUUAAUUUUAAAAUUAAUUUUAUUAUAUAAAUUUUAAAAUUAAAAAUAUUAAUAUUUAAUUUAAAAUUUAACUAUAAAAGGAAUAAAAUAUAGAAAAAUAAAUUAAUUUAUUAUUCAAUAAAUUAAUUUUCAAUAAAAUUUUCAGCAUUAAGAGAUAAAUUUUUAAGUAUUAAUCAAUUUAAAAAAUAAUAAUAAUCAUUUGUAUACUAAGAUAUUUUAUUUAGUAAUUAUGAAUGAUAAACAACUAAAGUAAUUUGAAAAAAUAAUAAAAUAUUUAAAAAUAAUAAUUUAAUACACUUAAAAUUAGAAAUGAUUAACUAUUUUUUAUUAAGAAAAAAUUGAAGAAAUAUUUUGUUAUUUAAAAUUUUUUAUUUGUUUUCAAUUUUAAAUGUUAUAGGUUUCAAGAAAAUUGAUCAAAUAAAAAUUAAGAAGUCAUUUUUUCAAAAACUAUAUAUCUAAAUAAAAGCCUUGAAAUUCAAAUACACAAUAUCAUAAAUAUAAACACCAAGUCAAUCCUUAAUUAUCAAAUGUUUUUAAUAUUAAAGAAUCAAAAUCACCUACUAUCAUGAUAAUAAGAAAACCAAUAAUAUUGUUCAUAUAAAUACUAAAAAGCUAACAAAUAUCCCAAACAAUUAAUAAAGUAUCAAACAUGAUAAAAAGUCAAUUAUUAUCAUGAAUGCAAAAAAUCAAUAAUUUUGUUUAUAUGAACCAUCAACAAAGAAAAAAAAAAUCAAUAUCUAAAUAUUAAACAUAAUUUAUAUUUUUAUAAAUAUUAUUGUUGAUAAAUAUCUUAAUAAUUAUAAUUUUUUAUAUAUUAAAUUUAGUAAAUAAAAUUAAUUAAUUUUAUAAUAUAAGAUAUAUAUAAUAAUUAAGAGACUAUUUGUCCCAAACAAUUUAUUUAUUUUUUUUUUAGGAAAUUGUCUCUUCAAGAGACGACUUCUCCCAACAUUUUUAAAAAAAAAAAAAAAAACAUCUAUUCAAAAGACGAUUUCUCCUCAUUUUUUAAAAAUGAAUUUUAGAAAUCAUAUUUUCAAAAAUGAAUUUUAGAAAUCAUAUUUUCAAAAGACGAUUUUUUUUUAUAUAAAUUAUUUUUUAAAAUGACGAUUUUAAAAGGAAAUAACGAUCUCUCUCCUACUUGGCAAAAACUAUGGUAAAUUUGGAAUUAUUUCUUCCACAACCAUAGUUUAAGAAUUAUUUUUUUAUACUUUCGUAGACUUAUCAAAAAUCCCUAUUUUGCAUGUCUCAUUUGGCAUGACUUUCUUACCUAAACAAGCAUAUAUAUAUAUAUAUAUAUAUAUAUCACUUUUGUCUGGGUUGAGUCAAUGCCCUUAACUAAUUUGUUCAUUUGAAUAGUCUAAAUUAUUAUAAGCUUUUAGUUAAGAAAAAUGUGAAACAUAAAUUACACCUCUCGGCACAACUUCGACACUGGUUACUCUGUUUCAGUUUAUUCACACAAGAUUAUUGGUUCUAGGGUUUAUUUGGUUUUGGUUUGAUUCUAAUUGCUAAACUUUCUCAAGGAAGAUGUUAUAUAGGGAGUGAGAAACCUUCACUCCUGGCUACCUCCAAGAGAAGAGCAAGUGGUCUGAAUCAAAGAUAUACUGCUCACUUUUUCUUCUUCUAAGGACAGCUAUGACCUUGCUUUAAAAUGUUCGAAUAGCCUAAUGCAACCUCCCAUUUCUCAAGUCAGCUGAUGAUGUAAGUCACCUUGGCUUUCCACAUUCAUACGGUGAGGACGUUUGUGGGUGUAAUUCUCUUAACAGUUUUCAUUUUAUAUGGAAAAAUUCAUAAUUAAGGGUAAUUACUGAUUCCAUUUGACAGUGACCAAGUUUAAAAUAUUAACUCAUGUAUUAAAUGCACAUUAAAAAAUCAUGGAAUAAAUAUAUUUACUAAUAUAUAGUUCUUUUGUCAUGUUCUGUCACAGAAGCAUCGAACUUUCCCUAGAAAUUUUUGCAUGGUAUUCUGCUUAUGAUUUUGAAAACUCUAGGCACCUAAGGCCACUGAUUGCAUGGUUGGAUGAGGAGCUGCAUGAGAUUAUGUAUCCUGUUGCUCCUUAACUACAAAUAUCAGUUUUAAGUAGCAUCUCCAUGUGACAUUUUCCUGAUGCAAUUUCGCUGUCCACCAACAAAUGUCUCCAUGCAGCUAGAUGAAUUGUAAUUUCUUUGUUGUUAUCAACAGCUUUAAUUAAUCUUGAUAUAUAUAUAACUUAGUAGAAGUAAUUAAUCUAGAUUGUAGUUGCACUAAGAUAAUAGGCAAUAUUAUAACAGUGCCACAAUGCUCAUCGCCAAAUAGAAAGGUAGAAAAACUACAAUGAGUAACUCACACAACAUUCUCAAACAGGACAUAGCGGCGACUGAUACAUAGAACACUAUUGGCACUCAGGAAAUGAUAAGAUCAGUGCCCAGCAGGCAGCACGUCUUAUUUUACAUACUACUUAAAACUAACCAAAGUCAUUCAGUUGGGAUGGGUGGGAGAUGGUGGUUUGUGCGGUGGCUUCUUUCCUGGAACUGGUGGUUUUUUUGUUGGAGUUGAAGGAGGCUUAAUCGUCUGAGGUGGCUUGUAUGAGUCUUCAGCACUCUCUGCAAGAGGGUGCCCAGGGUUGUGACCAUAAUGAGGUGGCUUCUCUCCCUUAGGUGGUUUGCCAAGUGGGCUGGCUGGCUUGUGCUCCGGGAGCGGCUUCUCUCCCUUAGGUGGUUUGCCAAAUGGGCUUGCUGGCUUGUGCUCUGGGAGCGGCUUCUCUCCCCCAAGAAGUUUGCGGGUUUUGUCAGAUGGCUUGUGUUCUGGUGGUGGCUUCUCUCCUUGGGGUGGUUUGCCAAAUGGACUUGGUGGCUUGUGUUCGGGGAGUGGCUCCUCUCCCUUGGGAGGUUUAGUUGGUGGCUGGUGUUCCGUAGGUGGUUUCUCAACCGGGGGCUGGUGCUCCGUAGGUGGUUUAUGAACUGGGGGAUGCUUGGGGUAGUCAGCAAGAGACGGGGUGGUGAGAACCACCAGUCCCAGCAGCAACACUAGCAAGUAUGUGGAUGACAUCUUUGAGUUCAGGCUGAGAUUUGUGCAAGACUAGAAGAAUUAGGUGGCCUUUUAUAGCUGGCUGCACCCAACACUCACAUGACACGUAUCACGGUGACACAUGUGCUAUGGGAUCCAUUUGGGUCCUACAGAAGUUGAAAACUUUUGACUAUUGAGGUGUGAUCACAACUUUUGUCCCUAUUGCUUUCUCCGCAACCGUUUUACAUGUUUCCUUUGUGGUGUUUAAUAGUGUUUUUUUCCUUAAUUCUAAAUAAACCUUAAUACUUAAUAAUGUUAAAUAUUAGGUUAUUUAUUUUUAUAAUAUUUUAUUUAUAUUAAGUAUUAAAAAGUAAAGAAAAAUCAAUAUAUUUAUUUUUCUAUUUAGAAAAAACUAUAUAUUUUUAAUUUUUUUAUUUAAUAAAAAAUUUAUAAUAAAUCAUGAAAAAAUAGAAAAACAAACAACCUAAAUUUUAAAAAUAAAUUGUUUUUAGUAAAAACCCAAAAAAACAAACACCACCUUAACUAAACAAAUAUAUAUUAUAUUUAGUUAAGAAAGAGUAAAGUGUAUAUGGCUCAAAUCAAGGAAGAGAAACAGAAUAAGUGGAAGACAAUCAAUUGUGAUAAACAGAUAUAUUACAUGCAUGUAGUACUAGUGACUUUAUCAUUUACUUUUAUACAAUAGAUCAUCACACUCUUUCUUCUAAAUAUUUUGGAGGAUAAUGGUACAUGUUGCUUGUUGCCAAGUCAAAAUUGGUGGCAAAAAUCGGCAUGAUACGAAAGGAUUGGUGAAAAGAUUCACAUAGAUGGUGCUUUGUGCAAUGCAGUCUUGCUCUAAUUCAACAGAGUGGACCAUGGUGAUGUAUUUUAAAUUUUAAAUUUUAAAUUAAUGCAUGCUUCAAAGUUUUAACUAGAUGUCACUUCCAUGGAUUUUUGUUCAUUUAAUUGAGAACAGGAUAGGCUAUCAAACUUGAAGUAAUAUAAAAAUCCCUUCAUUACUGUAACUAAUGAAAGAUCAUUAUCUGCGCUUGGUAUUUUGCCAAGGUAUUUGCUGCUCUUUCUAGCCCUAUCUUACAGUUAAGGACAAUGUGAUCUAGUUAACCUUAGAAGCUAUUCCAUGUCAUAUACAAGAGAUCAAGCACAUUAUCUUUGGGCUCAGUUCAAAACUAUAAUAUAUGGGUGGGGUGGGGGCCUAUACCAUUUGCAUAUCACCACUAUUGGUUUAGUUUGGAAGGUUUCUUCUGGAAGAUUGCUUUCUGGAAACAUUUCAAAGAAAUAUAUCUUUUUGUUCUCUUGGUGACGAGCAGCGGCAAUCAAGUCUGUUGACAAACAACCGAGUUGAAAAGUUUGAAAAUUGGUCACAGCCCACGUCCAUGGUUAAGGAAAAGGUCACUGGAAGUGAUCCCUUCUGGGCCUGUUGGAAGCAGGGGAGGUUAACACACCAAGCAACAAAGAACAGAGAUAUGCUGCUACUGAUCUAUAUUUUUUAUUUGAUCAUAAGGCUAAAUUUAUACAGAUUGUGUAACAGAUAUGACCUCAAAAAAAAGCAUCAAAUCAAGCUACUUGUUGAACAAACAACUACCUUCUACAAAAUAACAUCAAAAUUUAACUUAAAAGCAAAAACAUAAAAAUAGCAACAGCAAAAAUAGAAACAUAAAAAUAGCUUCAGCAUUCUAGUAAUCUCGUUGACUUCAAUUGCAUGUGGUUGACGAUUUCAGCCUUUUCCUCAGCAGCUACUAAGGCAUAACUCUCAACACUCCUCCUUGACUUAGGAGGUGCAAACUCCAAGUCUUUCUCAUAGAAACUCAAAUCUUAUUUUAGGAAGAGCUUUAGUCAGAAUAUCUACAUUUUGACUGUCUGUAUUGCAGUAGACUAGUUGUAUAUCUCCUUCUUUCUGUACUUCCCUCAAAAAUUACAAUUUAAUCUUGAAGUGCUUUGUUUUACCAUGAAAAACUGGAUCAUUUGCAAUAGAUAUAGUGGCCUGGUUGUCUACAAACACCUUUGUACUCACUUCUUGCUUCAUAUCCAAAUCUGUCAGCAACUUUCCAAGCCAUAAGGCUUGAUUUACAGCUGUAACAGCAGCAAUAUACUCUGCCUCAGCUGUGGAUUGAGCCACGACUUCUUGCUUCCUUGAACUCCAUGAAAAAACACCAGAACCAAAACUAAAACAAUAGCCUGAAGUACUUCUCAUAUCGUCAACACAACCAGCCCAAUCACUAUCAGAAAAUCCAUGAAAAUUGAAACUUUGAACUUGACUGAACUUAAUGCCAUAAUCCACAGUGCCUUUAACAUUUCUUAUCACACGCUUUGCUGCCUGGAAAUGAAUUUCACUAGCACAAUGCAUGUAUCUCGAAAGUAGACUUACAGCAUGCAUUAUAUCGAGUCUUGUUGCAGUCAAGUACAUUAAGCAUCCAAUCAUGCUUCGAUAAAGUCCUUCAUCUACCUUUUUAGCACCGUCCUCCUUACAGAACUUCUCUUUCUGGUUCAUAGGGGUAGAUGUAGGUUUGCAUUCCUCCAUUUUGAAUUUCUUCAUAAUUUCUUUGGCAUAUUUUUGUUGGCAGAUGAAAAUCUCAUUCUGCUUCUGGUGUACUUCCAUUCCCAAGAAGUAAGACAUCUCAUCUAGGUCUGUCAUCUCAAAAACCUGCUCCAUUUCAGCCUUGAAUUUGUUCACAAACCCUGCAUUACUUCCUGUUACAAGCAAAUCAUCAACAUAUAGAGAAACAAUUAAUAUAUCUUCUUCAAUCUUCUUAAUGUAGAGUGUAAAUUCACUCAAGCUCUUGUGAAAGCCUAAAGUUAGCAGGUGAGUGUCAAUCCUGCUGUACCAAGCUCUAGGGGCUUGUCUUAACCCAUACAAGGCCUUCUUAAGAAGGUAUACUUUUUCUUCUUUUCCUUUGAUAGCAAAACCUUCUGGUUGUUCGACAAAAAUCUCUUCCUCUAAGUAGCCAUUCAAAAAUGCUGACUUCACAUCUAGUUGAUAAAUCUUCCAUUUUCUUUGAGCUACAAGAGCCAACAACAUCCUGAUUGUAUCCAAACGAGCUACUGGUGCAAAGGUUUCCGAAAAGUCAACACCAAACAUUUGUGCAUACCCUUUGACAACCAGCCUUGCUUUAUGUUUGUUUAUAGAACCAUCAGAGUUGAGUUUGGUUCUGUAAACCCACUUAACCCCAAUAGGUUUUUUGUGUGAAGGUCUAUCUACUAGCUCCCAAGUGUUGUUCUUGUCAAUCAUAUCUAGCUCCUCCUGCAUUGCAACCCUCCAUCUUUUAUUUUCAGCAGCUUCAACAAACCCUGCAAGUUCAAGAACAGCUAUAUUACACCUUUGAUAAAUAUCAAAAAGUGUCAUGAAACCUCUAACUGGAAGUUCAUCAACAUCUUCAUCAAUAUAUUGCUGAUUCUGCUCAUCCCAACUCCAUUUCUCCGUUUCCAAAAACUUAACAUCUCUACUUACCACAAUUUUACUAUUUUGUGGCAAGUAGAUUCUGUAAGCUUUUGAGGUGCUGUUGUAUCCAAUGAAAAUUCCUGGUUCUGACUUUUUAUCUAGCUUGUCUCUUUUCACCUGAGGAACAUAAGAGAAACACAAGCAACCAAAGGUCUUUAAAUUCAUUAGCAUAGGCUUAUAAGCAAACCAGGCCUCAAAAGGUGUCUGUUUCUGCAAUGCUUUUGUUGGUAGUCUAUUUAGCAAAAAUACUACUGUAUUUGCAGCUUCAACCCAAAAACUUUUUGGCAGCUCUUUCUCAUGCAAAAGACAUCUUGUCAUUGAUUACUACUCAAAAAGUGCUAUUUGAUAGCCUUUAAUUAAUCCUUUUUAACACUUUUGAGUAGUAGUUUAGGCCUUUUAACUCAAUUGGCAUGUUAAGGAUCCUUUAAAGCAAUUUUGAUCACUUUGUGCAAGUUUUGGUGUUUUUGUUAGUAUUUCGAUCACCAAAGCAAGUCAAGAAUGAGGAGAGCUAUGAGGAAUCUUGGGCAAAGCUUAGAAUUCAAUUGCCAAGAGUGAAUCCGGAUUGCAAGGAGAAAAAGCAAAGAGGAUCAGUCAUGGAGCAUAUUCUUGAUGACAGUCGUAGCAGCCACUUUUGGAUCACUUUCUGAAGUCCAAAUGAUGCAAGCUAUAUACCAUUUCAAAGCUCAGGAAGUCAACAAUCCAAUGCUUCAAACGGUGUGCGAUUCGGAAUUGAAACGAAGAAGUUGCAGCCAUUACAAGCCAGACACUCUAAAGUGUUGCGGAAUCAGCCAUGUGUUGCGAGAAUUUCGCAGCACUUUUGUACAGUAAGGUGUUUCUCCUUCUAACGAUGCACGAACCAUGCCGCGAGAAGGGAGCUGGAAACUUCAAGAUGGAAGCCAACUUUGCAGCCUAGUGAAGAUAGCUCGGUCUUGCAAGAUAAUUUCGCAGCCCUCUUGGGUGUCUGCGAAAUUUCGCAGGCCUCAUUUUUCACCUGCGAAAUGGCUCUUGAAGCCUCCCGAAGCUUGCUACCGACAUUGGGAGAUAUUUUCCAUUAGAUUUUUGUUGUCUAAAUCCCAAAAUACUCCUUGUAAACCACCAAUUACAUGAUUCCUUAGUUUUUAAGUUAGUAAAAAGACCAAAUAUCUUUGUAACAAUUAGUUUUAUAUUUUGUUGUUAUAAAUACCUCUCGGGAGCCUGUUCUCAGGGAGGAGUUCCUUCUGUAAACGUUUGGUAAGCAAGUAAAGUCUAUUUUCUUUCUACUGCCUUACCUUCUCACUUUGUAUUUUCAUUUUAUUUCUAAGUUAUGAAUUCUCUGAGGAGUUUUCCCCAAAGAAUGAGUAACUAAACCUCCAAUUCCUUGGAGCUAAGGUUGCCGGGGAAGGUUCCAAGUGCAAGAAUGCAAAGCUCUGUGGUUUUAGCUAGUAAUGAAGAGGAAGUGAAAUCCUUUAGUGAUUUCAAUGUUUUUAGUUAACUUAAAACACUUUGGAGUCACCUGGGCCAACACUUGGUAAGGCAAGUGAUUUCCAACCAUGGAAAUGCACUAGUUUACCCCUUGCGAGCCUCUGGUAGGUGACUUCAAGGUAGGAUUUUCUGGAAUUACCAACACUUGGUAAGCUUUUGGACUCCUAGGAGACAUCCAUUAGUUAUCUCUUGCGAGUUUGUGAAGGGAAUCCAAGGUUAAAGAUCACCUUGAAUGGUAAGUGCUCGUGAGAGGCAUGAACCAUUGCAAGUUGUAUCAGUGAGAGAAUUAAAGUGAAAUCUAAUUGAAGGAGUCUUUGUACAUCACCGGUUAGAGAAUUGACUAUAAGUUGAAUCUCUAAUGCGAGGAAAUGAACCAACUGACCAGAGCCGUGUCUUUUGCAUGAGGAACCACCCCAGUGAACCUAAAUCUCCAAGGAAUGUUUUUUUCUUCCUAAAUUAUUCCAAACUUCUGUUAAGUUAGUUAGUUUAAAUCUCAACCUUUACAAAUCAAAGUUUGUGUUUUAUUCCUUAAGCUAACCGUGAAAUGAAACAAGACCAAUUCACUUGGAAUUGGUAUCAUUGAUUGCCUGCAAAUCAUUCCCAGUGAACGAUCCUAGAGCCACUAUACUAUAGUAGCUUUGUAUUUGCUACCCUAGUGUAUGGUGUUAUAGGUAUAAAUUUUGUUGAUCACUUCCUCAAUCAAGGAGCACCAGCUGAACACAAAUCAGCUGAGACACCAAUUAGGCAUGAGUCAAAUGGCGCCGUUGCCGGGGAAUGAAUGUCAAGUUCAUUGUGAUACCAUUGUUGAGCACUUGUGAUUUUCAUCACAAGUUGGUAAAGUUUCUUUCACUUUACUAAUUUUCAUUCUUUCUUUGUUUAUUUACAAUCUAAGUUUAUCUUUUUAAAUUUUAGUCUAGUUUAAUUUUGUUGUUGUAGCCCUGUUUUUCUUGUUGUCCUCUGUUUUCAUUUUUUUUUUCAGGUAGAUACUAGUUGUGUAUGCCCAAGUGGAUACGAGACAUAGGAGGUAGGCUUGUUAAGUGUGAUACACCUCAGAAAGGAGAAUUUGAAGUAAUCUUGAAUAUCAUGGAGGCUGCACCUGAAGAUCAGCAUAGUCACCAAGGUCGUCAAGACAAUCUCAAUGAAUUCAGAUCAAUGAGGGACCGUAUGCAUCCACCUCGUAUGAGUACACCAUCAUGUAUAGUGCCCCCUACAGAGCAGCUAGUGAUCAGACCAUAUCUUGUUCCACUUCUACCAACUUUCCAUGGGAUGGAAAGUGAGAAUCCGUAUGCACACAUCAAGGAAUUUGAAGAUGUUUGUAAUACAUUCCAAGAAGGAGGAGCUUCAAUUGACUUGAUGAGGCUUAAGUUAUUUCCUUUUACUUUAAAGGAUAAGGCCAAAAUUUGGCUUAAUUCUUUAAGGCCAAGGAGUAUCCGCUCUUGGACUGAUUUACAAGCUGAGUUCCUUAAGAAAUUUUUUCCUACUCAUAGAACAAAUGGCUUGAAAAGGCAAAUUUCAAACUUCUCAGCUAAAGAGAAUGAGAAAUUCUAUGAGUGUUGGGAAAGAUACAUGGAAGCUAUAAAUGCUUGUCCUCACCAUGGCUUUGAUACUUGGCUAUUGGUGAGCUAUUUUUAUGAUGGUAUGUCCUCCUCAAUGAAGCAACUCCUCGAGACAAUGUGUGGAGGAGAUUUCAUGAGCAAAAAUCCAGAGGAAGCUAUGGAUUUCUUGAGCUAUGUAGCUGAUGUUUCAAGGGGAUGGGAUGAACCAACUAAAGGAGAAGUGGGAAAGAUGAAGUCUCAGUUGAAUGCUUACAAUGCAAAGGCUGGGAUGUAUAAUUUGAAAGAAGAUGAUGACAUGAAAGCAAAGUUGGCAGCUAUGACAAGAAGAUUGGAGGAGCUGGAGCUGAAAAGAAUGCAUGAAGUGCAAGCUGUUGCUGAAGCACCAGUGCAAGUGAAGCUGUGUCCCAAUUGUCAAUCAUUUGAACAUUUGGUGGAGGAGUGCCCUGCAAUUUCAGUUGAAAGGGAAAUGUAUAGAGAUCAAGCAAAUGUUGUUGGACAAUUUAGGCCCAAUAACAAUGCUCCUUAUGGAAAUACCUACAAUUCAAGUUGGAGGAAUCAUCCAAAUUUCUCAUAGAAGGCCAGAGCAACUCAAUACCAACAGCCGGAUCCACCAUCUCAGCAAUCUUCAAGUAUUGAACAAAUAAUAGCCAAUCUCAGCAAGGUAGUGGGAGAUUUUGUGGGAAAGCAAGAAGCCACCAAUGCUCGAGUUGAUCAAAGAAUGGAUAGAAUGGAGAGUGUGUUGAACAAAAGAAUGGAUGGAAUGCAAAAUGAUAUGAACCAAAAGUUUGAUAACAUCCAAUAUUCAAUUUCAAGGCUUACAAAUUUGAAUACACUGCAAGAAAAAGGAAGAUUUCCUUCUCAACCUAACCAAAAUCCCAAAGGUGUCCAUGAAGUGGAAAGCCAUGAGGGAGAAUCAUCACAGGUGAAAGAUGUGAAAGCUUUGAUCACUCUAAGGAGUGGUAAGAAAAUUGAGCAGCCAACACCCAUGCCACAUGUUGAGAAAGAAGAAGGGAUAAAGAAAGGAAAGGAAAUAGAAGAUAAAGACAGUGAGAUCAGUGAAGAAAAGAAGGACUCUGAUUCAACAAUCAAAGCAAUUCCAGAGAAAGAGCUUCUGAAGGAAGAAAUGCUGAAGAAAUCAACUUUUCCACCUUUUCCUCAAGCAUUACAGGGGAAAAAGGGGGUUAGAAAUGCAGCUGAAAUCCUUGAAGUCUUAAGACAAGUAAAAGUUAAUAUUCCACUGCUGGAUAUGAUCAAACAAGUUCCAACGUAUGCAAAAUUCCUAAAGGACUUGUGUACUAUCAAAAGAGGGGUUGACUGUAAACAAGAAAGCCUUCUUGACUGAGCAAGUAAGUGCAAUCUUACAAUGCAAGUCUCCUUUGAAGUACAAAGACCCUGGAAGUCCUACCAUUUCAGUCAUGAUUGGAGGAAAGGUAGUGGAGAAAGCCUUGCUAGACUUGGGAGCAAGUGUGAAUUUGCUUCCAUACUCUGUCUACAAGCAACUGGGACUUGGAGAGUUGAAGCCAACAGCAAUCACUUUAUCUUUGGCAGAUAGAUCAGUGAAAAUUCCAAGAGGAGUAAUUGAGGAUGUAUUGGUUCAAGUGGAUAAUUUCUACUAUCCAGUAGAUUUUGUUGUUCUUGAUACUGAUCCAACUGUAAAGGAAGCUAAUUUAGUUCCUAUCAUCCUUGGAAGGCCAUUUCUUGCAACUUCAAAUGCAAUCAUCAACUGUAGAAAUGGGCUUAUGCAACUCACUUUUGGUAACAUGACACUGGAUCUCAAUAUUUUCUAUAUGUCUAAAAAGCAAAUCACUCCUGAGGAAGAAGAAGGUCCAGAAGAGCUAUGUAUUAUUGAUACUUUGGUGGAGGAGCACUGCAAUCAGCAUAUGCAAGAUAAGUUGAAUGAAAGUCUUGUGGAUAUUGAGGAAGGUUUUUCUGAAUCUCCUAUUGGGCUUGCUACUCUACAAAGUUGGAGAAAGAUAGAAGGAAUUCUACCUUUGUUCAAUGAAAAAGAGGAGGCAACUGUUGAAGAAGAAAUUCCAAAACUCAAUUUGAAGCCUUUACCUGUGGAGCUGAAAUAUACAUAUCUUGAAGCAAAUAAUCAAUGUCCUGUUGUGAUAUCCUCAUCUCUGACCAGUCAUCAAGAGAAUUGUUUAAUGGAAGUUCUCAUGAGGUGUAAGAAGGCAAUAGGAUGGCAAAUAUCUGACUUGAAAGGCAUUAGUCCUUUAGUUUGUACUCAUCAUAUAUAUAUGGAGGAGGAAGCAAAGCCAAUUCGUCAAUUUCAAAGAAGGUUGAAUCCUCAUCUACAAGAGGUGGUGCGAGCUGAGGUGCUGAAGCUACUUCAAGCAGGAAUCAUUUACCCUAUUUCUGAUAGCCCUUGGGUGAGUCCUACUCAAGUGGUACCAAAGAAGUCAGGGAUCACAGUGAUUCAAAAUGAAAAAGGGGAAGAAAUUACUACACGCCUCACUUCAGGUUGGAGGGUGUGUAUUGAUUAUAGAAAGCUGAAUGCUGUCACCAGGAAGGAUCAUUUUCCAUUGCCAUUUAUUGAUCAAGUGCUGGAGAGAGUCUCUGGACAUCCAUUUUAUUGUUUCUUGGAUGGGUAUUCAGGCUAUUUUCAAAUUGAAAUUGAUUUGGCAGAUCAGGAAAAGACCACUUUUACAUGUCCAUUUGGAACAUUUGCUUAUAGAAGAAUGCCUUUUGGUUUAUGCAAUGCACCUGCUACAUUUCAAAGAUGUAUGUUGAGUAUUUUCAGUGAUAUGGUGGAGAGAAUUAUGGAGGUUUUCAUGGAUGACAUCACCGUAUAUGGAGGUACAUUUGAGGAGUGCUUGGUUAAUUUGGAAGCAGUUCUUCAUAGAUGCAUUGAAAAAGAUUUGGUGCUGAACUGGGAGAAAUGCCAUUUUAUGGUACGUCAAGGAAUUGUCCUUGGCCAUAUCAUCUCUGAAAGAGGCAUUGAAGUUGAUAAAGCAAAGGUGGAGCUUAUUGCCAAAUUACCAUCUCCAACAACUGUGAAAGGAGUAAGACAGUUCCUUGGCCAUGCAGGGUUCUAUAGGAGGUUUAUAAAAGGUUUUUCAAGUCUUUCAAAACCUCUUUGUGAGCUGUUAGCUAAGGAUGCUAAGUUUAUAUGGGAUGAAAGGUGUCAGCAUAGCUUUGAUCAACUGAAGAAGUUUUUAACAACAACUCCAAUAGUGAGAGCCCCUAACUGGCAAUUACCUUUUGAACUGAUGUGUGAUGCCAGUGACUUUGCUAUAGGAGCUGUGCUUGGCCAAAGAGAAGAUGGGAAGCCCUAUGUGAUUUACUAUGCAAGUAAAACACUAAAUGAAGCUCAGAGGAACUACACAACUACAGAGAAAGAAUUGUUAGCUGUGGUAUUUGCUUUGGACAAAUUUCGAGCUUAUUUAGUGGGGUCUUUCAUCAUUGUCUUCACUGACCAUUCAGCCUUGAAGUAUUUAUUGACAAAGCAAGAUGCAAAAGCAAGGUUGAUUAGAUGGAUUCUAUUGUUACAAGAGUUCGAUCUUCAAAUCAAAGAUAAGAAAGGAGUGGAGAAUGUAGUAGCUGACCACUUGUCAAGGUUAGUUAUAGCACAUAAUUCCCAUCCCUUGCCUAUCAAUGAUGAUUUUCCUGAAGAAUCACUCAUGUUCCUAGUGAAAACUCCUUGGUAUGCUCAUAUUGCUAAUUAUUUAGUAACUGGGGAAAUUCCAAGUGAGUGGAAUGCACAGGACAGGAAGCACUUCUUUGCCAAAAUUCAUGCUUAUUAUUGGGAAGAGCCCUUUCUCUUUAAGUAUUGUGCAGAUCAGAUUAUUAGGAAGUGUGUCCCUGAAGAUGAGCAGCAAGGGAUUCUAUCUCAGUGUCAUGAGAAUGCAUGUGGAGGCCACUUUGCCUCUCAGAAAACAGCCAUGAAGGUAUUACAAUCAGGGUUUACUUGGCCAUCUCUUUUCAAAGAUGCCCACAUCAUGUGUAGAAAUUGUGAUAGAUGCCAAAGGCUUGGAAAGCUAACAAAAAGAAAUCAAAUGCCUAUGAACCCCAUUCUGAUAGUUGAGAUAUUUGAUGUUUAGGGCAUUGACUUCAUGGGACCUUUCCCAAUGUCUUUUGGUAAUUCUUACAUUUUGGUGGGGGUAAAUUAUGUUUCUAAAUGGGUUGAGGCAAUCCCCUGUAAGCAAAAUGAUCACAGGGUGGUUCUCAAGUUUCUUAAAGAGAACAUUUUCUCAAGAUUUGGGGUGCCCAAGGCCAUAAUCAGUGAUGGAGGAGCUCAUUUUUGCAACAAACCUUUUGAAGCUCUGUUAUCCAAGUAUGGAGUGAAGCAUAAGGUAGCCACACCUUAUCAUCCUCAGACAUCCGGGCAAGUUGAGCUAGCUAACAGGGAAAUAAAGAACAUUUUGAUGAAAGUGGUGAAUUCCAACAGAAAAGAUUGGUCUAUUAGGCUUCAUGAUUCAUUGUGGGCAUAUAGAACAGCUUAUAAAACUAUUCUUGGGAUGUCUCCCUAUCGUCUUGUCUAUGGCAAAGCAUGCCAUCUCCCUGUGGAAGUUGAAUACAAAGCUUGGUGGGCAAUAAAGAAGCUGAAUAUGGACUUGAUCAAGGCCGGAGAAAAGAGAUUUCUAGACCUUAAUGAGAUGGAGGAAUUAAGAAAUAAUGCUUAUAUCAAUUCCAAAGUUGCAAAACAGAGGAUGAAGAAGUGGCAUGAUCAACUCAUCUCCAACAAGGAAUUUCAGGAAGGGCAAAAAGUUUUGAUGUAUGACACAAGACUCCAUAUCUUUCCUGGGAAGCUCAAAUCAAGGUGGAUUGGUCCAUUUGUUAUUCACCGAGUAUAUUCCAAUGGAGUGGUGGACUUAUUGAAUUCCAAUGGCAAGGAUAGCUUUAAAGUCAAUGGAUAUCGUCUCAAGCCGUUCAUGGAGUCAUUCAAAUCAGAAAAGGAGGCAAUCAACCUCCUUGAACCUCAAAAAGCCUAAGUGAAAAGGGUUUGCUGGACGUGGCUUUACCACAGUCCAAAAUUUUUGUAAAUUUUGUAAAUUUUCAAGUUGUUUCUAUACUUUUGAUUUUAGUUUUUGAUCUUAAAUCAUGUUUUUAGGUGUGUUUUAAUCGUUUUAAAUGAUCCCAGGUGGAAGAAAUUUCAAGGGGAUUGAAAGAAAAAAAAUCGGGUCGAAAUUGGAGCCGAAACAGAGCAAAAACAGGGGAAAAACAGAGCUCUGCGAAAUUUCGCAGGGUGAAGGAAACCUCUGCGAAAUGAGCAUUUUGUUGCGAAACCAUUCCGCAGCACUGUAGAAGCCUCUGCGAGUGUAUUUCGCAGCUGCGAAAGUGAAUUUGGCACACGAGUGCCACUUCGCAGUACAGUAGCAUCCAUUUGGCAGCUGCGAAACUCAUUGCGAAAUGGAAAAGCGUGAUUUCGCACCAAAAGUCCCAUUCCGCAGGGUAUUUCGCAAUUGCGAAAGUGGUUUUGGCACACGAGUGCCACUCCGCAGCACAGUAACAUCAAUUUCGCAGCUGCGAAACUCACUGCGAAGUUGCUGCGAAAAUGGCAAGUUGCUGCGAAAUUGGCGUUUAGUUGCGAAACUUAAACUGACCCCUGAGCUUCCGUUUUUCCUAUUUAUACCGGUCAAAAGUGCUGCGAAAAGGGUUUCAAAAAUCAGAGCACCAUUCUCGCAGCCCCUUCAUCUUCUUCGCCAAGCCACGCCGUCCGAACCUCCGGUCGUCUUCUCCGUUUAGCAGCGCCGGCCAAAGAUCGAUAUUCCAAAAUGGCACGAACGCGAGGGGCAAAAUCUUCAUCCCCUUCGAAUCGCAAAAGGAGUCUGCGAAAGGAGCCAAGUCCAGGUUCUGCUCCAGAACCUGCUCCAAAGCCUUCGCCGUCGAGACCACAACCUUCUCCAGUGAAGCCGGCGCCACUAAAGCCGCCGGCAAGACGAUAUUUGACAAGGUCAGGCGGUUGGCCAUUGAAGAAGAAGCCCAGGGUUGAGAGCUCUGAACCAAUUGAUUUGACUGAGCAAUCCCCUGAGCAGUCCCCAAAUCCUUCACCAGUUCAAACUCCAGUGCCGUCACCGGUUCCCUCGCCAAUUCCCUCACCUGAAGCAACUCCAAUUCCAUCGUCGGUACCAUCUCCGGCACCCCAAGAAAAAGCUCAGGAGCCUCAAGCGCCAAUUCCAGAGCCCCAAAUUGCAGCUGAAGCACCUCUGGAAGAAGUGAUCCGAAGGCCAAUGCUGCCCCAGCCCCCAAUCGAAGGAAACUUGGAUUGUCGAACACGGGCAUUCCAUUCUGAGCUUUGCUUCGAUUUAACAGCAUUCAGAGUGAGGCCAGAGCUUGCCCAAUCCUUCCAGCUGCUGAGGAGAUAUCAUAUGGAGCAUCUGCUAGCUCCAAGGGAUUUUUUCUAUCCCCGGGUAGUCACGGACUUCUACCAGACCAUGACAACCAAAGAAGUAAGAAAUCCAACUCUGAUCCAUUUCAUAAUUGAUGGAAGGCAUGGUAUUUUGGGAGCAAGACACAUUGCUGAAGCUCUGCAAAUUCCUUUUGAGCCAACCCAAUUCGACAAUUUUAAAGCUUGGGUAAAUCCUACUGAGUUAGAGAUGGUUCGCACACUAACCAGAGGAGCUGCAAAUCGAUCACACCUGUUGAGGGGGGAGCUACCUCCAGUGAUGUUUUUGAUUGAUGCCUUUUUGAGGCAUAAUAUCUAUCCCCUGCAGCAUUGGACCCAAAGAAGGGGAAUUCUCCUGGAAGCUUUGUACAAGAUGUCAGAAGGAUUCUUCUUUGGGCCCCAUCAUCUUAUCAUGGCAGCCCUUCUAUACUUUGAGGAAAAGGUUCACAAGAAGAAACUUCAAAGAGCAGAUUGCAUUCCACUCCUCUUCCCAAGGCUGCUAUGCCAAGUUUUGGAGCAUCUCGGAUACCCCUCUGAGCCUCAGCAGGAAAGAAAGAGAAUAUGCCGUGAGCCAUUUACUCUUGAUAAAUGGAAUAAUAUGACGGCCUACAAAAUUGAUCAGCCUGGGCAGCCUCAGCCAGCAGCAAGGAGAGCCUCCCCAAGACAUGCACCUGAAGGUAUAACACUUGCUACUCCUGCCAUCCCUCGAGCUUCACCAGCUGCACCUGCUGCAUCACAGCCAUCCACAUCAGCUGAGCCGAGGAUGGCCAUCCCUAUAUCCGAAUAUCGAGAGCUGUGCCGAGCAUUGGAGACUCUUACAGCUUCCCAGAGCAAUCUUGCUCAAGAGUUGGCAGCCAUCAAAGCAUGCCAGGAGCAGAUGUUAGCCUCUCAGGCUCAACAAGCUGCCAUCCUAAGGCAGCUUCAAGUCCAUUUCGAUCUGCCACAAGCUGUAGAGCCCUCCACUGAGACUCCACCAGAGCCACACUCUCAGCCUUCAGAGUCUCUUCCUCCAGAGCCAGAAGCCCCAACUGAUCCACCUACAGAGGAGGCGGAUCCUUCUGCUUAGCACCAUCACCCCACUCAUCAGACAUUAUAUAUAUUUGCUGUUUAUGUUUUUAUGCAUGUUUGUUUUGUUUUAGUUGAAAUGAAAUCCCAGUAUUUUGGUACUAUAUAUGGGAUUCCUUGUGAUUACUUGUCCUUAGCAUUGUACUCGAAUGAAUUGAAAGUAAUACAAGUUGAAUUUUUCUUGUUAAAAGUUAGCAUUAAAAUUCUCCUUAUUUCCUUUUCUCACAUAUUCUAUUCUUUUUGAAACAUGUGGUUUUCCCCAAUCAAUAUUCGAAUUUGAUAUCAGCAUGGAGGUACCACUUCCUCCCUUUUAUUACAGUCACUCAAAUCACAUUGAGGACAAUGCUCAGUUCGGUUGGGGGGUAUGAGGAAGGAAGUAUUCUAAAUCUUUUUGGUAUUGCAAUUAUAUUGGUUAAUUAGUUGUAGAUUUUACGUUUUACUCUUGUUACUCUAUUCUCCAUGAAUUUUGAGGAAAAAUUUUCAAAUUAAACCAAGAGAAAUUGAACUGUUGUUUUUCACUUGACUUAGAGUAUGGAUUAUGCUUACUAAAGUGGUUCAAUUGUUGAAACUUCUACUGAAAUUGAAUUGAGUUCUUCCAUUUUAAGCUAUCCACACACUGUGCACAUUAGUUUCUGAUUAUAAGAUGAAAAGCUAUUUCCCUCUUGACUUAGGAUAAUUUUGGGACUUGGUAUAUUUGACCUCAUUUGAUAAAAAUUGAAACACCCUGCAAAAGGCCAAUGAGCCUUUGAAAUAAAGAAAGAUGUUUGCUUGCCUUGAAACCCGAGCAAGGUCUGAGGGGCAUAUGGUGAAAGCCUUUAAAGCCUGGUGCCCUAAGCCUUAAUUGGUUGGGAGUCACCGACCUCAAUGCUCGUUACAAGGGUGAAUAGGUAGAGCUAGCAUAUGGUAGAUGCUUGGGUAUUAGAAAUUCAUUCUUAAAAGUCCAGGGAAAAAUCCGAGGAGUUAGUGGUUGAAAGAUCCUUAAAACUUGGUGCCCUAAACCUUAAUUGGUUGGGAGUCAUCGAUGGACCCCCAUUACAUGGACAAGUCAGAAAGAGUACCCCAUAAAGCUACUUUAAAAAAAAAAAAAAAAAAAAAAAAAAGAUGAUGAAAGUGUGUUCUUUUCUUAUUGAUUUUGGUCAGAUUGCUAAAGUGUUGAAAAGAGAUAGGUUGGGGGGGGAGACUAGUUUAGCAUAUUAUUCUCGGAAUCUAAGGAACCAAUACACAUAGAUUUUUGUGGAAGAUUGAAGUUUAGUUCUUAGAAAGUGAAAUGAUUUUAAAACUUCAGUUUGCAUAAUGCACUCCCUUGAUUGACAGUGUUUAGCAUAGGUGUUAUGACUCUUGUUGAGAUUUGGGUUUGUAUUUCUUUAAUGAUUCAUGUGAGAAGUAAAUCAUCAUGCCACUUAAGAAUUAUUUUCCUUUCAGCAUGAUGUUGUAAAUUUUAGAUUAGUUUGCUAUUUAUUUUUAUUUUUCUCUCCUUUAUUGCUAAGGGACUAGCAAUAUGUCGGUUGGGGGGAGUGAUUACUACUCAAAAAGUGCUAUUUGAUAGCCUUUAAUUAAUCCUUUUUAACACUUUUGAGUAGUAGUUUAGGCCUUUUAACUCAAUUGGCAUGUUAAGGAUCCUUUAAAGCAAUUUUGAUCACUUUGUGCAAGUUUUGGUGUUUUUGUUAGUAUUUCGAUCACCAAAGCAAGUCAAGAAUGAGGAGAGCUAUGAGGAAUCUUGGGCAAAGCUUAGAAUUCAAUUGCCAAGAGUGAAUCCGGAUUGCAAGGAGAAAAAGCAAAGAGGAUCAGUCAUGGAGCAUAUUCUUGAUGACAGUCGUAGCAGCCACUUUUGGAGCACUUUCUGAAGUCCAAAUGAUGCAAGCUAUAUACCAUUUCAAAGCUCAGGAAGUCAACAAUCCAAUGCUUCAAACGGUGUGCGAUUCGGAAUUGAAACGAAGAAGUUGCAGCCAUUACAAGCCAGACACUCUAAAGUGUUGCGGAAUCAGCCAUGUGUUGCGAGAAUUUCGCAGCACUUUUGUACAGUAAGGUGUUUCUCCUUCUAACGAUGCACGAACCAUGCCGCGAGAAGGGAGCUGGAAACUUCAAGAUGGAAGCCAACUUGGCAGCCUAGUGAAGAUAGCUCGGUCUUGCAAGAUAAUUUCGCAGCCCUCUUGGGUGUCUGCGAAAUUUCGCAGGCCUCAUUUUUCACCUGCGAAAUGGCUCCUGAAGCCUCCCGAAGCUUGCUACCGACAUUGGGAGAUAUUUUCCAUUAGAUUUUUGUUGUCUAAAUCCCAAAAUACUCCUUGUAAACCACCAAUUACAUGAUUCCUUAGUUUUUAAGUUAGUAAAAAGACCAAAUAUCUUUGUAACAAUUAGUUUUAUAUUUUGUUGUUAUAAAUACCUCUCGGGAGCCUGUUCUCAGGGAGGAGUUCCUUCUGUAAACGUUUGGUAAGCAAGUAAAGUCUAUUUUCUUUCUACUGCCUUACCUUCUCACUUUGUAUUUUCAUUUUAUUUCUAAGUUAUGAAUUCUCUGAGGAGUUUUCCCCAAAGAAUGAGUAACUAAACCUCCAAUUCCUUGGAGCUAAGGUUGCCGGGGAAGGUUCCAAGUGCAAGAAUGCAAAGCUCUGUGGUUUUAGCUAGUAAUGAAGAGGAAGUGAAAUCCUUUAGUGAUUUCAAUGUUUUUAGUUAACUUAAAACACUUUGGAGUCACCUGGGCCAACACUUGGUAAGGCAAGUGAUUUCCAACCAUGGAAAUGCACUAGUUUACCCCUUGCGAGCCUCUGGUAGGUGACUUCAAGGUAGGAUUUUCUGGAAUUACCAACACUUGGUAAGCUUUUGGACUCCUAGGAGACAUCCAUUAGUUAUCUCUUGCGAGUUUGUGAAGGGAAUCCAAGGUUAAAGAUCACCUUGAAUGGUAAGUGCUCGUGAGAGGCAUGAACCAUUGCAAGUUGUAUCAGUGAGAGAAUUAAAGUGAAAUCUAAUUGAAGGAGUCUUUGUACAUCACCGGUUAGAGAAUUGACUAUAAGUUGAAUCUCUAAUGCGAGGAAAUGAACCAACUGACCAGAGCCGUGUCUUUUGCAUGAGGAACCACCCCAGUGAACCUAAAUCUCCAAGGAAUGUUUUUUUCUUCCUAAAUUAUUCCAAACUUCUGUUAAGUUAGUUAGUUUAAAUCUCAACCUUUACAAAUCAAAGUUUGUGUUUUAUUCCUUAAGCUAACCGUGAAAUGAAACAAGACCAAUUCACUUGGAAUUGGUAUCAUUGAUUGCCUGCAAAUCAUUCCCAAUGAACGAUCCUAGAGCCACUAUACUAUAGUAGCUUUGUAUUUACUACCCUAGUGUAUGGUGUUAUAGGUAUAAAUUUUGUUGAUCACUUCCUCAAUCAAGGAGCACCAGCUGAACACAAAUCAGCUGAGACACCAAUUAGGCAUGAGUCAGUCAUCUCCAUUAUUGUUUUAUUUUUUCUUUCCACCACCCCAUUUUGUUGUGGGGUGUAUGGUGCAAUGAGCUGGUGAUCUAUGCCUGCAUCUUCACAAAAUUUGUUGAAUUUUUCUGAAGUAUAUUCUGUACCAUUAUUCGACCUUAUAACCUUGAUUCUGUAUUCACUUUGAUUUUCAACCAUGGCCUUAUAUCUCAAAAACACAUCAGCAACCUCAGCUUUGUAAGUGAGAAAAUAAAUCCAACAAAAUCUUGUGAAGUCAUCAAUAAAUGCAAUAUAGUACUUACUCCCUUUCAAAGAUGGUGUCUUUUGAGGUCCACUCACAUCUGUGUGAACCAAUUGUAGUUUCUGUGUUGAUUUCCAUGCUGCUUUUUGAGGAAAAGGAAGUCUUGUUUGCUUCCCAUAUUGAUAGGCUGCACAUAUAGGAAGUUCUUCUUCCAAAUCAGGGAGUCCUUCUACAAUCUAAUUCUUCUUCAUGUAGAGCACGGUAUUGUGGUGGAAAUGCCCUAAUCUUUUAUGCCAAAGCAUUGUAUUGUUCUCGUGUUGUGCAGCAGUAAUUUGCUCAUCUUCUAACAUAUUUAAGGCAAAACUUUUGCCUUUCAUUUUUAUGUUGAACACCUCUUUGCCUUCAGCAUCCUUGAUUAUGCAAUUUUUGUCUUCAAAACAAACUUUAAACCCUUUCUCAACAAGCUGUCCAACACUUAGCAAAUUUUGGUCAAUGUCAGGCACAAACAAAACAUCAGAAAUGAGCUUUAAACCUGUUAGGCUUUCAAUAGCUAAUGUUCUUUUACCUUUUACUGGAAUAUACUCACCAUUUCCUAUUCUAACUUUGGAAAUAGUUGUCCUAUCAAUCUCCCUAAAGCGAUCUUGAUCAUGUCAUGUGGUUUGUGCAACCACUGUCCACGAGCCAGCUUUCAGAGGUGCUACCGUUUGCAAAACAUGUUGCUGAAAAUAGUUGUUCCUCCUGGUAUUGUUCAGCUGCUACAUUGGUUUCUCCCUGCUGCUGCUGAGUUCUACAGAUCCUUUCUAUGUGUCCAUGUCUACCACAUUUGUUGCAUUUCACAUCUGGUCUCCACCAACAUUUUUGUUGAGGAUGAUUUGUUUUCUUGCAAUGAGGACAGGGUGGAUAGGUUCCAGUUUUUUUAUUGUUGUUGUUGCUUGGCUUAUUGUUGUUCUUUUUGUUCUUCCUCCUUCUUGUGUUACCUUCAUUGGUCUGUGUCUUUGCUUGAAAAGCUCCUUCUACAGAACUUCCUUGCCUCAUGAGUCUUCUUUGUUCCAAAGCUUGUAAAGCAUUUAGUAGUUCUGCCAAGGUGAUACUUGACAAAUCUUUUGUGUUUUCCAAAGAAGAAAUUGUAGCUUCAUAUUUUUCAGGAAUUGUGACAAAAUUGUUUUGAACAACUCUUUCAUCAGAAAACUCUUUACCUAGCAACCUCACCUUGUUUGCUAUGGUAAGAAGUUGUUCUGCAUAAUCUUUUAUGGUUUGAGACUCUUUCAUCCUCACCAUUUCAAAUUCUCGAAUUAGAUUCAUUACCUGCACAUUUCUGACUCUUUCAUUGCCUUGAUAUUCUUCCCGUAGAUGCUUCCAGAUUUCUGCAACAGAUUCAAGUUGCAUGAUUCUGGUGAGAAUUAAUGGUGAGACUACAGAAAAUAAGCAAGCCUUGGCCUUAGCCUUCCUCGUCUUUUUCUCCUUAUGGUUUUUCAUCUGUGACACAGUUGGAUUGGCUCCAAGUGGAGAAAUUUCAUAAUCUUCCUCUAUUGCUUCCCAGACAUCAAGAGCCUGUAGAUGAACAGUCAUCCUGACAGCCUAAGUUUGGUAAUUUUCUCCAUUGAAGACUAGUGGUGCUGCUGUGAAGCUUGCUUCUUCCAUUUCUGCAAGGUUUUCAGAUUCAGGUUUGGUAUACGGUGUUUAGGCUCACACACCUCACUGGUCCCUCAAGACAAAAAUUGCUCUGAUACCAAACUGUUGGAAGCAGGCGAGGUUAACACACCAAGCAACAGAGAACAGAGAUAUGCUGCUACUGAUCUAUAUUUUUUAUUUGAUCAUAAGGCUGAAUUUAUACAGAUUGUGUAACAUAUAUGACCUCAAAAAAAGCAUCAAAUCAAGCUACUUGUUGAACAAAAAACUACCUCCUACAAAAUAGCAUCAGAAUUUAACUUAAAAGCAAAAACAUAAUAAUAGCAACAGCAAAAACAGAAACAUAAAAAUAGCUUCAACAUUCUAGUAAUCUCAUUGACUUCAAUUGCAUGUGGUUGACGAUUUCAGCCUUUUCCUCAGCAGCUACUAAGGCAUAACUCUCAACAGGGCCUCUUAAUUUCCAUUCUGGCAUCUAUAUGACCUGAUAAAUAGAAAGAAAAAAAAACAGAAGAAAAGCGGCACCUGGGUUCAUAGUAAGCAUCAAGACAGGAUGCUGAAAGAAGGGAGAGAGGAGAUUGCAAGUCCAAUCCUGAUAAAAUAUCAACAAAGAGUAUUAAAUGGGGCCAACAUAAAGACCCAUUAAGGUCAGCAGAUGGCAUGGCAUUUUUCUCCUUAAGUUUUCCAUGAUUAGGCUUGAAGUCAAAAUUUCACAUGUAAAUUUGUAUUUCUACAUUUCCCACUGACGACACCCAACUUCAACUUGAGUUAGAAUAACAUUGUGUGAACUUAUCUGGCCCUCAAAAUUUACUGUGAAGUGCUUUCUGCGUGUGAAGAUUCAGAAAAGCACCAAGGGAACAUGUAUGGUCUGCCUUUUUCUGAUGUUAUGUUUGUCUCUAAUUCUGUUCCAUGUCAUGGUAAAUGUUCACAUUGCUUGUAUGGAACACACCAGGAUCACUUUUUCAGGUUUAGGGGGAUACAAAAGGCUUCAUAUUGGGUUCAAUGCUUUUAAUGUGUUCAUUGGACAAAUCUGAAUUAUCAUACGCAUUUAGAUAAGAACAAUAAUGUGAAACCCUAGUUACACCUCCCCUGCAUAACCCCAACCCUGCUUGCUCUAUUUCAGUUUACUCACAAGUUUUACUGGUUCUUAUAAGUCAAGAAAAGGCAACUGAUGUUGGAUCGACUCUCUUCCAUGUAAAAAAUGCAACUUUUAUACAUAUAAAAGAACUUCUUCCCCUCACCAAUGUGGGAUUUCAUAGAUUUAUUCUGGAAACACAUCAAAGGAACAUCUUUUCUCUUGGGUGACCCUAAGUGGUGAGUCAGAUCAUUUGCAUGCCAUUGAGUUGCACAGUUGGAUAAAUGCACCUGCCUCCUGGGCUCCAGAGUUAAAAGGGUGGAUCCCUGGAUUGCAACCCUCUUGGCAUCUUGGUUUCUAUUCCAACAUCCACAUGACUUGACAAAACAAAAAACAGAAUAAAAUCAGCACUAUAUUCAUGCUAAGCACCAAUACAUGAUGGAAAUCAUUGCUUAAAGAUUUGGGGUCGUUUUAGGUUUUGACUGCCUCCUACCACCUCACCUAAUGACAAGUUUUUAUGCUUACAAAUCAAAUAUCGUUCUUCAUUAUAUUAAAAUCAUUUUAAGAUUUCAGAUCCAUCUGCUAAUUAUGAUUAUGAUAACAUUUAUUCACCUGUGCUUCUCAUUUUCGACACACAAGGCAUCUAGGUUUGCAGGAUUUCCUUAUUAGAUGAGAUAAAUGAGUACGUAUGGUUAUGUAUCCAGCAUUCAUUAACCAUGGUAUGUGACAUUUAGAAUUAAGAUAGCAAGCAAACUUUCCCUGCAGCUAGAGUAAAUUGUGAUUUCUUAGCCUCUAUGAGUGGUUCCCAAAUCAAAUUAACAUAGUGAAAUAUACGUAGUCCAGUGAAAGGAAAUGUAAAUUAUAAACUAACAGCACUACACUACUGGUAACAAUCGAUACUCUCUAUAUAAUGCAAUAAACAAUGUCACAAUUGCCUACAAGCAAGGCACAAACACUAGAACAAGUAAAGCACAAACCUUUCCCAACAGUUCCCAGUGACUGAUGCAUAUCAUACCCUCAACUCACAGAAGGGGAUGAUAUCAGUGCACUGCAGCACUUAUUUUACACAUACUACCACUACUACUACUACUACUACUACUCAUUAGCCAAAGUCACUCAGUUGGGAUGAGUGUGAGGUAGAGGUUUGUGGGGUGCUAUGUGGAAAGGAGUUUGGCUUCUUCUCAGGAGAUGGUAGCUUCUUUGCAGGAGUUGAAGGAGGCUUAAUCUUCUGUGGUGGAUUGAUUGUAUGAGUCUUUGGCACUCUCUUCUCUAGUACAGGUGAAUACCCAGGGGUGCAUCCAUAAUGCGGUGGCUUCUAUCCCUUAGGUGGUUUGCCAAAUUCAAAAUCGAAGGAUUUUUUUUUUUUAAGUAUACGUAUCUUUGAAAGCUUUUAUUUUGUAUGGCAAAUGGAAUGAGAGGAGCAGUCAUAUUCUAUUUGGCCAGAGCAACAUAUCACAAAUGAACAAGCUAUUUACUGCCACACUGGGCAAAACAUACAUAAUCCUUGUACUUCAAACAUCCAUGAAUUCUCAUCAUUUUCAGGACACGUUGCAUGGUCUAUCAUUCUAUAUGUCGGCAUAGUAAGUGCAGCUAAUAAGCCUAUUCAGAGCUGAAAUUCAAAAUCUAUUCACAGGAUAAUGACCUUAUUAUUGGAUUUUGCUCACUGUCAUACACACAUAUCAGAUAAAGCCCCACAUGCUCAUAAGCUACAAGCAACCUACAAGCACUAAAAUGAGUGUUAGACGUAUGAAACAUUCCCCAAUACUAGUAGUAUUACCUGUUCCAUAGAACACUAAAUUAGAAGAGAGAAGAUGUGAGACUCCAGCUUUUCUUUCUACAUAUUACUCAUAUCAAGUUGGAAUAGUUAGGCGGUAGAGGCUUGGGGUGGCUUGUGUAGGGGACUAGGCAGCUUCUCUCAGGAGUUGAUUUCGUCUUAUUCUGGAUGUCCAGGUUUCGUCCUUUCGAAUUUCCCAUGCAAAUCAGCAUUCUCCUUGGGAAACUUCACUCCGUUGGGAAACUUGUGUGAAUCUUUGGCAUUCUCUACCAGAGAAGGCCCAGGGCAGUGACCAUAAGGUGGUGGCCUUUUUUCAGGUGGUGGCUCCUCUCCCACUGGAGGCUUGUGGUAAUCAGCAAGAGAGGCAGUGGAGAGAAUCAUCACCCCAAGGAACAGCACUAGCAAGUAUUUGUGAGCCAUAUUUGGGAUCUGAUGAUGAAGACUAGAAGAUAGGAGUUGCCUCAUAUAAUGGGUUGGAGACUAUAUCUCAAGGGGACGUGUAUUUAUGCAUAUGAUCUAUAUAGGACCAUCCUCCUAAUAUUUUCAAAAUAAUGUUAUUGUCUCUCUUGGGUGACAGUUUGAUUUGGUCUAUUUCCAUGCCACUGAGUAGAAAAGUUUGACAAUUGGCUACACCACCUACCUGGAUUACAUGGUUGAAAGUGAAGAUCAGUACAGUGUGAUCACACUUGACCUCUUGUUCCCCAUUCCAGUAUCUAAUUAACCUGACAAAAGUAAAAGGAAAGGAAAAAGGGAAAAAAUAGAAUAAUGUUCAAAUAAAAACGAGAAAAAAUAGCAUAAUGUUGAUGAAUCAUGAUAAGCAUCAAGGCAUGAUAGUGAGAGAGAGGAAAGAAGACAGUGUAAUUUGCAAUCCUGAUAAUCAUUAUAUAGCAGUAACUUUAAUCAUUUUUCUAUCACAGGGAACAUGACACUCAUCUUCCUAUGGAGAUAUUGCAUAAGUUUUUUUCUUUGUAUGUCAACACUAACCAAUGAAGCAUGUUAGCUGGUUUGAAACUGAAACUGUAGCCCUCUGUUUGGUUCUUGAAAAACUUGAGAGAAAAUGGAAGUAAAGUUAAAAGGAAAGAAAAAGUGAAAAAAAAUAAAAAUAGAUUGAAAGUUAACAAAUUAUUUUUACAUGUUCCCUCAAAUUUCUUUCACUUAUUUUUCCUUUUCUAUAUAAAGAUUAAAUGAUUUAAAAAUCAUAAAUUUCUAACUAAUUAUAACUAUAUUUGAUUUUCUUUCAUAUUUUCCAAGAUAAAGUCAGACAUGAGAAAAUCAUUUUCCUUAAAAAAGAAAUUCUUUCCUUUACAGUUUCUUAGAACCAAACCUGGCACAAAAGUCCAAAUUGGGGUUUCUCCAUGUUCCAUUUUUUAUGGCUACCUUUAUGGACCAUAUAAUAUAGAAUGUACUUCUGCAUACCUUCAAGAUCAAGCUGAACUAUAAGAAAAAGACAAGCCAUGGCCCACGGAGCAGGGAUACCAAGCUGCCUUCUCCUAGAUUAAGUUCCAAGAUUUCAGUCUUCAAACCUGCUAAAAGCUAAAGGCAUGUUUCCAGCCUGCGGCAGAUAACAUGCACUGUCCAACAAUAAAUUGCAAACACAUUCGAUGCAGUUUAUUAGUACAAUAAGAUUAAAUCCACCAAAUCUUUUACAGUUCAACCAACACUUGAACUAGUAGCUAGCUUCACUACUGGGUAAUAAUAUAUAAACCAAACUCUUGAUAGGAACCAACCUAUCGCAGAUCGAACUUCUUACAUCCACCAUGAAUUACUGAACCAAAAGAAGAAUCGAAGAGACUGCCAAGGAGGAAAGCCUUCCUAUAACUAGAUAUUUAUAUUCCAAAUUAGGGAGAGCACCCACUGCCCAGGCCUCGCCCAGCAUAAACAGAUAGUAUACAUAUACAUGCAAAAAGCUCCAACCUUCAAGAUUUUAACUAUUAACUUAACACAAUUAAAAAUGUAUCCAAAAAGCAAAUCCCCUUGAACUCCUGAAGCAAUUACUCCAACCAAAUAAAGAUUUUAAGAGUUCCAUGUUCAUAUCCUGCAAGGAAAUCAUUCAAUGUUCAGACCUCUAAUUUCUGUCUUUCUAAAUGCCCAGCCAAAAGGCAUAAAGUAUCAUCCAAAUUGGAUGCACAGCAUAUGUUCUUAAAUCAUGGGAUUUCACCAUAAGUUACUACACUCUAACAGGGCCCAGAAAUUGACCUCCAGAUAUGCCUAUCAAAAAAUUAUCCCCACAUACAUUUUUCUGCUGAAAAGACAAUAUUGUUACAUUUGACAUUCAACCACUACUUGAACUCAACAACCAGGGAAAAGAAUAUAGUAUUUCUACCAAUGAGGAUGAGAGGGGCUGGUGAAUUAACAGGUAAAAGUUUGUUUUGGGUUCAUUGUUUGCAUAAUAAUGUAAAAAUGGAGUAGUAUAUUAUAAAUUAAUGUAAAAAUGGAUUAGCAUAACAUAAAUUGCCAUAAGAGAACCACAAACUACAAAGAAACUUAUUUUCCAAACAAGGAAAAUUAUUCAUAGCCAUUAUUACAUAAGAAAGGAAAUUGAUAAAAUUAUUAUCCAGUUCCCCAUCAGGAAAUAUGAAAGUACUCCUAAAAGCCUCAAUUCUAACCAGAAAACCAUAGAAAUGUAUUAGAAAUAUUGUACAGGGUUCUCUCCAAUAUUAGCUUCAGUUGCUAAGGAGAUCAGAACCUUGAAAGUAAGUCACAAAGGUCGUGUGGGUUUCCCAGAGUCUUCAACAACCAGUAUUCACAUAUGUACACAUUAAAAUUAAAUAAAGCAGGUAUCAAUUCCACAGGCUUUAAGAUUUGAAUUGCUUCUCCCUGGAAUCAUACACCACUCAUAUUGUCACUGACUUUCAAUUACUUCUCCCUGCGAUCAUAUGCCACUCAUAUUGUCACUGCCUUAGGGAACAAAGUGAAAAUCUGCAAUUUCAAUUAAUUCCAACAUAAAAAUAAAAAUCAAUCCUCAAAAAAUGGAUUGCCAGGAGGUAAAUAUAAUAGAAGACGAACAACUCUCACAACCAAGUUAAAGAAACCAGCCGCUAGGUACCUUUGAGUUCUAUACUACCAGGAACAAAUUGGAUGAGAUUAUUUAAAGGCUAUUCCACAGUGGAAAUUCAUUCGUUCAAAAAACAUUUGUCAUGCAUAUAGGCAAUCUAUCCUAUGCAUUCAUACAUCAUGGUCUCAUGCAAUCUUAAUAAAAGUGGUCCUGGAAAAAGAGAGAAAAAAGUAAUUACAAGCCUGUGCGACCAGAUUUCUUUUGUUUUUUUUUUUUUUUUCCUUUGCCAAACAACCAUGUUCAUAGUUUCAGAAGUUCAUUCUGUCUUUAAGAGACCAUGGCAGUGACUUGGCCAUUCAGCUAAGANNNNNNNNNNNNNNNNNNNNNNNNNNNNNNNNNNNNNNNNNNNNNNNNNNNNNNNNNNNNNNNNNNNNNNNNNNNNNNNNNNNNNNNNNNNNNNNNNNNNUCACCAAGGACUCCUCAACCUCAAAAUAAUAGAGAAAGUCUAGGACACCAUGUCACUACUGAGGACAACCCAACACCACAACAUUUCAGUCCGUUCAAAAAGAGUAAUUGGAAUUGUUGCAAAAAAUGUUCAACUAGUCCCAACAGGAGGCAAAUUCCUCCAUUUCUUCAUCGGGUCCGGAUCCUUUGCUCAAAAAGGUAAUUUUCUUACUGCCCUAAAAGAAAAAGGGAAAAUGUGAGUCAUUGGAUUGUUGACUCAGGAGCUUUUGAUCACAUGACUAGAGUGCCACAAUUUUUCAAAAUUAUACACCUUGUUUUGGGGAUGAUACAAUUCGUAUGGCUGAUGGUUCUCUCUCAAAGGUGACUGGUACAAGUUUUAUUGUCAUCUCUAAGGACCUAACUCUUGACUCUAUUCUUUUGGUUCCAAACUUGGAUUGCAAUCUAUUGUCCAUUAGUAAACUCACUUAUGAAAAGAACUAUGUUACUAAAUUUUUCCCAAACCAUUGUGUUUUUUAGAAUUUGAAUUCGGGGAAGACGAUUGGCAAUGUUGAAGUGUGUUUAGGACUCUAUGCCUUCAAAGUGAAUUAUUAUAUUGAAAGACAAUCUUAACCAACAGUUGGUGAAAAAUGGUGUCUUUUUGUCUUUAGUUCUAAUAAAGAUAGUGAUGUUAUGUUAUAGCACUAUUGUCUAGGACAUCCUAGUUUCUUAUAUCUCAAAAAACUCUUUCCAUGGUUUUCAGUGUGAAAUUUGUCAACUAUCCAAGCAUCUUUGCAAGCCCUAUCCAUAGUUUUAAAAGACUUAAGGCACACCAAGACGCAAAGUCCUCUUGGAGCCUUAGGCGCAAGGCACACCUAAGGCGCGAACUUUAGUAAAGUGAGGUGCAUCCUGUUUUACAUAUAUAUUUUUAUAUAAUACAAUCAAGUGCCCGAAAAUUUUCCUCUAAUUUUCCCCUUCUUCUUCAUCCUCUUCUCUUCUUCACAUUGUUCGGGAGGCUAGGACAUUUUUUUUUUUUUACAUGUCUAAAACAAGCAUAUAUUGGGUUUUGGAAGAAGAACAAGCCAAAAUGACAUCGUUUUGGAGCCUAAUCUUUUAAAUAAAUAAAUAAAUAAAUAAAAACCAGCCAAAAAUGACACCGUUUUGGCCCCUGUUCUUUUAAAAGAACAAACCAAACAACGUCAUUUUGAUCUCAGGAAAUUAAAAAAACAAAACCCUCGUCAUUCUCCCUUUGCUACUCUACAACUCAUCGUCAAAGGGUAAAAAGAUGACCAAAAGAAGAAGAAGAAAAAAAAAAAACGACGACAGAGGAUAGAGGUGCACCUGUUGAGGGCGUUGCGCCUAGCCAAGAGGCGAGCGCCUUGCACACUUAAUCAACGCCUCUGUGAAGGGGCGGCUCCUGCAAUCAGGCGAAGCGCUGAAGGGUGAUGUCACAUCGUCUAGAGCCUAGGCGCACCUUUCACAACUAUGACCCUAUCCAACUCAACCAUACAAACCAUCUCAUCUUUUUUCCAUACAUAGUGAUGUUUGGAGGUCAUCUAAAAUAAAGAACAUAACAGGGACUAGAUGGUUGAUGAUCAUACUAGAAUUUCUUAGAUAUUUCUAAUGAAAAAAAAAUCAAAAAUUAGUCAAAUUUUCUAAAAGUGGACCAGAAUUUCUUUAUUGAAUUAAAAAGUUGAAAUUAAUAUUUUGGAAAAGUUAGGGCCGCUCAAGAGGUAGAAAUAGCGCUCGAGUGGUAGAAAUAGCGCUCGAGUGGUAGAAAUAGCCCUCAAGUGGUAGAAAUAGCGCUCAAGCGCUAGGACCGCUCAAGCACUUAACUAGCGCUUGAGCGCUCAUAUAGAAUCUGCCAGAAUAUGGAAGAAUAUUUUUUGGAUAAUCAUGAAAAUUGGAUUUGGAAACUUUAGAAUAUCAAUCUCCUUCGGCCUAGAGGUUUAUAUAAACCCUAUUAUAACCCUUUAGGGUUAAGAAAUUCACCAAGUGGUUUACCCUAACUUGUCAUACCAUUCCCGAUCUCUCAUCAAGGAAUCAAAGUGUUUAAUCUUGGGUUGUUUGAAGACCUGCAUCCCUUCAACAAGGCUAAGGUGUAUUCACUAGAACAAUUGAAAUUGUUGCAUUGCGGACAUGAAUCAAGUUGCAGGUUCUAGAGAGUAAGUCUUUAGAAUAAAGCAGACAAAGAGUUCUAUGUGACUUUAUCUCAUAUAGUGGAUUUAGCUUUGAGGUCUUAGACCUCGUGGGUUUUUAUCUCCAUAGUUAGUGUGGGGGUUUUCCACAUAAAAAUUAUUGUGUCUCUUGAUCUUAUGUUUGAUUUUAGAUAUUCUAUUUAUCCCUGAUAUCUCACAGGUUAACUUUAGGUUAAAAAUUCAACUCCCUAUUUAAUAAUUUUUAAAAUACACCCAUUCACGAGUGUUAUCCUACUGGACAUUGGUUUUUCACCAUAUAUAACACUCAUACCAAAACCCAUGCAACAUGGACUCCAACCUUAAGCUUAACUUUCUACGAAUGGAAAAAAAAAAAGACAUAACAUAAAUAGACAGAUUUAACAACAUGCUCCUAAUCAAGGUGAAUGUCCCUCUUUUUGAAAGAUAUGACCUUUUCCAUACGAGGAGCUUUCUUUAAAAUUUCACCUCUACCAAUUCCCAUGCCUUUACAAAGUUGUGGAAAGCUCCAAAGAGAAGGCCCAGACAUGUAAUGGGUAGAUUCCCUACCUUAGAACCUUACACCAAAGCUAAACCCCUAAUAUUUGUGACUUCUAUAAGAAUCAAUUCAUUUUUUUCCAUAUUUAUUUCUAAAUCAGACAUUGCCUCAAACCACAUGAAGUUAUAACUUGGAUGUUACAGAUGCUCUUAAUUAGUGUCACAAAAAAAUAGGGUAUCAUCAUCAAACAAGAAAUGUGACACUUCCAUCCCCUCCUCCUGUCUUCCUCCCACUUUGAAACUUGAGAUGUAACCCCUUUUAUCUAAUUCUCCUCAAAAUUCAAUUGAAAGCCUUCAUUGCCAAUAUGAAAAUGUAAGGGGAGAGAGGAUCUUUCUACCUCAAAUCCCUUGAGCUCUCAAAGAAACUGAAUAGGACACUAUUUACUAGAAUAGAGAAUUGAGUAGUGGAAAUGAACCAUUUGAUCCACCUCACCCACUUAUGAUCAAAGUCCAUUUUAUCCAACAUCAUUAACAAAAAGUUCCAAUUUACAUGGCCAUCGUCCUUUCCAAUGUCUAACUUGCAAAUUACCCCACUAUUGGGACUCUUUAACCUUGAAUCUAGAGCAUCAUUUAUGAUUAGAACUGCAUCUAGAAAUUGUCUGUCUUCCACAAAAGCAUGCAAAUAAACUAAAACUAUUUUACCCACCACAUUUUUUAGUCUUUUAGCCAAGACUUUUUCCAAUAGCUUGUACAAAAAAACCCCCAACUAAGCUAAUCAAUGUAAAAAAUUUUAGGUUCUCUGCUGCACCUAUAUUAGGGAUCAAGACCAAGAACAUGACAUUUAAAUUUUGCUCAAAGGAACAAUUAUCAAAAAACUCCCCAAGCUCAUUUGCCAAAAUAUUAUAAUAAAUCCAUUUGGCCCCUACAGCUUUAUCCCCACUCAAGCUAGACAAGGCAACAAGAAAUUCCUCAUCAAAGAAAGGUAACUCCAAUUUCCUAGAAUCAGCACAUAGCAUAACUUCAAAGGUCAUCCCAUUAAUGUUGAGUCUCCACUCGCCCAUAUCAGAUAGGAGAUUUUGGAAGGCCCUAAACUCCCCUUCCUUUAUAUUUGCUUCCCAAGCAACCAUUUUGCAUUCACUCAAAUUUUAAACAUGAAGUUUUUUAUUCUUUGGGCAUUGACCAUUUCAUGGAAAAUUUUGGUGUUUUUAUCCACCCCCUCUUUUAACCAAAUUUCUCUUUAUUUUUGCCCCCAUACAUAUAGAUUCUUCUAACAAGGCCCACUUGCUAAACUCAAUCACCACUAACCUUUGGCCUCAACGAUUUCAAGAGAUAAGGUAACUGCUCUCUACUUUGAGUCCCAGAAGUUGAUCCAGUUUAGCACCUCUAGGUUUUUUGUUGAGACAUUCCCAAAACCUUCUUCAUUCCAAGAUUUUAAAUCUCGUUUGACAGCCUUUAGUUUAACUUCCAAAAUAUGACCAUACAAGCCAUCCACAUUAUAACCAUCAACCAACUCCUCACAAAAUCUUUUAAGCCUUUUGUUUUAGGCUACAUAUUUUAAAAUGUAAACUGUGUUUUCCCACUCCUUAUCCUACCUCCAUCUAAAACUAUGGGGUAAUGACCAAAAAUUGGUUUAGGUAAAAUACUCUAGAUUAAAGUAGAAAAACGAUUCUACCAAUCAUCUGACACUAGGAAAUGGCCAAGCUAGCCUUGAAGAAGACAAAAGAUUAUGAACACCACUCCAAGUGAAUAGCCCUCCAACUAGCGAAAGAUCCCAAGGUCAAGUCCUCUAUGUCCUCUGAAAAGAACCUCAUAUCAAACAACAUUCUAAGGCAAUUCCUCCUUUUCAUGGGGAACUUGACCAUAUUAAAAUCCCCUCUGAAGCACUAGAGGUCAUCCCAAAGGCCUCUUAUGGCACCCAACUCUACCCAGAAAUCCACUCUUUCUCCCCUUUAAACCAACCCAUAAACUCUUACGUAUACCUAGACAAAGCUAUCUUCACAAUUCAUAGACAAGCAAUAGAGAAUGCUUCCACCUCCUUACCAAUUAACUCUAAUACCCUACUAUCUUGGAAAACCAAAAUGCCUACUAUCAAGCUUCUAACUUCCAAUACCAUUUCAAAAAUUUUCCUACUCCUAAACUCCUUACCAGUUGAACGAACAUCUAUCGAACCUUGGUUUCUUGUUAACAAACUAGAUCAACCCCUUGAGACCUUAUCAAUGACUUUAUUAUCAUAUACUUUUCCUCAUCAUUUGCUCAUUUGACAUUCCAAGACAGGAUUUUUAGCUUCAUCAUGCAACCUAUGUUGGAUCCUAACUGCUACUCUUGGAGCCCUUUUCCUUUUUGUUGAGCUUUUAUAAUUGACUAAGCAUCCCAACUUGUUGAGGUCCCUCUCAAACCAAGAUAUCGAGGUUAACUUCCUCUUCACCUCCAACGAAAAAACAGAAACCCCUCUCCUUAGCCUGCCACACAAGGGAAAAGAUCUCUUUUUCAAAUCCAUCAACUGGCAUUCUUGAGAAACUAUUGAAAUUUGCCAACUUACAAGAUAUACAAUUGGAGGAGUGCUUCUCUACCAAACAACUACUAAAAUUCACCUCAAAGGUGACCUUUUCCCCUGAUCUCUCCCCGGCCUCCAUACCCACUGACCCUUUCACAAAAUUUUCUAGAAUUUCCACUAUCAAGCCGUUACGGAGAACCAUCCUCAACAAACUCCUUUGACUAAUGUGAAAAACCCCACCCAAGAGCAUCUUCCAGAAGUUAACUUACAAGAUUAACUAUAAUCUUGUGAAGACUCGUUACCUAAUGGGUAAAAAAUUUGAAAUUCUAUUAGUAUAAUUCUUUUUAGGCACAAAAGCUGUGAAAAUAGCAUUGGUGCUCUAAUUAAUAACCCCAUAAUUAUUAAGCAAUAAAACAACUUUUAAUAAAUUCUCUUUCACCACAUCCCACCAAUCCUAAUGCAAAAAAGCUAGGAAAAAGUCAUCAUUGCUCUAAGCAUUUCUCCUCACUAGUUGAAAGACUGCUUUAUGAACUUCCUCUUCGACAAAAGGACAAUCCAACCAAUUAGCACCAUUUUCCAAAAUGAGAGACCAACCCCCACUCUUCUAUCCUCUAAGGAUCUUCAUAUAACCAUUAAUGCCUUUCUAUACCAGCUAGUAUAUAUCGGGUUUUGGGCAAGUCCUAUAAAUUGGUUUGAGUAAGAUUUUUAAUUACCCUGUUCUUUCUUUUUAGUUGAUAAAUAUGCAUAUAUGUAGUAAUUCAUACAUCAGAAAAGAUUUUGCUAAAACAAAAGAAUUGACAUGCAGAUAGUGACUUCUUGAUAAGAGUAAUAGCUUAAGGGAGGAAAAUGAACUCCUCCAGUGGCCCCAAAGUGGUAAGUUCCUUCAGAUCCCAUGUUGCUAUUCUGCAUUUCUUUGUGUUUUGGCAUCAGCCCUCUUAAUUAAUUCACUAUCCAGCUUCUCAAAUUCCUCGGAUUCUUCCCUUGUUCUUGUGGAAACAUCUGCAUCUUGUCCUUGCAUUGUUAUGGAUUGGUGAUUAUCAUUCUUUGAGAACUGUGUGGCAGCUGCUCGUGCACCAGCUAUGGCUGCAAGGAGACCUUCUGGUUUCUUGUCUUCAGCAGCUUUGGAGCCAUCAAAGCAAGAAACAAGUAAUCCUGGUUUCAAAGAGAGGGGAUCUUGUGGUUCUGGAAGCAGAAACUUGACAGGUAGUGGAGCUUGAACAGGACGAAGACCCCUAACUGCUGCCUCAUAUAUCUGCAACAAUUUCAGGGGGGAUAAGUAAUUAAAAAUCAGUCACUCUAUUGCAUUAGUUAGACUUGCUUUCAAUGCGAUAGCAAAGAAAGAAUCAUCAAUGAAAAAAGAAAAAAUAAAUGAAAAAGAACAAAAAGGAGAGGGAAAAAAAAAUGAUGGGUGCUCAAUUUGUACUUUUCUUUCCAGGUUAUAAAUACGUUGGUACCCGCGCAUCUCAAAUGGUAUGAUUAAUUUCUGCAUCAGGUCAGGAGAACUAAGUCCAUCAAUAUACUAAAAAGCAAAUAUACCAAAAGGCAAGCAAAAAUGUUUAACCAUCUUGAGUGUCAAACUCUCCAAGAAACUAUAUACUUUUAGCUGAAUGAAAACACAUGCCUGUGGUUGCUCACAGAGCCAGCAAAACUCUGUUUGCGCUUCUAGCCUUACCUACAAAUAGAGUUUAGGUUAUCCAACCAAAAUGGAGAUACAUCACACAAAACAAACUGUACCUAAUCAGUUUACGAAGGGGACGGGGGGAAGCAAAAAGCAAAAGUAAAUUUCUAAGAUGCCCACCCCUUCAGGUACCUCCUUCCAGCACGCCAGCUCUUCACAUUUAACACAACCAACUACUUCAAUACAACCUGUGGCAAGAAUAGAGUUUGUUGGAUUUAUUGUAGCAUGCCAUACAGAAAAAUUUAGCAUUUCAGUAAGAAUAAGAAUAAGAGAGCUACUUUCCACUAAAAUACGAAUCACCCAUCAACUGUUGCAAACAGACAACAAUGUGAAUAACAGGUUUUAUAUAUAUAUAUAUAGAGAGAGAGAGAGAGAGAGAGAGAGAGAGAGAUAGAUAGAUAUAGAGAGAGAGAGAGAGUCAAAUAAUAAUAAAGGACAAAAAUAUUUCUUUGAGAAAGACUAAUUAGAAAGAAGAAACAAAGAACCCACAUGAAAUCAAUUUAGAUAAGAGAAAUACCUUUAAGAAUCUAGUUCUUUUUGCAAAUUGCAACUUAGAAUUGGAAUGCCACAUAUUAUUAUAAGGUAUCACAAGAGAUUAUUGCUUCAUUUUUUUUCUUUGCCAGAUCAGUUUUAAUAAAUAUAAAUAUAAAAAUAUAAGCAUGUACACACACACACGCAAACACAUUAUGUGUGUAUGUUUAUGGAUAUGUAGAUAUAGGUUUUUAAUAAUAGAGCAUGAAAACAUAUCUAGUCAGAAAUUCCAAAAAUCCAAAACCAUUAGCAACACCUAACAGUCUUGAAACUGGGUAAUGUUCUGGAAACUUGAGGUCUGCUAUCCCAUUCACAGCAUAGAUCUCCCUGUAGAAAUUCUCCAUUGCUUUGAUUGUGUCUGAAUCUGGGACCUUACUAGCAGCAUGAAUCCAGAGUCGGCCUUCAUAAAACAAAACAUGUAUAUUAAGAAAUAUCCUUGUAGAACAGUAACAUUUUUGCCAGCAUGCAAUUCGUGUUAAUAAUCCUUGGUUCUCACCACUCAUUGUACAUUACAAUGUAAAGACCUAAUAAGCCCUAAUAUAGGUAGGUGUCUGUGCAGAGAGAGAGAGAGAGAGAGGGGAGGGGGGUGAAAGGAAAGAUGAUUAUAGAACAAAUACAAGUUGAAUCUCCUGAAAUAAUGUCCAUCAAGUUAUUUCCUAGCAACAAGUACUGAUUAUGCUUUUCCUGAUAACAUGAUUUUCUUUGCUAACAACCAUACUAUAUUUUAUCAAGAAAGAGUAGUGCAUGUGGCGUGCAUCAAGACCCAUUAGAGUUCCGCUAAACCUAUAGUUCUGUCAACGUUAUCAUUUACGUUUCCUCUAGAUAAUGGCAUUUUCCUCUAAAACUCUUGCACCAUUAGGCUUCAAGUCAAAAUUUCACAUGUGAACUUUGGAAAUUUUCUCCAUUUGCCCCUAAGGAUACAGUUAGAAUUGACUUAAAAUCCUGAUUGAUGUAUACUUUUAACCGAAGAAUAUUGUAUAUAAUAAUUGAAAUAUUGUUGAUUCAUCGUGGAAAUACAUUUUGUAAGGAAAGUUGUUAAGAAUUUAGUAUGCUAUAUGGAGAAAAAAGUCAUGACUUAAGGUUGAGUAUGUAUAUUCUAUAUCAAAUAUUAGGUAGGAAUGUGGAAAAGAGCAGAGUGUAAUUAUAAGAAACAAAGAAAUAUAAGAUAUUCUUGAAAGUGGAAAAUGUAAAAUGGCUAAAAGUCAAAUUUAUGAUGCAUAAGGGGGAUCAUGUCACAUAAGAAACUCAUGGCAUACCAAAUACGUGUGGUAUGGAGUAACAAUUUUGUUAAAAUAAGUUUCUCGUUGGAGUACAUUAGGUGACAAUUUUUUAAUAUCAAAUUAAAGAGUCAAGUGCAUCAAUGAAGUCAUAUGUAGAAAAUUUGUUUGUGACAUGUACCAUAAAGAUAAGAUUGACUUGAUAUAAUUUAGUCCAGGUAGGAGUUGUUAAAGGUGUCUCAAAUUUCUAAUUGAUAUAUAUUUUUUUCUAAAAAAAUAUUAUAUAGAUAUUUCAAUAAAUGAUUAAUUCUUUGUAAAAAUACUUACAUAAUAAAAAACAUCAUUAGAAAUAUCUCUAUAAAUAUUUUAAAUCACAAAAAGAAAAAAAAAAUCACUAUGAGAUAAUUAUAAACAUGCAACAUUGUACCAAGUAAACAGAAAUGUGAUAAAAAAAUUUUGAGAAACACUAAAUAAAGGAAGGGCUUGUAUAUCAAGAUGUAAAUAUAGAGAGCAAUAUUUUUAAUCAUAUGAUAGAAUUAUUUUCUCUCAUUCAUGAUUAUAAGCAAAAUUGGGAACCAUUAUAAAAUCUUGUACACCUCGUGUAAAUUGAUGUUUGUCUUCAUAUUUUACACCAACAAAUGACAUUGAAGUUGUCAUUGAUAAAAGGGAAAAGGCAUGGCCUCCACACCAUGUGCUUGAAUCGUAUGGUUCAAGUUUAAAGAAUUUUCUCCAUAAUUUGAAGAUCUAAAACAUUUUCACCUUUAAAUUUCAUUUAAUUAUUAAUAUCUACAAAAAAUAGUUAAAUACUCUUUCUAUUUUUGAGUUGUUGAAUUUUUUGAAAGUUUUUAUAUUUGUUAUCAAGAAUUUAUAUUUUAUUAAGUGUGAAUAUUUAUAAAUAAGAUAUUAUAUAAUAUUUGGAUAAGAGAGAAUGGUGGAAUAUAAUAAAGUUUUAAUCCUUCCCAAUUUUUAUCUUUUUUUUUUUUUUUUUUUAUAAUCGCCUUUCUCUUUCAAUCCUAUUAUCAGGUACCUUAUAUUUGCUGAUGCUAUCUGGAACUAAAUUCCAAUCAGACAUUGUCCAAUUACUAAUAGGACAGAUCAUGUCUCUCUGUUUCUAAACUAACAUGUAUCGUAAUGUGGCCUCAUAAGGAAGGCUAGGAAGAUGGAGGAUUUUGUGGGAAGCGACCAGAAUCAGAUGGAAGAGAGAUAGCCCUGUUGACCUAAUGGCUGUAAUAGGAGAAGCGUGUGGAUUUAUGGGACUUAACUGAUACUAAACCUAUAUGAUGCUUGGAGUGGUGUUUCUUUCAUUUUGUUAAGAAAAUAUGGCAGCAUACAUCCUUUCAAUUGAGUGCAUCAGAGCAUCCAUAAUAGAUGGUCUGCAACCCUAGGUGCAUGCCACUUUCUGACUGAUAAUGAAACUGUCAGGUACUUGGCCUUGACUAAGCUCAACAGCAUCACAUAAAAAGAAGCUUUCAUACUUAGAUUACUGUUUAAAGCUUUUGCUUAUUUGCUUUCUUAAUGCCAUUAUGACAUUAUUGUUUCAAUUCUGCUACCGAUUUUCGAAGUUCUGGGCAUCUACUGAUUGCAUCAUUAUAUGAGAAGUUGCAUGAGUUUAUGUAUCCUGUUAUUGCUCCUUUGCGAUUUCACUGCUCACGGGACUAACCUCUCCAUUCAGUCGAAAUGAAUUGUAAUUUCUUUACUGGUAGCAGUAGUACUUUUCAUAGCAAAGAUAAUAGUAAAUAUGAAAUAUAAAUAGAAGGAAAUCUGAAUUGUAGAUGGCACUAUAAGUAACACUCAAUAUUCACUACAUAAUAAAAUAGACAGUGUUACAAAGGUAGAGAAACCUACAAUGAGUACUCAUCACCAUUCUCAAACAGAAACAUAGCAGCGACUUAUACAUAGAACCUAUAGGCUUGCAGGGAAAGAAGGGAAAGAGUAACAUGAUAAGUUCACAGCGGGUAGCAGCUCUUAUUUUACGUAUUACUCAAAAUCUCAAACUAACCAAAGUCACUCAGUUGGGAUGGGUAGGAGAUGGUGGUUUGUGGGGUGGCUUCUGGGUAGGAGCUGGUGGCUUCUUUGUUGGAGUUGAAGGAGGCGUAAUCUUCUGAGGUGGCUUGUAUGAGUCUUCGGCACUCUCUGCAGGAGGGUGCCCAGGGUUGUGACCGGAAGGAGGUGGCUUCUGUCCCUUUGGUGGUUUGCCUAAUGGGCUUGGUGGCUUGUGCUCCGGGAGUUGUUUCUCUCCCUCGAGUAGGUUUCGAGUUUUGUCAGAUGGCUUGUGUUCUGGUGGUGGCUUCUCUCCCUGGGGUGGUUUGCCGAAUGGGCUUGGUGGCUUGUGUUCGGGGAGUGGCUUCUCUCCCUGGAGAAGGUUACGAGUUUUGUCAGAUGGCUUUUGUUCUGGUGGUGGCUUCUCUCCCUGGG
This 351123-nucleotide long non-coding RNA is filed under the name Vitis vinifera (wine grape). Its description in RNAcentral is "long non-coding RNA (VVIN_LNC001392)". The stretch from base 31702 to 31773 matches the Rfam family "tRNA". The record is from RNAcentral. Lineage: Eukaryota; Viridiplantae; Streptophyta; Magnoliopsida; Vitales; Vitaceae.